AUAUUUUGGUUACAUCUUUGCUUGAUCUGUUAUAUUUCAUGUGGCUGUUGACUAGCUGCCCCGCUGCAAUGGCAGACAUCAGAGACAACUCUCCAGCUAAAACAGAUCCAGCAACAAUGGCGGCCAAAAGUCUUGAGUUUGAUCCCGGUGACUCCUUGCUCGCACCCUUCACACCAAGUAAAUUCAAGCAAGCAGACUGGGAUGCAAGUUGAGUCCCACCCCCAACAGUACCCACCUGAGAGGAAAAUUGAAGAAUCAUAUAAACCUUAGCUAUUAACUAAAUUGGAAAAUUGACCAAAUAUAGUAGGGUAAUGUUUAAGAAAGGAUUGGAUCGGAUGCCAAAUCACCUCAAUGGAAGGCAUGGUCACCGAGACGUGAAGGUCCCUCCCAUCAUUCACGGCUUCCAUCAUGGUUAUGCAAUGGGAACUCUCAAUAUUUUGUGCUGGAUCUUGACCGGUGGCUAUAAAGACUGCAGAGACAAUGUUGCUAGCAUGGGCAUUGAAUCCACCAAGAGCACCAGCAAUAGCGGAACCAGUAAGGUUUUUGAGCAUGUUAAGCUCCACCAGGGCAGACACGCUGGUCUUCAAUACCUUCUUCACCACUUCUGCUGUAAUAAUUGCUUCACAAACAACUGAUUUCCCACGUCCCUCGAUCCAAUUUACUGCAGCUGGCUUCUUGUCCGAACAAUAAUUUCCUAAAGGAUCAAUCAAAUCAGAACACAACCAUCACAUUUUCGUGUUAAUAUUCCCAUUAAAACAAUUUCCCCAUGCCGUCGUGAUUAUAGACAUCGAAUCAAAUAACCAAACAAUGAGAUCAAUAUAAAAGAUCAAGUCAGAACAUAACCAUCACACUUUCGGUCUAAUAUUCCCAUUUAAACAAUUUCAGCAUGCCCUGAUUAUAGACAUCGAAUUAAAUAACUACACAAUGAGAUCAAUAUAGUGAAAGACUGAGAUUACCAAACCGGAACUGACACGAUGAAAGAAAUAAAUACAAGUACACGUAGAAAACAAGAAAUCCACCAAAUGAAAAAUGUAAGUAAAUUGGGGAUUAAUACGAGAGUUUGACACAGUUCCAAUUGUUGCAUCAUGCUAAUUAUUCAUACCUCAUAAUUAAGUAACAAAUGAAUAAAAUAUGACUACUAAAUACGCAUCAACCCUUUUGCAAAGAGCAUAUAUACAAUAAACAAAUAAAUCUCCGAUUAAAAUCCAACAUGACAAUACCACACAAAAUACAGUGACAUCGUUAUAGGACACUAGUCUCCAGCUCAAAUUGACAGCACCUAAAACAAUAUAUAUAUAUAUAUAUAUAUAUAUAUAUAUGAAUGUAUAAGCUAAGACGUCAAAGGUAGUACGGAAAGAAAUAAGAUAAUGAAAUUGGACCAACUUCAUGAUGAAAGAAAAGAAACCAGUACGGAAAAGAAAGAACAAAAAGAGACGAUGUGUGAUACUAUAUAAAGGAACGGCAUUGGUGACAUCAUUCGAUUUAACAAAAGAAAGAUCAAGGAAAUAUUGUCCAUCAAAAUGGGAAAGGUACAGAAAUUACCAGAAAUGCCAAUGACAUCCAUGUCAGGGAAAUCAUUCUGAAGAAAAUCAAGAACGUUUUGCACCCCUUUGGAAACCAUGUUCAUCCCCAUGGCAUCACCCGUGCUACAAGUGAAUCUCAAAUAAGCGUUCUUCCCAGCCAUAGCACACUGAAUACCUUGCAGCCUGGCAAAUCUACUCGACCUGAAAUCAUUAAACCAAACACCAAAACUCAGCACAAAUAAAUAAAUUUCCUACACUCAAAUAAACGACAUCUCCAGUCAUAUAUACUCCAAAUUUCCUCCACUCAUCCACUCCCCAAUUAACAGAAAAAAAUCAAAGUUUUAAAGGAAAACCACACCUUUAAUUCUCGCAUAACAUUUAAAAAAAAAUCAACAUAAAUAUCAAUCCAUAAACUACAGAAAAUUCACUUAGUAUACAGGAAAUGAUUGUAAAUCUCAGUAUAAAUUUUCUUAUUCAACACAAGCACUAUUUAAAAUGACUUCUAAACUCAAAAUUAAUUUUGGACUCAAUAAAUUCUUUACCAACCAACCAUAUUAAUAUUCAUUUAAAAUCAGUUAAUUGGAUAUCGACAUUUCAACACACUUUUCGAUGAUCCGAUGUGAAUCCAAACAUGCAGUUAACGUGGACACCAACUACUAAAUGAUAAAUUCUCAGAUCAUGAUCACGAAUCCAAACUCACUCUAGAGUGUACCAAAACAAACCUGUUGAAAACAAGGGAAAGGGUAUCAAAAUUGAGAGGAUCCUCCAAGAAGAACUUCAACUGUGCAGCCCUCUUGGCAGUGGAGAACCUAACAACCGGUGCCCUUGACAUGCAAUCCCUCAAAACAACACUGCUGGCCCCACCAGAAGCAUAUAUGGCUUUACACCCUCGAUUGGUGCUAGCAACAAGGCACCCCUCGGUGGUGGCCAUCGGCACCGUGUACUCGAACCCGUCCAGCAGCAAAGGCCCCGCCACCCCCACCGGAAUCUGCACGUACCCCACCGGCAUUUCACAGCACUGCCCCAAAAUCGAGUCGUAAUCGAACCCUUCCAGCGGCAGCCCCUCCAGCGACCGCCCCGUCAGCCUCUGCAGAGCCGCCCGCCGAAUCGCCGCCGCACGGCGGCAGUCGCCGAGGCGAGACUCGAGCGCGUAGGACGGCGUGACGCCGUCCACGACGGAGCAGACAAUAUCCUCAUCAUCUUCGGAGAUCAUCGAGCAAUCCGCAGGGGGCAAUUUGGUAAUUGAUGGAGAGGGCGAGGGCGUCGGCGAGGGUUCCGAAACCGCUUCGUCGACGUCCCACGCAUCCUGCGAGGCGCGUGUGAUGAAGGACUGGACGAAGUCGAUGCCGAAGAAGCCGAGGAGGUAGAUGAAGGAGGCAAUGAGGGAGAAAAUCGCAGCAAUCUCGGAGAGCGUGACCACGUGGAGAGGUGUGUGGCUGCGGAUCUUGUCGCGCCACCGGUGCAGGAGAAAGUACGCGACGGAGAAGAAGAGAGUGAAGAAGAUCGCGUUCGUGAGGUACAGUGGCAGAGGGAGCGCAUCGGAGGCCUUAGGAGAGGACGCUGAUGGCGUGGAAGUGGAAUCCCUCUUGCCGCGGUUGGGGUGGUGGAUAGCUCCGUCGUGUGCGGUGGGCGGCGCGCGGUGGCGGAGGUCCAUUGCGCGUGCGAAAGGGUUGCGGGAGAGCAACGGAGGAAAAAACGGCGAAUAAAUGAAUGAAUGAAUGGUUAUGCCAUGUGAUAUGUUCUGUGUGACAGCGAAGAACGGUGAGUGCGAUACGGUGCGACCGGACCCAACAGCGUCGGCAUUUGUUAUUGUUUUGUUUUUAUUAGCACUUUUCUUCCAACUUUUCCACUUUCCUCAACCAUCACAACACAUACAACUGUAAUUAUAAAACUUUUCCAAAAAAAAACAUUUUACUUUAUUUUUUAAAAAUACCAGCCGUCUGAUACCCUAAAACAACGCGUUAAUCAUACUAAUUAAAUAAUCAAGCUACCUUUUUAAUUCAAAAUUAUAUUAAUGCAUUUUCUUAUACUUUUAAUCUGAUGGGUCCAUUAAAAAUAAAUUACCAGUUGCCAGAUCAUUUGAUUUAUUCAAUUUAACUAUUACACGAAAAUGAAGAUUCAAUAUCGUUUUACGUCACUGUUUUGGUCAAGGUAAAGAGUUCUCGAUUAUUACGAUGAGCAUUUAAGUAUAAAAUAAUAUUAACAAUAAAUUUUAAUGAGUUAAUUAUGAUAUACAUGUUUUUAUAUAAUUAUAGUAGAUGUGACUAUUCGGACAUAAUGAAAUGAAAUUGAAAUUUUUUAUUUAUUUUCUUACAAUUCAUUGUUGUAAUUUAAAAAUAUGAUGGAAGUAGAAGAGAGUGGAACAUUGGGGAAACUGGUUUUUUUGGGUUUUGGGGAAUGAAAUAAAGAAAACCAAUGAAUGAAUGACAACAAUUGGAGUGUGUGAUUGAUUACCUACACAAAGAUUUUCAUCCAAAAAAGGAAAUAAUAAUGAUGAUAUUCAACUGCUCCAGAUUCUGCAACGUUUACAACUAAAUAUUGUGGACUUCUGUUUUAUACUUAGUUACUCUUUAAUUUCCAUUAUUAUUACAAUAAAAUAAAUUCUUCUGUUCUAUGCAGGAAUUUGAGAAAUAAUUAAAAUAGAUAUUUAAAUACGAAGUCUUGUAAAUUUAUAACUUUUAUUAUCCCUUUCUAAAUUUAAAAUUGAUUUCGAAAAAUAAUUUUUAUGAGUCUGUUUUUAUAAGUAUACCAGACUUAAAGAUAAACUAUGGAUAUAUAUAUAUAUAUAUAUAUUUAUAUAUUCAAUUUAAAUUUUCUUUACGUCUCUUUAUAUUUGUGGGACAAUUUUUCUUACCUUUUUCUUUAAAAAAUCACCAUUUAGAAAGUAAAAAAUAUUUAAGUCAUCUUGUUUGGUCAAUUUUUUUAUUUGAGAAAUUUUUUUUUUUUCACAAAUCUUAAUUUUUUUUCUAUUUAGCAUGCGUUUAGUUGCAUAUAUGAUCUAAUGUGAAAAGAUAAAAAUUUAUUACUUUAGGUUUGUAAAAAUAUUUAUAGUUGUUAUAUAUAAUUUUUGUGAGUAAAGGUAUAUUUCACUUUUUAACCUUUCAAGAGUAAAAUACUUCUAAAAUAAGUAAGGGAGUUUAAUUUGAAGUAUCUUGUUGAAUGUAUUGAACUUUAGGAAGAAUUGAACCUAUGAUAAAAAAAUGUGCGAGGACAUAAUUAUAUUAAUGUUUGAUUUUAGAUUAAAUUGUUUGAGUUGGUUGAAUAUUUAGUAAUUUAUUUAUAUGUUUGAAAUGAAAUUGUAAUUUAGUAUUUGACAUUUGUUAUUUAACUUAUUCAAUUAUUUUAAUUAAUUGGAUUAAAAUGGUUUUAUUAUGAGUUAAAUUUGUAAUGAAAAUUUGUUGUUUUGAAAAUAGUUAGUUUGGUUGAAUAGUGGAUAAUUUUUUAAUUUUUGUCUUUAAUAUAUCUAACUCAAGUGGUUGCUUAUGUAAGACUCGAACAAGCAUUUUAUGUUGGUGCAGAGGUUUAUCACUCAAACAAUUAAUUGGUGUCACUUUUAUGGAGUCCUCGUUGAGGGACAGAGAAAUCUUAACAAUUCUCUCAUAAUUCAAUUACUCAAGCGAUAAAUUAAGUGUUUGAAUGAUAGAGAGUUAAUGUUGAUUAUAUCUUCUAGACAAACAUUAUUGUGUAACGCCAAACACUUAUUUAGUCUCACAAUGUUAAAUGUAUAUUUUAACAUAUUUGAUAAUAAUUUAUUUACUACUAGACUUAUAUAAACAUAUAGAUAAAUAUAUAUAUAUAUAUAUUAUAGUUAUAUAUUAAUUCAAUUUUAUGUGGUGCAAUGUGUUGUGUUUUAUUUAAUUAUGACCAAUGGAAUGAUUAUUACUUAACUGGUAAUGGACAUAUAUGUGAUAUAUGGUGUGUAUUGAGCAAGCAAACCAUUAAAUAAAAGAAAUAAUUAGAUUUUGCUAGCUUCCAAGUCACAUAGAUGAUUAUAUAUUAAGGGUGAGAAGUAAAUGGAAGUUUUUACAUUGUUACUUAUUAUGAUAAAUUCGAAAAGUUAACCCAUUUAUUGUUAAAUAUUAUAUGUGGGUGAAUUUUUGUUUUAAGUUGUGUGUUAGUCUCCCAAUGAAAGUCUAUAAUAUGUUUUGUCUCGAAGUUGUUGAGUCACGAGUAUAGUUAUAAUUUAUUAAAUUAUUGAGGUUUUAAGUGAAACUAGUUGUGAUUGUUUAUGUGAUGAGAUGAGUAUGAAAAGUCAUACAUUAUAAAAUAUAUAUGAUUAUUUGUUACUUAAUUAAAUUACAUCACUUAACCCUUCAAAUCAAAUUCCAAAACGUAAGCGUUUCGCUAGUUUGUUCUCCCUAAGCAAUCUCUUUUUUAUAGACUAACCCCUCCCACUCCCACUGGCGCACUUUUAUUUGGUACAUUUUUUUCUCUUUCAAUUUUUUAUUCAAUGAACAAAAUCCUUUUAUUCUUUUUUCUUUGUUGUUUUCUUUAAUAAUUUUGUUAUAAGUUUGAUUAAAUUGUUCUUUUCGUGUAUUUUAUGGUGUUAUUUGUGUCGGCACAAUAAUAACAAUAUUGUCAUCAUACAGUGCCAAAGACAUGCAUAAAUGAAUAAAAAAGAAAAGUAAAAUCAGACAUUGCAUUUCCAUAUUCUACUUUAUAAUUGAAAAGCAACACUUAUUGGUUGGUUUCGUGGUUCUGGAAGGAAAGUAUGAAUUCUCAUAUCUUGAAUUUUGAAUAUAAAAAUAGAAAACGAAAAAGGUGUUUGAUGGGAUAAAAGUGAAGAUGAACGGAAGAAAAAGAUGCAAUUGUGCAAUGCUCCUCGACAAGUCUCACUUUGCAAUGUUUAGUUUUAAUUUAUUUUUUUUAAAUAGUUUAAAAAUAGUGUUAUAGCUCCUGUCGUUCUUUUGAGGGUUAUCUCCCCUUUAUAUAUAGGUAUAGACUAGCCGAAACACAUGUAUCUGCAUUUUUUAUCUGUAUCAUUUAUAUACAUAGUGUUAAUAUGAUACAUAUAACCUAAUUGCUUCACAAUCUUAGAAUGGGAAAAUAACAUGGUCUUUUAAAUGAGAAUUUGAAAAUCACAAAAUAAUUGAUUUGUAUCUGCAUUCUUUUAUUUGUAUCAUUUAAAUGCAUAGUGUUAAUAUGAUGCAUAUAAACCUAAUUGUUUAACAAUCUUAGAAUGAGAAAAUAGUCAUUGUCUGAUUGCAAAUGACAAAAACAAAUAGGCCAUAAGAUGACAAAACAAAGUCCCAAGAAUUUUUUCAAUUCAGCGUGGCCAACCUUGGCUAAUUCUAUAUUUUAAGUUAUCAAAAUUAUAUACAGUUACAUGGAGACAGAACAAAUACUUCAUAAAUCUAAAUUAUGAAAUAAUGUUUGAGGGUCAUAUAGCAAAGCAGAGGCUUUUAAAAAAUUAUUAAUUCAAGAGCAAGAGUCUUGUGACAGUGCCCAAAUAGGAAGGGAGAGAGAACCAAAAAUAAAUUCCAAAAGUAGAUGAAAUCACCGAAAGUAGAUCGCACUAUAUUGACUUUAACCUUAGUCAAUGAAACCUCUUUCCUCUUCAUGGCUAGCAACCCUUUUGUUGGGCACAUCUAUCAUGUCCUCUCUGUCACACAACAACUUUGUCAUUUUUUAGGCUGGUGACAGCGGCGCGUCGCUAAAGCAUUUUUGCAACCUUCGGACAUGAUGGUUACGUGAAUGCAGUGACGCUUUCUAUAGACAGGUCGAUUAUCACGAGUGGCAACACAUAUGAGGUGGUGAAACUGUGAGACAUGGAAGGAAUAGUUAAUCUUCAUCAUGACUUGAGUUUUGUCCCUCUCCAAGUAUUGGUUUGCGUUUGAAAGAAAACAUUCCUACUAAGAGAAAGAAGGAUGUCUCUCUUUCUUUGGUCUUCUUUUUAUUCGUCAAAAACAAUUUCUCCCAAAAACGUUAAAAUGAGAAGUUAAAGAGAAUAUAUGGAAGUUAAUGAAGGCAAAGAGAAAUAAUGAAUCUUCAAAAAUUAAAAUUCAAAACUAUUCUUUCAAUUAAAAACCACCCUUCCUGUAUACUAAAUAUUUUUUAAAAAAAUAAAAAAUGAUAAAAUAUCCAUAAUACUAAAAUAAAACUAAAUAUUAAUAUAAAGAUAAGUAUAAAUUAGUAAAAAAGCGUUGAUAAUUCAUUAAUAUCACAAAAUCUUAAAAAAGAAAAAUACCUAACACUUCGGAGGUCUAAAUCACAAAAAAAUGUUAAAUAUAUUCUCGUAAAAAAUAAUUUUUAUUGUAUUGUGUAAUUUAAAAAAAAAUAUUAGAAAAAAAAAACGUCGUUAAAUUCUGUAGAAUAUUUAAUUAGGACUCAGUCUAAGACCGUAUAUUUGAUUAGAAUUGAUCUAAUGAUAGUUUUUAUAUCCUAGAGAUGACUAAAAUCUUACAUUAAUUUUAAUUAAACACAACUUUUAACCAGAUAAAAUUCUAGAUAAAAAUCCUCUGCCUUAUUGAUUACGUUUGUGUCGUGAUAUUACGACACUAGAAUGAGAAAAAAAUAUAUUAAAAAGUUAAAGAUUAAAAAGAUAAACUUGUUAAUGAUAUAUUUCUUGCAAAUAAAGAAAUAAAACGAAGUUCUUAAAGUAAAUAUCCAAAAACUCAUGAUUUGAAUUAGGGGUGGACAAAAAAUCUAUUUUGAAAAAACUGUUAUAUUUUUGCACUUUUGCACUGAUCUAAUCUAUUUAAAUUUGAUUUUUAUUUUGAUUCAUAUUUUAUUAUUUUUCCAGAUCAAAUUUUCAUUUUACUUAAUUAGAUUUUAAAAAAUUCUCUACUCCCUCAAUCCCGUGAAUCACUUUUACAAUGAUGCAUUAUCUAUCGACGCUAUAUUUGCAUUCAUUGUUCUAUUAAGUUUAUCUCAUGGACCUAUUCAAUGCACUACAAUGAGUCGCUGUUUAUUAUAUUUCUUUAAUAUUUAUAUAAUAUUAAAUUUCCUUUACAUAUUAUUAUAUUAAAAUUAUGUUAAUUGUGUUAGAAAAUGUGGAUUUAAAUUUAAAAUAUAUUUUUAUAAAAAUAUGGAUUUAGAUUAGAUUUAAAUUUAUAAAAAUUCAAAUUAGUUUUGUAAAAAUAUGAAUUUGGAUUUAAAUCCAAUCCAAAUAUUUGGAUUUGAAUUUAUAGAAAUUCAAAUUAUUUUUAUAAAAACAUAGAUUUAAAUUUAAAACUUGAUCCAAAUAUUUAGAUUUCUCAAUGCAAUACCACCUUAAUUUGCAUGACUCGCAUGGAAAUCAGCCAAAUUUUCGGCCUCUCUAAACUCAUGAUAGAUUGUAUCAGAUUCAGACAACUUUUACAUAUUAAAAUGUUAGAUCACACUAAUGAUUUUAGAUAAUUAAUAAGGAAAACUUAUAUUUAUUACUUAUUUAUAUUUUUUAUGCAUAAACACAAGAAGAAUUGGAGGGUUAAAAUUAACUUUUUGUUGUGAGACUAAUUCUCAAUUCAAUGUUUAUACUUAAUCUCUGUAUCUUUCUUUCAGAAAAUGUAUGAUGUGAGAAUGAAUUAUGCUUGUAUCUCAAUUCACAUAUUUAUUGAACUUUAACUUGAGUUCUUACUGUGCUUCAAUGAUCAUAAAAAACUCUUCAACCAGAAUCCUUGAAUACAAAGCAUGGUGGUUAUACUGAAACUUGGUGGUAAGAUAUUAAUUAUUGUAAAUAUAAAUGAAUGGAGGGUUGUGGCUUAGGGUAAAAAAAAUACCUAACAUAAUCUAUAAAUUUGAGCUUUGUGAUAACUUAUAAGCUUUAUUGUGUAAAAUAGUAAAUUUGAAGAUACUAAGCCACACAGAACUAUGCCUCUGAUGAACUCUGACUUGUAUCCUGUAAAAGCCGUACACACACGCAACAUAUUGUCAAAACAAAAUUAAAUAAAAGAUUAAUAACACUUUUUAAUGAAGAGCUGAAUGAAGAAAAAUAAAUGCACAUAGAAAAGCACAGAAUGUUCCUCACCAUUAUUUCUAGUUCCUAUUAAAAUGACAUGUGUUACAUUAAAUGCCUUAAAAACUAAUGAGGACUUUUUACUAAAAUAAUAUAAUUUUACCUAGAUAAAAAGGUUAAAAAUUAAUGAAAUAAAUAAGUCGUUCUCAAAGUUGAAAUUAUUUUAUCGUGAAAAGGUUGUUUCAAGUUGAAACGGUAAAAAAGUUGAUUCAAGUUAAACGAGUUUACUGUGAAAAAAUUGUGUUAAGUGUAAAUAAUUUUACCGUGAUAAAGUUGUGUCAUGUUAAAAUAAUUUUAUCCUAAAAAAGUCAUAUCAACUUGAAAUGAGUUUAUUGUGAGAAAGUUGCAUCAAGUUAAAAUGAGUUUAUUAUUAGAAAUUCGUGUCAAGUUGAAACGGGUUUAUCGUGUAAAAGUUGUGUCAAGUUGAAACGAUUUUAAUGUGUAAAAAUUAUAUCAAGUUGAAAUGAGUUUAAUAUGUAAAAGUCGUUCAAGAUAAUCCAAAUUCAAUAUAUUUGAAGAGAAGUCGUAAAAUGUAAUUAUAUUUUAAUUACAUUAGUGUUACACGACUUAGUUGAUAUCUAAUUACAUUAAAUCAAAGUCAUGUUAAGGUACACAACUUACUCCAAUAAAAAUUUUAUAUUUUUUACUUGUUUUCAUAAUUAAUCUAUAAAAUUAUCCUAAUUUAAUUAAAAAAAUGCUAAUUAACAUGAAAACCUAGAAAUCAAUCUCUAAUUCAAUUGAGAUCACACUAAAUGAGUCGAGUUCAAUAGUUUUUCAUACAAAUAAAUUAUUGAGGAAAACAUGAAGAAAUAAAAUUGUUUUAAGUACCAAUCAAACACAAAAGUGAGUUGUGAAUGACUUGGAUGAUGAAGUGAGUUUUUUAAACCAUAGAUGGGGUGUGAUUGGGUCAUACACAAAGAUCAAGGCUUCAAUUAGUCAAAUCUUAAGGAAAAAUGAAAACCAUAAUUCUCUUAUUCCAAUUCCAUCACCUGAUCAAUUUUCCACUAUUUUAUACACUUUCAUCUUCUCUACAUGAAUCUAAUUUCCAAAUCACAUGAUUCCUUAAAGCAUGACCCAAAUAGAAACAACAAUAUUAAAGAACAAACAAUCAUAAAAAAGAUGAUUCUACACUCUACACUACACAAUAAAGUCACACAAAACAAACACAGAAUAAUGCAGACUCCAAAUUUACAUAUAUAACAAGUUUUGACCAAUUCAGCUGCUACACUUACAACAAAAGGAACAAAACUGAGAACAAAUCAGAGUACUCACGGUUUCUUGUUUCUGAGAUUGUACAUUCUUGCUCUUUCUCUCUUUCGUGUGCAUUUUAGAACUUUUACCACCAUUCUUCUUUUUUGGAAAUAUCACGUGAAGCGAUGCAUUCAAAUCUAACAGAAUCUUUCCACAUAAAGUGCAGACACUGAAAACAAAAUCAUUGAAAUUUGAAGAUCACAGGAUCAGAUUCAACCAAUGGACAAUGAAUCCACAUUAUUAUUUUUCCCAUAUUGUGUUCACAACCUUUUUGGAUUCAAUUUUUCACAUUUGUAACCCUAAAAAUAGAUUAAGAAAAGAAGAAGAAAAGAUGAUAUAAGUGAAUGACCUGCAAGAAUCGACCGAAAUGUCACCAUAGAUAGCUUCCAAUCUGGUGGGGCAAACCCUGCAACAAUGACUGCACCACUCCAUGCAUGCCAACAUUUGUGUUCAGUUUCAAAGUGGCUUAAAUAACCUAAUUACAAUCUCAUAAAUCUCAUUAAAUACCUUUGACUAAGCGUGUAUAUACCACCAUAAUAUAAAAGAUAUAUGAUGAUUUUUUUUUAAAAAUGUUAUUUUAAGAUUUUAAUUCAAUAUUUACUUAGUGAUAUUUUUUUAUCUAUAGAAAUUAAAUAUAUGAUAUUUAGUAUCUUAUUUUAUCUCCUUAAUAUAUAGAAAAUAAAGAAAACAAAAGAAAAACAUUUUUAGUGUAAUUUUGUUUUUGAAAUAGAAAGAUGUAUAAAUAAGACGUAAACAACCAUAAAAUAGAAAAUGCUAGGCUCUUAAUUCUAAUAUUCUAAAAUUAUUUGGUAUCCCACCUGCUUCAUUCAUCAUAAAUCCCAAUUAUUUCGGCAUGAAUCUAUACAUAAAUAAUUUAAAAAUCAAUUAAAUGGAUGAGAAGAUAUAUUUACAUUUUUUUAUAACAACAUAAUAAAAUCAUUAAAUAAAAUAAAAACUAGUUUUAGAGAUAAAAGAAAUUAGUUAUUAUAUUAAAUCAAUUAAAUGUUAUUUAUAAAACUAUAAACAAAUAAUUUUAAAUUAAAAGAAGGAAAAGAUAUGUUUAUAUUUUGUAAACAAAAGAAAAUCAUUAAAUAAAAUAAAAACUAAUUAUAUUAAAUAAAUUAAAUAUUAUUUUAAAGAAAACAAAUUUUUAGUGUAAUUUUGUUUUUGAAAUAUUUAGUCAUAUUUUUUUAUCUAUAGAAAUUAAAUAUAUGAAUCGUAUCUUAUUUUAUCUCCUUAAUAUAUGUAUAGAAAAUAAAGAAAACAAAUUUUUAGUGUAAUUUUGUUUUUGAAACAGAAAGGUGUUAUAAAUAAGACGUAAACAAUUUUAAAAUAGAAAAUGUUAGGCUCAUUAUCUAUAAAGUUCGAACACUCCUUUUAAAUGUAUCAGACACCGACACUCGUAAGACACCUGUAGGACACGUAUCCGUGAAGUGUCUAAUUCAAAAAGUAUUUGUUAGAUUUCUGACAAUUAUAGUACAGUUAUAACACAAUUUUAAAAAGUAAAAAUACAUUAAUUUUCUAAAAAUUCAAACUUUAUUGUAUAAAUUGUUAUUAUAUUAUAAAAAUAAGAAACAAAUCUUGGUGAACCAAUCAUGCAAAACAUCUUUCUGCUUCAAAAAAUAAUUUGUAACAUACUUGUGUACAUAAAUAUUUAUUGUCAAUUUAUAUAAUUUAUAAUUAUAUAAUAUAUAGAUCUGUCUCAUUGUCUUACAUUUUAUGUAUCUCCAUAUUUGGGUCGUGUUGUAGAUAUAUAAAUUGCUCAUAAUUCUAAUAUUCUAAAAUUACUUGGUAUCCCACCUGCUUCAUUCAUCAUAAAUCCCAAUUAUUUCGGCAUGAAUCUAUCCUAUUUUUGUAACAACAUAAUAAAAUCAUUAAAUAAAAUAAAAAUUAAUUUUAAAGAUAAAAAUAAUUAGUUAUUAUAUUCAAUAAAUUAAAUCUUAUUUAUAAAACUAUAAAUAAAUAAUUUAAAAAUUAAUUAAAAAAAGGAAAAGAUAUGCUUAUAUUUUAUUACAACAUUUACUAUAUUAAAUAAAUUAAGUAUUAUUUUAAAGACUAAAAAAUCAUUAAUAUUUAAAUAAAUUUUAUUAUUCAUAAAUUUUAUAAAUUAAUUUUUAAAUUGAUAUAUAUUUAACUACUAGCUGUUAAUUAUAUUAAUAAUAUUAACAAUAAAAUAAAUAAAAAGUAGUUUAUAAUUUUUAUUAAUAAUAAAAAUUACUUUAAAUAUUAUUUUAAUUUCUAAAAUAAUAUAUAAUUUAAUUAAUAUAUUAUUUUUUAUCUUUAAAAUUGAUUUUUAUUUANNNNNNNNNNNNNNNNNNNNNNNNNNNNNNNNNNNNNNNNNNNNNNNNNNNNNNNNNNNNNNNNNNNNNNNNNNNNNNNNNNNNNNNNNNNNNNNNNNNNUAUCAUAUUCUUCCCACUGCCAUUUAUAGCUGAAAUUUGUAAAUUCUUGCAGUUUGUGAAGCCACAUUUUCUGAACUCGUAAUUGAUUAAAUUACCUAUAGUGAAAACAUAUAAUCCAUUGUAUUGUAACAAAAUAUACGUAUAAUGAUUAUGUUAUACAUAAACAUGUAAUUGAUUAUGUUAUAAUAUAAUUAAUUAUUUAAUAUAAUAUAAUUGUUCUUACAACAGAGACCAAAAGCACUGAAACCAGGUUGACAAGAUGACCUCUUAUACAAAUCUUCCGGUCUAGGGUUGGACACUCGGUUUUCUCUUGGGCUGGACUCUCGGUUUCUCCUUGGGCUGGACUCUCGGUUUCUCCUCUCGACUGGUGUUCUCGGCUUCUCCUCUCGAUUGGUGUUCUCGGCUUCUCCUCACAACAGGUGUUCUCAGCUUCUCCUCACAGCAGGUGUUCUCAGCUUCUCCUCACAGAUGGGGGGGUACCUGCAAGUCGCUCCGAUGCCAAAGUCAAAAAUAGUUCAAUGUUCAUCAGAUAAAAUCACUCUUACCUUUUUCUUACUCUGAACUCCUAUUUAUAGGGUUUCUUUAAUGGGCUUUCCCCCUUACUUUUGGGCUUUCUUUCUACACCUUUUUAUUAUUUACACACCCCUUAUGCUAGUUUUUAUCUUAAUUGGGCUUUAUUUUUAUAAUAAUAUUUGUAUUUUGUUUUAUUCUUUUAUGUAUAUUUUUCGCUUUCGGUCUAAACCUCUCGGUUUUAGCCUAACACCUCUUGGUUGUUCAAUAUGUAGUUCUCGGCCUGAACCUCUCGAUUUUAGCCUACCAGUACACUGGCCCCCGAGACAGAAAUAUUUUAAGUUUAAACAAAAGUAUUUUGUCUUAAUAUAAUAUAAUCAUUUUGACAUUUGAUUUGAUUUGAUAUUAAAUGCAUUGGUUUUCGUGCUUUAUUUUGCUGAGUUUAAAUGAUUUGACGUGAACUUGCUGUUUUAGCCGUUAGAUUAUAUAUUUUUGAACUGUUUCAUAUUGUUGUAACGUUUCGAAUUCUAGGGUUUAUUUUUGGGUUAUAAAUAGGUUCUUCAUUCAAACCUUUAUGAAUGUGUGUUUUGUUGCUAUUGAAAAAGGGAGCUCAUUUUCAAUCUUCAAUCGGUUCUUGCAAAGGUAAUAUGUCUUUUUCGGGUUUUUCUGCUUCUGAUGAUUUUUUGAGCGCGGGUGAUGAAUCAACUGGGUGAGUGGUUCGAGAAGAAGAUCAUCCAGAUUCGAAGUCUUCAUCUACUACUCCUUCUUGUAUGAACGAUUCAAAUGGAGCUCCGACUAUUAAUGCUCCUCAAGAAUUCGGAAUUGUAUUGCCCCGGAAAAAUCUUCGUGCAGGUUAUCAAUGGGUUAAUCCUAAAGUCCGAGAGUUUUUUUCGAAGUAUCGUUCUGCUAUCGAACUUUGUAGUUUUCUUUCCCAUUCUCAAAUUUAUUAUUCUGACAUUGAAAAUGAUAUUAUUUCUUUUCGGCGUGUUGGGGAUGUUGAUAAUGUUUGCCAUGGUCGAGAGGGUGAUAGCUACGAAUUUUUUUAUUUUUAUGCUUGCUUUUUUAGAGAUCUUCAUAUUCGAUUGCCUUUGAACAACUUUCAAAUAGGCGUUCUUAAUUUCCUUAAUGUUGCUCCUACUCAGCUUCAUCCCAAUGGUUGGGCUGCAAUGCAAACUUUUAGUAUUUUGUGUAAAUUAUUAUCGCUUUCCCCCAGUCCUGCUUCUUUCUUGUACUAUUAUAGCUCUCGACCUAGGAAACGGCUAGAGUGGUUAUCCCUUAUCAGCAAAUCCAAUGUUUGUUUCCUUAAACCUUUUACGUCAUCAAUAUAAGGAUUUUAAGGGAGGUUUUUUCAAAAUUCUAAUAGAACCAGUAGGAAGAGAGUAUUUUUUUGAUGGAGAUUCUCCAAAGUUUCCUCUGUAUUGGACGAGGGAUCCCGUGAAGUUUAACUCAAUAUCGUUUCACUCAAUGGGUGCGGCUGAUCGCCAUGUUAUUGAAGUUUUUAGUCACCUCUCGUACCAGGUUCCCACUCGCGCCUUGCUACAAUUGUACACUUCAUCAAGUCCUCGAGAAGAUCUUAUUGGUACGUGGUUGUUCCACAUUUUCCUGCUUUAUAGGAUGAGUUUUUUAACUUUGCUAAGUUUUUUAUGGAUUUUCAGCUCUGAUGGCAAGCACGAAUCCGAAAGCUCGAUCUUAUUUUUCAAAACUGCUGAACAAGGUAGGUGAUGUAACUCCGCGACGUGAGAAUGUAGUGAAUCCUGUGGUGGAAGUAGAAGUCGUGGAACCGGUUGCACAUGUUGAAGUGGUUGAAGCUGCACGUAAUGUUGAUGUUGCCGGUCCCUCGAAGAAGUCAAAGAAACGAGACAAAAAUAGCAAGAGAUCACAUUCGUCGUCUUGGCGUCAUCGCCAUGUUGAAAAUGUUUCAUCUGAACCUCUUUCUGAAACAAUUUUUAGUGCUUCAACAAAAUAUGCGAAGUUUGUUCAAACUUCUUUUAAUGAACCAUCUUACAACAUGUUAAAAAAUAUGGAUGCUGCUUCAUUGGCGGAUUCUAUUAUCGAAUUGUCAAGUAGAGGUCUGUUGAUUGGAAAGAUGAUGAAAGAGAAAAAUGGAAAUUGUGUGUCUUUAUCUGAGUUUGAAAAAUUGAAGACUGAUCUUGCUGAGUAUAAGAAAAAAAUGAGCUCUUUAUCUUGACAAUUAGAAGAGAUGAAGAAACAGAAAAAUGAAGAAGAAGCUGUAAAGGAAGGCCUUGGAAAAGAAAUUGCUGAAUUGAAGAGUGAAAACUUAAGAUUUGGUAAAGAGAAUGCUCAACUGCUUAAAGAAAAUCAACUUUUGAGCGAAAAGGUAUCGGCAUUAUCCUCUGCAAACGAAGCUGACAAGAACACUAUCAAACUUAUGGAUGAAGAGAUAAAUCAGUUGAAGACUAAUGUUUUUGAAGCCGAAAGCUAUAUCUUUGAACAGCACAACCUUGGUUUUGAGAAGGCUCUUCAACAAGCAAAAUAUUUUUAUAAGAUUCCUAUUGAUGAAGGCAACUUUGAUGUUAAGAAGGAUUUUUAUAAGGGUGAAUUAGUUCCUGUUAAUGAGAUUCCGGACAAUGAUGUUGAAGAUAUUAAUAUCGAGAAUUAGGUGGGCACAAGUUUACUUUGCCGAAAGUGAAAUUGUUUUGGUAUGCUGAUCCGUGUAUGGGUAUUUUGGGAAUGUUGAUCCAUGUAUGGAUAUUUUUGGAAUGUUUUAAUGUAAUCUCUUUUUUGGAACCUAAAUACGUAUAAAGUUUAUUGGUUUCUUUUUAACAGUUAUCUUAUGCUAUGUGUUGGAUACUUUUAUUUUUAUUUCGCCGACUGUUAUUUAAUGUGGUUGUGACCUCUCAGUUGUAUGAUUAAGUGUCGUGAUAGACCUUUCGGUUUUUACCACUAGAUGCUUAAUUUUUUGGUCUGUUAAUUGAAAAUGUUUGAAAUGUUUUAAGUGCUUUAACUUAUACUUCUUAACUUUAGUAUUUUUAAUAUGAUUACGUUUCGGUUUAAGCACUGAGUAUCUUUCGGUAUUUACGACAUUAAGGCACAAGUACCUUUCGGUUUUGUAUGUAAAAGUAUUCCAAAAUAGUGGAUUCUGCGCGAAUUUUGUAACUAUUAAAAGGGAACUUUUAGAAGACGUGAGAAAGCGUUUUUGAUCGAACGUAUAAGAUAAAGUUCAUGUAAAGUAUUAUAAUGGUGGAUGAAAUUUAGACAACCUUAUGCAAUUAAUCUCACAUUUUUAGGUUUUUUAUGCGGUGUAUCAUGCCGUGAAGUAUGACGUAGUAUGCUUUAUUUAAUGUGGUAAUUAUUCGCUAUUUGUGUUUUCGGCAUAGAGUGAGAUUUUUUCGGGUGGGUUUUCACUUAGAGUGAAAUCAUCCAAGGCCGAAAGUUUUGUAAAUAUGUGCUCUUUUGGGUGGGUUUUCACUUAGAGUGAAAUCAUCCAAGACCGAAAAUUUUGUAAAUAUGUGCCUUUUCGGGUGAGUUUUCACUUAGAGUGAAAUCAUCCAAGACCGAAAGUUUUGUAAAUAUGUGCCUUUUCGGUGGGUUUUCACUUAGAGUGAAAUCAUCCAAGACCGAAAGUUUUGUAAAUAUGUGCUCUUUCGGGUGGGUUUUCACUUAGAGUGAAAUCAUCCAAGGCCGAUAAGAUCAUAAGGAAAUACUCUUUCGGGAGGGAUUUCACUUAAAGUGAAAGCAUCCAAGACCGAAAGUAUCAUAGGAAAAUACUUCUUCGGGAGGGAUUUUACUUAAAGUGAGAGCAUUCAAAACCGAAUAAGAAUGCUUAUGCGUUGUGGAAUUUUAGAACGAGUAAGAAUUAAAGCUGACAAGAUGAGUUUUGUUACUUGGUAAUGCUUCUUGAUUAGAUGAUAAGUAUGUACACAAAAGUCUUCCGUUUACAUCUAUUUUAACUAAAAUAGAAUUUUAAAUGACUCGCAUUUCAUGUUCUUGGUAUUACUUUCUCUUACAGAGUUUCUACUCUAUAUGCUCCAUUUUGUAAAUUUUCCAGUACCCUGAAAGGACCUUCCCAAUUGGAUGCUAACUUUCCAUGUCGUGGAUCUUUUCGAGCAUCAGUUCGCAUUCUCCAGACCAAAUCCCCUUCCUUAAAAUCUCUUAAUUUUACUUUUGCAUUAAACCUCUUCAUUGCUCUUCUCUUUACUGCUGCUUCCUUUAUUUUUGCUCGUUCUCUGAGUUCUUCAAUAAGAUCAAGGUCAGUCCUUAAGCAUUCGUUGUUGGUAUUCCAAUCUUCCAUUUGUCUUCGUAAUGUUGGUUCAAUAACUUCCACUAGUAACAUUGCAUCUGUUCCAUACGAUAGGUUGAAUGGUGUUUCUCCAGUUGACGUUUGAGGUGUACACCUAUAUGCCCAUAAUAUCUCUGGCAACUUCUCUGCCCAUAAACCUUUAGCGCUUCCUAACCUCUUCUUUAACUGUCCGAGAAUAACUUUGUUUGCAGCUUCAGCUUGUCCAUUUGUUUCCCCCUUACUUUUGGGCUUUCUUUCUACACCUUUUUAUUAUUUACACACCCCUCAUGCUAGUUUUUAUCUUAAUUGGGCUUUAUUUUUAUAAUAAUAUUUGUAUUUUGUUUUAUUCUUUUAUGUAUAUCUUUUCCGCUUUCGGUCUAAACCUCUCUCGGUUUUAGCCUAACACCUCUUGGUUGUUCAAUAUGUAGUUCUCGGCCUGAAUCUCUCAGUUUUAGCCUACCAGUACAAUAAUAAAUAAUAUUAAAAAUAAAUUAAUAUGAUCAUAAAUAAUAAUACUGAUAAUAGUGAUAAUAAAUAUUAAAAUAAAAAUAAUAACAUAAAUAAUUUUAUAUAAUAAUAAAUAAUAAUAAAAUAAAUAUUUUUGUUAUUAAUCACAAUAAUAAAAGAAUAAUAAUAUUAAUAGAAUAAUAAAUAAAAAUAUUUAAAAAUAGUAAUAACAAUAAAAAUAAAAUUUUAAAGUAAUAAUAAUAUACUAAUAAAAAAAUUAAAAUAUAAAAUAAGAGUAAUAACAUUAUUUUACAAAAUUUUUAAUUUAAAAAAUAAUUUUAAACUAUUACAUUAAUCAAAUUACUUAUAACAUUUUUUCACGUUCUUUCUCAUUUUUUUUUUCUUUUUACUUCUUCAAAUUUACUCUUUCAUCCAAACACAAAACUCUGGAAAGUCACACAUUUGCUUACUGAUCCUCACCAAGACUAACUUCACUUUUUUUCUUAUAUCAAGUAGCAAAGCAAUUUAAUUAUAAGUAUUUUUUAAAUCAUUUUUAGACCCAAUUAUUAUUAAUUUUACCCUGAAAUGAAAGCGAUAAAUUUACAUAAUAAUUUAUAUCUACUGUGUUUUUUUUUCUUCAUACUUUGAUGUGUUUUAUACAUGCAUAUACAAAAAAAAUAUUCAUUUAAAAACUUUGUUAGAAAUAUUCAGGUUAUAGUUUAUAUCAUAAUUCUUUAAAGAAAUUUUAUUCUAACAAAUAUCUUAAAUGAAAAUAUAAUUGCCACCGUUAUACAUAACACUUUUUUAUGAAUUAAAUAACAUAGUAAUGAACUAAAUUUACUUAAUUUUAAAAUACUAAAAAAAUAAAAUGUAUAAUUAAAUUUGUAUAAAAGCAAAAUUAUAUACUUAGGAAAGUAAAAUGAAUCAUAUAAAUUGUCAGCCUUUGAAAAAUGCAACGCAUCCACAUGGGUGCUUCUUCUAUAUUUCUGAAGCCAUUCGUAAUAAAGAAAAGUAGUAAUUAAUUAAUUGCUCACCAAGGAGAAUACUUUUCUCUUCAAAGCUUUAAGGAAUGUUUUGAGUUUUGAAGUAAAAAUUUUGAUUGAAUUUUCUAAUUUGCAAUUUUUUUCCCAAUAAUUAAAUAAAGGAUAUUCUGAAUUUAUUAAUACUUCUAUAUAUGUAAACAUUUUCCAUUUCCAGUUCUAGUAAUUUUGUCAGCUUAAACUGUCACUUUUUGACAUUAUAUAAUAUUGUAGUUUUGAGAUAAUGCAUUUGUUAAUAUACACAGAUGUUUUAAUUGAUACAUUCCUUUAACAAAUUUACAUUUUUUUUUCUAACAUAAUAAAGUACUGUCUCUAAUUCUAAUCUGAAUCAAAAUAAUGUGAAACCAGAUAUUUAAUUUUCAGAAGACUAAAGAACACAGAACUAUGAUUCUUCAACAAUUAUCAGAAACUCGAGUAGUGUCAGAGAAUCCUUAGACAUAUCCUGCAAUAAGGGUAUAUGAAUGCAUUCACAUAACAUUGUGAAUUGAGACAUAAACAAAGAUGAAGGGUAUUGGAUUCUCUUAUUUCAAUUUCCACGUUGAAUUUUCCAUUUAUGAACCGAUCAUAUUCUGGGCAAAAGUAGUUUAAAGUGUGAACAAGGAAAGUUUAUUUGCAGUACCUUAUUUACAUUCUUUAUUCACAAUUUGUACACUUUUCUUUCUCCUUUUCCUUAUUCUUCCAGAAAUUCUGUUUAUCUCCAUAUUUAGAGAUAUGACCUGAAAUGGGGUAAUGGAGUCUAACAAAAUCUUCCCACACAUGGUGCAAGAGCUGCAAAUUGGACAUUACAUAAUAUAUUUUUGUCAAAAACUUCGAGAAGAAAGAGAAUAUAAGCAAUAGUAAGUAAUAGUGCACCUGCAAUAUUUGGCAGCAAAGUCAUUCAUUAUGCUUUCUACACUGGUUUGACAAAACCUGCAACAGUGAUCGCACCACUCCAUAACAGCUUUUGCAAUCAAUUCCAAAGGGUUUACAUAUGCACUCUUCUUUCUUGGGAACCAAGUAUUGAACUUUGACCAGGCAUCAACAUCUUAAUACACGCGUUAUAUGCAUAAAAUACUGACAAUAACAAGUUUCUCAUGGGCUAUAUAGAUAUUUUGAAAUUUAGCUAAAAUUUUAAAAUAAGAAGAUAUCCUCUUUGUUAAAAUCAUGUACUUUAACAAGAAAGAGAGUAUAGUAGACAUGUUAUUCAAUAAGAAUUUUAUUUUACUGGACACAAAUAAUUAACAUUUUAAACAUAGAAUUUCAUAUUUUUAAGAUAUAUAAAAUAUAUUAAAUUUGAAUCAGUAUCAAUUUAUAACUUUUAAAAUGUUUUAUUUUAAUAAGUAAAUUAUAUUUAUUUAAUUUUUAUUUUUAAUUAGAUAUAAUAUUUUAAUUAUGACAAAAUAUGAAAAUUAUUUAAAUAUGAAAUAAUUACUAAUAAUUAAAAAGUAUUAAUAUUGAUAAUAUUCUUUAAACUUUAAUUAAGCUUGUUUGAUUUUUUAACUAAAAAUUGUUAAUUUUUUUAAAUAUUUUUGACAACUUUUUCUUUCAUGAUGAAAUUAUUUUCACUUAAUAUUGAUUACUUAUUUAAUUUUUUAAAUAGUGUUUUAAAUUUUUUACUUUUAGAUGAAAUUUAAAAUUAUUAAAUUUUAGACAAUCCAAUUUUGUUUUUUUAAUUUUUACAUAAACAUCAUAAUUUAUUAUAAAUUUUUAAUUUUUUUAUAAAGGUAAAUUUCAUUAUUAAAAUUCUUUAUGCCAUCACACUAUAAAAAGACUUAAAAUGAAAACAAAAAGUAUGACAACAAAUUACAUGAAACAAUGGAAAAAACAAAUUACAAAAUGAAUAUAAAAUAAUUUUGCAGUCAUUCAAUCACAAACUGCUGUAAUAAGUUCAUAAAACUGAUUAUAAGAUUUAAUAACCUGCAUUUAUAAAACAUUUCCUUGAAGAUAAAUGUUUGACUUCUUCACAUUUAAAUUUAUUAAAACUUACCCAAGGAGAAAUAGAAGAAUAUCUGUGCACAUUUCGUGGAAGAUAAAUAUUCACUUUCAUUAAAGGACUAUCGAAAAAGUCGAAAAAGUCGAAAAAUUCAGUUUCUGAUUGCUCUUUUCUUCCUUUUGGGAUUGGACCAGAUUUUGCAAAUGAAACAUGCAGUCUAAACUAUAUAUAUAUAUGGCACCAACUCGUGAAACCAAAUCAUAUUGUCAGAGUGUGUCGAACAAUGUUUUUGAAAGGACCACAGGGUGUACAUAGUCUAGUGCCAAGUACUGCUACGUUACACGCACUCAACUCCAUGACAAAAUGGUAAGAAAAACGAAGCCUCGUACAACAAUAAUGUCAAAACUGUUAACUGCAAGGACAUUGGAUUCAGAAGAUCUGGACUGAAUUCACAUCACACGGUCAUGUUCCAUCUCCAAAAUGAAGAUUAUGCUAAAGACCUUUGCUUCUUGGAUUUCUUUCCUGAUGUUUGUUCUGAUGAUCCCAUAAUAUAAGACUCCGCAUUUAUAUUUUCUUCAGAUUUACGCUUUCCAAACUUCUCUGUUUUUUUCUGCAGACGUGCCAUUUUUAAUACAAGUGAGAUGAGAUUUAUUUAAACAGAAAAUACCGGUGUGGCAACAAAAGCUUACAAUUUUAACCAGUAAAAAAAAACAUAACAAAAUUCUGGGAGAAACUUGUUACCUUUAAGGACAUUGUAAUGUCAGUUACUUUAUUGUUAGCAUCCUCCGAUUUAUCCACCGGGUUUACAGGCUCCUAAAGAAAGCAAAUAAAAGUUUAACAGAACACCAUGAAGAAGACUAUAAAGUAAAACAAUUUAACAAAAAAUAGUGCAUGUUUGGUUCGCAGUUCGAAUGCACCCAAAUAUUCAUUUGCACUAUCGCGUAGUAACAACAUUUAUGAAUAGGAAAAAGGAUUGAAGGGAGAUGUAACCCCAAACACAAUAAAUAGUGGUGAAUAGAAGAAAAAAUUGCAAAUGAAAUGUUAGUAUAAACCUUGGGUGGGAUAAAGGCCUCGUCUCGUUUCCUUUUGUUUUCAGCAGUUUUUUCAGCCUGUUUCUCCUGCUUCUCUUGCCAUAUCUUCGCCGAUUUUCUUUUGUUAUUUAAAAAGUAUUCUCCAGUUUCUAGUUGUAUAUCAAUCUGAAAUGUCACAUAAAUUACGACAGACGACUUAGAAUUUAUUACGUAAAUUAACAAACAAAAUAUCAGAAGAAUAUAGUGUCAAAAACUUGGAUAUAUACAGAUAAAACUAAAAAAGAAAAAAAAUCAUAUAAGCAUGCCAAAAAAAAGAGUAAUUGUGGAAUUGAUGCUGCUAUCUUAUUUAAAGGUCAAGAAAAGUUCAAUAUAUUCACAAAUCCUAGAUAGUGCACACUUAAGUAAACGGUGAGCAUAUAUCAAUUCCUGAAUAUAAUGCUCGAUAUUGAAUAUUAAUCAUAUUUCAUAAUCACUAUAUGUUUGUUGCCAUUAUUGAAACAACUACAGAGAAAAUAUUAGGUUCUCAGCUUUAACAAAUCAUCGGCAAUUAGGAGAAAAUGGAUUAAGCACCAAUCACAACAGAGCAAGAAAAUGAAGGUAUCAGUAGGGUCCUACUAAGGUAAUUGAGUUUUUGAGCACCAUUAAAUGCAAUUCUUCUUUGAGAACCAUUAGGCAAAUUUAAACAAAAUGGAAUUUAUUUAAGCAUUCAUUUUCCAGUCAAUUCUUUAUUUUGUUGUUGGGUACAUGAAUAGAAGAGACUCUGUACAUAAGUGGAAGAAAUCCAACCAGAUAAUAAAUAUUAGAAGUUGUCUCACCUUGCUGGGCUGUUGUGGUGGAGGGAAUGGAGUGUAUGGUUUCUUCUGUUUAGAGUUAACCUUCUUUUGUUUAACAUUUUUCCUAAAUAAAGAUAUGAAGAGUCAGUGAAACUGAGACCAAGAGUGAGAACUUUGUACAUACAAAUUAUUGAAUAAAAGGCAUACUUCUUGAAUUUUGGAAGGAACCUAUCCCAGUUCUCCUGGGCAAGGGACGGAUCCUUUUCAAGUUCUUUCUUCAUCAUAAGAACCUGACCAAGUGAAAAAAGAGAAUUGAGAUUUUUUUACACCGAAAAUCUGUACCAAAAAAAUCAGCUUGAUGAAAUACAAAUCAUUUAACCUUAAUGUUGUAUACAGGAUGCAUUUUAUUCAGCAUGCAUUCUUCAACGAUCCUUCUGACUUGUUUUAAACCUUUAAAUGAACCCAUAGCAGAAACUGUGUUUCCCUGCAGAAUUGCAUGAGAAAUAGAAAGAAAUCAGCUCUUUCUAGACUACACUCAUAUUAUAGUGCAUGUAAAUGUACAGUCUUCACAUUCAAAACAACGAAGCAAAAGUCAAAAUUACCUGGACGAGAAUGUAGCAGCCAGUGAGUAUUUCAAGAGCCUGCACACCAGUAUUACAGUUGUAGAAAAGUGAGUUACAAAGUUGAAGCCAUCUAUUGAUAGUAGUAUGCAGAACCAUAAAACCGAAGCUAGAAAGUAAUAACAAAGGGGUCAUCCCCAUGCUGAAAAAAAAAUCAAAUCUUAGCAGAAAACAUACCUUCAGGGUGGAAGAAUUGGGACCCAGAAGAUGUUGUCUCCUUUUUACAAAUCGCUCCUGCAGUCAGAAAAAGUGAACUUCCUAGUAUCACACAAAUUUCCUCAAAAUGUUUCAUGACAAACUACAAAAGAUUACAUUAAAGAAUACAAAAUUCAAAAAAAGCGGUUGAGACGGGGGCUUUCACGGCCAGAUGGUUUCAAUGUUUCCGCGAUGUUAAUAAGGAAUUUCUCCUAAAAGUUCUUAGUUUUAUUUCAAUAUAAAGCAUUAAGUGUGCGUUCAAAUCAAUUUUUUUACAGCUUUCGGAGAGAACUGGUGUAUAAGAAUGAUAGGUAUAUCAUCAACACGAAUGAUUAUUGCUCCAAAAGUUGGGUUACUAAAGCAUACAUUUCCAACCGUCACACAUAACAUCACAACAUCAUCGCAUCACAGCAAAUGACCUCUGUCUGUUCCUUCCCAAUCCAAAAGAACUAACCAACACUCAGCCCAAACACAGGACUCGCAGAGGCACUGGUAAUGAAUAUUCAACGAUAAAACAAUAAACAAACGUUCACAAAAUCAUCAGAAAAUACCUUAUUGCGAACCAAGCCACUGAUUUUAAUGAUAUCACAUUGUACUUCAUCGUCAAGUAUUUUUAUCGCCUGGGAACAACGGAAACGACAUUAACAUAACUGAAAUUUGAAAGAAAGAGAGAGAAACAAGAGAAAGGCACACAUAUAAAUAAAUACCUGAGUUGGAGUAACACUUCUUGCGAGAAGCUUGAUGAGAUCCCUGGCUUUGAUGAUAAUAUAGGGGUCUCGGGUCUUUCUGGUGGUUGAAACCGUCAUGGAGCCCUCGACCUGCAACAAUUGAAGGUACAAUUAGGGUUUGAGAAUGAAAGAAAAGGACGGUGGAAGGGGAGUGAGGAAGGGAAGUGCGUACGAGGUUGAGUUCGCAAGCGAUGCCGUAUUGUUUGAGAGCGGAUUUGACAGUAGGCCAUAUUUCUUGGAGAUGCUUUUCGAGGUACUGAGGGAAGAGGGUGGAGAAGGAACUGACUUCGAGCAUGCCACCUUCGUUCCAUGAAGGGUCGAACUUCUCGACCUUCCAGUGGUCGAUGUUAGGGUCAUCGUCCCAUGGCUUCGGUUUAUCGUGCUUCCCCUUUCUCUUCUCCUUCUUCUGCAAUUCUUCCUGCUCCACGCCAUUCUCAUCCUCUUCAAGGUUUUUCAUCGCUGCUACCUCUCCGGUUAUCCCUCUGCAGUUGCUUCCGUUAGGUUUUCGAGUUUGUGUGCGAUGCUGUCUUGUUUCCACCAAAAUGUUCAAGUGCCUUUGGGCCUCCUAUUUUAAGCCCAUUUUAAUGUAACAAAAUAGGCAGUUUCUUCCUGCACCCCUACAUUUUUCUUCCCGCACUCCCACAAUUUUGUAAAUCUUGAAACUGACAUUCACCUUUUAUUUGAAAUCGAGAUUUUUGGAGUGUGUUACAGAUUCAUCAAUCCGGAAGUGAGUUAUGUUGUUUUCUGUAUGAGGAGGUGUUCUGGAAAUAAAGUUUGCAUAAAUUGUUGAUUUCCAGAUUGCUAAAUCUGGAAACCUAAUUUCUAUUAUGGAUUGGUGGAUGCGGAAUGAUUUUUUUCAAUUAUGGAUUUCUGAAUUCGAAAUGCAUAUUUUGAAUUAUGGAUUGACGAAUCUGAAAUAGUUUUUUCAAUUAUGGAUGUUUUGCAUUUUUUUAUUUUGGAUUAACACUAUCAUAAUCCAUAAUGCAAAAAAAAAAAUAUAUAUAUAUAUAUAUACAAUUUUAUAUAGGGACAAUUUUGUCUUUUCAUAACCUUAUGAAGAAACUGCGUAACAAAAAUAAGUAUAUGAUUUUAUAAGUUAAAAAGUGUGUUUUACAUUAUACAAUUUAAAAAUUUGUUACAUUGAUUAUAUGGAAAAAAUAUGUAACUACUGAACCAAAAUAAUUUAGUUUUUUUUAUAUUGAUAAUAAGAUGAUAUUUAGAAUGUAUUUUGUAUGGUACUAAAGGCACAAAUCUUAUAUAAUACUUCUAAUUUAUAUGAUCUUCAAACAAAUAUCUAAUAAAAAUUUAUUAGCAUCCUUCUAAACAUGUAUUUUUUUCUUUUCUUAUUCUUUAUUGAUUCUCAUAUAAUUUUCAAUCAGAUUCCUCAUAACCAUAGUGAAUCUAUAACGCAUUAUUGAAAUUUGAUUAUGUAUGUGUUGUGGUUAUAAAAAAUAUUUUAAAACCUAGCUAGUCAUAAAACAUCACAUAUAAAAACUAAAAAAAUAAUAUUUUCUUAAUUAAACAAUUAUGUAUAGUAAUAAUUAAUAAAUUGAUUUAAAAAAUAAUCAGCAAGUAUAAUAGCAGAAAACUAUUAGUUGGACGAAGAAAAAUGUUUGGAAUGGAAAAGACUCCAUAAAAAAUCAAUUAAAAAAAUAAACUAUUGAAAUCUGAUAACUCUUUUAUAUAUUUUUUUAAAUCUCAAUAUCUCUACAAAAAAUUAUUUACUUAAAAAAUUCUCAAUUAACUAUAAGAAUUUUGUAAAUGAUUAAAAUUUUGAUCGAAUCUCAGUACAAUGUAUAUUUUUUAUUUAAAUUAACUACUUUCACGUCUCAAAUUAAGAUAAUUUUAUUAUUGUAAUUUUUUUAAUCAAAAGACAAAUACUAAAAUGCAUAGUACAGUCAGAAAAUCGAAAGCUAACAUUACAACUUUGCAUCUUUUGUUUGAAAAUAACAAUUUGUAUGCAAAAUUGUUUUGUGGACAAAAGUAUGUUAAAUGUUGAAGAUUGACUAGAGAUUACUGUUUGUUAUACACACAACAAAAUAUUAUGUGUCCACACAUUUAAGGUUAAGCCCACACUAUUCAAAUUUCAUUGUCCCCGGUCUCAAUACUAAGUCCUCACUUUAUUUCUAAUUUUAUUGCCCCCUAUCCGAAGUUAAGUCCACGCUUUAUUUCUAAUUUCAUUGUCCCUCUCUCCAAGACUAAGCCCCACUUGAGUGAAUAAAUAAUAUAAAUUAUAAUUUUGUGUGGGCAACUUGUAGGUUAGACAGACGCAAAAUACACCUAUUGUGACGUUUAUGUGAUCGUCUAGCCAAUGGUAAUUGUGUCCCACACACCCGCCAACUUUUUUGCACCGAAGAUAUUAGCUUCCAAAGUUCGGUAAGCGCAAAGCUCACGCUAAUUACAUCUUUGCGUCCGUUAUUUAUAACUAGUGUCCGCUUUUGACCCAUUCUAAUAAUCAUAUUUUUUGUUGUGUCCUUACAUUAACAUAUUUUAUUUGGGUUAUUUUGUCAUUUUGUAAUUACUAAAACCGUUGACAGAACACUUUUUGAAUUUUGAAAUAUGAAAAUUUAUUUUUUUUCUCUUUCCUUCGUAUUACACUACUCCCUUUUAACUCCUUAUUUUAAGUCACUAACGUACAACCUUAUUAGAAGAAACAAAAAUUAUAUUCGGAGAGUAUAAGAAGAAGGUGAAAAGAGAGAAGUUAUCUUUUUUACAUUCAUUCUUUUUCUUAGUAUGGUAAUAUAUAAGCCAUUAUCUUUGUUGAUCUAAGUUUAGGCAUCAUUGAGAGUAUUUUAACUUCAUGUAAUGUGAUAUGACAUAAAUCAUCAACUCUUACUUUUUCUUUUUUUUAUGUCUUUUCAAAUUGUUUUUUAUUUAAUAUUUCUAUAAUAUGAAAAUGUGUAUAUUUAAUAGUUAUAUAAUAACCGAAACUGUUACCAUAUUUUAAUUUUUUUUAAACAAACAUAACUUUUUAAUUACACAACCGAUUUUGUUUCGGUCACUAAACAACAACUUUGUAGAUAGAGCCACCAAAUCAAUUUCAGUGACUAAUUUUUAUAUGUAUUAUUUAAUAGCUAUUUAAAAUGGUAUUUUGACUUGUUUAUACAAACAAAAUCAAACCUACUUAUAAAUACUCAAAAUUCAAUCAAGCAAAAUAUGAAUGAACUUCAAUGCAUAGUUUAAGAAGAAGUUGUACACAAAUUAAAAGUAAACCAUAUUACACAAUGAAAAUUACAAGUUAAAAGAUUAGCUCAUCUUAUUUAUGCAUGUGUUCACUUUUCUCUUUAUGACUUUUAAUCAAUAGCUCAACAAGGUGCAUAAUUAAUCUAUAAGUGAUUGCAAGAACACAUCAAUCUUAUGCUUUGGAUUUGAAGUUGUGAAUAGAUUAUUUAAAUAUUGUUUUAAUUUGUUUAGAACAAAGAGUCUGAGGAUAAAUACUUUGAUUGUAAAGAAUAAUGUCUAACCGAUAAAGUAACUAAAAGAACAAAAUUCAUAUUUUCGAAGUUAGUAAGAUAUAACAAAUGUAGGGAUAUCGUGAGCGGAAGCGUAACCAAAGAUUAUGAGAAAUUAAAGUAACAAGGAAGUGAAAAAUUUUAGGUGGAAAACCCCUUUAAAUAGAGGUAAAAAUCACCGGCGAGAGAGUCAAAACUUCCACUAUUAUGGUACUGGGAGUACAAUGAAUUCCUCUCAGGCUAAUAGAUAAAUAGCCCCAGAACAAAUUCUCUCUAUAUGGGUUAAACACUUACACACCCAAUAAUAGAAAUAGAGAGUAUAUGAAAAGAGAGAGGAAGCAAGUGUGUUGCUGUUUGUUGUGUGUUACAUUGCUUGAAGGAAGCCACUAUAUACAGUGGUUAUAGGAGACAACAAUAAUAAAAUCAAUUAAUGGUAAGUAACUUCCCUUUGAUGACAAUUAAUUGUAGUAAGAAACCUCCAUUUGAUUACAAUUAAUUGUGGCAAAUAACCUCCCAAUUAUGUCAAGAAAACAGAAAUGUGAGUCAUAACCCACAAUAAAUAUGAAGGAAAAUAAAAUUUUGGUAGUCAUAAUCUUUCAUUUGAAAGUAUCAUUGGGAAAGAAUAGCAACAGCUAUAAGGGUGAAGAUUCCACAGUCAAAUAGUGACUAUUUUUUUUAGUUAAAGAAAUAUAACUUAUGUGUGUACUCAAUUUUAAUAAAAUAUGUUACAUGUUAUUUUAUGUUUCUAAAUAAAUGUCAUUUAAUUUAUGUUACAUCUUUAACUCAGUUAUUUACUGUGAAUAGAAAUGUAUAUAUUUAUGUUCACAAAUGGUGACACAUUGCAUCAAUCCCUCUACUUUAUUUUCAUUUUAUAUAAGAUUAAGUGUGUUUUAACUAUUGAUGACAUACACGGAGAUUUUGUUCUUAUGAAUGGUUUUACAGUAAAAAAAAUGGUAACAAAAUAGUAUAAUUAAUUAGUGACUCUCUUUUCACCAAUCAAACUAUAAUAUUAUACAUGACCUUUCUAAAAAGUUGUAUAAAGUUGUAACACUAUAAGAAAAAAUUAAGAUGUUCAAAAAGGAAAGGAAAGAAAAAUAAAACACAUGUAUAGGUCACUAGAUAUUAUUUUUAUUUUCUUAUUACAGUUUUAGAAAAAAAAAACUAAAGAAGAGGAGAGAGAUAUUAAAUAGAAUACACUCUAGGUAAUAUUAUAUAUAUUUUAGUAUAUAUUCACUUUCUAAAUUGUUUUAAUUAUUUAAAUUUAUAUAUAAUAAUAUAUUUAUUUUAAUUCUUUUUUUUCAUUAAUAUGAUUGAAGAGAAUUUCGCAUAAUCUUAUAUAAUCUUAUAGUUGUUGUAUUUAUGAGAUUCUUAUAAUUUAUUCAUUCUUUUAUUAUAAAUUAUAUAUUAUUAAUAUUUCAUAAAUAUAUUACAUUAAUUUAGUUUGUUAAAACUCAGGAAAGUAAGGAAAGUAGGGAUGAUGUAUCCUAUAAGAAUUAAAAACUCUUUCAAAUAUAAAUUAUAUUUUCUACUUAAUUAAUAUAAAUUCAAUAUAUUUCAUUUUUUUAUGACAUGGCGCACAAUGACAUUGAUUUACAUAUGUGGAUUGAACAAAAUUUUAGGAUUUGUAUUAAACAAAAUUGGAGAAAGAGGAUUAAGGAAGAGGAAGGCGGGGACAGAGGUAAAGAAGGAAGAGAGAUUAGGGUUUGAUAUUGGAGAAAGAAAAUUAAGGGAGGCGGCGAUACCCGUUCACCUUUCACACUCCACGAUGAGAGCAAAAGAUGGGCGAUUUUAUUAUAAACUAUAUCCUAUUAAUGAUUCAUAAAUACAUUACAUUAUUUUUUUUAUGUAGUUUUGGGCGAUUUUAUUAUAAAUUAUAUACUAUUAAUGAUUCAUAAAUACAUUACAUUCUAUUUUUUAUGUAGUUUUUUAAAACUCAAGAAAUUAUGAUGAUGUGUCCUAUACAAAAUUACAAACGUUCCUUGAAAGGUAAAAUAUGUUUUCUACUUAAGUAAUAUAAUUUUACUCAAUUAUUGUUAUAAUUUAAUAAAUUAUUUAUUAACAAAAAUAUUACUUUUUUGGCGAAAAAUUUAAAGACAUUUUGAAUACAAAUAUUUAUUUUGUCUUCCACCUAAACAAGAAUUUAACUGGUCUUAGUCUUUGCAUGCACUUAAUAAAUAACAACAAUUAUGAGAGCAUUUAAUUAGUCAUAUUCAUGUUGUGUAUUAUGCGGAAAAUAUCUAUGACAAAUCAGCUAAAUCAGCUCAAUACUGAUUAACUGAAAAAUGAUACAUAUAUUCUUUAGAUAUACCAAUAUACCUCCCUAUAAUAGGUAUCAUGGAUCAUGCUAUAAAUCAGUUAGUAACUAAUAUUUGAUUGAAUCGGCCCAUCACAACAAUGGUCCAUGAUUAAAACAUUAUAAAUAAACCCUUUACACAAGUGUAAUGUAUGCUUUUAUCAGAUUUAUAAUCUACACUCUUUACACAUAAUACUUACUUUAAGGUCGGAGUACUUUUUUCAGAUCCAUCUCGACCGAGUACAAGGAGGAGACUUGAAGGAAGAAGCAAGGAAGCUACUGACACAUCAACAAUUGCACAAACAAUAUCAGGUACUAUCUAGACCCCUCUUUGUCCAUACAUAUACAAAUACAAAAUCUCGACAUUGUAAAGUAGUGUUCUCUUUGUCCAUACAUGUACAAAUACAAAAUCUCGACAUUGUAAAGUAGUAUUUUCUUCUUUAAAACAUACAUAUAUAAAAAUAUAUGUUAUAAUUUAAAAUAAUAUUUGUAAAAUUGUCAUAUAUAUUUGUUAUGUUUGGAUUAAUAUAAAGUUUUACAAUAAAUAUAAAAUUUAUGAUAAUAUUUAAUAAUAUUUAAAAAAUACAGAUACAUAUAAAUUUAUAAUCAAUUAAAAUAUUAUAGUAUAAAUUUAUAAUAAUAUAUUUAAAAAAUAGAGAUAUACAUAAUUCUAUAAUGAAUUAAAAUAUUAUACUAUAAAUUUAUAAUAAUAUUUAAAAAAUUAAAUACACUUAAAUCCUUUCUGUCUUAAAAAAUAGUUUAAAAAAACUAAUUUAUUUAAUGUUUGUUUAGUUUUGCAGGCUCAUACGGUGAAAGCAAGGUGAUAGAUAUAAACAUUCCUCAAAGAAGAACUGAACUGAGGCAGGAAGAACGAUGAUAUUCUCCCUCGAAACCCUCACCGGGGAUGUUGAUAAAAUAUAAUUGCUUAUAUUUUUUUUUUGGCCCAGUUUGGGUUUUUCUUGUUUGGGCUGUCCAACACGGUUUGUUUUUCCUUUUUAUACCCCCUUUGUAACAUACUUCAUGUGAAUAAUAAUAAUACAUUUUUCUUCUUCUCUUUCCUUUCACGCUUCUUUUCUGUUAUUCUCUUCUCUCACCGCUAUUGGGUUUUUUUUUUUUUUUUCUGGUUCCUCUGUUCUCCCUUUUCAAUCAAGGGUUGCAUAUUCUUUUUCAUCUCUUUUCUCACUUCCGCAGGAUCGACGCCUACCCUGUUAUGGGAUCAGAGCUCUUCCUUUGAAUGCCUUCCUUUUUUUCUUCAUCUUUAUACCUAUUUUCUAUACUUACAUUCCUUUCUUGUUCUUUCUUUCAGCAAUAUGGGGGAGGAACGUUAAGCAAAAUCGGCUACGAUGGAACCAUAUGUAAACAACUACCUUUAUCUUCAUCCUGGUGAAAAUCCCGCGGCUUCACUGGUUUCACUAGUUCUUGACGCGAUGAAUUACCAUUCUUGGAGUAGGUAUAUCAUAACAGCGCUAAGUGCGAAGAAUAAAGUCGAAUUUGUCUUGGGCACCCAUCCCUGCCCAACAACGAGCGAUCCCAACUAUUCAGUGCGGGUCAGAUGCAACAAUAUGGUAUUGUUCUGGUUAGUGCAUUCGAUAUCCCUUCCAAUUAGACAAAGUGUAAUUUGGAUGGAUAUUGUUGUAGAUGUGUGGAAUGAUUUGAAAAACAAGAUAUUCCCAAGGUGAUCUCUCUAGGAUUUUCGAUUUGCAAUUAGAGGCAUCUUCUUUAAGUCAUAAUGAUUUGUCAGUGACUGACUAUUUUACGAAACUCAGAAUUAUUUGGGAUGAGCUUGAUAAUUUUCGACCUAACUUUAUCUGUUUUUGUCAACAUAAGCCCUUUUGCUCUGUAGCCUCUGUUAUUAGUCAAAGAAAAUGCGAGGAUCAAGCCAUGCAGUUUCUUCGAGGGCUUAAUGAUUAAUUCAACAACAUUCGGUCCACGUGCUCCUCAUGGAACCGAUUCCACCUAUUUCAAAAAUUUUCUCUCUUGUGGCACAGCAAGAACGUCAAUGGGCAAGUAAUUUUUUGCUUACAAAUAUUAAUCAUACUAGUGUGAAUCGUAAUUCUGUUGUUAAAUUUUCUUUCUAUGGAAGAUUGGGUCAUGCUGAGAAUGUCUGUUAUAGAAAAAUGGGUUUUCCAAAUCAAGAAAAUAAGAAUUUCAGAUUCAACAUCAAUAGGAAAAUUUGUACUCAUUGUGGUAGGAAUGGCCACAUCAUAGAUACAUGUUACAGGAAACAUGACUUUCCUCCCGGUUAUAAUCCUCCAAAUAGUAGGACUGCUCCUUUGCUUAAUGUUGUUUUAACUGAUGAUAUUCCCUUUAAGAAUUGUCUACAAGAAUAGGAUUAUGGAGACAUGCGUUCUGCCUUCACAACUCAGCAAUAUCAAGUCCUAUCUGCCUUGAUCAAGCAGAAUGCAGCAAACAAUAUUGCGACUCAUCCACCUGUGCAAGUAAAUCAAGUGGGCUCCCUUACUGUUGAUACCAAUCACAAGGAUUCUACAACUGGUAAUGUUACUAUUUCAAAUCUUUAUACUAGUAUUAAAGACUAUUGGAUCUUAGAUUCAGGAGCAACUGAUCAUGUUUGCACCUGUUUGUAUGAUUUAACAUCUUAUAAAAGUAUCAAACAUGUUCUUAUCAGUUUGCCAAAUAGACAUCGUUUCUAUACUAGUUGUUCUGGAACUGUGACUUUCAGUAAUAAGUUUUACCUAAAUAAUGUUUUAUAUGUGUCUGAAUUCACUUUUAAUUUGAUUUCCGCUUCCAAACUUGCUUCUAAUUUGAACUAUCACUUGAUUUUCUCAUCCAAGGAUUGCGUGAUACAGGACAAUGUAACGAAAGAGAAGAUUGGUACAGUUGAAGCCAAAGAUGGCUUGUAUAUUUUUCAUGCUUCUGUUUUUCAAAGACAUACCACAAACAAAUUUGUUUCUUCUUUUCAUUCUAUUUUGAAAGAUACUAAUGUGUGGCACAAUAGACUGGGACAUCUUUCUGAUGAACGAUUGCAUGUUUUGAGAUCUCGAUACUCUUUUAUUUCUGCCCAUAAACCAUAUCUGUGUCAUACUUGCCAUAGAGUAAAGCAAAUAAAACUUUCGUUUUCUUUAAGUGAUUCCAUUACUUCUAAAUUUUUUGAGAUUUUACAUAUGGAUAUAUGUGGUCCUUGCUCUGUUAUUUUUAUGCAUGGUUUUCAGUAUUUUUUAACCAUUGUAGAUGAUUUUUCUCGCUAUACUUGGGUGAUUCCUAUACGCAUAAAAUCUGAAGUCAUAAAUCACAUAACUAAUUUUUUUUAUCUUAUGUUGAAAACCACUGUCAAAAUUAUACGUUCUGAUAAUGGGGCUGAAUUUGCUAUGACAAAUUUGUUUUCUUCAAAAGGCAUUAUUCACCAAAAAAACUUGUAUAGAAACACCCGAACAAAAUGGUAUUGUAGAACGCAAACACCAGCAUAUUCUUAAUGUAACGCGUGCUUUGCUUUUUCAAGCUAAUUUACUUUCUAUUUUUUGGCAUUUCGCUGUUUUACAUGAUGUUCUUCUCAUCUAUUGUAUUCCUACUCCUUUGCUGCAGAACAUGACCCCUUAUGAAAAAUUAAAUGGUACUUUGUAUGAUAUCUCAUCUUUACGUAUUUUUGGUUAUCUUUGCUACUCUAGCACUGUUACUUCUCACAGAAAGAAACUAGAUGAUAGGGUUGUAUCUAGUAUUUUUCUUGGCUUUCAACCACACACUAAAGGUUAUCUUUUUCUUAAUCUUCAAAAUCAUAAAAUUAAGAUCUCCAGACAUACUGUUUUCUAUGAACAUCACUUUCCUUAUAAAAUGAAAGGUGAUGAUAAUGAGGGUCCCAACAAUUUAUCUUUGCCUGUUCCUCAAUCUUAUGUUUCCACCUAUGAUUUUUUCUGUGACAAUAACAACACUGCCACUAAGACCAUGAUUCCCACUGAAACUGCGGGACAUAACUCGCCACAGAGGUCCACUCGGGUUAGGAGAACUCCUACCUACCUUACAGAUUUUCAUACUGACAUGCCAUAUGCAUAUACUGUAAGUUCUAAAUACCCUGUUAAUAAUUUUGUGUCCUAUCAUGCUCUAUCUUCUAAUUUUCAACAUACUAUUGCUUCUUUUUCUUCUUCAACUGAACCCCAAAAUUAUGAGGAUGCUUCCAAACAUGACUGUUGGAAAGAAGCAGUGGCAAAAGAACUUACUGCUCUCUCUGCAAACAACACUUGGACACUGAUACCCCUUCCCUUGGGAAAGAAAGCCAUUGGUUGUCGCUGGGUGUACAAGGUAAAGCAUAGAUCAGACGGUACAAUCGAACACUACAAGGCACGUCUCGUUGCAAAAGGAUAUGCGCAACUUGAAGGGCUAGACUUUCUCGAUACUUUUGCUCCAGUUGUAAAGCUGAGCACCUUACGCUUGCUUCUCGCCCUUGCUACAUCACACAAAUGGUUUCUCAAACAACUGGAUGUUAACAACGCCUUUCUACAUGGAGACCUUCUUGAAGAAGUGUACAUGAAGCCACCUCCUGGAAUUGAUGUCCCUAAUCCACACAUUGUUUGCAAACUGCAACGUUCGCUCUAUGCCCUACGCUAAGCAAGUCGGCAAUGAUAUGCCAAACUAUCUCAAUUCUUACUUACUAAUGGUUAUGUUUUGUCUGCUGCUGAUCAUUCGUUAUUUAUAAAAACGCAAAACACUCACAUAACUGCUCUUCUUGUGUAUGUUGACGACAUCGUCCUUACUGGAAAUAAUUAUGAGGAAAUUACUCACAUCACUGUUGCAUCAACAUUUCAAAAUAAAAAAUCUGGGUGACCUAACUUUCUUUCUAGGACUUGAAGUAGCCCGCAGCAGUACUGGUAUUCACCUUUCACAACGGAAGUAUACCAUGGACCUCCUACAUGAGACAGGGAUGCUUGACUGUGCACCUGUCCCAACAUCCAUGGUUCAUUCUUCGCAACUUUCAAGUACUCAAGGUGAUCUCCUAGCUACUGCAGAAUCCUCUUCAUACCGACGCCUAAUAGGAAGACUCAUCUACUUGACCAACACCAUACUGGACAUUGCCUUUAGCGUGAACAAACUGAGUCAAUUUGUUUUAGCACCUACAACAAUUCACCGUCAAGCCGCUUUUCGCAUUCUUUGAUAUCUCAAGAAUGCACCUGGUCAUGGUCUAUUUCUGCCAGCAGCAAGCACUUUUCAACUCAAAGCAUAUAGUGACUCAGAUUGGGCCACUUGCCCCGAGACAAGAAAAUCUGUAACCGGCUUCUCUAUUUUUCUUGGUGAAUCACUCAUUUCCUGGAAAUCCAAGAAGCAACAAACGAUCUCUAGAAGCUCUUCAGAAGCUGAAUAUAGAGCGUUAACUGCAACCACCUGUGAGAUCCGAUAGUUAACCUACUUAUUACAAGACCUCCAUAUUCAUUUCACCCAACCUACCAUCCUUUAUUUUGACAACCAGUCUACAAUACAUAUUGCAUCCAAUCAGGUUUUUCACGAACGAACCAAACAUAUAGAGAUCGACUGCCACCUUGUUCGGGACAAACUCAAUUAUGGACUCAUCAAAAUACUCCCCAUCUCUUCCUCAAUGCAAAUUGUCGACAUCCUCACAAAGCCUCUCCCUCCAUCUACCUUCAAUGUUCUUCAAUCCAGGCUGGGAAUGAAGAACCUGUACUUCCAGCUUUAGGGGGGGGGGGUGAUAAAAUAUAAUUGCUUGUAUUUUUUCUUUUUGGCCCAGUUUGGGUUUUUCCUGUUUGAGCUGUCCAACACGGUUUGUUUUUCCUUUUUAUACCCCCUUUGUAACAUACUUCAUGUGAAUAAUAAAAAUACCUUUUUCUUCUUCUCUUUCCUUUCACGCUUCUUUUCUGUUAUUCUUUUCUCUCAUCGCUAUUGGGGUUUUUCUUUUCUAGUUCCUUUGUUCUCCAUUUUCAAUCAAGGGUUGCAUAUUCUUUUUCAUCUCUUUUCUCACUUCCGCAGGAUCGGCGCCUACCCUGUUAGAUGCCCCCUCGACCCCGCCGUUGAAAAGCAUCCGACUUUGGGUUUUGCGGAGGUAGAAACCGUUGAAAUGAUUGAUGGAUACGAUGAGGCGGUGGUGGUGAGUACCAAUUCAGAACCUUUCUUUGUGAGAAGGCUUCUAAAAGAAGCCCUUGGAAACGACAUUAAUGAUUUGAAGUUGUUAGUGUUCACGGUCCAUCGAGUGGUUCUUGAAUAUGGGUUUGUUAGAAUCGACAAGGAUUCGAGUACGACGAUUAGCUGUUUUCACUCUCUUGAUGAUUCUCCUUCUCCGUUUUCUUCAAUGACAUCGUUGAGGUAUACCCUGCCUCAGAUUUUGGUUGAUGGUGGUUCUCAUAGUGUGAAUUUGAAGUUUCAGACACUGGGACAUUUUGUGAAUGUCUGUGGGGGUUGUCCAAUGAUUCUAGUUCGAGGUUGCACUAUGUUUGUUGGAAUAAAAUUAAAUAUAUUAUAUAAGAAAAUUGUAUGUAAGAAGAUGGUAAAAAGAAAGAAGAAGUUUUUAUUUGCUUAUGUGUAUAUUUGCAUCACUUUAUGUAUAUAGGAAAUAUAUACUAGUGUAGGGAGACUUUCUCUUAAUAUGUUAGGCCAUUGAAGUUGAUGGUGGCAAACGGUGAAUCUAAAGGCAGUGAUGGGAAAGAAGUUUUUUACAUGUUGAAGAUGGUGAAAGAUAGGGUUGCAUUGCCACUGUUGAUUGAUGUUUGUGAAAAGGGUGGAUUGGAUCUUCCACCUUGUUUCGUGAAGUUACCGAUGGAGCUUAAGGGCUUGAUCUUGGAGUGUGUUCCUGGUGUUGAUUUGGGCAAAGUAGCUUGCACAUGUUCAGAGUUGCGAUUCAUGUGCAGUAAGAAUGAGUUGUGGAAGAAGUUUUUGGAGGAGUUUCGAGAAGAGAGUAGAGAGUUUGAUUUCAAGAAAUUGUUUGUUCUGUUAUGGAGAUAUAAAUAUUACCCUGUUCCAUUCCCCUUUCUUAUUUGUAACAUGUCUACCUUAAUUUUUUUUUCUAUUUUAUUUUUAUAACAAUAUUUGAUUUUAUUUAUUAUUAUGAGCAUUUUGUCAUUUUAUAUUUUUCAAUUUAUGUACUGUACGAUAUGAAUGUUCAUGUGUACCCUUUUUUAUGAUAUGCAGUUUCUGUUUAAUUUUAUUCAUCAUAUUUCUUAAUUAGAUUAUGCAAAUUUGAUAUUUAAUGUCAAUUUUGUGACAUAUUUUGCACUACAUUUCAUAGCUUUUUUCUUUCUCAUUGUUUUUCUACAAGUUGGAUGAUUUUCAGAUUGAUAAUGCUUUUGUCGCAUGUUUUCUUCCGCAUUGUAUUUAACAGGGAUGUUAAUGCUGUCAGAUUCAAACACAAAGUAUUGUACAUAGAGAAAUAAAAAAAAAAAACAAACUUUUGACGCGUGUCACUGCCACAAUUUUUGAAAAUUUUACACGUGACACUAUUUGGCACUUCCUGAGAGUUUAUCGAAACAAAACGGGCCCAAAUUCUUUAGCUGACCCAAAAUCGAAUGAGGAAAAAUUGGAGCAAUUAGGGUCGUUUGUGUUGUUUUGGGUGUGUUUAGGCAAGUGUUUUUCCAUAAUGUGGAGCAGAAGAAUAGCAAAGCUCCAUUUCAGGUAUUCCUUUUUGAAUUUGAAUUGCAAUUUCGGAUGAGUUCUAGUGCCUUCUCAAAUUAUUUAAAAUCUUAAAUAAAUAUAAAUCCUAAAUUAUUUAAUGUCACACUUAAAUAAAAAAAUGUUAAUAAAAAAUUCCUAAAUUAUUUAAAAUUCUAAACAAAUACAAAUUCUAAAUUAUUAAAUGUAGUACUUAAAUAAAAUUUUGCAAUAAAUAAAAUAUUUAAAUUAUUUAAAAUUAUAAAUAAAUACACAUCCUAAAUUAUUGAAUGUCAUAUUUAAAUAAAAAUUUACAAUAAAUAAAAUUCCUAAAUUAUUUAAAAUUAUAAAUAAAUACAAAUCCUAAAUUGAAUGUCAUACUUAAAUAAAAAUUUACAAUAAAUAAAAUUCCUAAAUUAUUCAAAAUUAUAUUUUUAUACGAAAUAGUGUAAGAAAACGCGUCAAAUAAAUCAACAAAAUUUAGAAUGGAAUAGAAAAAUUUAUGUAUGUUAAAUGACUUCAAAGGAGGCGAUAAGAUAGUUUUUGAAGCAAGGGUUAACAUACCAAACAAUGUUUUUACAUAAUUAUUUAUUGUUACUUAUUUUUCUCAAAAUUUAUGUUAGUUUGUUGAUACUUCGAACAAUUUAUUUAUGGUAUAAUUACCUUAUCCGUCCCUACUUUCUGGGACAAUAGUCAAUUUAGUAUAGUGGUUUUUAAAGGAAUUAAUUUCGUCCCCAUGUUUAUUUAAAUGUAUGCAAAAUGGUUCUUUUUGUUAAGUCGCAACAAACGGCGUUAAUUGUUGCUUGUGUGGUAGAGAGAAGUGUGAUUGGAUUUAGUGUGAGGUGUGAGAUUUAUUUUUCUCAAACUUGAUGUCAGUUUAUUGAUACUUGAAAAAAAUUAUUUAUGUGUAUUAUUCAUGUUUAUGCAUUUUUAUAUUAAUUUUAGUGUGUUUAGUUUUUUAUUUAUUCAGAUAUGCUGAUGUUUAUUUCUUAUAUUAAAAUUAUUUAAAAUUUUAAAGAAAUACAAAUCUUAAAUUAUUAAAUAUCGUACUUAAAUAAAAAUUUGCAAUAAAUAAAAGACCUAAAUUAUUUAAAAUUUUAAAUAAAUACAAAUCCUAAAUUAUUGAAUGUCAUACUUAAAUAAAAAUUUACAAUAAAUAAAAUUCCUAAAUUAUUUAAAAUUAAAAAUAAAUACAAAUCCUAAAUUAUUGAAUUUCAUAUUUAAAUAAAAAAAUAGAAUAAAUAAAUUUCUAAGUUAUUCAGAAUUUAAAUUAAUACAAAUUCUAAAUUAUUUAAUGUCGUACUUAAAUAAAAUAUCCAAAAUAAAUAAAUUUGUUAAAUUAUUUAAAAUAUGAAUAAAUAAUAUUUCUAAAUUAUUAAUGUCCUACUUAAAUGAAAAUUUGAAAUACAUAAAAUUUCUAAAAUAUCAAAAAUCUUAAAUAAACACAAAUCCUAACUUAUUUUAUCUCAUACAUAAAUAAAAUGUCAAAUUUUUAAAAAUUGUAAAUAAAUACAAAUUCAGAAAUUAUUUUAUUUUGUACUUAAAUAAAAAUUUAAAAUUUAUAUCUACAGUUGUCUAUCUAUAUUUAUACUUAAUACAUUUUAAGGGAAUCUAUAUCUAUAUAUAUACACUUAAUUUAUCUAUAUCUAUCUAUAUUUAUACUUAAUAUAUAUAUAUAUAUAUAUAUAUAUAUAUAUUUCAAGGGAAUACAAACAUAAACUUUUGACAAAUUGGAGUAAUUAGGAUUUCGUUUGUUUGUUUUGGGUGUGACUGGGCAAGUGUUUUUCCAUAACGUGGAGCAGAAGAAUUGCAGAGCUCCAUUUCAGGUAAUUUUUUUGAAUUUGAAUAGUGAUUUCGGAUGAGUUCUAGCGCCUUUUUUUGUGUUUUAGGUGUGCUUGCCCAAGUGCUUUUCAAGUCGUGCAGAAGAAUCCUAAACCCUAAAUCAUUUAAGGUAAUACUUUUUGAAUUUGAAUUGCGAUUUCACAGAGAAUCUCAUUAUUGUUUUCCAUCGAAUUUCUGUAUUGUCUGAUAUGAAUGUUCAUGUGCGUCUUUUUUUAAUGAUAUGCAUCUGCUGUUUAAUUUUGUUCAUCAUAUUUCUUAACUAGAUUAUGCAAAUUUGAUAUUUAAUGUCGAUUUUGUGACAUGUAUUCUACACUACAUUUCAUAGCUUUUUUCUUCCUCAUUCUUUUUCUGCAAGUUGGAUGAUUUUCAGAUUGAUAAUGCUUGAGAGGUCAACCAAGCUUUUUCAAACUCUUUUAAAAAACCACUAAGUGUAAAAUAAGUUGUUUUUUUCACUUCUUUAGAAAACACUCUUUUUUCAAAAUAACUUCAUUCAAAUAACUUUGGAUCAUAACUAAGAGUGGAUUUACAAAUUCAAACUAGCCAGAACCCACACAUAAGCAACAACAAAAUCUUCAAGCAUUCCAUACAAAUUUGGAGACAUCAAAGCCAAUUUUCAACAAUAUUCUCAUUCUCUUCUAAAUUUUAUUUCUUAUUCUCACUUCUCUUCCUAAAUCUUUUAUUACAAACAAGUUCUUCAUUCUAAAUUUUGUGGUUGUGGGUUGGAUCAUGGAAUUGAUGAUGGUUUUUUGGUUUAGCAGAAGGGCAAAUGACUCUAUGUUCCCUAUAUAUUUAAAUUGCACCCCAUAAAUUUAAAUUACACCCAUAUAAAUUAAAAUUCUAAUUUUACCAAAAUGUAUAAUUCAUAUAUUAUGUAUGGUGAACUAAUUUUGAUAAAUUAUCAUACAAUGUAUAUUAAUCACAUUACACUAUCAAUAUACUACCUAUAUAACAAAUUACAAUUGAAUAUUUUUCAAUCAAGUCACAGAAUCCUCAAUCAUAUAGUAAUUUGUCACACAAUGUCUUAUUUGUCACGCUUAAUGUCUUCUAAAAGAAUUGCAUAAAGCAUCUCUAACCAAACCAACAUCAAUUUUUUUGUUAAAAUGAUUAUUGGAAAAACUUAUAAAUUUUAUUUAUUUUAAUUUUUUAUUUAAGUAGGAAAUAAAAUAAUAAGAUUAUAUAUUCAUUUAGGAUUUUGAAAAAUUAUAAAUUUUAUUUAUUUGAGAUUUUUAUUUAAGUAUCACCUAAAAUAAUUUAGGAUUUUGAAUAAUUUAAAUUUUUUAUUAAAAUAUUUAUUUAAGUAAAAAAUUAAAUAAUUUAGAUUUGCAUUUAUUGAAUAUUUUAAAUAAUUUAAGAAUUUCAUUUAUUUUAUAUUUUUAUUUAUGUAUGAUAAUAAAUAAUUUAGAAUUUUUAUUUAUUUAAGAUUUUGAAUAAUUUAAUAAUUUAAUUUAUUUCAUAUUUUUAUUUAAGUAGAACAUUAAAUCAUUUAAUUUUUGUAUUUAUUUAAGACUUUAAAAAUUUUAGAAAUAUUAUUUAUUUUAUAUUAUUAUUUAAGUAGAGAAUAAAAUAAUUUAGGAGGUGUCUUUAUUUAGGAUUUUAAAAUUUUUAAAAAUUAAUUAAUUAAUAUUUUUAUUUAAGAAUGACGUUAAAUAGUUUAGGAUAUGUGUAUUUAAAAAAUUUAAUAAUUGAUCCAAAAGAGUGAUUUUGGGUCCUUCAUUGGGGUUAUGGAUGAGAAAUUUUGUUUUGGAAGAAUUUCAUUUGAAUAAAAAAAAUGUUUACAAUAUGUGUUCCUGCUAGGGAGAUGAGAUUUAGAGAACGGUUGAAGUCUUCUUCUCCUUCCUUCGGACGGUCAAGUUGCUGGGUAGUGAUCCGGGAUUCUUCUCGUCCUUUCGCUUCCUUCGGCGCUCGGCGCUCGGCACUCGAUCUCGGGUGAACACCAGAUGGUGGGGGUACCUGCGAAGGCACUCCGACGCUCAAGUCAGUAAAACGGGUGAUGGUGCUAUGGUAGGUGAACAGUAAUAAAUGACGUACCUUACUCCUUGGAAUGCGUGCUAUUUAUAUUAUUCUAAUGGGCCUACCUUGUUGGACCCGUUUAUCGAGGUGGAUACUGCUUAGGGUUGUAUUACCUAAUUCUUAAUGAUGGAUUAACUUCACUGACCUUGGUUUGAGCGUUGAUGGUAAUCAGGGUGGGCCGUCGGCCAAGUUCCACUGGUAUGAGCCGGCAGUCGGCCAGAUUUCUCCGAUCUCGGUCGUCUUGGCCAGAUCUUCUUAGGUCUCGGCCAAGUGGGUCGUCGGCCUCGUCCUUCGGCCAAGUCUCUAAAGUCUCGGCCGACUUUCCUUUGGUCUCGGUCAGGUUGACCAGGUCUCGGGCAGCCAGGUGGGCCUCGGGCAGGGAGACCAGGGGUGGGCCUUGCCCAUACCGGUACACUUGCCCCCCAGGCUCGAGGGCAGGUGUGUUAGAUGUGCCCGAUGAGUUUUCAAUGAUGGUGUUGGUCGGUCUCCCUUGGUCGUGCGGUUGUUUCGUUUUUCGAGGUAUGACGUGACUAGGUGGCGUGACAUGACCUCAGGCGGCGUGAGGUGAUGUGCAUUGAUGAGGGGUUUUUUUGGGCGGAAAAGCUCGUGGACCGUUAUAUUUAAGAGAUCUAACGGUUGAGAUUGGUCCGUCGUUUCGAAUUCUGAGGCCCAUGGGCCCUAUAAAUAGGGGUCCUCUACAAUGUCGAACCCUUGUGCUUUCUUUGUUUGAGUGAACUGAUAGCCGAGUGAUCUCUCGCCCUUUGCUCCGAUAGCCGAGUGACCUCUCGCCCAAACUCCUUUCUUUUCCAAAAAGGUUAGUUAUGUCGAGCCCAUCUCGACCUACGUCUUCUUCGUCCGGUCGAACCUCUUCUCUUCUCGCUCGCCCUCUGUGCCUUGUCGGUCGUCCGAUUUCCCCUGUCGGGCAAUCCUCUUCCUCUUCUUCUCUUUCUUCUCUUUCCUCUUCUUUUGUCGUGCCGGAGGCUGAUCGGGGCCUACGCUAAAUCUGGGCGUUGGGCGGUGUCCGGGGUAUGGGUUUUCACUUUGUAUUUUGUCGGUCGGUUUUGUUUCGUUUCUAACUUGGCUUUUUGUUUAUUUGCAGAAAUCAUGGUGCAAGAUCGACCAACUGGUGUGAGAGCCCUCGACGAGCACCAGCUGCGGGCGGCCGAGCGAAAGGGUCGCCGGAGUAUCGAGGUGAUGCCCACCCAGAAGGGGUCGUCAUCUCAACCUGAGAAGGCUCCGACCGGUCCUUCCCAGAAGUCCAAGAAGCGCUCACGGGAGAGCGGAAAUAUUGCAACUACCAUGUGCUCCCCUGGGUCUAUGCCGACGCCCCCUCCUCCCCGAGAGGUGGUCGUGGCGGGUAGUUCUUCUCCUAGGCGUGCGGAGGGCGUGUCUGGGUCUGUCGAGGCCGGGGGUAGGCCAUCGGCCCUCGAUCUCUUGAGGGGUGGCUUACAAUUCACGCGAAGGGUUCGCGUAGCAAUCCCCGAGGAGACUCGGGAGUCAAUCCGGACGGUCUCCCCCACGGAUUUAUUAAGGAGCGUCCUGGAGCUCCUAUGCCGCUCGGUCGUUCUCUUCGAGCAGGGCAUGCAUGGUCGGGACCGCCGUGCUGAGGAGGUGUUCUUACUGGAGCAUCAGUUGACCGAGGCCUCCGACAACCUGAAACAGUCGUUGGCUACAAAGAAUGAGCUUUCGGCCAAGAUUGCUCGGGAGGGGCAAAAACUUGAUGACUUUUUACGGCAAGUGCACCACGUUUGUCAGAAGUAAUAAUUGUCCCUAAGGACGGAUAUCGAUCCCACAAGGAACAGUAAAUUAUCAAGUACAAUAUUCACUAAAUAUAACAACAUAACAAUAAAAAGAGUUUAGAAGUAAUUGUGUUGGCACUGAUCAAUAAGAAAACAAACAAAGAAUUAGUUGCUUCAAUUGGAAAAAUAGGGAUUAGGUUUCAUCUCUCUCACUCUCAUGUAUUUUGAUUAGCAUGUCAAUAUUAAGUUCUUUAAUUGAAAUUGAUGCCCGUAUAAAAAUCAUUUAUAUCGAUUCCUCGCAUAUAAAAUCCUUAAGAAUGUUUCCUAACUAUCGAUCCCUCGCAUAAUUAUAAUAACAACUUAGAACGAAGCUCAGACGUUAAUAACAAUUAACAUUUCAAGUCUAUCCCUAGCACUCAAAUAUGCUAAGUAUUGUUGUUUAGGUCCAAACCCUAAAAAUACCUCCGGUCAGAUUUAAGAUUCUCAAUUUGUCACGAAAACUUAAAAGUAAAACAACAAUACCAAUAAUCAAUCAAGAACUGAAUAUUAAUAUAUAAGAUAUCACCACAAUACAUAAGAGUUUGAGCAGAUUACUCCCAAUCCCAAAGGGUAGAAUUAGCCACGCAUACUUCUAGCACCUUCUAUUCUCUCAAUUGGGUUAUAAUUCACUCUAUGGUGUUUUCCUCCCAAUCUGGCACACUAAGGUUGAGCCUCUAGCCCUCUAUUUAUCCUAGUUUUCUAGGGUUAGGUUGUUUAUUGUGUCGCGCUAAUGGGCUAAAUGAUAAAACAUAAAAAAGGCCCAAUCUUUCUUUGCAUCUUUUUCCAUUUUGGGACCUUCUAUCUUUAUCUUUUUAGCUCAAAUCAUUCAUCUUUAAUCCAAAUCUUCAAUCUUCCUUAUAAAUAUGCAAUUAACACCAAAUUUGGGAAUAAAAUACUCUCAUUCAAAUAAAGAUCAUAAAAAAUGUAAAAAGGUAUAAAUUCAUAAAUUAGGGAUUAUUUUAUAUAUAAAUUAGCAAUAAAUCCUCAUAAGUGCCUAUAUUUUAAUAUGAAAUAUUACUGAAAUUAGACACUUAUCAAGGGGACCGGGAGGGAAAUCACCCAGAGGGAGGCUGUUGAGGCAAAGCGGCUCCUGGAGGUGGAGAAGGUCGAUAGGCUGAGGGGGGCGGCUGAAAAUGCAUAUCUGAAGAAACUGGUCGAGGAAAAGGAUGGAAAACUCUCGUCCUCGGCCAUGGAGCUGGCCGCCCUUCAAGCUGCCAAGGAGGAGGUCGAGGCGGAGCUUGACAAAAAUUAUGAAGACUCGGAGGAGCUCCUCAAGCAAUGCUUCGACCGAGUUGUGCGUCAGGCCCACGUUCAUUAUGGCGGGCCGCUGGCCUUUGAUGACUUUGAUAUAGAUUAUGAGGUUUACCAGGGCCGGUUGGUUCCAAGCGCAGAGGUGGGGGCGUUGGUGGCACAAGAGGCUCAAGUGGCCGAGACCCAAGAGGGGGAGGCCGAGGCUCGAGAGGAGGGGGCUGAGGUCGAGGAGGGAGAGUGCGUAGAGAUACAAGACUAGGUUUUCCCUUGGCCGGGGUGUGGCCUUUUCUUGCUUUUUAAUUUCCUCCGAGGCCGGGGUGUGGUCUCUUUAUUUUGCUUUUUGAUGCAUCGCCCAACUUUUGUUCAAUAUAUCGUCCAAAUUUCAUUUCAAAUUACCUUUGCAUGAAAAUUUACAAGUUAACUAAUCGGUCUUUAAAUGAUUCGGGCGACCGGCCCUACUUAUUGUGAUGUUAGUCGAACAAGUAAAUCAUGGGCGAUCGGCCGCUAGUUGCGAAUGUUAAUUCGAGCAAAUAUGAGUUGGCGUUCGGCCAUUGAUUGUGCCGUUAAUUCGAACAAGUAUAAUUUGGGCGUUCGACCAUAAUUGCGAUUGUUUAAAUCGGGCAAGUAUAAUUUGGGCGUUCGACCAUAAAUUGCGAUUGUUUAAAUUGAGCAAGUGUAAUUUGGGCGUUCGGCCAUAAAUUGCGAUUGUUUUAAUCGAGCAAGUAUAAUUUGGGUGUUCGACAUAAAUUGCGAUUGUUUUGAUCGAGCAAGUUUGGUUGGCGGUUGACCACUGCUUGCGAUGUUAAUCGAGCAAGUUUGGUUGGCGGUCAGCCAAUACUUGCGAUGAUAAUGGAGCAAGUUUGGUUGUCGGUUGGCCAAUACUUGCGAUGUUAAUCGAGCAAGUUUGGUUGACGGUCGACCAAUACUUGCGAUGAUAAUCGAGCAAGUUUGGUUGGCGGUCGGCCAAUACUUGCGAAGUCAAUCGAGCAAGUUUAGUUGGCGGUCGACCAAUACUUGCGAUGUUAAUCGAGCAAGUGUGGUUGGCGGUUGGCUAAUACUUGCGAUGUUAAUCGAACAAGUGUGGUUGACGGUCGACCAAUACUUGCGAUGUUAAUCGAGCAAGUUUGGUUGGCAGUCGGCCAAUACUUGCGAUGUUAAUCGAGCAAGUGUGGUUGGCGGUCGGCCAAUACUUGCGAUGUUAAUCGAACAAGUGUGGUUGACGGUCGGCCAAUACUUGCGAUGUUAAUCGAGCAAGUUUGGUUGGCGGUCGACCAAUACUUACGAUGUUAAUCGAGCAAGUUUGGUUGGUCGGUCUCGGCAGGGUAUGCCGAGCCGAGAAGUUGUAGAAGAAUAGUGCCAACACUUUGACGAGAACGCCUCGUUAAACCCUCCCUGGUUGGGUGAGGAAAGAAUGCGUAAUUUUAUUGACUUUAGCUGUAAUAGAACUUGAGGUGCGUGGCAUUCUACGUCCUCGGUACAAUUUUGCCUGAAAGCCAUUCUAAAUGAUAAGCUCCCCCCGUGCGACUUCUCGGACUCGGAAAGGCCCCUCCCAGUUUGACGUGAACUUCUCUUCAUUCUUUUUCGCAUUGCUGCGCAUUCUCCAGACGAGGUCGCCCUUAUGAAAACUUCUUGGCCGGACCUUUGUGUUGUACCGUCUGGAUGCCCGGACUUUGCAGGCGGCCUCCCGGAUUCGGCUUUUCUCACGAAAUUCACUCACCAGAUCGAGGUUGACCGCUAGGCUUUCCUUGUUUAGGGUGAGAUCGAACAUCUGCUGUCGAAUGGUGGGCUCGACCACUGAUGACAUUUUACGGCAAGUGCACCGCUUUGUCAGAAGUAAUAAUUGUCCAUAAGGACGAAUAUCGAUCCCACAAGGAACAAUGAAUUAUCGAGUACAAUAAUCGUUAAAUAUAAAAAUAGAACAAUUAAAAGAGUUUUGAAUUAAUUGUGUUGGCACUGAUCAAUAAGAAAACAGACAAAGAAUUAGUUGUUUCAAUUGGAAAAAUAAGGAUUAGUUUCAUCUCUCUCACUCUCUCAAGUAUUUUGAUUAGCAUGUCAAUAUUAAGUUCUUUGAUUGAAAUUGAUGCCCGUAUAAAAAUCAUUUAUAUCGAUUCCUCGCAUAUAAAAUCCUUAAGAAUGUCCCCUAACUAUCGAUCCCUCGCAUAAUUAUAAGAACAACUUAGAACGAAGCUCAGACGUUUAAUAACAAUUAACAUUUCAAGUCUAUUCCUAGCACUCAAAUAUGCUAAGUAUUGUUGUUUAGGUCCGAACCCUAAAAAUACCUCCCGGUCAGAUUUAAGAUUCUCAAUUUGUCACGGAAAAUUAAAAGUAAAACAACAAUACCAAUAAUCAAUCAAGACCUGAAUAUUAAUAUAUAAGAUAUCACCUCAAUACAUAAGAGUUUGAGCAGAUUACUCCCAAUCCCAAAGGGUAGAAUUAGCCACGCAUACUUCUAUCACCUUCCAUUCUCCCAAUUGGGUUACAAUUCACUCUAUGGUGUUUUCCUCUCAAUCUGGCACACUAUGGUUGAUCCUCUAGCCCUCUAUUUAUCCUAGUUUUCUAGGGUUAGGUUGUUUAUUGUGUCGCGCUAAUGGGCUAAAUGAUAAAACAUAAAAAAGGCCCAAUCUUUCUUUGCAUCUUUUUCCAUUCUGGGACCUUCUAUCUUUAUCUUUUUAGCUCAAAUCAUUCAUCUUUAAUCCAAAUCUUCAAUCUUCCUUAGAAAUCUGCAAUUAACACUAAAUUUGGGAAUAAAGUACUCUUUUUCAAAUAAAGAUCAUAAAAAAUGUAAAAAGGUAUAAAUUCAUAAAUUAUGGAUUAUUUUAUAUGUAAAUUAGCAAUAAAUCCACAUAAGUGCCUAUAUUUUAAUAUGAAAUAUUACUGAAAUUAGACACUUAUCAGCAACUCAACCGGGAUCAUGGCCUCGGUCCCAUAUGUCAGGCUGUAGGGUGUCUCUUGUGUGGUAGUUUGGGGGUGCACGCCCAAAGUACCUCGAUCAGCUCCUCGGUCCAUCGGCCCUUCGCCUUGCCCAACCGUUUCUUCAGCUCGUUGAGUAUGACCUUGUUGGCGGCCUCGGCCUGCCCAUUGGUUUGCGGGUGUUAUACCGAGGUCGUGAUGGACUUGAUGCCCAGGUCGUCAUAGAAGGACUGUAGGCCUCGGUCAAUGAACUGUCGGCCAUUGUUAGUUAUUAUCGUGUGCGGGACGCCGAAUCGGCAGACAAUGCUCCUCCAUACGAAGUUUUGUACAUUUUUUGCCGAGAUGAAGGCAAGGGGUUCGGCCACGAUCCACUUGGUGAAGUAGUCGACUCCCACUAGGAGGAACUUAGUCUGCCCCUUUCCCGGGGAGAAGGGGUCGAUGAUGUCCAUCCCCCAAAUGGCGAACGAACAUGGGGGAGAUGAUGCUGUGCAGCUCCUCCGGCCUCUCGUGUGGUGGAGAGGACCGAACUCUUGGCACUUGGCACAUUUCUUCACGUAUUUGGCGCAGUCACCCUGUAUGAUCGACCAAUAGUAGCCGACCCUUAGAACCUUGGUGGCCAUCGUCCUUGCUCCGGCGUGAUUUCCGCAGAUCCCUUCAUGGAUCUCGGCCAGAAUGUACUCGACCCGCUUGUUGGUGAUGCAUUUCAGCAGGGGGGUCGAGUAACCUCUCUGGUAGAAAUCCUCGUUGUUCAUGGUGUACCGGGCGCAUUGUUGCUUCAUCGCCUUUUCUUGAUCGGCCUUGCAUGUGCCGUUCGUGAGGUACUGGAUGACAGGUGUCAUCCAGUUCUCGGUCUCGGCCACAGCCUCGACAUCUCCUAUAGUCAGGCAUUCGGCCUCAGCCGUAGUCACACUGGGGUGCCUCAGUCAUAUUUGUAUGACCGACCUCUGGUGGCUCUUCUUCUUGGUGACCGACAGCUUGGACAGGAUGUGUUCCAAGGGGGUUUUGCUGAAGCGGGCGAUGCUGGUUUUGGCCGCAUGGUAGUACCGCUGUAGCAAGAGCUCUUUAACUUUGAACUCCCCAUUGACCUGGCCGACCAUUACCUGGGAGUCUCUUUUGCAUGUGACUUCGCAUGCUCCCAUGUCGUAGGCUAGGUUCAGCCUAGCGAGCAAGGCCUCAUAUUCGGCCUGGUUAUUGGUCGCUCGGAAUCCGAAUUGGAGGGCUUGCUUCAGUAAGAGGUCGCCGGCCCCUCUAGGAUGACUCCCGCUCCACAGGCUAUUUUAUUUGAGGAGCCGUCCACAUAGAGCGUCCACCCGCUGGAGAGGGUGGGUAGUGAUGUCAGCUCGGCCGAGAAGUCGGCCAGACAAUGAGACUUGAUGGCGCCCCUCGAUUCGUAACGUAUGUCAAACUCGGAGAGCUCGACUGACCAUCCUAUCAUCCUCCCUGCAAGGUCCGACUUAGAUAAAAUUUUGAAAAUAGGGUAGUCGAUUCUUACAAUUAUGGAGUGAUUUUGGAAGUAGGGGCGCAUCCGUCUUGCUGUGAGGAUUAGGGCGAGAGCCACCUUCUCUAUCAUCUGGUAUCUGGUCUCGGCCGAGUGGAGGGUUCGGCUGACGAAGUAUAUCGGCCGCUCUUCGUCCUCGGUCUCCUACACCAGGGCAGCGCUGACUGCUUCCUCCAAGACUGCCAGAUACACUAGGAUUGGGUGGUCUGGUCUCGGCUUCUGGAUGACGGUCGGGAAAGUCAGGAAUUCCUUGAAUUUCUUAAAGAUUUCCUCACAUCAGUCGUCCGAGGUGAACUGUUUCCCCUUUCGGAGCAGCUGGACAAUCGGUCUUGUCCUCUCGGCCAGGCGGGGGACGAACCGGGAGAGGGCGGUCAGUCGCCCUAGGAGCUGUUGUACCUUCUUUAUGUUGUUCGGACUUCUCAUGCUGAGUAUGGCUUGACAUUUAUCGGGGUUGGCCUCUAUCCCCCUGUGGGUGAGCAUGAAGCCUAGGAACUUCCCUCCAUCCACCCCGAAGGUACACUUUUCGGGGUUGAGCUUCAUGUUGACUCCUCUAAGGGCCCUGAAGACCUCGUUCAGGUCCUUCAGAUACUGCUCGAACGAGUCGGACUUCAUGACUAUGUCGUCCACAUAGACCUCUACCGCCCGACCUAUUAGACCUUUGAAAACUUUCCAUGAGGCGCUGGUAGGUCGCCCCUGCGUUCUGAGGCCGAACGGCAUGACCUCGUAGUAGUAGUUGGCGUCAGCCGUCAUGAAGGCCGUUUUCUCCUUGUCCCUGGGAUGCAUGCUUAUCUGGUUAUAGCCAGAGUAAGUGUCCAGGAAGCUCAUAAUUUUGUGGCCGGCCACCCCAUCGACCAGUCAGUCAAUGUUUGGGAGAGGGUAGGUGUCCUUCGGACAUGCGCUGUUUAUGUUUCUGCAGUCAACGCACAUCCUCCAGUUACCAUUUGGUUUGGUGACCAUGACGACGUUGGCCAGCCAUGUGGUGUACCAGGCCUCCUUAAUGAACCCGGCCGACAGGAGGUUGCCAGCCUCCUCCUUCGCCGUGAGUCGUUUUUCGUCAAGUCCCUCUUCUUUUGGGAGAUCGGGCGGGCUUCCUUGAAUAUUGACAAUCGAUGGGUGAUGACAUCCCGGCUCACCCUCGGCAUGUCGGCCGACGUCCAUGCGAACAUGUCGACAUUCUUUUUCAGCGCGGCUUGCAUGAUCUCGGCCUCGGCCGUUGCCAAAACUGUUCCUACGGCCGUGCUGUGUUUUUCGUCGAGGAGGGGAACUCUCUUCAGCUCCUCCCUUGCCUCUAGCCUGUCCUUGGUCGCCCAGGGAUCGAGGUCCACCAAGGCCACGGUUGGUUCGAUCUUCCUCGGUCGAUCCUUCCUGGGGGAGUGGUCUUUUUGGGAGGACUUCCUCACCCUGAGGGGAGAGGUGUCGGCCCUUAAAGGCUCCACCCGGAGACUCUCAGCGUAGCACUCUCGUGCCUCUUUCUAGUCUACGUGGACCGUGAGAAUGUCCCCUGUCCUUGAAGGGAACUUCAUUGCGAGGUGGGGGUUGACACUAUGGCCAUCAGCUGGUUGAUGGAUGGUCGACCGAGGAGGAUGUUGUAGGAGGUGUUGGUGUCGAUGACCAGGUAUCGGAUUUUGAUGGUCCUGGUGCUCUUCUCCUCUCCGAAGGUAGUGUGCAACUCGAUGUAACCCUUGGUACCCACCCUCUCGCCCGAGAAUCCUGCCACAUGGUCGUCAUAUGGCAUCAUCUCGGCCUCGGCUAUCCUCAUGGCCUUGAAAGUUUUCCAGUAGAGGAAAUCUACCGAACUUCCUUGGUCCACAAGGGUCUUCCGUAUGGUGAAUCGGUAUAUAUCGACCGAUAUCGGCCACGGAAUCGAAUGAGGGGAGCACACCUCCGAAUGGAAUCGAAGCAGGGAAGCGCACCACAAAAUCCAACCAGGGGAACAAUCCUCGUAUCAGAAACCCUAAAUCAAAAAUUCGAAAUCCCCAAUUUGAAUAACCUAAACCCUAAUUCAGUAUUCACCAAAGUAAUGUAAGCACAAUCCACGUAACUUACACAUGUCUGCCCACAUAAGCACCACUUAACGCCGUUUGGUGAUAUUUAACAGAAAGGACCAUUUUGAAUACAUUUUAAAAAACUUAGGGACCAAAUUGAAUUUUUUAAAAACCACUGUACCAAAUUGACUAUUGACUAUAAAUAUAGGGACGAAAAAGGUAAUUAAACCUAAAAUUUUCUAUAUAACAUCCCAAAACAUUCUUACUAAACAUGAAUUUUCUUAAAUAAAUUAUUAAAUCUAAAUGAUAUAUUAGAAACCAAGUCCGAGAUGAUUUUUAAAAAAAUUAUUAAUUAUUAAAUAUUGAAAAAUCUCUUUUUCAUAACAUACCAAAAUUAUUUAUAAGUAAAAAUAGUAAAGUUUUCUGUAUAAUUUCCCAAUUAAAUAUAAAGUCCCUUGAAUGAAUUAUUUAAUUUAUAUUUUAGAUUCCUAAUUAAAUAUAGAAUAUAUUUAAUAAUUUAUUAAAUAAUAUUUAAUUAAUAAUUUUUGGUCUUUGUAACAAUUACUAUUUUUUGUAAAAAAAAUAAGAAGUAUCUAAUAAAUUUAUUCCUCAAUCAUAUUUGUUCUGUCAGUAAAACUUAAAUAUAGACUUUUAAGAUAUUUAAAUUUGAGCAAAUUUUAUGUUGGUAUAAAAUAUUCAUAAAUCUAAGAUUUUUUUCAUAAGGAUUUUUAUUGAGGUUAUUUAAGUACAUAUUACGUGUAAGACCGACUCAUUAAGUGGUCGCAUAAAUAAAUAGUUUGUUAAGAUUUUUUUAAAUAAUAAUUAAAAAAAUUUCAAUCACAUAUUAAUUAGGAUUGAUCUUUAUUAAUGUAGGAAUUUUUUUUUUCUGAUAUUGAAUAAAAAAAAUUGGCAAAAAAAAAACCCUGUCAUGAACAUUGUAAAAUAGUAUUGAUUCACUUCAACUUAAAUAACUAUAAUUCAAAUCAAAAUUUAAAGGGUUAUAUUUUGGUAAGUCACUUGUAAGAGGAGAUACGAUAAUUAAAUCUAUUUAAUAAGUAAAUUUUAAUAAUAUAGAUAAAACAAUAAAAAUUACUUUAAUUCGAAUAAUAAUAUUAAGAGGCAUAACUAAUAAUAAAUAUAAUGAACCGAAACCAAAAAUAGUCUGAUACGGUGAAGAGUAAGAAACAGACAAAUAUUAUAUUAAAAGAAACCAUUAGAAAAAAAAAUGACAGAUUGAAUAUUCUUAUUUAGGAUUCCAAUAUUUCUAAACCAGAUAAAAUUAAAAAAAAAUCAAUUGACGUUAAUUGGGAAAAAUUUUAUCAAUUGAAAUUUUUUAUGAAAUUUGAUAGGAAAAUAAAAUGAACUAAGAUCAACUAAAAGAAUAAAAUAUUUUUGAAUUAUAAAUAAUUAUUUUAUGUUUAAAUAAUUUCUAUAUUAGUAAUUGAAAUAAUGUAUCUAAAUGAAAAAAAUAAAAUUCAUUAAAUUUAAAUUUUCCUCCUAAACAAAAUAUUUAAAACAGAAAACCAUUUCAAAUAAGAUUAAUUAAAUUGAAUGUAUUUAAAUUUCUUAUGUAAUUUUCUGUAACAAUACAAACACUUCACAAUUUUAAAAUGUGUUAGCUUUACUCAUCUGGUCUUUCGGAGACGAAAUGAAUGAACAAAAGUAUUGCAAAGAUUGCUUUGACUUUUAAACAUGGUACUAAAUACUAAAUUACCAAAAUACUAAAUUAGAUAAACAUAAUUAAUCACUUUAGUUUUAAGUAAUUUCUAAUAUUAUAUUUCUAUUUAAGAUAAUAAACAAUUAGUGUUAAAUAAAUAUUUCAAACACCAAAUGCAGAGUUUAAUUUCGAAAUAUAAUAAUAUAAAUCAUGACUGUUAAGCAGGGAAGGUAAAAAUUAACAACUUAAUUCAAUCACCUACUUUAUUAUAAUUAAAAAUAUUAGGUUAGUCGACACUAAUAAAUUCAUCCCAGUUUAUAUAUUAUUUAAAAUUAUUUAAUUAUUCACAUUUUUUCUCUUUUUUAUUAUUUACUGAAUUUUUUUAAUUAAGGAUUUUUAGUUUAAGAAUAAUAAGUAUUCUGAAUUGAUUUUUUUUAAAUAUAGUAUUUAAUUUAAGUUUUAUAAAUAUGAUUUUUUUUUGUUUUUAAGAAACUUCAAGAAUAAAAAAAACAGAAAAAAAAUUAUAAAAUAAAAUGUAAAAAAUUAUAAAAUACGAGAAAAUGAGAAAGAUUACAUAUACAAAUAUACAAAAUUUAGACCGAGUUGUACAUAAUCGAAAUAAUAUUUUAUUAAUAUUUACGUUUAUUAUUAUAAUAAAAGUAAAUAAUUAAAACAAUAAAUAAAAAAUUGUAAUAAAAAAUAAAUAUAUUUUAAUUUGUACUUAUUUUCUUUUGCUCUCUUAUUUUUCGUAAGAUUAUUCAAACAAAGGCGUGUUGAUAUUUUUUUAAUAUUUUUAAAAAUUUAUUAUAUUUUUUAUAGAUAUUAUAUUAUAAAUUUAUAAUAAUUUUAAUUUUAUUGAAUUUAUUUAUGAAGUAAAUUUACAAUAUAUAUAUUAUAAAAAUGAAAAAACUAUUUUACAUUCUUAUGAUUUUGUAAUAACAAUUUUUUCUUUUAGUGAAAGAUAAAAAAAAAAGUAGUGUCAGUAAAAAGUUAUGGAGUAGGGGAGAAUGAGACUGUGAAUAUCGAUCCUACAAGGAACAAUAAAUUAUCAAGUACAAUAUUCGCUAAAUAUAACAACAUAACAAUAAAAAGAGUUUAGAAGUAAUUGUGUUGGCACUGAUCAAUAAGAAAACAAACAAAGAAUUAGUUAUUGGAGAAAUAGGGAUUAUGUUUCAUCUCUCCCACUCUCAUGUAUUUUGAUUAGCAUGUUAACAUUGAGUUCUUUGAUUGAAAUUGAUGUCCAUAGAAAAUUUAUUUAUAUCGAUCUCUCGCAUAUAAAAUCCUUAAGAAUGUUUCCUAAAUAUCUAUCUCUCGCAUAUUUAUAAAAACAACUUAGAAUCACACUCAAACGUUAAUGACAAUAUUAACAUUUCAAGUCUAUCCCUAGCACUCAAAUAUGCUAAGUAUUGAUGUUUAGGUCCAAACCCUAAAAAUACCUAUCGGUCAGAUUUAAGAUUCUCAAUUUGUAAGUAAAACAACAAUACCAAUAAUCAAAGAACUGAAUAUUAAUAUAUAAGAUAUCACUCAAUACAUAAGAGUUUGAACAUAUUACUCUCAAUCCCAAAGGGUAGAAUUAGCCACGCAUACUUCUAGCACCUUCCAUUCUCCCAAUUGGGUUACAAUUCACUCUAUGGUGUUUUCCUCUCAAUCUGGCACACUAGGGUUGAGCCUCUAGCCCUCUAUUUAUCCUAGUUUUCUAGGGUUAGGUUGCUUUCUGUGUCGCGCUAAUGGGCUAAAUGAUAAAACAUAAAAAAUGCUCAAUCUUUCUUUGCAUCUUUUUCCAUUCUGGGACCUUCCGGCUUUAUCUUUUUAGCUCAAUUUAUUCUCCUUUAUUCCAAAUCUUCAAUCAAUCUUCCCUAGAAAUCUGCAAUUAAUACCAAAUUUGGGAAUAAAAUGCUCUUAUUCAAAUGAAGCUCAUAAAAAUGUAAAAAGGUAUAAAUUCAUAAAUUAGGGAUUAUUUUAUAUGUAAAUUAGCAAUUGAUGACUUUUUACGGCAAGUGCACCGCGUUUGUUAGAAGUAAUAAUUGUUCCUAAGGACGGAUAUCGAUCCCACAAGGAACAGGUGAAUAUAGAAACUUAUCGAUCCCACAAGGACGGAUAUCAAAUUAGAAACUUAUGAUGCUUCCAAAUUCAAAUAUAGAAAAAUAUAGACACAUUCAAUUUUCAGGAUCAAAUCAAAACAAAUAAAUGACAAUUCAUCAAGGAAUAUCUUCUCAUAUGCUCACGGGUAAGUGUUUCUCUCUAUUUUCACUUAAUCAUAACAAAUCACAGUUGCUUUUCAUUUCAUCUUCAAAUCACAAACAUAUUAGAAACAUGAAUCUUGAGGUCUUUUCCAGGGUUGUAAUGAGGCUGGGCUUCCAAAAAAUAUUGGUUUUUCUUAGAUAACAAAAUGCACAUCUUAAAGAAGAAGAACAUACCUACAAUUCAAUUAUAGAGAACAUAUAUGUUAUCUAAUUACCACUUUCUUUCGAUGUCACCUUUUUCCUCAUUUUCUUUCUUUUCAUGAUUUUCAUGAAAAAAAAAAUUCUAUCUUUCUUUUUUUUUUUAUUUCUUUUUCUUCUUUUGUUUUUUUUUUUUCAAUAAUAGGAAAAGAUUCUUCCUAUUUUCAACUUUGUGAACUUUCAAAAUCAGAACCAACCAUUCCCUUUUCUAUAUGUAUUGCAUCUAUGUUCUCCUUCCUUAGACAUGCUAAAGGGUAGAAAAUUAUAUCAAUAAAGGUUAAGGUGCAAUAUUAACAAAAAAUUUCUUGGCCCAAAAGGGAUAUAAAAAAAUGGAAUUCUAAUAUAAAGGUUGGCUUUUUGGCCCUGGCUCCUAAUUAACACAAACACAUGCCUCAAUCAUCUUCAUGCUCUUUUAUGAUGCAACAAAAAUAAAAAUUAAGCAACCACAACUGUCAAUUCAUCAGUAAAACCCUCAAAAUUGUUUAAGGUUCACACACUCACUUGGUUUAAAUGGUCUCAUUCCUUUUUGUCUUGUCAUUAUUUGUCCUAAUCAAUCAUCCUGUUAAAUUUUCAUGUAUCAUAAUUUUAACAACAUUUGAAUAAGGAUUCAAUCUAAUUUUCUUUUCUAACCUGUGUCUAAUUCAUCUCACUAUUUAAUAUUUAAACACAAAUUCUUUUUUCCACAAUUCAAAAUUAAUAUUCUAGUUCUUUUUUAUUUGAAAAAGAAUAAAUAAGCAAAUAAAAACAAACUAAACAAAUAAGCAAAUAAACAGAAAACAAAAUAAAUAAAAUAAGACAAAAUUCAAAUAACUAAAAAGAAAAGAGAAUUAGAAAGAUAAAACCAUAGUUUUGCUCAAUCCUCUCUUCUUAAGAAGUCAUCCAACAUUUUGUUAAAAUCUUUAUCUAUAGUCUUGCUUCAUUUGCUGGAUCUGCCCCCCUGAAUAAUAGAACCUGUCCUCAGGUCAAAAUACAUAACCUGCAAAAUGAUUAGGAGACAUACAAGAUUUUUUUUUUUUUGAAAAAUAAAAUAAACAAAGGUAAGAACAUAAAACUAAAAUGUGGACUGGGUUGCCUCCUAGUAAGCACUUGUUUAACGUCAUAUAGCUUGACGAAAGUUUGUUAUCAAGGAGGAUAUUUAUCUUGUUCCACCCAUGCUUUUGUUAUCACUUUUGUCCGUCUUGAAUAUGGCUCUUCAACUUCAAUUUUUCCGUCCUUCUUCAAUUCCUUGAUGACCCAUAAUUUUCUCGUUUUCUUCCUUCCUCUACCCCUACCUGCGUUGAGCAUGAUAGGUUGUCCUGGACGAUACUCCUCUCCUUCCACUGGCUUUCCUUGAUUGUCUCCUUUUGCCUCUAACUUUUCAUGACGUAUAACUUUCUUCUUUGACUUUGAACUCUUCAUCUUUUCACUAUUUCUUGGAAUUUCCUCUUGUUUCCAAGUCUCAUCUGCAGUACACUUGGUUACAUCAUUAAAAAGAUUAAAUUUUACCUCUUCAUCAUGAUACCUUACAAGAAUUUCUCCCUUGUCAACAUCAACUAUGACUUUAGCAAUUUUCAUUAAAGGUCUGCCGAGAAUCAAAGGGACCUCCUCAUCUUCUUUCAUGUCCAGGAUAACAAAAUCCACUGGAAAUAUGAAUUUGUCUAUUUGCAUAAGGACAUUUUCAACCACACCAUAGGGAUACUUCACUGUUCUGUCAGGCAAUUGUAACUGCAUCUUGGUGGGUUUAACCUCCAAGUUACCUAUCUGUCUUAACAUGGAUAAUGACAUCAAAUUUACACUUGACCCUAAGUCCAAUAAAGCAUUAUACACAAAUAAAUUACCAAUUGACACAGAAAUAGUAAAACUCCCUGGAUCCCUGAAUUUCUUUGGCAAAGUUUUUGAGAAACUGCUCCCUGCUUCCUUCUCUCCAUAUUUAUUUUUAAAACAACAUAUCUUCCUUCUAACUUCAUCAAAAUAUGUCUUUUUCUCUAGCCAUCCUGCAAAAUAAUUUUUUGGAAGCAAAUUGUCAGAAAAUAAUCCUUCCUUUUCUUUUUUUAUGUUCCUGUGGGAUAUUUCUUUUGCGAUUUCUACAAUUUCACAAUUUUCUCCCUCUUCCAUAUUUUUUUCCUUUUCUUUUUCAACCUUCACCAUCUCACCAUUUUCUUCUCUGGUUUUCUCAUCACCCUCAGUAGUGAUGUUAUUGCAAUGCUCCUUGGGGUUGGUGGUAGUGUUAGUUGAGAAUUGGCCAAUUUUCCCUUCUACAGUUUGUGUGAGUUGUGACAUUUGUUUAGCUAGCUGUCCUAUCUGAGUUUCCAUGCUCCUAAUCGAAGCCAUACUAUUUUAAUGUGCACUCACAAUCUUUGACAAAACAUCUUCCACUUUAUUCAUCCUGUCAGGAAUAGAUGGAGAAUUCGAUUGAUGUUGCUGUUGGAAAGGCCCUUGCUUGUUGGAUGAAUUAUAGUCUUGCUUCCAUCCAAAAUUCUGAUUUUGAUUAUUUUUCCAACCUUGAGGAUAAUUGUUGGAAAAACCGCCUUGCCUUCCUUGAUUGCCCAUAUAAUUCACCUCAGCUUCAGAUGCGUUGUUCUGAUAAGAACAGUGACCAUUAGGAUGAUCACCUCCACAAAAAUCACACAUGAGAGGUACAUUCUGACUUUGGAGUGAUUGAACAACAAGCAACUUUUGGGGUAAUUGGGUCAUAUGUGCGGUCAGUUGCUCAAGUUGCUGUGUCAGAAUUUUGUUUUGAGCUAGCAAUGCAUCUGCAGUGUUUAACUCCAAUACUCCUCUUUUUUGAUGAUUUUGUCUAUCAUGUUGAUCUUGAUAGUCAGUUGUGGCCAAAGCUUCUAUAAUCCUCGUUGCUUGAUCUGCAUCAACAGCCAUCAUUGUGCCACCAGCCGCGGCAUCUAGGAGCAUCUUUGUAUUUGAUCUGAGACCAUUAAUAAAUAUGCUCAGUUGAGCAAUAUCUUCAAACCCAUGGUUUGGGCAUUUUCUCAGCAUCCUCUUGAAUCUCUCCCAUGUCUCACAGAAAGACUCCUCUACUCCUUGUCUGAACAUAGAUAUUUCAGACUUAGCAUUGAUGUAACGAGAGAUUGGGAAAAAUCUUUGCAAAAAAUUUUCCUCCACAUCCUUCCAUUUGGUUAAACUCUUAUUAGGAUGAGAUAUAAGCCACUCCUUUGCUUUCCCUGACAAAGAAAAAGGAAAUAAACGCAUGUAUACACUCUCAAGAUCACCUGAUUGGACACCCAUAGUUCCCACCAAUUCAUAAAAAGUAGCCAAGUGUGUAUGAGGAUCCUCAUGAUCCAUCGCCGUGAAUUGAUUGGUACUAAUGAGGGUAAGGAACGCAGACUUCAUCUCCAAGGCCCUGUUAGUUGCAGGCACUGCAAUGCUAGAAAAGUGUCUAGGCCCUUGAUGUAUGGCGUAAUCUCCAAGAGUUCUCCUAGGAGGUGGUGUUUCCUCCCCCGCCAUGUUGUUAUUCUCCUGAAAAAUAUCAAUGGAAAAAGAAGAAGAUGUUGAAGAAUACUCUCUAUUAUCUUCUUGAUUCUCUUUUGUCUUUGAUUUUCGAUUUUUUCUGGCCACCUUCCCAAUUUCUGCUUCAAAUAGCAAGUGGUCUUCCGGAACUUGACCUCUCAAUAUCAUAUAGAAACAACUAAUGCAAGGGUUAGAAGGAAAAAUUCACAAGUAGUAACCGCAAUUUUAUAUUUUAUAUUAUUAUUAUUUUUUAAAUUUUAUUUUUCUUUCGAAAAUUCAAAAAUAAACAAUAAUUUAAAUAGCUAACUAAAAUAAAAUCAAUAAACUACAAAUUAAAACUUAAAGAUAAAAUAAAACAAAAACAAAACACUAAAAUGACACUAAGAAAAUAAAACAAAGAUAUUCAGAAAAAAAAAAAUAUAACAAAAAUAAAAAUAUAUAAAUAAAAUAAAAACUAAAACAGAAUAGAAGAAAACAAUGAAAACGAUAAAUAACUAAAAUCAAGAAAUAAAAACAGAAUAAAAUAAAUACUAAAAAUAAAAACAAAAUAGAAUAAAACAAAUAAAACAAAACGUAAACAACUAACUAACUUAUUUUAAAGAUACUACGUAAACUAACGUAAAAAUAAAAGCUAAAACUAGUAAUAGAUAAAUAAUUAAAACAAAUAAAUAAAAACUACCUAAACCUAAAUAAAACUACGUAACUAAACCUAAAAAAACUAAAAUAAAAUAAAAUCAAAACAAAAAUCAAACUAAAUCUGAAAAUAAAUAGAAAUAACUAAAAUCAAAAUAAGAAUUAAAAUAAUAACAACAAAUCAGCAAACUAAAAUAAAAUCAAAUAAAAUAAAAAAGAAUUUGUAAAAAAAUACAAAAUUAAAACAAAUCAAAACAAUUAAAAUAUUCACAAUAUUUAGAAAAUUAUACUCAACAAAUCAAACCCGUUCCCGGCAACGGCGCCAAAAACUUGAUGACUUUUUACGGCAAGUGCACCGCGUUUGUUAGAAUUAUCAAGUUCAAUAAUCGUUAAAUAUAAAACAAAACAAUUAAAAGUGUAUUGAAAGUGGUUGGGUUGGCGAUGAUCAAUAAGAAAACAGACAAAGAAUUGGUUGCUUCAAGUUGGAAAAAUAGGGAUUAGGUUUCAUCUAUCUCACUCUCAUAUAUUUUUUUGAUUAGCAUGUCAAUAUUAAGUUCUUUGAUUGAAAUUGAUGCCCGUAUAAAAAUUAUUUAUAUCGAUUCCUCGCAUAUAAAAUCUUUAAGAAUGUUCCCUAACUAUCGAUCCCUCGCAUAAUUAUAAGAACAACUUAGAACGAAGCUCAGACGUUAAUAGCAAUUAACAUUUCAAGUCUAUUCCUAGCACUCAAAUAUGCUAAGUAUUGUCGUUUAGGUCCAAACCCUAAAAAUACCUCCCGGUCAGAUUUAAGAUUCUCAAUUUGUCACGGAAAAUUAAAAGUAAAACAACAAUACCAAUAAUCAAUCAAGAACUGAAUAUUAAUAUAUAAGAUAUCACCUCGAUACAUAAGAGUUUGAGCAGAUUACUCCCAAUCCCAAAGNNNNNNNNNNNNNNNNNNNNNNNNNNNNNNNNNNNNNNNNNNNNNNNNNNNNNNNNNNNNNNNNNNNNNNNNNNNNNNNNNNNNNNNNNNNNNNNNNNNNNNNNNNNNNNNNNNNNNNNNNNNNNNNNNNNNNNNNNNNNNNNNNNNNNNNNNNNNNNNNNNNNNNNNNNNNNNNNNNNNNNNNNNNNNNNNNNNNNNNNNNNNNNNNNNNNNNNNNNNNNNNNNNNNNNNNNNNNNNNNNNNNNNNNNNNNNNNNNNNNNNNNNNNNNNNNNNNNNNNNNNNNNNNNNNNNNNNNNNNNNNNNNNNNNNNNNNNNNNNNNNNNNNNNNNNNNNNNNNNNNNNNNNNNNNNNNNNNNNNNNNNNNNNNNNNNNNNNNNNNNNNNNNNNNNNNNNNNNNNNNNNNNNNNNNNNNNNNNNNNNNNNNNNNNNNNNNNNNNNNNNNNNNNNNNNNNNNNNNNNNNNNNNNNNNNNNNNNNNNNNNNNNNNNNNNNNNNNNNNNNNNNNNNNNNNNNNNNNNNNNNNNNNNNNNNNNNNNNNNNNNNNNNNNNNNNNNNNNNNNNNNNNNNNNNNNNNNNNNNNNNNNNNNNNNNNNNNNNNNNNNNNNNNNNNNNNNNNNNNNNNNNNNNNNNNNNNNNNNNNNNNNNNNNNNNNNNNNNNNNNNUGCCUAUAUUUUAAUAUGAAAUAUUACUGAAAUUAGGCACUUAUCACUCUCCCCAACUUAGAAUCUUGCUUGUCCUCAAGCAAAGUAAAUGAAUAUAUUUGAACUUAAAUAUCAAACCGCUUAAUUCACUAAACAACAGAUCAAAUUAAAAACUUAUAAUGCUUCCAAAUUCAAAUAUAGAAAAAUAUAGACACAAUCAACUUCAAGGAUUAAAUCAAAACAAACAAAUGACCAUUCAUCAAGGAAUAUAUUCUCAUAUGCCUCACAGGUAAGUGUUUCUCUCUAUUUUCACUAAAUCAUAGCAAAUCACGGUUGUUUUUCAUUACAUCUUCAAAUCACAAACAUAUUAGAAACAUGAAUCUUGAGGUCUUUUANNNNNNNNNNNNNNNNNNNNNNNNNNNNNNNNNNNNNNNNNNNNNNNNNNNNNNNNNNNNNNNNNNNNNNNNNNNNNNNNNNNNNNNNNNNNNNNNNNNNNNNNNNNNNNNNNNNNNNNNNNNNNNNNNNNNNNNNNNNNNNNNNNNNNNNNNNNNNNNNNNNNNNNNNNNNNNNNNNNNNNNNNNNNNNNNNNNNNNNNNNNNNNNNNNNNNNNNNNNNNNNNNNNNNNNNNNNNNNNNNNNNNNNNNNNNNNNNNNNNNNNNNNNNNNNNNNNNNNNNNNNNNNNNNNNNNNNNNNNNNNNNNNNNNNNNNNNNNNNNNNNNNNNNNNNNNNNNNNNNNNNNNNNNNNNNNNNNNNNNNNNNNNNNNNNNNNNNNNNNNNNNNNNNNNNNNNNNNNNNNNNNNNNNNNNNNNNNNNNNNNNNNNNNNNNNNNNNNNNNNNNNNNNNNNNNNNNNNNNNNNNNNNNNNNNNNNNNNNNNNNNNNNNNNNNNNNNNNNNNNNNNNNNNNNNNNNNNNNNNNNNNNNNNNNNNNNNNNNNNNNNNNNNNNNNNNNNNNNNNNNNNNNNNNNNNNNNNNNNNNNNNNNNNNNNNNNNNNNNNNNNNNNNNNNNNNNNNNNNNNNNNNNNNNNNNNNNNNNNNNNNNNNNNNNNNNNNNNNNNNNNNNNNNNNNNNNNNNNNNNNNNNNNNNNNNNNNNNNNNNNNNNNNNNNNNNNNNNNNNNNNNNNNNNNNNNNNNNNNNNNNNNNNNNNNNNNNNNNNNNNNNNNNNNNNNNNNNNNNNNNNNNNNNNNNNNNNNNNNNUUUUUUUUUGGAAAAAUAAAUUAACCAAAGGUUACACCUAAAACUAAAAUGUGGAUUGGGUUCCCUCCCAGUAAGCGCUCGUUUAACGUCAUCUAGCUUGACGCCUGUUUAUGAUCCAUCCUUUUGUACACAUUCUUCCCCUGCAUUAAAAUUUUAAAACCAUUAAAAAAGAUUUAAAGUUACCUCCUCAUCUUGAGUUCUAACUUGAAGUUCUCUUUUGUUGACAUCAACUAUGAUUCUAGCAGUCUCCAUAAAGGGUCUUCCAAGUAUCAAGGGAACCUCCUCAUCUUCUUUCAUGUCCAUCACAACAAAAUCCACAGGGAAUGUGAAUUUAUCCACCUUAACGAGAACAUCUUCAACCACACCAUACACACCAUAUGGAUACUUGGUUACUUGAUCAGCUAACUUUAAAGUCAUCUUGGUGGGUUUAAUCUCCAAAUCACCUAUUUUCUUCAGCAUUGCCAAAGGAAUUAUAUUUAUGCUUGCUCCCAAAUCCAAUAAAGCAUUGACUAUUAAUAAAGCACCUAUAGACACGGGAAGGUUAAAACUCCCUGGGUCCUUGAAUUUUUUAGGCAAGCCUUUUUGAAUAAUGACAUUGAAUCUAUCCUCCAACUCUAUAUUUCUUUCUUCAAUAUAGCUCCUAUUCUUUCGAAAUCUUUCAAAUGUUGAAUCUUGCUUCAAAUUUCCUGCAAAAUAAUUUUUAGGGAGCAAUUUAUCAAAGAAUUUUCUUUCCUUCUCUUUUUUUGAAGGUGAAUGAGGAUAUGAUAAAUCUUUUUCAAUAACUCCUCACUUCUUAUUUUCACUUUUCUUCUUUAUUUUUUCCUCCUCACUUCUCUCUUUCUCAUCUCUCUUCCCCUUUGUCUCAUCUUUUUCUUCUUUUUCAGCCACUACAUUAUCGCAAUGCUCUUUUGAAUUGGUUUGGCUAUUGACUGAAAACUGGCCAUUUUGUUCCUCUGCAAUUUGUGCAGAUCACCAGGACAGUUGUCCCAUCUGGAUCUCUAUACUCCUAAUCAUGGCCAUGUUAUUGUCCUGCGCUCUCACAAUAUUGUCCUGCGCGCUCACAAUCUUUGUCAGGGCGUCUUCAACUUUACUCAUUCUUUCAAGCAUGGAUGGAUCAUUAGCUUCAGGUGAAUUGUUCUGAUAAAAACAGUGACCAUUAGGAUGAACACCUCCACAAAAAUCACACCUGAUGACUUUGAGAUGAAUGAACAACAUAUAAUUGUUGGGGCAAUUUAGCCAUUUGUGUAGUUAGUUGCUCAAUCUGUUGUGUCAGAAUCUUAUUUUUAGCCAAGAGUGCAUCUUCUAACAACCCUUUAUUAUGAAGAUCUUGUCCAUCAUGUUGGGUUUUAUAAUCAGUUGAUGUCAAUGCAUCAAUAAUUAUUGUCACUUGUUCUACAUCAAGGGCCAUCAUUGUGCCACCAACUGCAGCAUCUAGGAGCAUCUUUAUGUCAGAUCUGAGACCAUUCAGGAAUAUGCUCAGUUGAGCAAUAUCUUCAAACCCAUGAUUUGGGCAUUUUCUAAGCAUCAUUUUAAAUCUUUCCCAUGUCUCACAGAAUGAUUCAUCUGCUCCUUGUCUGAACACAAAAAUUUUAGACUUUGCUUUGAUGUAGCGAAAGAUUGUAAAAAAUCUUUGCAGAAAUUUUUCCUCUACAUCCUUCCAGCUAGUGAGACUCUGAUUUGGAAGUGAUCUGAGCCAAUCUUUAGCAUUUUCUGCCAAUGAAAAAGGAAACAAGCACAUAUAAACAAUUUCAAUAUCACCGGAUUGAAAACCCAUUGUUCCCACCAAUUCAUAAAAUGUGUCUAAAUGUGAAUAUGGAUCCGCAUGUUCCAUUGCUGUGAAUUGAUGGGUAUUGAUGAGAGUGAGAAAAUUGGGAUUUGUUUGGUGCAUCUUCUUGCAUGUUGCUUUCUUCCUAAAACAUAUUAGUGGAGAAAAAAAAACGAGUAUUUUUUUUCUUUAAAAAGAAUAAAAUAAAAUAAAUUCAAACAAUCAAAUAAAACUAAUCCUAAAAAACCUAAAAUAAAAUAUAAUAAAACAAAACAAAAUCAAAAUCAAAAUCAAAUAAAAAUAAAAAUAAACUAAAAUAAAAUAAAAAACGUAAAGAAAAGAAAAGAAAAGAAAAUAAAAACAACAACUUUUUUUUUAAACAGCAAAUCUAUAAUAAACUCAAAUCAAAUCUAAUUUGUAAUAAAUAAAAUAAACAAAAUCAAAACAAUUAAAAUAUUUAGGAAAUUAUACUCACCAACUCAACUCCGUUCCCCGGCAACGGCGUCAAAAACUUUAUGACUUUUUACGGCAAGUGCACCGCGUUUGUCAGAAGUAAUAAUUGUCCCUAAGGACGGAUAUCGAUCCCACAAGGAACAGUAAAUUAUCAAGUACAAUAUUCACUAAAUAUAACAACAUAACAAUAAAAAGAGUUUAGAAUUAAUGGUGUUGGCACUGAUCAAUAAGAAAACAAACAAAGAAUUAGUUGCUUCAAUUGGAAAAAUAGGGAUUAGGUUUCAUCUCUCCCACUCUCAUGUAUUUUGAUUAGCAUGUUAAUAUUGAGUUCUUUGAUUGAAAUUGAUGCCCGUAGAAAAUUCAUUUAUAUCGGUCUCUCGCAUAUAAAAUCCUUAAGAAUGUUUCCUAAAUAUCGAUCUCUCGCAUAUUUAUAAAAAACAACUUAGAAUCACACUCAAACGUUAAUGGAAAUUAACAUUUCAAGUCUAUCCCUAGCACUCAAAUAUGCUAAGUAUUGAUGUUUAGGUCCAAACCCUAAAAAUACCUCUCAGUCAGAUUUAAGAUUAUCAAUUUUUCACGGAAAGUUAAAAGUAAAACAACAAUACCAAUAAUCAAUCAAGAACUGAAUAUUAAUAUAUAAGAUAUCACCUCAAUACAUAAGAGUUUGAGCAGAUUACUCUCAAUCCCAAAGGGUAGAAUUAGCCACGCAUACUUCUAGCACAUUCCAUUCUCCCAAUUGGGUUACAAUUCACUCUAUGGUGUUUUCCUCUCAAUCUGGCACACUAGGGUUGAGCCUCUAGCCCUCUAUUUAUCCUAGUUUUCUAGGGUUAGGUUGCUUUCUGUGUCGCGCUAAUGGGCUAAAUGAUAAAACAUAAAAAAUGCUCAAUCUUUCUUUGCAUCUUUUUCCAUUCUGGGACCUUCCGGCUUUAUCUUUUUAGCUCAAUUUAUUCUCCUUUAUUCCAAAUCUUCAAUCAAUCUUCCCUAGAAAUCUGCAAUUAACACCAAAUUUGGGAAUAAAAUGCUCUUAUUCAAAUGAAGCUCAUAAAAAUGUAAAAAGGUAUAAAUUCAUAAAUUAGGGAUUAUUUUAUAUGUAAAUUAGAAAUAAAUCCUCAUAAGGGCCUAUAUUUUAAUAUGAAAUAUUACUGAAAUUACUCUUUCGAUCCAAAUCAAAUAUAUAUCGGCUUGAUCUAAAUCCAAAUCUCGAGACCCAUAACGUUCCAUGGGCAAAUUUCCCAAAAGGACUCAUAGUUACUUCCUAGCACAAUAUCUGAAAAUUAAUCAAGAUAUUUGGGAUUCUCAUUAAAAAUUUGCAUAUUUACCACCACAAAAUAAUCUUAUUUUGCACAAAUAUAUCCUAUCAAUCAAAUUUAUUAUCACACAAUUUAUAUGAUUCCUUGAUAUUUGAUUUUAUGACACGAUAUUAUGAUUUUAUAACAUGAUACUAUGAUUUCGUUACAUAAUACUCGAAUUUUGUUAUAUGAUACUAUCGUUAAAUCUAAUUAUGCCUCAUGAAGGCCAUUGAAAACAAAUAUCAAUUGUCCAGGCCCAUGAAGACCUAUAAAAUAGAUCUACUUUUCCGAUCAACUUAGAUCUACUUUUCUGAUCAAUAGCUCUCCAAUAAACUCAAUUUUUUUUUUUACCAACUCGGAUUCAUGUUUAUUUCUCUAAAUUAAGGUAUUCAUUUAAAAUUUAUCUUCUUCGUUAUGAUUUAUACACUAGACGAAUAUGGCAUGCAACUUAAUUCUAUUUCCUUGGCUACUAAAAACGAUAGGAUGAUUACUCUACUUCCCUUUAAUUAUUCAAAAAAAGUUAAAUCAAUUCUUAACUGUUCCAAAAAAACACAAAUAUGAUCGAUAGUCGAUAUGAGGUUGGCAAUUCAUAUGCCCAAGAAAAAAAGAAAAAAAAAUCGAACAAGGCGCAAGAAAAUAUCCUAAGCAAAGUACUUUACUAAUAAAGGUUCAAAUCAAGAGAGAAAUGGCUUUAUAGGUCCUUCAAUAUCUUUCCAUACCAUCACAUUGCAAGGAUUCACCUCAGAGAGAUCAAUGGUGGGAUGGAGGAUAGCAGCUUGCACAAGCACAACCUCAAAACCCACACCAUAUAAAUUGGCUAUGUCAUUUUUCAAACCUUCAACGAUCUUGUUCCAAUCAGUUUCUUUCUGAGUUAACUUUUCCUUCCCAAGACGAACCUCUUUGUCUCUAGACUUUAGGUCUAGUUGGUGAAUUUGACAGAAGAGGUCGGUCUUCUCCUGAGCCCACUGGCUCGACUCGGAACCAAGUCGAUCUGCCUCCACGACUUCAGCCUGAAUCGCUCCAUUUCUCUUUGGAGGUUGGAUAUUUGCUCGACAUUUUUGUUUUAUUCUUGGCUUUAAGGUUAACCAAACUCAUCAAGGUAGUAACUCUACCUACAUGUAUUUACAAAUUUAACUUCAGUAUUAUAUUGCUCAAUGCGUUCACGGAUAAUUUUACUAAUUUCAUCUGCACGAAUGGUUACCAUGAAAAUAUCUUAAGUUUAUUUUGGGUAAGAAAAAAAAAAUUAUGCAUAUACUCUAUUUUAUAAUAGAAAGACUGAUAAGUUAUUUUUUUUUAUUUCAUCGUCCCAAACAUGCCAAUAUUAGCAUUAACAGUACGUAAAUGUAACUCAUUGUUCAAGAAACUAUUUAGAGUUCUUAGAGCUCCCUAUAACGCUUGUUGUAAAACUCGCUAUCAGACUUGAUUAAUCACUCUUUGUUGUUCAAAAUCAAUGGCUUUGUUUUUUAAAUUUCUAUUUGUUUCAAAGUCGUAGUCCUACAAGUGAGAAACGUCUCCCUCCAAGAAGUUGUGGGAUUUAUUGUGGUUAGGCACGUCAUAUGAAGAAUCCUAAAAGCUCGCCUUCGCUCCCGAGCUAGACCCAAGAUUCCAAUUCUUUAUUACUAUUUCCACCUCAACACCUAUCCGAGUUAGAAUGGGCGAAGGGAGUGGGGUUUUCAGUCCUCCUCUUCUUGUGCAAAUUUUAGACAGUUUGUUCAUCCUUGCGGAAUGAACACGAACACAACUUGAGCCAACAUCCCUGAUGACCAGAGAUGGUUUUGGAGUUUGGAUCUCUUUAAGGCGACAAGCCAACUCCGCUUUCGACAAAGAAUUCAUCAGGUUCUUGCAAAAGUAAAGGUAUUCACUUAGAAGGAGAAAAGACAAACACAAGACAACACACUAUGCAAAAAACCACUCGAAAAAGGCUACACCAAUGUGUGCCUUUAAAUCCAUAGCUCGAAUCUCGCACUUCAUAAUGGUAUAAGUGUCCAAUACUACAUCAUUUUUUUCCAAACACUCACAAAUUCCUCUGCCUCAGGGGUCUAAAUCCUCCAUUUGGUGACCGAAUUGAAGACAAGGGUUGGAGUCCAAUACAAAGGAAACUCUUCCAACAUACUAAGGUCCUUAACCAAAGGACGGACCUUAAUGAAAUGACCCUUAAAUCUUUUAUACAAUGAUUGGAAAAAACACAACAAACCCGUACCAUUAACAUUGCUAAGGGAGGCCCAUAACUGUCUAGACGAGCUCUUAAACUCAAAAAAGUAGAAAAAUAUGUUGGUAGAGGGAACCACACCAAAAUGUGCACAGAGGAUGCUAAACGCACGUAUAGAGGCCCAACUGUUCGGAUGAAACUGGGUCGAAGAUACAUUCAACUCAGUAAGAAUCUGUUUUUCAAACAAACCAAGAGGCAAACACAAACCUAGUAUAAUAAAUACGGUAUCAUACAUAUAGAAAAAGAGACUAAGGUUAGUAGUCUGAUCCCUACAAAUGGGCUCAUUUGCCUCACAAAUCUAAACUCUCACUAAAUGUUCAUCAGUUUUGCUAAGUGCAUACAAUUCGCACAGAUCUAUAAGUUUCUUUAAAGAAGUGAAUACUGAGGUUUCCCUCAACAGUUCUCUCAUAACUCAAAGGUAUGAGGCAGCAUAAUCCAUAUAAUGACAAUCAAACAAGAAACCAAAGCAAGCAAAAAACCGAAAAAGAAAACCUCAGACUUCAACAACCAUUAAGCUACUCGACAUCUACUACUCUAUUAUCACUUUAAAGGAAUCCCCUUUAGAGUAAGGAAAGUUGGGGACAUACCUGUUCAAGAGUCGACAAAGAAAAAGGAAAACCAAAGAAAAACCAUGUAGCAUGGGGAAGGUACUGAGUGUUGUGAAUUCUGAAAAAAAGGAAAUGGAAGGAAGUAACGUUCGAAAAAGAGGGAGACGUUUCAAAAAAGGGAAAAGUACCACGAAUCACAUGAUGACCGACACGUGUACCAGGGCAUUUAAUAACCAUAAGACCCAUGUCCACUCAUUGGCUUCUUAGGAAAAUGUGUGUAAGUCUUUUUAGAGACGCUUUAGAUAAGCUUCUUUGUCUCGCCUGCUCGUAAGGGUGGGCAAAAAAUCCAAAUUGUCAAAUCCAAUUUAUAACUAUCCAAAUCCAUAUUAUUUUUAAUCCAUUUAAAUGGAUUUAUCUAAAUUCCAAAUCCUUUAAUUGGAUAUGGAUUAGAUAUAAACUGGAUACAUUUUUGGAUUAUCCAAAUUGAAUUUUGACUUAGCCUAGGCCCAGGUUGAGUAGAGUCAAUCUGGGCCCAUAUUGAGCUAAGUCGGCCCACCCAUGUCGAGUUGAGUUGGCCUAGGCCCAAGUCAGUUCGGGCAUAAUGUCAAAGUCAAGUCAAGUCAAUUCGGACCCAAGCCGAGCUAAGUGGGCCAGAGCCCAAGUCGAGUCGGUACCCAAACAAGGUCGAGUCGACACCGGACCCAAGUGGAGGCAAGUCGACCCGGGCCCAUUUCGAGCCACAUAAGAUGCAUCCCAUUUAUAAAAUUCUAAUUGGGGAGAUGUUUGUUGUUUAUGCUUUUGUAUUGAACCUUGUCCUUCCCAUGAUAUUGCUAGUUCAUGGAGUAUUUUUACCAUGUCAUCAAAAUUUGUAGCUUCAAUCUCAUCUCCAAGCAUGAGGGUGGGGGUGAAUGGGUGUCACCCUUGUUUGCUUCUAUGAGAGGAGGGAGGUUGAGAGUGAGAGUUAAUGAAAAGUUGAGGGUAUUUAGGAUCCUCUCAUAAUGGAAGAGAAAUGAAAGUGAAUGAGAUGAAAAGACCACGGUGCCCUUCAUACAAUAAUAUUAAUAAUUGAAAUUAUUAUUAAUAAUAAUUAUAUAUAUAUAUAUAUAAUAUAAUUUAAAGAAUCAUAAAUAAUAUUAAAAUUAUCUAAAUAAAUUAACUUAAGUAAAAAAAUUAAUUUAAAUUAAUAAAAUGAAAAAUAAUAAAAUUAUACUUACAUUUAAAAUUAUAUUUAAUUAUUUAUUUGAAUUUUAUAUUUUUUCUUUUACCUCUGAUGAAUUUUUUGACGAUGGUGCAAUACUGUGUCCUACUACAAAAUGUGUGGACCAAGUGAAUGAGUUCAUCUUAUCUUAAUCCCUGAAUAAGAAGUUAGUUAUUUAAGUUCAGACACCCCUUGCCAAUUUGAUGAACAAGAAAAUGCUCAAGGUGAGUGGUUUACAACAAAUUUUUUGUAUGAUAUCAAAUGCUCGGGAAUUCCUAAUCUUUGUGUUAAAUUAAAAGUUGGAGUUCCAAUAAUGCUUCUAAGGAAUAUUGAUCAAGCCAAUGGACUUUACAGUGGAACAAGAUUACAAGUAAUUUACUUGGGGAAGAAUGUUAUUGGUGCCAAAACUAUUACUGUACAAAAUAUUGGUGAUAAAAUAUUUAUUUCUAGAAUGAACUUGACUCCUUCUGAAUAAAGUCUGCCUUUUAAGUUUUAGAGAAGACAUUUCCUAAUAUCUUUGUGCUUUGUUAUGAUAAUAAAUAAAGGCCAAGGUCAAACACUUAAUAAAGUUGGUCUAUAUCUACCACGUCUAGUGUUUACACAUGGACAACUAUAUGUUGUUGUUUCCAGAUUGAAAUCCAAGAAAGGGUUGAAAAUAUUGAUUUUAGAUGAUAAUAGAAAUACCAAUAAUUCAACUACUAAUGUGGUUUACAAAGAAAUAUUUGAAAAUGCUUGAGACAUAUCGUUACAGCCAUAAUAUCUGGUAUGGAAAUUCUUUAAUCUAAAAUUAUUCUUAUUUCUCAUAUCUUUGUUCUAAUAUAUGAAGAUGAAUUUAACAAUUUAUAUACGUUGUUUUUUUGUAAUAAUAGAUUUCUUCAUGUCUAAUAGUAAAUCUUUCAACGGGACUAUAAUGGAUAACCAAGAAAUGUAUAAAUUUAUAACUUUUUAAUAAUUUUAAUUGUCUAUAAUUUUAAUUGUCUAUAAUUUUAGUUUGGUAAAUUUAUUUCUUCUAAAUGGUUUUAUUACAGGAAUUUCAUUGUACUUAGUAACACAAAAGUGCAUAUUCACUACAAAAAAUAAUGAAGUUAUUAUACUUUACACAAGUUUCUUUUUUUUAAUAAAAGCUUUUAUGUUAGACAUCACUAUGCAACUUGACAUCUCAGCUAGGCCGACACAUCAAGUAAGAACAAUCAUUUGUCAUCACAUGGCAAAAGUAUUAUUGAAAGAAGAACAAAUAAAGAAAAUACAAAAAUACAGGAUCUCCAAUGAACCCCCCAGUCUUAAACUCAUCCAUGCCAGGUACAAAACAUAUCGCCCAUACAUACAUAUAUACAUGCACAUUCACACAUUCAUCACCUACAUGAUAGUGUUGCUUUGUUUUUGUUGUUGUUUGGAUUUGUAGAUUGCAUGCCCAAGCUUUAACUCUGGUCGUGUUGUCUGGUGUCGUGACUUAUAGAUACUACGAGAUUCGUGCAUGCGGCCCAAAACUACAGAUCCACGUUCCUUCUCCCACUAUGGCCCGACUAGUUGAAUGGGAGCUUCUAACUCCUUUUUGAGCUUCCCCGUUCGGCACCUUCAAAUUUUUAAAACAAUUGUUGAUUUUGUUCUUUCAGCAAAGCUAUCUCUUCUUCAUGUUUUCGUCGUUCCUCCUCGUGUCGACGCUGCUCUUCUUCAUUGUGUAACCGGUCUGCCAUUGUUUUUGUUUUUUUCGUAGCUCUUCCAUUUGUGCUUGCAGGGUUUGAAGCAUAGCCGUUUGUUCUUCUGUCAUACGAUCGUUGUUGAUGUGCCUUGAUGAAACCAUUGUUGUGGAACUACGCCUCUAUUCGGACCCUACGGUGCUGAUUAUUGUACUUGUAUGAGCUAAGGGGCCAAAUAGUACCUACCACGGGUUGUACAAUUGUUGAUGUCUAGUAUCCUUUGAGUUCCUUUCAAGCUUCUUUCUUAGCUCGGGUGACUCGAACGGGCGAGGGAACCUGCAAUGUCACUCCGACAGUGUAUUUUUAGUGUGAUAUGAAAAAACAUGCAUUCUUUCUACCUCGAAAACCAUAUUUAUAUUACCUCGUUUAUGGGCUUUUGUUCUCAUGGGCUAGGUUUUGGUUGUAUAACUGACAUAUCAUUAAUUCUUAAAUACGCGGGCCUGUAUUUUUCAGUUAUUUGUUAUCUCAAAGAUAUUUCCCAUGUUUUUCAAAACAUGAAUUGACUCAUUCCAAUAGUAUCUUGGCAUUUACUAAUAGGCAAUUGCUUCCUGCACCAUAUCACUGCACCCGAUUCUAGCGGAAAAGACGAAACUAUCCUUAAAAAAAAUUUCCGAAAUAUGUGUUCUGGAUUUUUUUUUCCGGAACGAAAUUUUAUAUUACGGAUUUUUUUAUCCGGAAUGAGUUUCUCAUUUUUGUUUCCGGAUUUUUAUUUCCGAAACACAAUAAUCUCUUUUCCGGAUUUUUUUUUCCAUAAUGUAUUAUUUAUCAAUUCUGGAUUUUUUUGUCCGGAAUAGAAUUUUAAAUUUUGUUUCCGGAUUUUUAUUUCCAAAACUCAAUAACCACUUCCGGAUAUAUUUUUCCGGAAUAUAUUAUUUUUAAUUCCAGAUUUUUAUUUUCAGAAUAAAGGGUAUUUUUGGAAUUUUUAAAAUUGUGUUGGGUGCAGGUUAAAAUGUGUUGGAUGUGUUGGAUGCAGGAAGCAUUUGCCUUACUAAUACCAGUUUGACUCGUGCAUCCGAUAGGGGAGGUCGAGCCCAACUCGUCCAGUAUUGUUCGGUACCAUAUUUAUGAAAAAUAUUGAGAAACCUAUUUACAACAAGGUCUCUUAAUUAAUUGGAUGAAAAAUUAUUUUUAAUCUACACGUAGGAUGCACUCUAUGAUUUACCAUGCUUAUGUCCCAUAAAAUAUUUCUCUAAUUGUUUUUAAUUACAAAUUCUUUUAAAUGUGUUAGCUGUAUCAUUGUACAGUAUCAUUUUAUUAACAUAUUUCUGUUUUGUGUAAAUCAAGAUAUUAAAUAUUAAAAAUGGUAGAUAAAUAUAUGAUUACCAUAUAUUUUAAAUCUUUAAUAUAAUAAAAACAUUUUAAAAAAAUAUUUUUUAUGUUUAAGAAUGACAUAGACAAAAAAUUUCAAAAUAAUUUUUCUGCAGAUAUUUACGACAGCAUGCAAUUUAUGUUUAAGUAUAUCAAACAUUACCUGACAACAGGGAUAGAGUUUACAAGUAAACAAUUUAUUCAUUGAACAAGAUAAUUUGGUGAAAGUCUGUGUAAGAGAAAAUACAACUCUGUUGCAACUUUCGCUUAAGCUAAAAUGAACUAGCCUGAGCUAGAAACUCUGUUGCUAUCUGUCAAAUUCUAGCCUGAGCUAAAAUGAGUUAGUCUGAGCUAGAAAACUCUAUUGCUCUCUGCUAAACUUUAGCCUGAGCUAAACAAAUUUGUUGCUCUCUGCCAAACUUUAGCUUGAGCUAAAAUGAGCUAGCUUGAGCUAAACAAAUUUGUUGCUCUCGGCCAAAUUUUAGCCUGAGCUAAAAAGGUCUAGCUUGAGCUAAACAAAUAUAUUGCUCUCUGCCAAACUUUAGCCUGAGCUAAAAAGAUCUAGCCUAGCUAGUGAGAUUUUUCUAAAAAAAAAAAAAAACUGCAGCAUUUUGAAAUCACAUUUGAAAACCCUGCAUCCUAACUCAUUUCAUUCAAGCAUUCCCAGUUUAAAAAAAUUUCAUCCCAAAAGCUUUCAUACUCAUUCAAACAUUUCAUCUACAUUUCCAUUAUCACGAUAAGUAGUGCUUUUAUGUAUAAAUCUAUCAUCUCCAUAGCCAUCAUUGUUGCCAUUUCCAUUCAACCAAGUUCAGUCAUGCGUGUUUCUACUUCCAUUUCACAGUUUCUUUUUAAGUUGAAAGAUUCAAUCUUUGUGAAAUUUCAAUGUCUUGAUGUUGAAUAGGAUUGUGGAAUAGGAUAAUCAAAGUUAAGCACUGUCUUCCAUGGAUUAAAUACCAAAAAUUACUCAUUCAAUGCCAUUCUAUAUCAUGCAUACCAAGUGUUUGUUAAAAUGCCAAUAAAAAAAACACUUUGGUUUGAGAAAUGCUUGUUCUUACAUGUGCAGAAAAAUGAGUCACACCAAAUCCACAACUGGUAUUAAAUAAUUCGUCGUUGACACCCACUGAAUUUCAUGAUUAUCUAUCUUGGCCUGGGACAGACACAAAUUUUCAUGGGAGGCAAGAACCUUUGGAGUUGGAACUAGAGUUGAAGAUACACCAGAAAUGGCAGCUGGACCAACUGGAGCAGCAACAGCAGCAGAUGAUGAACAUUCAAAUCAAUUCCAGAAUGAUUAUUGUGGCACAAAGCGGAACAAAAUUACAAGAGGAGAUUGAUACUUCUCAUGCACAAUGAACCGAAAACUGGUUUUAUCUUUUUUGUUUAACUUUAAUUUCAGUAUUAAUUUAGUUUAAGUAGUUUAGUUAGUAAGUUGACUGUAGCAGUUUAGUUUAAUAUUUCUUACCUUAACUUUUGUUGAUGGCAAGCUUAAGUUAGUAGAAUGGUUGAUAUUUGCAUAUUUUGUUAAGUGAAAUCUUGUAUAUAGAUAGAUGAUGGUAUAAAUUUUUGGAAAAAGAAAUCAAACCAUAGCUCUAAAUUAGAACAACCAAAUGGAUUGAUCAGGAACUUAAUUUGAAAAAGAAUUUGUGGCUGGAACCAUCACUCAAAUUGAGAAAGGAUAGUAAUGUGUAAAAGUUGGAACAAGGUAAAUAGUUGAAAGCAAUGUCUGAGAACAAAUGAGGAAUUGAAAUUAGCCAACCAAGUGAGAGUGUGAAACCUUUAAACAGUUUGAGAGACUUUCACUAGUGAAGAGUUAAUUGAGGUUGCCUAAUUUUCUAGUCAAUUUGCAUCACAAAAUCAAAUAUGGAAAUGAUUGAGGCAUGUUUAAUAGAAUUGGAGGUGAGAAAACUCAGAGCCAAACAACUAACCUUUGCAAUAUAUGAUGAAAUGUGCAGAAAAAUAACCCUUUUUGAGCCAAAUUUGUUUUAUUGCACCCUAACUUCUAAUAUACAUAUAUUGUCCUACCUUGUGGUAUGCUAACAAAAGGAGAGCAUAGGUGCAAUUCAAAUUUCUAUAAUUAAAAGAGUUGGGUUUGGUGUGGCUGCUGGGAUUUUGAGAAUGAAAAAAGAAAAAAGAAAAAAAAGGGAAUGACAAAAUUAUCCAAAUUCUCAUUCUCUUUUCUAAAAAAAAAAAGAAAAAAAAAGAAAAGCAAUGGGGAUUACAAGAAUAUAAAAAGAAGCAAUGUGAAUGAAUCUUAUGGAAGUGACAAUGGAUAACACAAUUAGAAAUUGAAUUGCAAAUAUGCUAAUCUUUUGUUAAGUGUGCAUUUUGUUAUCCUGGAAAAACCAAAUUUUCUUUGUAACCCAACCUCAUUCCAACCUGAAAAAGACCUCAAGAUCUAUGUUUGUGAAAGUGUUUGUAAUCAACUGGAAAUGAAGGGCAACCUUAAAUUAACUUGGAAUUCAGUGAAAAAAAGAGGCAAAACACUCACCAGUGAGGAAUGAAGAGAGAAAUUCCUUAGUUUGAUUCUCAGUGAAAAGUAACAAUUGUUUACCUUGGAAAUUUAAUACAUUCUUAUCCUGUCUUGGAUUGAAUUGAUAGGAAACACCAUAAUUUUUUUUGUUGAAUUAUCUUGUGCUCUUUCCAUGAAGUUGUUCUGAUAUUAAACUAUAGAUUUGAUUUCUAAAGAUUUAGGAGAAGAAUGAACUCAUAUUUUUUGGGAUUCAAUUACUUUGCUUGAGGACAAGCAAGAUUCUAGGUUGGGGGGAAUUUGAUAAGUGCUAAUGUGUAGUUUUUAUGAUUGAGAAAAUUGAACACUUAAGAAGCAGAAGAGGCACAUACACUAUUACAACCAGCAUGGGAAGAUUAGAUGUUGAGAUAAACUACCCAUAUUUUAUGGUGGAAAGACAUCCCAAACCUGUGGGUGAAGUGUGGAAAGUGGAGAUAAAUAUGAAGCAUUGAAAGAAUUAUUCAAGCUGGCAUUGACCGAAAGAAAGUAAAAACUUAAUUGGAUCACAAGAAGAUUUAGCUCAAGCUAGAGUAUUUAGCUUAAGCUAAAACUGUCCAGAGUUGAUUAAAGGUGCAAUACUAAUCUAGCCCAGGCUAGAAUUGCUAGCUCAAGCUAAAACUGUCUAGAGUUGAUUAAAGGUGCAAUCCUGAUCUAGCUCGGGCUAGAAUCGCUAGCUCAAGCUAAAAAUGCACCGAAAGAUCUAGCUUAAGCUAAAUUGGCUAGCUUGAGCUAAAGUUGAUUAUAUAAAUUUUGAAACACAACUCAAAAGGAAGCGGUGGAGAAAGAUUGAAUUUUUAUAGAGAGAUUAGUGAGAGAAGAAGGAAAAACCUUUGUUCUUAGGAGAAGAACUUGCUCAGAUCAGCCCUUCUUAUGCAAUCCAGAUCAAGAAUGAAGAUUGGAGGAGUUGUCAUGAGUGGCUAANNNNNNNNNNNNNNNNNNNNNNNNNNNNNNNNNNNNNNNNNNNNNNNNNNNNNNNNNNNNNNNNNNNNNNNNNNNNNNNNNNNNNNNNNNNNNNNNNNNNGUUAUUGUUGUAGUAUAUAUAUAUAUAUAUAUAUAUAUAUAUAUAUAUAAUAUUCUCUUUUCUACUUGUUCUUGGUAUUUUCAUUUUAUGCUUAUUGCUUGAUUUUGUCUGAUCAAUAGAUUCUUGAUUUUGAUCCUUAAAUUUAACUGGAAAGUACCUUUAAGGAUCUGAAAUAGACGAAAAUACUUGAUAACUUGUAAUGCUAGGAAUAUAUUCCAGGUUAUUAAUUGCAUCAUAAUUCUGUUCAUAAAGCUGGAUGAUUUGUUAGAUAUCUGAGGAAUCAGUAUUUGAGAAAUUAUCUUAUGAAUUUCAUUUGUGAGGAAUCAAGGUGAAUGACUUUAAAUUAAGCAUUAAGAAUAAGUAGUUUUGAGUAUUAUAUAUUGUAUUAUUCAAAAUACAGAUGAUUGAGAUCAACACAAAUCAAUCACAAGUAUCUUUCUCUAUAUUUGAUAAGUUGGUUUUGUUAUGUCUUGAAUCAAACCCUAACUCUCCGAGUUAUUUGUGAAAUCUUUAAUUUGGUUAUGAACAAAGUCUCAAAAUUAUUUUCUAUACUUAAUGAGUUUUAUAACAGAACAAUUUUAAUUAGAAUUGUUUCCUGUGGGUUUGACAUUCGUACUUUAAAGAGUAUAUUACAAUUGAUUCGGUACAUUUGCCGAAAAAUAUCAACAAUGCGUCCAGUAUCGUUUGGUACCAUAUUAUGAUAAAUAUUGAGAAACCUAUUUCCAACAAGGUCUCUUAAUUAAUUGGAUGAAAAAUUAUUUUUAAUCUACACGUAGGAUGCACUGAUUUACCAUGCUUAUCUCCCAUAAAAUAUUUCUGUAAUUGUUUUUAAUUACAAAUUCUUUUAAAUGUGUUAGCUGUUAUACAGUAUCAUUUUAUUAACAUAUUUCUGUUUUGUGUAAAUCAAGAUAUUAAAUAUUAAAAAUGGUAGAUAAAUAUAUGAUUACCAUAUAUUUUAAAUCUUUAAUAUAAUAAAAACAUUUUAAAAAAAUAUUUUUUAUGUUUAAGAAUGACAUAGACAAAAAAUUUCAAAAUAAUUUUUCUGCAGAUAUUUACGACAGCAUGCAAUUUAUGUUUAAGUAUAUCAAACGCAAUUUAUGUUUAAGUAUAUCAAACACUACCUGAAAACAGGGAUAGAGUUUACAAGUAAACGAUUUAUUCAUUGAACAAGAUAAUUUGGUGAAAGUCUGUGUAAGAGAAAAUACCAAUUAUUUGGUAUGCUCCAGUAUGAAAGCUACAAACAACCAGUCAGCUAAAGGGUUCAAUGUAAUAAAUGAUAUUAAGGUCAGGGUGGAGAAGGAGGGCCCCAAGUGGUAUCCUGUGGUGAUAUUCUUGCUCUGGCAACUCGAGACUCUGUGGUUUAUGUAAUGGAUACAUUUAUAUUUCUAAGAUUCUAUUUUUAUUGGAGUAAGAGUUAUCAAUUAUUAUGGCACUUGAACAGAUAGAAGUUUUGCAGUUAGGAAAACCUUCUUGGUAAGUGGGGUUGAAGAGAUUCUACAAUAGCAUGUAGAAGUGAUGCUGAUAAUAACAUUCCUGAGCCUUUCCUCAAUCCAACUGCUCUCAAAAACAAUUUUGCUAAUCUUUCAGGUGCUAUACUGAUUUGUUAGACGUCUUCAAUCAGUAAUGAAAAAUUGAAUAAUAGUGUUUCCAAUGUUUGAAUUAUUAAAAGUAAGGUGGCUGAAAUUUAAUAAAAAAAUUGAUAAGUAGUCCAUUUCUUUGAGAUUAAAGAAAGUAAUGUUGUGAUUCGGCCUUUUCAGAUUUUAUCAGAAACAUAUAGAUAAUCUUAACUUUUUUACAUAAAUACUGCAAUGUUUUUCACAUUUUCAUUUUUUAAAUAGCUUACAUAACUAUUAUAAUAUAAUUUAUCGUGUCCAUAACAAAGCAUCCUGUUCUAGAUAUUCUUGAAGCUGAUGAUCUCAGCACCAGAUUCCCCCUUCACUUCAAUUUUAUCAACCUUUUUAAAACAAGCAGGCUUUAUCAACUCUUCACUAGAUUCAACCUUCACUUCAACUUUAACAACCUUUUUAAAGUAAGCAGGGUGAUCCAAGUCAUCACUAGAUUCAACCUUCACUUCAAGAUCAUCCAAGUAAUCACUAGAUUCAACCUUCACUUCAACUUUAUCAACCUUUUUCAAGUAAGCAGGGUGAUCCAAGUCAUCACUGGAUUCAACCUUCACUUCAAGAUCAUCCAAGUCAUCACUAGAUUCAACCUUCACUUCAACUUUAUCAACCUUUUUAAAGUAAGGAGGGUGAUCCAACUCAUCACUAGAUUCAACCUCCAUUUCAAAUUUACACAACUCUUCAUAGUCAGAGAUCUGUUUUGCUAUGUAUUCUAAAAUCCAGGGAAGUUUGACUGCUGAUUCUGAGAAUUCAGCAAAUAUGUAUCAUAUACUACCAAAAUAUUUAUUUUGACAUGAUUGAAUAAUUAACUUAAAAACAAGUGUGCAGAAUUAGGUAUCAGUGAACGAAGGCUCCCAUGACACAAUCGCCAAAGGGACAAUCUUACCAAUACAUCAAGAUUCACCUUCACACAAAUUCAUGACUUACAAAUAGGGCAAGUACCCAUUAUAUUUUAGAUAUGAAGACAUUUCAUAGAGUUUCUUUCUUCUAAAAUUGUCUAUCUAGUUUCAUUAGACACCAAUGGAAAGGCAGGAUACUCAUCUUUUAACCGUAAAUAAAGAAUUAUCGGAAAUUCUGGGUGCAAUAUGCAAUAUUUUUAACAAUUCAACAUCCUUUGAUUUCCUAAUAAAAUCACAGAAACUUAGGACACAGAAACUUGAUAGUAAAUUAAUAUACCUUUGCCCGAGGAGAAGUCAAUGUUUUGGCCUUGGAUAGGUUCAAACCUUCAAACUCAUCAUUUUUCUGGCUGUUUUUUCAUCACAAAACCAUACACCACAGCAGUUAUAUGAAAGAACUUCCAACUAUAACAUUGAAUCCAACAAAGAGACGAAGGAAACAUAAAAUGUCAUGAGCAUGCACCAUAGUAAUGGCAAAACAGGACAGGCUAAAGAGGUCAAAUAAAAAAAAAGUAUCGGUUCAGGAAAGCUUUCACAACAUUACCAUGGUUAGAAUUUUAGUCCCCAAUCUCAUUAUUUUUCCGGUGUCCCAAAACUUCAAAAAACCCUCAAUUAUUUUCCCCGGGUCCCAAACUUCAAAAAACCCUCUCUUAUUUUUCUCGAUAAUGGUAUCUUAAAACUCAAUACAACUUCGACAAAAACACAAUCUACCAAUUUUUUUGAAGGUUAAUACUUACAGACUAUCAGAUAUCUUCAAAUUUGGGGUGCUGCUAACAGGAACAGCCACUGCCUUCCCUUUGUCCUUCUUUCUUUUAUUCGAAGAACGUCUUAGGCUGUACACUACUGAAAUAGGCUGAACAGGGUCAUAAGCCUCAACAUCAUCAGAAGCUUCGGCAUCAACAGCAUCAACAAUCUCUCAAGGAAAAAAAGAAAAAGAAAAGAAAUCACAGAGGGAUUAAACAUAGUUAUACGAAAGCUUGAAAUCAAAUAGCGAUAAUUAAAUACAGUGAUUAAACAUGGUAUAUUGAAAUUGAAUUUGUCAAGCGACAGUAGUAUUGCGAGGUGGAAUGUGUCUUUGGUUGCAAGAGAAACUAAAAUUGUAAAAUCAAUAAAAUAAGGAAGCGUGUGUACGGAUUGAAGGGAGGUUAUUGAAUCGGCGGCGUGUAGAGAGGGUGCUUUGAGAGAUGGUGUGGAGGGAACGGACGGUGAAGGAUGGGUAGGGUUUGGGGCAUUAUCGAGAUUGGUGGAGGCGGCAACAGUGUUUUCAGUGACACGUCUAUCGAGUGCAGAAGAGGAAGUAGUAGAAGAAGAAGAAGGGUUAGUGAUAUCGGAAAGAGGCUUUCUGCGAACGACCACUCGUCGUUUUCUGUUACCUUUCAUCCUUACUUGCGGAGUUGGAUUUCUAUUGCCGGCGAAAAACAAGUUAAACGUGUGUGAUGAAGCGAGUGCACAAACUUUACUGCAAGUGCGAGAAGGCUUAUUCUUUUUCUUCUUCUUCCCAGACACCAAGAAUUCGAUUUUUGUUUUUCUUUUUUUGUUUUCUGUUUAAUACCAACGCCAAGAACAAAGGCAAGCCUGCUCCUAUCCAAUACGGGCUUAGGCUUACUAAUUACAUUGAGGCUGAUUCUCCCUGGAGACAGCUUCUUCCUGCACCUCCAUGGCUUUUUGGGCACCCCAUACUAAAACCACAUUUACUUUUAUACCCUUCAAUAAAAAUAUUAAAAUAUUAAUUUAACUUACUUUAAUUUCACUUUCUCUUUCUCACCAUUUCACUCCCAGCAGCCGCAGUCCCAACACCACUUCGGACACCUCUUUCAAUGAGAAGGAUGCAAUGAGUGUCGGAUUAAGUAAUCCGGUAUAACUUAGGAUUCAAUGAUUCUCGGAUCACAUAAUCCAGUGUGUAUGAUUAGAGUUAUGGAUUACUUAAUCUGGUAGGUUUGUUUUAUUCUUGCGUAAUCUGAAAGUUGUAAUAUUUUUUUUUAAAGUUUUUCAACCCAUUUCAGUAAAAUAUAUUAUGUAGACAUGAUGAUAUUAUUCAUUGUCUCUAAAUAAUUGAAAUUGAUAUUGUGUUGUGGAUAGAUAUGGCUAAAACAAGAGGUGAUGGGGUCAUGAUCGCAGAAGACAGACGACAUCCGUUCAUAGAAGAGAGUUAUGUGAUGUUGAGAAAUUGAUUGAUGAUGAUGUUCAUAUUGAUAAUGAAAAGGAUUAUGGAUGAUGACCACUACCCCCCUUUCACAUCCUAAGACAUUUUCAUUUUAUUAUAAUUUUCAUAAAUUCACACAAGUAUGCAAAAUAAAAAUAAAAUUCACUUUCAUACUUAAAACUGACUUCCAAAUUCUAUAAUCCGUAAGUCAAAUUUUUUCUACACAAUGACUUCUGGAUUAUGUAAUCUGUAAGUAAUUUUAGAACUGCAAAAAUGACUUCCGAAUUAUGUAAUCCAUAAGUCAAAAUUUUCACCUGCAAAAUGAAUUAUGGAUUAUAUAAUCCGUAAGUCAUAUUAAUACAACAAAAUGGAUUCCGGAUUACCUCAUUCGUAAGACACAUGUGGAGUUUUAAAAUCACUUCCACAUUAUGUACCCAUACUUCAUUUUGGCACUGGAAUACACAAUCCGGAAGUGUUAAUUUGGUAGGUCCAGAUCCGGUAUACCUACAGAUUAUCUAAUCCGGUACGCUUUGCUUAUGCACUGGAUUAUGUGAUCCGUUGAUCUCUCAGAUUACAAAUUUUUUCCUUUCGGAUAUUCAUAUCCCUAAGUCAAAUUACAAAUUUUUGGAUGUACAAAUUCAGAACUAAUAUGUCACUUAUGGAUUUCACCAUCCGGAAACUUAUUUGGACAGCAUAAAUGAUAUUCUGGAUGUCAAGAUCCGUAAGCAAACAUAAAUAAGUUCUAGAUCUCAAUCCUUAGCACCAUUUACAACACAUCAUUCCGGAUAUGACCAUUCGAAAGCUUAAAUGAAAUAUGAAAAUGACCUUCCAGAUUUCAAAAUAAAAAAUUGUACAAAAAUGACUUCCGGAUAUUAAAAUCCAUAAACAAAUGUGUGAAAAGGACAGAAUGGAGUUUUAAAAUUUUUGUUGAGUGCAAGUAAAAAUUGAUUGGAUGCAGGAAGCAAUUGCCUUACAUUAAUACGUGGCAACAACGCGAGAUUCUGUUUAAUUUCUUUUAUAUAUUUUUUAGUUUUACAGAGUAUAUAUUUAAAAUUAAUUUUAAAAUAAUAUAUAAAAUCUAAACUGAAUUAUUUUGGUUAAAUAUAUUUUGGUGCCUGUACUUUCAUCUGAAAUAUUUUUUUAUGUAUUUGUAAUAAAAGAAAUUUAAAUAAUAAACAAUUUUUCAAUAUAAACUAAAAUAUUAAAAUAUUUUAUAAAAUUUAAAGUUUAAAUUAUAGAAAACCCCAAUUUCAUCUUUUAAUAAAAAAAAAACAUAUUUAAUCUAAUAAAUAACUUUAUUGCUGAUUUGAUAGAAAAAAGCAAUACCGUCCUUGAAAACAAAACCAGGGUAAGACUCCGCCGGUUUUACCUUCCAGUAUUACAUCAAAACACACAUGAACCCAUGAAAACAAAUCAAGGGGCACUCAAAUUACAAACUUACCCUUUCUCUCAUCUAUAAGGAAAAUGAUUGCUUGAUAUCUUGCGCCUGGAUACAACUGAAGUACGUGGCAGAUUUAAUGACAUGGCAAAGGGUAAAUGUGUCUUUUCGUUAAAUAAAUAAAAAUAAGGUUAAACAAAAUGGGAUUUUUGAUUUCAAUGAAAUUUUGGUUCUUUCGUUUAGGGUUUCAGCGUAAACCAGCUUGUGCCUUCAAUUUCAUAGGUUGCGCCUUCAAUUUACGCCAUCAAUUUGCACCUCCAAUUUCGUAGCUUACGCUUUCAAUUUACGGCACCAAACCUUCAAAUUCAUAGAUUGCGCCUUCAAUUUACGCCACCAAUUUGAACCUUCAUUUUCAUUUUCUGAAAGGGUUGGGAGAUUGCGAUUUGGGGCUUCAAAAAAGGUUUCUUUUCGUUUUUUUUUUUGCAUUAUGGUUGCGAUUUUUUUCUCUGCUUUUGUGAUUGGUUGGCAUUCAUUUUCGAUUUCAUGCUGUGUAUUUUGUAUUUCUGUUUUGGAUUGUGAUUUUAGGGGUUUGAUAGGGUUUCGUUUUGGGUUCUUAUUUUAGGGUCUGUGUAGGAUUCCGAUUUGGGAUUCUGGUUACAUAAUCUGGUUACCUAAUCUGCAAUGAUUAAAAUAAAACUAGACCAGAAUACACUCCUCCAUCACUGUAAUUGCUUUUCCACGCAAAAACACUCUUUGGUUAUGCUCAUCUAAACUAAUAUUGAAAUUCCUCCUCUGAGUGAUGUUUGUUACAAGUGUAAUUACACAUUAGUAUGACAAUGAGACAGAUAAUCCCAACGAGUGAAAGGAGAGUACCUGAUAAGCAUUCAAAUCAUAUUUCCCCAGCUUCUUGCUCCAUAUGAUUAGGUUCCCUAAUAUAUACGAAGGGAAAGUAAAAUAACAUAUCCUAUUCGAUGCAUGUAAAGUAUGGUAAAAAUAAAACAAAUAAAGAAGAAAUAAACCCUGUUUCUUUAGGUGGGUAAAUAGUGAGGGCAGACACCACCUAGGCAGAAGUUAUAUAUAUGAAAAAUCAAUGUUUCUUUAGGUGGAUAAAUACAGUUUUUUUUUCAGGAUAUAAUGGAGGGAGAUGCAGGUGAAGUCGAUGAUUUGGUUAUGGAGCACAAGGUCUGAUUCAACAAAAUCAUAAUUUGUGCACAACGCACACUGAUUUUUGUUUUUUGAUGAUUUGUUUUUUCGAUUUCAUAUGUAGGUGUUUCGAAAUUAUUGUAGAACAACUUUUCUGGGUGUAGUGAAUAAGAGGUUAACUGAUGAACAAAAGAGUUUCAUUCAAUCAACCCCAUUUGCAUGGGUAAUGUUGUUGGGUGACAAGGUAAAAAUGAGUCGAACCCUACUUAGGGAGUUGUGUUCUAGGUGGGUGGAGAGAAGACAAAGUUUCCUCAUAAGGUGUGAAGUUGUCCCGUUGUCCUUGGUAGAUGUUUGUUUAGGUUUGGGGUUGAGAGUUGUGGGAGAAAAAAUAGACUUGCACAAAGCAGCAGACGAAAGUCAUACUAAGACUUUAUUUGAAAGUAAUAAUAUCAAUGUCAAGAUGAUUUUUGAUGAAAUUAUGAAGUUUGACAAUGAUGGUUGCAUUGAGGACUUUUGUAGAUUGUACAUAUUGUUAUGCCUUUCAGAGUUUUUACUACCAAAUAGAAUGGGUAUUGUUCAUUCUGGGUUGUUUAGCGUUUUGGAUGAUUUAGGGCAACUAAAAAAGUUUAAUUGGGGUUUAGUAGUUUAUGAGUACUUAGUAAAUAGUUUGUGUUCAGCUUCGAUGUGUAUUACGAACGAAUCAAGUACAUCACAUAUCCACAUUUUUGGAUGUGUAUACUUAUUACAGGUACUUUGAAAUGUUUAUGUUUAUAUAAUUCAGUUCAUAUGCGUAAUUUAUUUCAUAUUUUAUUGAGCAUGAUUGAAAUUUUUAAUAUUGAUGGUAUAUAGAUAUGGGCAUUGGAGCAUUUGUUCUCAUACAAGACAAAAGUGCAUCCCAGAAGAAUAAAAUUUCCUAGAAUUUUGAAUUGGAUGGACUUUACAUUGGGGGACCAUGAAAUUGCAUAUGCGUUGGAAAAGAAUUUGGUAAGGCAUCAUUUUAAUUCAAAUAUGUAGGGAAAUAUUGUUGUUGAUGAUGUAGUAAUGCAUUGAUUUAUGUUUUCACUAUUAUUUACAUAAUCAGGUUAUUGUUCAUUUGCCUGUGUCCAAGGAAGAGUUUGAGAAUGUAAUUGUAAAAGAAGCCUUUGAAGAAGGUCGACAUGCAUAUAACAUCCUAAAACCAACAAAAGAUGAUAUUGGUAAAAUGCUUAAAAAACUGCAGAAAUGGUUCAUCGAGCUAAGGACAAGAUUAUUUGAUUACCAAUGUUGAGAAUAUUGUGAAGCAGUUAAAGCAAUGCAUAAGUGAAAUGCACAAGUCUGUUCCAGAAGAUUGUCCUUCACCUCUACUUGAACCACUAUCAGUGGAUUAUACAUAUAGGGAAAAGAAUGAGUUGAAUGAUAUUAAUGCAGGACAACAUGAACAAGAAGAUGUGGGAAAUCAAAAAGAUGAAGAAAAGGUGCCAAAUGAAGAAAGUAACAUGAUAUCACGCAUGAAACGUGAACCCAGAAUUCGGGUCAAGGCUCCUAUUUUGAAAACACCUUGGAUGACGUAUUCCAGGAAAAGAAGGAAGCGUUUGUAGUUGUAUAUGACUGAUUAUGUUAUUGUUAAUUUUAGUAUGCUUUUGGGACAUUCUACUAUUACACAAUAAAUAUUUUAUGUUUUAACUGAUAUUCAUAAUUUGAACAAGUACAAAAUUUAGCAACAUUACCGUAUUAGUCAUUACAAAUUCAUUGUCUAUUAAUAUUUAUUUUGAUGUUAAUGUAAAAUUGUAUAUUUAUUUACAUGUCAUAUGUUUAUGUUGUUUUAUUAGCUAUGACAAAGGUAUUGUAUGCAUAAUUUUUAACUGUCACAGUGCUCACAGUAUGUGGUGAUCCCUGUGUACAUAAGUGGUGAUCACAGUAUAACUUUCUGACCCAUGCACGAAUUGUGGAUUUUUUAAGUGGGUAUAUUUUGGAAAACCAGGAUGAAUUGUUGGACAUGUGGGAGGUGGGUGGAUGGUCCCAAGGUUAUUUUUGCAUUCUCAAUUGGUCAUGGGUGAUGUGGUGGUCAUUGGAUUUUCAUCCAUAUUAAGUGGGGAUGAGGGCACCAAUAAGUGGUGAUUUCAGUAAUAGUUUCUGUACACAUGACCUACUGUUUCUGAAUUUUACUUAAAUUGGUUCAUGCUUGACUUUUUUAACUGUCACAGUGCUCAGAGUAUGUGGUGAUUCCUGUCUACAUAAGUGGUGAUCACAGUAUAACUUUCUCACCCAUGCACGAAUAGAACAUAAUUUUCUUACAAAUAUUAUCAUUGACAAAGUUCAUAUCAAACAACAUUGCUGUAAGCAUUAACAUCCCAUUUUAAAAGGUGGGAUACACAAUAACCCACCACAAUUGCAAACUAAAUAAAAAUGCAUGACGGAUUGGUCACAAUGUGAAAUUCUUUGUUAAUAUCAUUCCAAAAGUUUGAACUUCUAACGUUGUGAUGUCACUUUAAAUUAUGGCCUGCAAGGAAAGCAACAUGCUUAGAGGUUUAAUUUAAGUGUAAAAUAAUUGUACUGGGUUCAACAUAACACAAGAACAAUUUUUAAUGUACAAACCUAUUCAAUUCUACUGCACUUGAAUGCUGUGAAUUAUUUACACUAUUAUCCAAUGAUGUCAAAAGCGAAAGGAAUCCUAUUGAAGCUCCGAUUGGAACCUACAAUUGCAAACAAUUGAAUGAAGGAAGCGAAAACAUGAAACAAACUUUCACACUUAUAACAACAACAAUAACUUACAGAAGGCCCUUCACUUCUGUGUUCGGCGUGAUUUUACCUCCAAUCCAUGGAGGUGGGCAGAACAAUUUCUUCAAUUUCAUGGUAAUGUUCAUCUUCUUUGCAAAUUUUGUGUUACACUAAUAACCAAACUUAUAUUUUUACGUGAUUACCUUGAAGGAGUAAUUGAUGGACAUGAUUGUGGCCAAAUGUCAUACUUGAGUGAAAUCAAACAAUCAACUGUAUUGCCAUUGUUGACUUGUGUCAUCAAAUCUUGCCACCGGAACGUAAUAGGAGGCAUGUCUAUAUGUUUAAAGGUAUGUUAUGUACUAUUGUUCUUCAUGUAAAACUGAUGCAUUUCAGACUAAAAUUGUGUUCAAAACAUAUGCAUUACAGGAUCCAAAAGGGAUAGCAAGCGCAAGUGUUCACCAAAAAGUGUUAAUUGAUGCAGAAUUUGGAGCUGACAUCGUUGUAGGAUCUGUAUUAGUCUUGAAAAAGGUACGUCAUCUAAAUCAUAUGUUGUUUAACACAAUUUUACUGUAUUUGAAUUUAUUAUCAUUUCUGCUUUUAGGUAAAGAUUUUUUCUCCAGAUCAAAGAGUCUUCUAUCUUCAAAUAACGGUCAAUAACAUUGUUAAGGUAUUUUCACUUAAAUGACAUAAAUUUACAAUUUCUUACAUUGUUGCAUUAACAUAUUGACAAUAAUUAGGUUUUCAAAUUUGACAUAUGUCCACCAACUGAAGAACUAAUUCGUGCUUCCAAGCCAGUCAUACGCGUUCCACCCAUUCUAGGUACAUGUACACCAUCAGAAAGUUUACAUAUAUGCAAUUAUGUAUAUAAUGUCACAAUUGAUAUUUAUAUUUUCUUUGCUCUCUGUAUUAUCAGAUGCAAAGUAUUUAAGAUUUUUCAAUGAGGAAGAAACUCGCAAAAACAAAAGCUGAAGAGGUUGUUUAUGACCAUGGUUGCUUUCCAUUGUAUGACAUGAAAAUGCAUUAGUAACUUUUAAAGUCAUUGUAUGAACAUGAUGCUUAUUAAUUAUGUGAGUUAAAGAUUGAAUUUCCACGUUUGUUAUUUUCCAACAAUUCAUCCUGGUUUUCCAAAAUAUACACACUUCAAAAAAUCCACAAUUCGUACAUGGGUCAGAAAGUUAUACUGUGAUCACCACUUAUGUACACAGGGAUCACCACAUACUGUCAGCACUGUGACAGUUAAAAAAGUCAAGCCUAAACCAAUUUAAGUGAAAUUCAGAAACACUACGUGCUGUGUGCAGAAACAAUUACUGAAAUAACCACUUAUUGGUGCCCUCAUCCCCACUUUUUAUGGAUGAAAAUCCAACGACCACCACAUAACCCAUGACCAACUGGGAAUGCAAAAAUAACCUUGGGACCAUCCACCCACCUCCAACAUGUCCAACAAUUCAUCCUAGUUUUCCAAAUGGACCCACUUAAAAAAAUCCACAAUUCGUGCAUGGGUCAGAAAGUUAUACUGUGAUCACCACUUAUGUACACAGGGAUCACCACAUACUGUGAGCACUGUGACAGUUAAAAAAGUAAAGCCUAAACCAAUUUAAGUGAAAUUCAGAAACAGUAGGUGCUGUGUGCAGAAACUAUUACUGAAAUCACCACAUAUUGGUGCCCUCAUCCCCACUUUUUAUGGAUGAAAAUCCAAUGACCACCACAUCACCCAUGACCAACUGGGAAUGCAAAAAUAACCUUGGGACCAUCCACCCACCUCCAACAUGUCCAACAAUUCAUCCUGGUUUUCCAAAAUAUACCAAGUUAAAAAUUUCCACAAUUCGUUCAUCAGGCAUAAACUUAUAUUAUCAUCACCACUUAUGUACACAAUAAUCACCAAAUACUGUGAGCACUGUGACAGUUAAAAAAGUCAAGCCUAAACCAAUUUAAGUGAAAUUCAGAAACAGUACGUCCUGUGUGCAAAAACUAUUACUGAAAUCACCACUUAUUGGUGCCCUCAUCCCCACUUUUUAUGGAUGAAAAUCCAAUGACCACCACAUCACCCAUGACCAACUAGGAAUGCAAAAAUAACCUUGGGACCAUCCACCCACCUCCAACAUGUCCAACAAUUCAUCCUAGUUUUCCAAAAUAUACCCACUUAAAAAAAUCCACAAUUCGUGCAUGGGUCAGAAAGUUAUACUGUGAUCACCACUUAUGUACACAGGGAUCACCACAUACUGUCAGCACUGUGACAGUUAAAAAAGUCAAGCCUAAACCAAUUUAAGUGAAAUUCAGAAACAGUAGGUGUUGUGUGCAGAAACUAUUACUGAAAUCACCACAUAUUGGUGCCCUCAUCCCCACUUAAUAUGGAUGAAAAUCCAAUGACCACCACAUCACCCAUGACCAACUGGGAAUGCAAAAAUAACCUUGGGACCAUCCACCCACCUCAAACAUGUCAACAAUUCAUCCUGGUUUUCCAAAUAUACCAAGUUAUAAAAUUCCACAAUUCAUGCAUGGGUCAGAAACUUAUACUGUGAUCACCACUUAUGUACGCAGGGAUCACCACAUACUGUGAGCACUGUGACAGUUAAAAAAGUCAAGCCUAAACCAAUUUAAGUGAAAUUCAGAAACAGUACGUCCUGUGUGCAAAACUAUUACUGAAAUCACCACUUAUUGGUGCCCUCAUCCCCACUUAAUAUGGAUGAAAAUCCAAUGACCACCACAUCACCCAUGACCAACUGGGAAUGCAAAAAUAACCUUGGGACCAUCCACCCACCUCCAACAUGUCCAACAAUUCAUUCUGGUUUUCCAAAAUAUACCAAGUUAAAAAUUUCCACAAUUCGUUCAUCAGGCAUAAACUUAUAUUGUCAUCACCACUUAUGUACACAGUAAUCACCAAAUACUGUGAGCACUGUGACAGUUAAAAAAGUCAAGCCUAAACCAAUUUAAGUGAAAUUCAGAAACAGUACGUCCUGUGUGCAAAAACUAUUACUGAAAUCACCACUUAUUGGUGCCCUCAUCCCCACUUUUUAUGGAUGAAAAUCCAAUGACCACCACAUCACCCAUGACCAACUGGGAAUGCAAAAAUAACCUUGGGACCAUCCACCCACCUCCAACAUGUCCAACAAUUCAUCCUAGUUUCCCAAAAUAUACCCACUUAAAAAAAUCCACAAUUCGUGCAUGGGUCAGAAAGUUAUACUGUGAUCACCACUUAUGUACACAGGGAUCACCACAUAUUGUGAGCAUUAUGACAGUUAUCACAAUAGUAUCACGGUUAAAUUUAAAUAAAAGAUGCAAAAUUUAUUGUCUAUUAAUAUUUAUUUUUAUGUUAAUGUAAAAUUCUAAAUUUAUUUACAUGUCAUAUGUUUAUGUUCUUUUAUUGGCUAUGACAAAGGAAUUGUAUGCAUCAUUACAUUUAUACUAAUAGGUUAUUUCAUUAAUAUGUACAAAACUAAUGGCCGAGUUCACGAAUUAUUCAUGUUUUGAACUGAGUUCUGUUAAGAAUGAGGAUGAAUUCAUGGACAUAUUGUUGGUGGGUAUAGGGUUUCCCAUGGUAAUUUUUCCAUUCCAAGUUGAUGAGGGUGAUGUCGUGUGGUGGUCAUUGUGUUAUCUCACACAAGAAGUGGGGAUGAGGGCAUGGAUAAGUGGUGAUAUGUGUAAUACUUUCUGCAUACAACACAUGGUGUUUUGGGAUUUAACUGGGUUGGUGAAGGAUUCAAUUUUCUAGUGUGACAGUGGUCUUGCUAAGUGGUGAUGCCUGUCUAAAUAAGUGGUGAUUAAGGUAUAACUUUCUGCCCAGUGGACAAAUUAUGCAUGUUUUGAACUGCCUUUUUGUAAGAAUGAGGAUGGAUUGAGGGACAUAUUGGUGGUGGGUUUCCCAGGGUAAUUUUUGCAUUGCCAGUUCAUGAGGGUGAUGUGGUGUGGUGGUCAUUGUCUUAUCUCACACAGGAAGUGAGGAUGAGGGCAUGAAUAACUGGUGAUAUGUGUAACACUUUCUGCACACAACACAUACUGUCUUGGGAUUCAAUUUUGUAGUGUCACAGUGGUCCUGCCUUGACGUUUUAAAUGCCAAAGAUUGUAUAGACUGACACUUAUAUAACAUCAUUUUUGUGCAAAUAUUAUGAUUGACAAACUUGCUAUGAAACAACAUUGCUAUAAAUAUUGACAUCCCAUUUCAAAAGGUGAGAUACAGAAAAGGAGACCACAAAAGCAAUCAAAAUAAAAAUGCAUCUGAGAUAGGUCACAAUGUGGAAUGAAAUACAAUUCAAGAAACAAAAUAAAAAAUUAUUAAUAAAAUAAUAAUAAUUUAAUAUAAAUUAAAAAAGAAAACGAAAAAGUUCACUCUUAAUGAAACAAUAAUAAACCAACGAAAAAUUCAAUAAUAUAAAAUAAGUACUCCAUUAAUGAUCAUGUACUUGUACAUUUAACACAACGCUACCACACUCAAUUUAAAAUAAAAGAUGCACAAUUUUUUUCAACUACAACUGUAACCUCUGUUACAUGGUGCAUGUAACUUUAGAAUUGCAAAGUUUGUAAAACAAUUCAUAUGAAUAACUUAUCAUCAAUGUUCACCAUUCAACUUCAAAUCCGUCAAAAUAUUAUCUCGAUAUAUAUUUCGAGGAUCAAAUAGCCACUUGCACACCAUUUCUUGUCGCAAAACUUGGAGAUCCUCCUAAAAUGUACAUGUUUAAUUCAGUAUACCACAAUGUCAAUGUAGAAAAUGAAACUGUGAAAUCUAUAAAAUUAAUAAGUACCGUAGUGUAAUUUGGCAUCGUCUUGCCAUUAAAGUCAUCUCUCCCAUUCCAUAUCUCCAUAUAUUUGAUUACUAUAACCCCACAAUCAUACCUGCAUACAUGAUACAAGAACACAUGAAUUAAUACGAUAUACAUAUGAAUCAACAUAACAAGUACGGUUGUUUUAUAUAUUUACGUGUUUGGUUGGGAAGGAAGACGUUCUUGUACAAUUUGAAUAGGAGGACUGGUUGUUUGAGCAACAUUGUCAACAUAAAGAAACAACUGUUGAAGUUGAUUGACCUACACAUAUCAACAUUAUGACAAUCCUUCACAUUCAACACAAAUCAAACACAAUUAUCAAUUCAUUCACUCUUAAACAUACUCCAAGUACAUACCAUUGCUUUGUCAAUUUCUUUACGUUCGACAAUACAUCCAGGAAGGGAAUCCAAAACAUGCAAUUCCAUAGUAUCACGAUUCAGGACGUAGCACCACCAAUGGUCUCUAUAAAUCGUGGGGACAAACACCUACAUGUGUGAAUAUAUUUUAAAUUUAACGUAACAUGAAAAAAAAAUCAUUAACAGGUAAUUAAGGAUAAAUAAAUAAACCACUCACAAAUUCACACUGUGAUAGCCCUUCUAAUUCAAAGAAACCCUUUUUAUAAAAUGACAUGUAGUCCUUCUUUUGCCAAAUUGUGGGACUCAUGGUCAUUUCUUUGAUCACGCGACUCUAUAACAAACAAUAAGUACUGUUAACAUUAACUCCAUAAAAAAAACAACAAUAAAUUCACACAGUUGACUUACCGCAAAGAAAGAAUUAAAGCAAAAGCGGUCAAUCCCUCCAGUUCUAUGAUAUUCAUCAAGCAUGAAGAAACCAGUUGCAAAUAACAUAACCUAAAAAUACAUUGCAAGUAUUUCAAUUUACAAACUAUAAUUCAAUACAAAUCAAAGGUUAUAGAAAGAAAUGUACCAUGUCAUUAACUCUUGACCUGGGACUUAAUGAAUGCAAGUCAGCCCCAAUCAAUAUCAGGUUUUUGAUGUCAACAACAACACUGCAACAAGACAAAAAAUAAAAGCUCAAAGUAACUGACUUAAAUAAGUUAAUUAAGUAAUGGUAAUUAUCACCAGUUCACUACAUAUUCACAUACCGGUUUAAGUACAGUCCCUGCAAUGAACACAUUAUUGUAUAUAUCUUCAUUCCAUCAAGGGGUAUGUCUUCAGCACCACUGCCUUUGUCUUCAGCACGAGCACUAGGUUGGUCUUCAGUAGAAGGAAUUACUAAUGACCAAUGAUUUACUUGGUGCCCUUGUUCUUGCAGAAUUGUAAUUUCCUUCUGCAGAUCACAUAGCCUCUUGUCAUUGGCCAUAAUUUGCUUUUGGGAAAGUUCAUGUUGUUGAACAAUUGUUUCCCAUUCACUAAAAGAAGGGCCAGUACAUUCAUGUUUUUCAUGUGAACUAACACGUACGGCUUCAAUAACAAUAUCCAGCCUUCGUUCUUCUUCAGUCAAGGGCCAUUCCCAUGAAAUUUGAAAUACAAAAUUAUUUAUUAUGAUAAACAGAUAAACAAAUUAAGCCAAAAUUAUCAACCACAAAGUUAAGAAUAUAAUCUACCUCAGCUAAUAAAAAAGCAUCAUGUAUCUUUCUUGACCGAAGGUUUACGCACGACCAUUGCAAAAAUCGAGGGAAACGAGAAUUAUUUCCCGCUUUGCCCAGCCCAACAUGUUCAACUGCCCACAGCUGUUGCACAAAAACAUUACUAAAUAAAAACCUUCAUUUUAAGAUUAUGAACAUUACAUUAUAUCGACCAUUGUCCUGAAUUGAACAUACCUGCAAUACAGCAACACAACCAACUAAGUAUAUCUCACACGGAUUCUUUUGUUGGUAAUAUACUUUAGAAGCCCGAGUUAUACUGGAAACAACUGAUUCAUGAACUGCACCCCCCCAAUUGUACAUGUGGAGUGCAUCUAAAUUGUCUAAAAGUCUAAAAGGAAAGCUAAAAAAAUUCUUAUAACUCCUAGGAAAAUAAAAAACAACAAAUGAAAGCAAAAUGUAUAACCUACAAAAAUCAUCAACAUUUUGUCUCAGUCUAAAUUUUUCAUCACUCAUUUUCUUCAUAAUAUUACGUACAUUAAUGUCCUCUCCGGCAAACAAAUGAUUCACCAACCCUUCUGUAUCAUCCUCUAAAUUUACAACUUCCCCCCCCCCCAACACGCAAUCCCAACCCCACACAGAUAUCCAUAAGUGAUAAAGGAACUAAUUUUUCCCUAAACAUAAAACUUUGCUUACUCCCAUUCCAUCUACUUAGGAGUUCUCUUAGAACGGUACUUGAUAUUUGCAUUAUGUCUUCUACUUCAGCAAUCCACUUAAAAAGAGUUUGUUGUAUCCUUUCUCGUUGAAAAGAAGUCAACCUACGGUUCACUUCAACAAUGUACUCUAUUUGCACUGUGUGUCUCACUCUAACCUAGAAAUUCAAAGCACAUUAUAAUUAAUAUUUAAUUCAAUUCAAAAAUAUAAAAAAACUAUUAACAACCUUACAAUAUAACCAAUCUUACAUUAAAGUCCUUUUCUUGACUAUCACUUUGUCUUGAACUUGAAGUCAUGUUGCAAACAAUAGGAAAUUGGUAAUUCUACAAAAAAUUUCAUCACAUUAAAGUAUUGAACCACUUCCAAUGACCUAUUUUAGUAUUACAUUACACCCUCCAAACAUUAUAUUAUACGUGUACACUAAAACACAUAUAUUAAAUAAGGUCAAGCAUACACAACAUACAUUUCAGCUAAAAACAAAAGCAAGUGUUGAUAUAUUUAUUCCUAUUUUCAUAUUCUAACAACACGAAUCAUUAAUUUUUUUUGGAGUCUUGAUAUACCUACAUUUUUUCUUCCCAAUGUUUUGUGUAUUGGGUGCGCCUACUUUUAUGGAUUUUCAAUCACUACUAAUUCUUACUGUUUUAGAUAACAAAUGAAGCUGAAGCUAAGAUUAUUAUUUGGAAUGCCUUUAUCUUAGUAAGUUUAAUCUAUGUACCAUCAUUAUACAAUGUAGAGCUGCAAUCCAGUUUUUGGCAAUGUAUUUCUUGUUUUGCAGCAAUGAAAACUUUGAUAACACUAGUGCAUUUUGUUCAUAUCAUCUCAGUUUGUCUAGCUAGUAUAUUUCCUAACAUUUUCUUUCAUGUAAUUUACUAGUCACUUUUGGGUUUUAUGGACUCAAAAUAUUAACAAAUGAGUUUCCUAUGGAACAUGAAUAACCAAAAGAAAAUGAAGAAACAGAUCUUAAUUUAAUCAUAUUCAUCUUAUUUUUGUUCAUAGUAUAGUAAUCUUACAAAAUACAACCUUUUAAUACCCAAGUCAGCAGAAUAGUAUAUUUGGCUUACUUCAUAAAAGUGAUUUCAACAAUCAUGACGAUAACAUUUUCAAACACAUUCCUAUAAAAAAGAAAAAUGGUUUUAUAUAGUAAAGAGCUUUAUAUAACAAAAAAAUGCUUUCAAAUAAAGAGUUGAUCUCCACCAGCAUACCUUUCCAAACUUGAGGAUCAAACUCUUCACUAAAGAGCUUAUCUCUUUCUUUCAUGUGUAUAAGAUCUCAAAGUUUUCUACUAAUGCAGAGAUUUAUACAGUACUUCAAAUAUCAUACUUAGUUUUCCAAAAAACUCAAAAGCUCGAGAUCAAUUUAAACAACAUAUAUGUUCUUUUAUACACUCUCGUAAUAUCCAAUUUCGUUCUUCUUUUUUCUUCAACAUUUUUUAAGUUGAUUGGUGUGCCUUAUGGACUAUGUUUUCAACAAUUACAAGAUAUAUGGAAUCAACUACAUGUUGAUGCAAAUGGUGUUAUCGACUUUCACGAGUUCAAGGUAAUAUAGCAAGCCUUCAUUUUUGGAUGAUAUUUAGGAAAUCCAUGCACUUGCAUGUGCCUAAUGCAUGUUCAAUUUUACCAUUGUAAAGGCCUUAAUCUUAAUGGUAUUCUGAUAUAAAAAGUUAACCAUGAAAUGUAUAACGGUGGGGACAUCCCUGAAAUCUUUCAUUUUAUUUUAUUUAUUUAUUGUAAAUAAAAAAAAUAGUUGAAUGAUAUGUAUAAAAAAAACUAAUGAAAAUAGGAACCAUGAAAAAAAUUCAUCCUACAAUACCCUCCUAAAUUUGAAGAUUUCUUAGACAGUAUACAGAAUAUGUAUCAAACUUGGAUAUCUUCAUACAAGAACUUUUACAAUUUAAGAACUCAAGGAUUGUAUAAUAGCUAGGAACAAAAUCAUUAUGAACAUACAAAAAUGGGAACAAUAUGGACAGUGAAGGUGCAACGAAUGCAAAUCAGAAUUCACUAAUAUUGCCUCAUCAAUUGGGAGACGGAUAGUGGGAUGAAGCAUAUAUGAAUUGCAAUCUCACUUUCUGCCACAGUUUUUUAUUUUAAACAAUGAAAAUAAAUAGUUUACAAAAGCAGAGAACCAUUAUUCUUUUAGGAAUCAAACUAGAAAACAUUGAAAGAGAGUUUUGUCAUGUGACAUGCCUACUUCAGUUGCUUAUUGCUUACACCAUGAAUUACUUAAAACAAAUAAAGCAUUCUAUCAACUUCAAGUGGUGGCCAAAAGUCUGGUCCCAGUCAAUUACAUGAAAAAUUGAAUUUCUUUCAUGGUUCUGAUGCACGUUAUGUAAGGGAAAAUGAUUUUUAGACACCCCAGUUUUACCACCAUCACUAUUGCCAUUCACAUCACUAUUUUUACCAUACUUUAUAUGCAUUGAAUAGGAUAACCCAAAACAAAACCCUAAAACCAAAACCCAAAACAAUACCCUAAAAUCAAAACCCAAAACGGAACCCUAAAUAACCCAUAAAAUUCAAACUCAAAUAGAAAUCCUACAUAGCUACUAUAAUGCAAUAAAAUUCUAAACCCUAAACAAAAACUAACCUCCAAAAAAGUUCCAAAUCGCACGCACACCAAAUGUCAACCCAGAUUGAAGGCGUAAUCUCCCACCGAAUUGAAGGCGCAAGAAUCUCCCCAAACCCAACACUGCCUGAUAAAUGAGGAAAACAGCUUUCGGAAAAACAGAAAUACCCAGGAGCACCGUUUGAUAAAUGACGAAAGAAAGCUUUCCAAAAAACGCGUAUAGGAAUUUUUUAUUUUUUUUGAAAAAGACAAAUUUGCCCCUGCCAUGUCAUAAAAUUAGCCACCUAAGCAGGUUGUAUAGAGGCGCACCCACCUUUCGGUUGUUCACGUAUCACUACUCCAUCUAUAAAUACUUCUAACUUCCAAAGUAAAAGAGAAAGCAACAUAAAAAUUCAACAUGGAGGCAAUUCAAUCAUGGAUUUCAAAUCACAAGCUAGGAACACUUUGCUAAGAUCAAUUUAAGAUAUUGCAAUUGCCAUACAAAUUUUUUUAAUUUAUAAUUAAUCAAUAAAAUAAACAAGUUAAAAAAAUUGGAAUUGCCAUACAAAUUUUAGCAUGAAAGAUCCUUGACAAAGAGCGCAUAAUGCUAAGUAAAUAUCGAGUUAAAGAAAUUCCAACAUAAUUCUUAUGGUAAGUAAAUACCGAGUUAAAGAAAUUCUAACAUAAUUCUUUGAAUGCAACAAAAAAAUAAUAUCAUCUCUUAAAUUAAAAAAAAAUGCAAAAUAAAAAAAAAUCACAAAAGAGUAUUUACUUAUUUUCUUUGAUUCUGAUUCUUUCUCAAAUGUUUUCGGAUUUGUGAACUGAUUAUUCAUAUUACUAUUUAUAGAACAACCAUCACUGUCGAAAUAUAACUAAAGAAAUAGUAACCUUAUUAAAAAGUUUGAAUAUUAUUUUCCUACACAAAUUACCUCACAACAUUUACAUGUAUCAUAAGAAGAAAAUUCAAGUUAAAUAAAAAAUAAGUAUUUUAUUAUUUAUAUUUAUAAAAGUUGUAUGUAUUAUAAAACCAUUUUAUUUUUUAUUUUUCUAACAUUUUUCAAGAAUUGAAAAACUUAUGAUUUCUUUAUAGAUUUCUGAAUAAUUUUUUUCUCAUCUCUUAUAUGAGAGUCCAUGAGCUAGAAAAUAAUAAAGUAUAAGAUAAUCUAAUUUGGUUGGAUCUUAGUUUUGAACAGUUUUUUUUUUCUUUUGUGUUUUCAAUUCUCUUAAUUUUUUUAAUACUUGUGAUGUCUUUUACUCUAUAUGUAUUAUUGAGUCGAAAAAAUAAUUUUUUACGAGUGUGAUAAAGUUUUUUAAGAGCAAAAUAGGGUUUUCUUGACUUUUCUAAUUUUGAAAUAAUGUUUAGGAGUAUUAUAAUUAUGAUAAGAGAAGCUAACUUCAUUCACUUAUUUUGAAAAGAAAUUGACUAUUUUAAAAUGGAACUUUGAUGACAUCAAACCUUAGGGUAGACACAUGUGAAUUUAUUUUUUUGGUGGUUGAUUUAUGACUGGAUUUGUUGAAUGUUGAUUUAUGUAUAUAUUAAUGAGAAUAUGAAAAGGGAAUUAAAUUGAGGUUAUAAAUCUUUAAUUUUGGAUAAGUUAUGUUUUAAGUAGAAAUACUCUAUUAUUUCAUAGGUGAACAAUUGAUCUUAGUUAAGUUUAAAGAAGUAAAACUGAAGUAAUUUUAAAUAUUUACAAAUUGAAAUAAUUCUAAAUAAAUGACUAGAGUGCAAAUAGAAAUUAUGGAGUGGUAAGGAAGACAUGAAGGUCCACAUGUCAUUCCUUCAAUGAAGAGGAUUUCCACCAAUUAAGAAGAGUAAUUUGUCAACCUCUAAUUCGAGAGGAUUUGCUCCAAUGAGAGAACACAUAUUGACAUCACUACUACCGAAAACAACAUUAAUGACGAUUAAAAAGAGUAUUUGAAUGCGAUUCUAAAACUGUCGUUAAUUUGAGUGUAGUUAUAAAUCAACUAUUUAUAACGACAGUUCUAGAACCGUCAUUAAUUCAGAAAAAUAACAAAUUAAAAAAUAAAAAGCUGGCGUGGAAACGGAGGGAGAAACUCCAAUGGGGGGCGGCUAGGCGUGGAGGUCACAGUCAGAACAGUGUCGCGCAGAGCUGGAGUGCGGAGUUAGCGCGUUUUCGGUGAGGUGCGAUUGAGGCUGAGGGUGAAGGUUGUGCGACAGUCAGUUGCACGACAGUCAAUUGCACAGUGGCAGUUUCGGGGUGUGGUGGAGGUCGCGACUGAAGUGUGGUGGCAGAGAGACGAAUGUGUGAGAGUUAGAGUGAGAGAAGUGAUAUUGGGAAGAAUGAGCGAGGGACAAAAUAAGAGAGGAAGACGCGUGUGACACAACACUUUUCAAUUUUUUUUUACAUUUUUUAACGACAGUUCCUCCCAAAACCAUCUUUAUAUCUCUCCCAGAACAGUUUUUAACGACGGUUCUUCCCAUAACAAUUUUUAUACCUCUUCCAGAACCACUUUUAGGGUCUGUUUGGAUUGGGGAAGAGAUUUGUGAGGAUGGGAGGGAGUGGAUUUGUGAAGAUUAGAGAUGAUGUGUGAGGUUGUUUGAAUUGAAGGAUGAUAGAGUGAAUUUGUGAUGAUGGUUUAUUGAGAUUUGUGAGUAAUGUGAUAGUUAGAAAGGAAUUUAUAAAUUUUUUUAAAGGUGUAAAAUGUAAGUUUACAAAUUUACCCUUUCUAUUAAAAAUAUUUAAAUAAUGAGUUAUGAUAUUUUUUUUAGGUUUGAAGUACUAUCAAAUAUUUUUUUUAGGUUUCAACUACACAACUCCAACCACUCAAAAUAUAACCUGAAAAGCAAGAGAAAAUAUAAAUAUAAUUUUUUAAAAAUUAAAAAAACCAACAAAAAAAGAAACACAGUAAGAGAAUCGAUUCUCUAUGUAGUUCAAAUACAAGGAGAAUCGAUUCUCUAUGCAGUUCAAAUGUAAAGAGCAUCGAUUCUCAAUGACACCAAAGAAAGCAAAAUCGAUUUUCAUGACUAAAAGCUAAACAAGAAUCGAUUUUUCUUUCCAUACAAAAUCUCCAAAAUCGAUUUUCCUGUAUGACAAAAUCGAUUUUCGUUCUCUACACAUUGCAUGCAAAAUCGAUUUUACCUUUUCCAAAAUUCUUUGAUUCCUUGCACAGUGCCCAAUUUGAGAAAAUUGUGAUGCAUGCACAUGUUAGGGUAAGGGUAUCAACGUAAAAACGUAUGUUCCUACGAAUAAUCAUCUCAAAUCCGCGCAUUUGUGUGAAGAUGGCAAUUUGCUAGCUACCCGCUCCUCCAUUCGCACAGGCACCUCCAAAACAGUGGAAACAAACAAGGUAGUCACCCGCUCGCCAAUCCUCAAUCCAACCUCAUCCGCAGAAGCAAACAGGGCAUUAAUGACGGUUCCCCUAGAACUGUCGUUAAAAAACAAUAUAAUUACGGAAUUGCCACCGUUUUUUUUACGACAAUUUUCUACUAACCGUCUUUAUAUGGAGUCGUGGUUUUGGUAUUUUUUACUAGUGCAUCAUUUGAAUGGAGAUGAUUCUUUACAAUUAGAGGAGGACACUUGUCAAUCUAGGAGUGAAGGGUUUUUAGGCUAAACUUUUCAGAAUUUUGGCACCUCUUAGCACUAUAAAUACAAGUGUUAUAAAUGAGUUUAGAAUUGAUAAAUAAAUAUUGCCUAAGUUUGUGCACAAUUUGUCUUCUUUGCUCAUUUUUUGUUAGCACUAGUUUUGUGUCUAAAUUAGAAUUACUUAGAAUUUUGCCUCACCUCUUCUAAGUCUCUAUAUUCACUAACCAAAUUUAUCUUCUCCAUUCAGUUUUCUUCAUCCAUUUAACCCACACAAUGCAUCCAUCAAACCACAACAUAUCAAAAAUUACAAAGAGCUACAUGGAUUCAACAUAGGAUUACAUCAAUAUCAUUAUGCGAUAAUCACAUGACAACCACGAUCAACAGACAAUUGGCUUUCAUUGGGCCAUAUUCGCCAGUCUGUACACUCUGAGACCCAAAACUACAGCUACAAAUCUCAGAAGGAAGGUAAUGAAACUCGUAUACUAAACAUCUAGCAUUCUAACCCUUAAAAUUAACUUGAGCGUUAGAGUGUCAUCAUAGGUACAUAAUAUAUAUAUAUAUAUAUAAUAUUCAUUUUCAGAUUGAGUUUUAUGUCAUAUUCAAUGUCUGAUGAGCAUUGAUUAGGUAAUAUCACUUUUAAGAAGAUGAAUAUUUUGGAGUGAACUGUCUUAGUGGGAUAAUAGUGGUGUAGGGAAUAAGUGGAAGAUUAAAGGAAUGGUAUGAAUCUCAUAUCAAUGGUUGUUGCUUGUUAUUGCUUUUAAUUUGUAGGGGUCAAAGUUGUUUAUUGCAAGCCACCUCUAGACUUAGCUUAAUGUUUGUUGAUUUUGGCUUAAGAGAUGUGUGACCAUGUGAUCUAUUUUGAUAAGGUUCCAUGUAUGCUUAUGUUCUUCUAUGUUAAACUCUCUCUCAAUGCACAAGGCUGCCCAGUAGGUAUGAGGUCUGAAACUUUUAGGCUUUAACAUAUAGUUAUGUUUUUUGCAAUCAACCCCGUGUAAAAUGUCUCAAAUUGGUUAUAUAUUAGGUCAGAAGUUGUUUAACUUUAAAAAGUAGCACUAGCGCAGAAAUGCUAAUCAAAUGCGGCUAUUUUACAUUUACAAAUGCGGUUAUAGAGCCGCAUUUGAUCAGCACGCAGUUGUAAAUCAGAGAAAUACAAAUGCGGCUAUAGAGCCGCAUUUGUAAAUGCGAUUUACGAAUGCGGUUAUUUGAAAUAACCGCAUUUGUAUAUUCUUUUGAAUGAGCUCGCAUUUGUAUAUUCUUCUGAAUGAGCAGGGGUUUUAGGGGCACGUUGUUGGUGAAGAGUGGAAGGGGAGAAGAGGAAACAUGGCAGCUGCGGUGAGUGCGGCGGCGGAAGCGGUGGCGGAGCGGCGAGAGCGAAAUGCGACAGCGGCGGAAGCAAUGGAAGAGUACACCUUCAAAAUGCAGAGCGAAACCCAUUAAAAACGAAAGCAAUAUGGAAAGCGAAAGCCAUUGGAGUUCAAUGCAGUUGUUAGGAGCAAUGGAAACAAGAGAAUAAGGGGCAAUGCAGUUACGUACCUUCGAAAAUGAAGAACUUCGCAACCAGAGAAAACGAAGAACAUAUAUGAGCGCAAACGAAGAAUGAACGAAACUGUUGAGCGCCUAAAAUUUUUAGGGUAAAAACCAUUUACAAAUGCGGUUAUUUAAAUAACCGCAUUUGUAAAUCAAGCUUUCUGAUUUACAAAUGCGGUUAUUCAAAUAACCGCAUUUGUAAAUCAAGCGUUUUGAUUUACAAAUGCGGUUAUUCAAAUAACCGCAUUUGUAAAUGGAAGCUCUUGAUUUACAAAUGCGGUUAUUUAAAUAACCGCAUUUGUAAAUCAAAAUAAUUUCAAAAAUGCCACCGCGUUUUUUACGAAUGCGUUUAAGCGCUGAACCGCAUUAAAUAAGGAGCGUUCUUUUCUUAUUUUUGUACUAGUGUAGGGAAAGGUUUUAUGCAUUUUGUGUAAGGAAUAGCUUCGAGUUAUACCUUCGCUCAAUCCUUCUUUUCACUGCCUCAACCUUCACUCUCGCUUCCUCCCUGACCUCAUCCAGCAAAUCUAACUACUGCUAAUGUCUGUAACACCUCCAAAUUUCUAUUAUGAAGUAGGGAAGGAAAAACCACAAUGUGACUAUCACCACCUUGGCGCAUAGGUGCAUUGAUGUGUUACAUGAAAUCAAACUAAUAAAAAGACUGCAUCAUUGGAGUUUGAUUGUAAAUCUUUUGAGGAAGGGAAGUCAUGCAACCUGAACCUGUUGGAAUGUGCUCAACAACUCUGCCUCUAUAAGAAAUGCAUUAUUUAGACAGAAGUUAAGGAACAAUUUUUUUGGUUUUUAGAUUUGAUGUUAGCACAAACUUGGAUUGAGGACAUGUUAAAAGCUUUCAAAGCUUUUUUGGAGGCUGAAAGCCCAAUUUUUUACAUGACAUAUAAACUCUCUUUUUGUAAUAGGAUUAGGAUUGAAAUAUUUCUAAAAUAAUCUUAUUUAUUCAUUCAUUCUUUUUUUUUUCUGAUAAAAAAAUAAAAAUAAUCAAUAAAUUAAAAGUAUUAGGGUACUCUAACCCUUGUUAAAAAAAUAAAAUUUUAAUCGAAUAAAAUGAGAUUAUUAGACUCUACAUGUUGAGAGUGUGCGAUUACUAAGAAUGAGGUCCUUAGUAUCCAUUUUCAUUUUCCUUUUACGUUUUCCCCUUCUAAGUUCCUGUAUUGCAGGGAUGGCUUCAUGCUGAUUGUCCUGUACAUGAAGGUCAUGGAACAUAUCAGACUCUGUAUAUUGGAGGGCUUCAUGCUGAUUGUCCUGUACAUUGUCUUCAAACAUAUCCGUAGAUGGGAUGCUUUCAUGCUGAUUGUCCUGUACUUGAAGGUCUUUGAAACAUAUCACAAGUUAUAUGUCAGAAACUAUAUCUUAUAUUCUCUUCACAUUUUAUAGUCUACCAAUAAUAAAAAGAUAAAAUGUUAAAAUUAAAAAUAAAAUUAUUGUAAAAAAUAUUGUUAUCACCUUCUUCUCCCGUGGAUAUAUCCAUACCCAUCAGUUCAUCUCCAAUACCUCCUCCCUCCUCAAACCUGGCACAAUCAUCUAAAAAUGAAUUUUUGCAAAAAAUUAAAGACUAUAUUAUACAAAAUAAAGUAUGAUUACCUCUCCCAGUUAUUGUUUUAUAUGUAUCAUUAUUUUCAGGUGUAGGCAAAGUAAUAUCCCGUAUAUUAGCUUGAUGGAGAUUAAAUUCAAGAUCUCCCUCUUCUACAUGCACGCUAUCAAGUGUCUGCAAUAAACAUGGAUUAGCUCAUCCUAUCAAUAAUGUUUAUUGAUUAGUUCUUUUAAAGCGAUUAAGUAUACCACAAGGAAAUAGCCAUGUUGGGUGUCAGGUUGUAUGUAUGUAUCAGAACACUCUUCUACCAAGUUAAUCUCAUCCAUUGCUGCAAGGUCAGUGUCAACAAUCUGUGGCAGAGUAACAGACUCUGGCCUAGCCUUGUAAGACCUGUCAAAGAGAAAGAAUUACUAUAAAUAUUGAUUAAUGAUAUACAGAUAACUUGAAUAACAAAAGCAUAAAAUAAAAUGUGACUAACUGGCAUUUUCAACCCUCUAAUAGUGUUUUCUGAUAAAAAAAAAAAUAGUACCAAUAGUGAGAAAAAAAAUGUAAAAAAUAAAGAAAUAAAAAAUUGAAUUCUUAGAAAAAGUCCAAGGUGAACUUCAUACCAAAAGACUGCGCACAUCAUCUGCGAGAAAAAAAAAAAAGAAGAUAAAAUUAAAAAAGAACUUUCAACAUUUUAAUGUUACGUAUCAUGAAAACAGGGAUUCAAAUUUACCAUCAAAGAAUUUCAUUUUACUUUUAUACAGUGUCGCUACUCCUUCUGAUAAAAACACAACAACCAUUGAGCAGAUAUGCUACAUUUGUACCUAUAAACAAAAAAUAGAAAUUGAAACUGAAGAUAGCACUGGAUCAACGAGAGAGAAAGAGAUUACCCAAGAGAAUUGAACUAGUUCUAAGAGACAAAGGAUCCAGUAAGUUCUGAAUCCUUUUGCUAUAAAACAAGUAAAAGAAAAAAAAAAAUAUAUCAGCUCCUUUAAUUUAUAUGACUCUAGGCUUAAAAAAAGUCCAAGUUACCAUUACCAGACAUCAAUGAUGUUAAGCUGAUCCACCUCUUUUCGCCUCAUGUUUUUGCCUCUUCUCAUAGUUCCAUACUUCCUUCAUGAACAACAAGUUAAAAAAAUUGAAAUCCAGAAUGACCAAAAUAAACAAAGAAAUGGAAACAUGAUGAACAAAAAUUGACUCGGUGAUACCAUAUUUUGAUAAAACAAGUGUUCUGCUUAAAAAGCGCCUGCAAGUAAUGCAUCUUCAAGAGGAAUGCAGAGAUAAAAGAACUGAAAGAAAACUUUGCAAAAAAAACCCACUGCACACCUAUGCUAACAAAAUGUGGCAAACGAAGAGCUGUUGUGAACCGAAUUUCUCCCCGCUACAAAACAUCACUAUAACACCGAAUGUAACAGUGUAAUGCUGUUAGAGUUGGCUCCACAAAUUAACAACUUUUUUUGUUUUUUUGUUUAUUGAAGGUGAAUUCGUAAGAUGAAAGCACAUGAACAACAAGUUAAAAAAAUUGAAAUCCAGAAUGACCGAAAUAAACAAAGAAAUGGAAACAUGAUGAACAAAAAUUGACUCGGUGAUACCAUAUUUUGAUAAAACAAGUGUUCUGCUUAAAAAGCGCCUGCAAGUAAUGCAUCUUCAAGAGGAAUGCAGAUAUAAAAGAAAUGAAAGGAAACUCUUAAAAAAAACCCACUGGACGCCUAUGCUAACAAAAUGUGGCAAACGAAGAGCUGUUGUGAACCGAAUUUCUCCCCGCUACAAAACAUCACUAUAACACCGAAUGUAACAGUGUAAUGCUGUUAGAGUGGGCUCCACAAAUUAACAACUUUUUUUUUUUAUUGAAGGUGAAUUCGUUAGAAAAAGAUGAAAGCACAUAAAUAUUGUACACGCGCCUUGAGGAAUGUUAGGUAACAGUGUCUGCUUCCUCCAGUACCUCCAUAAGUUCUUAAGGCACCUCCAUAAAAAAGUUAUGAAAAUACAUUUUUAUCCUUCUCAUGUCACUCCCAUAUUCUGAAUUACAUAAUUUAGAAGUUAAUCUCGAAUUCAGAAAUAACUUACGGAUUAUUUAAUCCGAAAUAUAUUUAAAAAAUGGUAUUUCAGAUUAUAUAAUCCGGAAUUCUGAAUUUGAAAAUAUCUUCUGGAUGAUGUAAUUCAUAAACGCAGUUGAAAAAACACUUUCAGAUUACGUAAUCCGGAAGGUAAAAAAGACUUCUAGAUUAUGUAAUCUAAAAACUAAUCAUGUAUCUGAAAAAUGGUUUCCAGAUUAUGUAAUCUGAAAGCUAAUUAUGAAUUUGAAAAAUAACUUCCGGAUUACAUAAUCCAGAAUAUUACACAAGGACAUUUUUGAAAAUAUGAAAAUUUAUGGAGGUGGGAGAAGAACUUAUGGAGGUGCUGGAAGAAACAGUCCAGUGUCACAGGACUCUCAUUUUCAUUCUGGAUGAUGUAAUUCAUAAACACAGUUGAAAAAACACUUUCAGAUUACGUAAUCCGGAAGGUAAAAAAGACUUCUAGAUUAUGUAAUCUAAAAACUAAUCAUGUAUCUAAAAAAUGGUUUCCAGAUUAUGUAAUCCGAAAGCUAAUUAUGAAUUUGAAAAAUAACUUCCAGAGUACGUAAUCCAGAAUAUUAUAUAAGGACAUUUUUGAAAAUAUGAAAAUUUAUAGAGGUGGGAGAAGAACUUAUGGAGGUGCAAGAAGAAACAGUCCAGUGUCACGAAAUCUCAUUUUCAUUCCUCCAUCUAGACUGUUUCUUCAUGCACCUCCAUAUCUUCUUCUGCCACCUCCAUACACAAUAUGAAAAUACAUUUUUAUCCUUCUUGUGUCAUUUCCAUAGAGUAGUUUCCGGAUUAUGUAAUCUAGAAAUUCAUUUGAAAAUAGACUUCCGGAUUACAUAAUCCAGAAGCUAAAUAAGACUUCCAGAUUAUGUAAACAUAAAGUAAUCAUGCAUCUGAAAAAAGUCUUCCGAAUUAUGUAAUCCAGAAGCUAAUUACAAAUUUGAAAAAUAACUUUCGAAUUAUGUAAUCCGAAAUAUUAUAGAGGGAUAUUUUUGGAAAUUCGAAAAUUUAUGGAGGUGAGAGAAGAAGGUAUGGAGGUGCAGCAAGAAACAGUCCUCCAUCUAUACUUAACUCACCAACUCCCAAGCCCAAUCCCAAUCCCACAAAGAUCGAGCUUUGGUUUGUCUUUCUUUCUCUCACCUUCAUCCUCUGUCUAUUUGUGUCAUUGUCUUUCCUUCCUCUGUAGUUAUAAUUUUUUCAUUUGUGUUGAGAAUGUAUCUUAUUUAAUACACUGAGAUGUUGAAUUCUUGUAUGACCUAACCUUGAUGCCCCAAACAAAUUUGUUCUGUCUUCUUAGCUUUAUGUUUAAGAAUUUUUUUUCAAACUGCAGCCAUGGUGGAUAUAACAAAAGCCAUGUGCUGGAAGGUUGUGGCUAAGGCUCAUGAUUCAUCUGGAAUUGGACUUGUUAUAUACCAGAAGCCCACUUCAUCUUCUUGCUAUGAGAAACGUAAAGAGAACAAUCCACCAUUGUGUGAAAAUGAAGAUGGGAAGAAUAGCUCAUGGUAUUUUCUCUCUUGGGAUCUUAUUUCUAUAAUGCUUAUGUUUCUAUUAAUUUCUACUUUCUCCAUUACAACAACACAAAAUAAAUGAAUAUUAUCUCUAAGAAAAAGGCCAAAGAGACUAUUGGGAGCAAUGCUAGAUAUUAUCACCUUCUAUCUCGUUUAUGAGUAAAAAUCACUUUUUUUUCUCAAAUAUAAGCAAAAUUGCGAACUUUCAUUUUAUUUAAUGAUCUUUUUCCUAAAAUACCCUAUCUGAGUAUGUUGCUCAGCUCAGAAAAGUUGGCAAAGGACCGUAAGAAAUUUCAAACUCUGUUAUUUGCAUUUUACUUUCCCGAGAUGAUCAAAUUAUCGUUGUAUCUUAUUUGUUUUCCUGGAUGAACUUUCAGGUGUGUGGCACUUUGAUCAGAUGCUGCUACACGAGGUAGCUUGAUGAUUACUGUUUUCCCCCUUUCUCUUGUUACUAUGUGUAUCUUUCACAUCUAGUGAAUUUCGAGUCUUUUGUUCUAGAAGGUGGAACUGAAACUAUAGAUGAAUAAAAUAAAUGAGAACUGUUUUGGACACAUCCAUCUUUUGUAGUUUAUUUACUGGACAAAACAAACUUUAUUUCAAAAUAUGCUCCCUAAAAUAAAGGCAAUUUAUGUAAGAAAUCUCACCAUAUAAUAAUGAAAUUAGAUGUACUAUUUCAACAAAUUUAUAUUUUAUAAUUAAUUCAAUAUAUCAUUAUUUAUUUUAUUGAGAUAAAUAGUUUUUGUUGUGUAGUUUUGUAAUAUUGCCAUUUUCUUCAAUAUGGGUAGCAUUGUUUUUACUUAUUAACUUCGCAUGUAUCUCACGCUAUCCACUGAAAAGAGGUUAUUCCUUUUUAACUUAACUUUUUUAUUCCUUUCACUGGUUAUUGAGCGAUCGACAUUAAAAACUCGUUAUAUGUGUUGUUUGAAGGUUGAAGUAAUCGAUUGUACAAUUCAAGUAAUCGAUUAUCAACACCCAUAUCGAUUAUAUGUUGGAUUAUAUGUAUUGUUUGAAAGGCGGUGUUCGUUUCUAUUUUUUUGAUAUUUAUAUGGUUGUUGUGUUGACACUUUUAACAUUUUAUUAACAACUUUGUAAGUUAAUUGAUUGUAAGUAGCUAAGGGAAGUUUGAGGUUAAAAAAGUUUAGUUCUUUUUAUGUUUUGUUUGUUGUUCUUGAGGACUCUGUAUAAUUUGAAUCAUCAAGAUAAAUAGUUAUUGUGUAAGGAAAAUCUUACUCCCAUUUUUGUAAAAAAACAAAUAUUAAUCUCACUCCCAUUUCUGUAAAAAAACAAACAUUUUAUGUAAGUUUAGUAGUUUCAUUUUUAUUUAUCUCUUGUUUGCAACAUGUUUGAAUGCUUUGUUUUGAAAAAAUAAAAAAUUAUAUAUUAAUGUAUAAAAUAUGUUAUUAUUAUUUUGAUUAAAUAAAAAUUUAAACCGUUCACGUGUUAAAUAAAAUUAUAUUUUGAUGAGUGCUUGUUGUUGUAUUACUCUUUUUAUUGUUGGUUGCUUUGUUUAGAUCAUCAUCAGAUUGAUCCCCAAACUAUUUCUAUUAUGAUUACAUAUUUGGUUUGACUUUGGAUUGCUACCUCUGAAUAGAAAUUGAACCUUUGCAUGACUUGGAUUAGCUUAGAUGAAGGUUGAAGUGUGGACCUUAUUGUAUUGUAACCCUAACCCUAACUCUUAACCUUACUAUUAACUCUAAUCUUAACAUUUAAUCCUAUUCCUAACUCUAAUCAUAACCUUAAUCUUUAAGAAUAUCUUAAUCAUUUACCAUUAACCUUAAACUUUAACCAUAUUCCUAACCAUUAACCUUAACCAUAAACCAUAACUCUAAACCCUAACUUUAAACAUAUACCUAACCAUUAAACCUAACCCUAAUCUUAAAUCAUAAUCCUAACCUUAAUUCUGAAAAACAUAAUUAUAAAUGUAUAUUUUUGCUAAAAAAACAAUAUAAAAUGAGAUUAAAGAAGUAUAGUAAGAAAAUAUUGAAGUGAUGGAUGUUUUCACCUUAAUUAAAAUUUUAUGGUUAUUUGACAUGGAUAAUGAUAAUCAUUAGUCUGGAUAUUUCGACGAUGAAGAUAUGUAUAACAUGGAUAACAAUGUUUUUGAUGUGAACUUAAAUCUAAUCUCACACCUACAAUAACAAAUACAAUUGCAAACAGAAGUAUCUGCAUUGACAAUCCUUUGCAUUGUUUCUUAUGGAUUGAAUAUGUUACGUUUGUUAAGUCAUAUGACUUCCUCUAUUACAAAGUUCGUACCAUUAAAAGAACAUUGUUGACCUAUUUGGUGCAUAUUGAACAAAAUUGAAACAUUAAUCACAUAUUCAUUAUUUUAUAUCACUAAUUAAGGAAAAUUUGGUUCGUAAAGAAUGUCUUUCAACAAUGGAGGAAAACAAUUACUAAAUUUCUCCACAUCAUUGGACAUAACAUAAAGAAUCAAAAUGUUUCAUUCUUCUUUUAUUGCAACGGGAAAUAAUGUCUUGUCACUUUCAUAAUGGUUUACCCCAGUGAGCAGAGCAAAAGGCACUCUAUAUUGAUUUAUUAUGUAAGUUGUGUCCAUAGUAACUGCAUCACCAAAAUGACCAUAAGCAGUCCUUGAUCUCGCAUCUGCCCAAAACACAUUAGACAUGUGAUUAUCAUCAUCAAGUUGUAUUGCAUAGAAGAAACCAGGGGGUUGUGAGCAUCCCUCCCUAAUGUCCUCUUUUGAAUAGUUGGCCUAACAGCAUAAUUCAUCAUUGACGGACCUUUAACAAGGUGAUGCUGUUUCAGAAAUAGUAGCAACUGCAGGAAUAUUUCUAAUCCCGUGGAUAUUCUUAGUGGGAAUACAAUUCUUAUCCAUAGAUACAUACAUCACACCGCUUGGAACAAUCCCCACUCCUUGGUAAGUUUCGGAAAUUUUAUCAGUAGUUUUUUUUUAGAUUUACGUAAAUAAGCAGAUUCAGAAAAUAUUAUAAGAAUGGACAUUUUUUUGUCAAAGUUGUUAAUGGUGUAGGCAACAUAAAUUAAAUUCCUUAAUCUUCCUACUUUUCUUCUUUAAAUUUAAUUAAAAUUUUCAACCGGGUUGACAACUUUAGUUUAAAUAAAAUUGAAUACUGGAUUGACAACUUUAAUAUAUUUUAUCUCAAUUAAAGUUGUCAAUUGAAUUGCCAAGUUCACUUGAUUUUAUUUUUUUUAAACAAAUGAUAAUUAAUAUUUUUAAAAAUAAAAAUAUAUAAUUAAAAAAGUAUUUUAUAAAUAAUACCAAAAUUUAAUUUUGUUUUAUUUAAGAAAAUGAUAUAUAAAGUUGAAUAAUUAAAAUGAAUAUUUUUUACAAUAAUUUUAAAUAAAUUGGAUUGAAAAUGAUUUGUUUGAUAAAUUAAAAAUAUUUAGUAUUUUUUAAAUAUUGUUAAAGUUAAAAAUACACUUAUAAAAAUGUGAUAUAAUUUAUGUAUAAAUUUUUAGAUUAUAUAAUAUAUGAAAGUAUAAAUUAUAUAAUAUGUAAAAGUAAUAAUAUACAUGUAUUUAUAAAUGUAUUAAAAAUAAAAUAAAUUAUUCAAUAUAAGUUAUUAAAAGAAGAUGAUAUUAAAAUAUUUGAUGAGAAUAACAUUACAAAGGAUGACUCUACUGUCUAAAUGGACAAUUUCCUCUGUUGUGACCUUCAUUGCGACAGUAAGAACAUUUUUUUGUCUUGUUCUGAAUUGAUUGAUCCAUUUCAUUAUGCAAACGAGUCGUAAUUGGUCAUCCCAAGUUUUUACGUCGCAUGUGGGGUUCUGGUAUGAAAUUUGGCCCGGUAUAAGUAGACCAAUAAUCCUCGUUUCGAACGGGGUGGAAUUCAACUUGAUAUGCCUUUCUAAUCGUGUGGAGGUUGUAAACUGGAUCAAUGAAUGUCAUCAUUUGUAAAUGGCAAGAGGAACAAACGACAAUAACAUGACGACAAGGAAGUCGAAGAGCUUGGAAGUGGCCACAAUCACACCAUCAAUCAUUUAAUAUAACUAUAUAUGAUUGAGGUCACCGACCAUGUUGGGGGUGGCUAAUUCUUGGACAUCAAAUUCAGAAUUUUUUGCAUUAAACCUUUCCACAAAACACAGACGAAUCUUGUUGAUUUUUUCUAAGUAAGGUUGUGAUAUCUUCUGAAUAAUAAUGACUUGCGCGUAACAUGGUGUCUAUUUUGAAGACUCGUUCAACAAACCAUGUUUUUGUUUUUUCAAAAGUUGCCUUAACCAAAGCGAAAAUCGGCAAAGAACGAGCUCCCUUAAGCACGAAGUUAAUGCAUUCCGCUAGAUUUGUGGUCAUAUGACCAUACCUCUUUCCCCCAUCAUAUGUUUGAAUCCAUUUCUCUAAUGGUAUGCGAUCUAUCCAGGAAAAUGCUUGCUUGAACUCAGAUCGCAUAACUGAUAGCUUUGCCUGUACUAUGAGUUGUUUCAUCUCAUAAGUUGUCAUAAAGAAGUAAAUGAAAUUAGUUAAAUGGUAAAAGGUCAUAAUUAUUUGUGAGAGAAGGUAAGGAAUGUCAUUACCCAUGUUAAUCAAUUGUCGUUUCAGCUCAGCAUUUUUGAAUUUUUUGUUGAAAUUCGAUGCGAUAUGGCGUAUGCAAUACACAAAAACGAGGUCGUCUCCUUCCCAUCCAACUUCUUCGGAUUGUAAUGCUGAAAUUAUACCGAUUCCUCUAUCAGUAAUCAUGCACAAAUUCGGCUGAGGUGUCACAUAUUGUCGCAAUAAUUGGAAGAACCAAAUUAAAAUCUCCCGAGUCUCGCCUUCAACAAUCGCAAACGCCAAUGGAAAUAUGUUUCGAUUCCCAUCUUGAGCGGUUGCGGUCAACAAUGUUCCAUGGUAUCUUCCGGUUAGAAAUGUCCCAUCAACUUGUACAAUGGGCUUGCAAAAAUUGAAACCAUCGAUACAAGGCUUGAAAGACUAAAACACCCGAUCCAACGUGUAAGAAGAAUUGUCUUGAACACCAUCAACCAUACAAGGAGAAGCAAUAUACUGCACAAUUGUCCCUGGAUUGCUUUCUUUUACUGCUUCCAACCAUCUAGGAAGAUCAUUGUAGGACUGUUCCCAAUCGCCAAAUGCCAAAGCAAGAGCUUUCUGUUUUCCCAACCAAGCUUUUCUAUACGUGAUAGUAUAGCCAUGCAAAUUUUUUAUUUCUGCAAUUAAGCUUUUAAAUGGGACGAAAGGGUUUGCUUUGACUGAAGUCAGCACCAUGGACGCAAUAUGGGUUGAAUCCAAAUUAACACGGUCUACCGUAAGAUUUGUUGACAAACAAGUAUGUUGUGCAUUCAUUUUUUUUUAUCUCCCAUUGACUUCGGAUUUUACUAAAUGAUGCACGUAAUCUCCAUUCGCACCCUACAUCAUGAUGUAUGCACUGAGCCAUAUAUCUGUCUGGCUUUGAUUCCACGACAACAAAUUUGUAACCGUUGUCUAUGUGGUAUCGUUUUAUGGCAUUCAAUGUCGCCUCCUUUGACAUGAAAGACAUGUGUUCAUUGAGUUCGCAAUCGAUGUUAUGUCCGGAUUGACUGCCAGACGGAAUAUAUUGUGAAGAUCUAUUGAACUGAUCUUCAUCAUCCAAAUCAAAGUCGUAGUUAUCUCCAUCUUCAUUUAUGUCGUCCACGAUGUCUGUAAUUAUUGGUUAUUCAUGCUAGCUUAGUGACGUUCCACCGACAUUCCACGUGUCCAUCUGCAUUUAAAAAAAAACAUGAUAAACAAGAAGGCCACUAAGCUAGCAUGUUAUGAAAAAUUUACAUUACAUUUACAACUUUCUUUGAACUUUAUACUAGAAGGAGAAAUAAUAUAUCUCACAAACCUUGUCCUCAAUUUUUUUUACUUGGAUGCAGAAAUUAAGAGAAGAAAAAGUGUAGAACAAAGAAGGAAUGCAAGGCUAGAGAGUUGCAUUGUUGUUCCACUAUAUAACAAAUGUUCUGUAUGAGUACAAUAAUUUUUAUUCAUAAGUCAUGUCCUCAUGUAAUUGUGACAGAAAGCCAUCACUCCACGCUACACUUGGUUUAUUUUUAUUUUUUCUAAUUUCAUAACAAAGAAGUUGACUUCACCAUUGGCAACUUUGAAAGAAGUUGCAUUCACCAUUUGGCAACUUAUAUUAAAAGUUGCCUUCAUGGUUGACAACUUUGUAUAGGCACCAAAUGAAAAAAGUUCACACACCAUUGGCAACUUCAUUUGCAAUUUCGUGCACCACCAAUCAAUACUUUAUUUUGUGUCCAGCUUUAUGUCAUGGCUAUAGUUUUCAUGGAAGAGAUUCUUUUUUCAUGGCAGAGAUUCUUUUUGAAAAUGAAGUUUGAAUUCAAACUUUCAUUUUUUGAAACUCACACAAGCAACUCUAUUUAAUAGAGUAUGUGUCCUAUGCAAAACACUCUCCAACUUUGCCAUUGUGCCAGAGUGCUUAAGGGUGGCAUUCAAUCACAAAGGUAAGUUCUCUCUAAUAUUUUAAUUAUUUAAUUAAUUGUAGUAGCAAGCACGUGCUAACAAAGAUUAUCAGUAUAUUUUAGCUCUCAUAAGUUGUUUUUGUAUUUUCUGAGGAUGGAUCUGUAUGUAUUUUUGUAUUACAUGGUGGCAUUACUCAUGAACCCUUGUUCAUUCCAGAAGAAAAUUAUAUCUUGGUUUUGACUAAAAUUUAGUUAUCUGUAUAUGAGUGAAAAUUACAUGUAAAAGAAUUUAGUUAUAAUAAUUUAGUUCUAAUGUACUAAUAUCUUUAAAUUUGCAAACAAAAUUAACUACUUGAAAUUUGUUUUAAAAAAUUAACAAAACUCAACUAAUAUUUUUUAUUUUCGUACAAUGUCUUCAUUAUAGCCAAUGAGUAGGAGUAUUUUAUAAAUAAUAAGGAGUAGAAUAAGAAUCUCUGAUGGAGCAGAGAAAGAGCCAAUGGGCAAAAGAGUUAUCCAUGCUAUUCUCCACAUGUUAUCCAUGCGCAGAAAAGAAUAUGGUUGAAUGAAUUAAAUCACAAGAAAGGUACAUGUAAUAUAGGUUAUAUUUUACCCUUUACUUUGGUUCUAGCCUUUGAAACAUCAACCAUACUGUAACAUCAGAAGUGUACGGCCUGGAGAUGUACGGAGAAGUGUAGAAAGAAGAAGAAGAGUGUUAUGCUUUGUUUGUAUCCAGCGACGGAUUCUGAGAAGCGAAGAAAGGCACGUAAAGCUCAAAAAUCAAGAAAUAAAAAAGUAAUAAAACAAAUUUCGAAGCAAAAGCGUUGCACAAUUCUUUCUUUGCAAAUUUGUGAAGAUUUGCGAAGAUUUACAAAAAAUAUGAUUAAAAUAAUGUAAAUAAUAAUAAUUAUUAUUAAAAUAUUAAUAAAUAUAUAAAAUGAUAAUUAAAAUAAAAAUAUUAAAAAUAAAUUUAUGAAAUAAUAACUAUUAUUAAAAAUUUAAAAUAAUAAUUAAUAAUGAUAAAAAAUAAAUAAAAAUAAAUAAUAGUACAACUAAAUUAAUUUAUAAUAUAUUAGAUAAUUAUUAAAAAUUUACAUAAUAUUAUUAAAAUGUCAAAAUUACUCUUAAUUUAUUUGUAUCAAACAUUUAAUAAUAUUAUUAAUAAUAAUAAAAUAUAUUUAUUUAUAUAAUAAUAAUAUUAUUAUUAUUAAUUAUAAAAAUAACUAUAUAAAUUAAUUAAUUUUUUUAUUAUUCAUAUAUUUUUAGAAGUAAGAAUAAAUUUGUAAACUUGUAUUUUACAUAUUUUAAAAAAAUUAAAAAUUUCACACAACUAUCACAUCAUUCACAAAAUUCAAUAAACUUUCCUCACAAAUCUACUAUAAUAUACCCCAAUCCAAACAACCUCACUUUGCUCUCAAAUCACUCUAAAUCCAUUCCCUCAAAUCUCCUCCCCAAUCCAAACACACCCUUAAGGAGGUGGUGAUAGUCAUGGUUUGUGGUGAGAGGGAACAGAAGUGAAUGAAGUCGCGGAAGACUUAUCAUGAGUGUUAGGUUAGAAUUGCAUGGAAGGCGAGGAGAAAAGAACAUGCAGCGUUGUUUGUUAGCGAAACACCACUGCCUGUCUAUUCAGUUCACGGUUUCUUCUUCAAUAUAGACCAAAAACGAAAGUGCAAAAGCAAAAAGAAACAAAACCUGUUAAUCUUUUAUUGGAGAGUUAAAACAAAAAAAAAGGAAAAUGUUGGUUGAACAACUACUUAUCUCAUUGCUCCAGUGUACAACUCUCCAAGUGGCAAAAAAACAAAUAUUAAAUUGUUGUUGCGGGGCCCACAAUUUUUUUUUGAAAAGGUUUAAUCUUUGGUUCAAAUUCCCAUUAGGGUUACGAAACUCUCUCUCUUUCAAUUUCUUCUUCUUUUGGUGGCUGAACUCUCCCUCUUUCAAUUUCUUCUUCUUUUGGUCCCGUGGUUCACCAGUGCACCGUUCCCUCUUUGAAUUUCUUCUUCGCAAAGGUCUCGUGGUUCUCCAGUGCAUUGUUCCCUCUUGCAGUUUGUUGUUGUAUUGGUUUCCUGUGUCGUGGUUCCGUGGUCUUGUUCUUUGUCGCCGUCGUCGGUCGGUGUUUGCUCGGUGGACGCCCUCCAUCUCUUUUCACGGUGGUUAGGUGAUAAAGGUAAUAUAUUUUUGAUUCAAUGGAUUAUGAAGUGAAACAUUGUUGUUGUGUGAUUUUGAUGAUGUUGUGUGAUUUUGAUGUUGUUGUAGAGCCUAUUUUGAUUCAAUUUUAGUUUGAGUUUCGUGUUGAAGGAAGUUUGAAGCUUUUCUUCCUUGAAUGUUGAAUUGUUGGUAUUGUUGUUAUUACUAGACACAUUGAUAUAAAAUUGAUAAAUUUUUUUCACAGUGAUGAAGUUAGAGCAUAUAAAUUGUAUGGUCUAAUCGUUGAACAAACAAGUUUGGUAAUUGUUGGUUUAGGGUUUAGUAGGAAUAUGUGAUUGGGGUGGGCAUGAUGUGGGCAGAAAGUGCGUUAGAUAAGAUUUUUAGAGUCCAUCAGCUUAUUGAGUGUGAUUGUAUAAGUUGGGAGACCAUGAACAUUUGGCAUGUGCUCAAUUUCCUGCAUCUAUUGCAUGUUGAGCUUUGAGGUUGUUGUUAGUAGAGGAUAAUUGUUUGAAACACUUUGCAGGCAAGGCCAAUGGCCAAUGUAAGAAUAUAUUUCCAAAAGCCCAAAUUAAAACAGCUUCGACAACUAGAUUAAUUGAAAAUAGAACACGAUAGGGUAACCUCAUCAUAAAAACUACACGCAAAUUACUUAUUACUCCAACUCUGUGUUGUGCACAAAUAUGUAUUAGGUCUUUCAUGCUGUUGACAACCUCCGAAAUUUGUUAAGCAUUGUAGCAUGUAAUAUAUUGGUUGAGAAAAUACAAAGCAUAACAAAUCAAAGGUUUUCUUUAUAGUACUCAACAUUUGACAUACACUUUCAGGUAGAAUUUAAUACCAUACCUGCAAACAUCUCACAUAUGUUUCAGAAAAACCCAAGUCAUUAAGCGAUUGCAACUCCAAAAUUUGUGGAAGCUGGCGCCAUGCUAUCAAUACCCUGAUGCAAAAUAAAAAUUACAUUAACCUUUGAAGCUUUAGUCCAGUGUCAUUGUAAUUGUUUGUUACCUAGAUGUGACAUAGACUGUUCUAAGCAACAUAUACCUUUUAACCAAUCAUUGUUAUAAAAUGCUAAAAAACAGAGUGUGGUUGACAAAAGGGAAUGAGAAUAUGAAUUUGUAAUCUAUAUUUAAGAAAUUACCAUGAGAUGCUCUUAAUUUUGUAUAGCAUGAUUGUAAAAAUAUGAAUGUGUGACUUUGCAUCUCUGUAUGUAUAAAACAUGUUAUUUCUGUGAAGCAUGGCAGCAGAAUGCAACCAAACAUGCCCAUGGGGUAAAAUGUCAUAUUACAAUAAGAUCUUUUUGUUUUCAAUUUUACGGUUAAUGAUUUCCAACAAUACUUUUUUUCCUGUGAUUUUUUGUCGUAGUUAUAUAUAGUUGGAUAGCCGUUCAAUAAACCCAAUAAAUAUGAAGAAACAUAGUUUGCACCAUAUCCUUUCUGUUGAGUUGUUGUUAUCCAUGUAUGUAGAGUUGUUUUUAUCCAUCUAUAUACCGAAAUCACAAUAUGCAGCAUGAGUGUAGGGCAAUGUCCAGUGAUCACAAAUUCACUCAAUUUAGAGGUUUGUUGUAUGUGGUGACCCUAGUAGGAAUAUGUGGUGACCACAUUAGACUUCCUGCACAGUCCCUUUGCAAACUUAUUCUGGAAAUGUGAAGUGUGUGUUGGUGUUGGUUUGGGUGGGCAUGAUGUCGGCAAAAAAUGCGUUAGAUCAGAUUUUAGAGUCCAUGAGUGUAAGGCAGUGUCCAGUGAUCACAAAUUCACUCAACUUAGGGCAUUGUUGUAUGUGGUGACCUUAGUAGGAAUAUGUGGUGACCACAUUAUAGUUCCUGCACAGUCCCUGUGCAAACUUAUUAUGUAAAUGUGAAGAGCGUGUUAGUAUUGGUUGAGUUGGGCAUGAUGUGGGCAGAAAGUGUGUUAUAUCAGGUUUUGAGAGUCCAUGAGUGUAGGGCAGUGUCCAGUGAUAAGAAAUUCACUCAACUUAGAGGAUUGCAGUAUGUGGUGACCCAAGUAGGAACAUUUGGUGACCCGCAUUAGACUUCUUGUACACACCCAGUGAAAACUUAAUUCGUGGGAAUCUGUUUUUAGGUGAUGUUCUUUGCAACGGGGUUGUUCAUGGUUGAUCAACUUCAAAAGAAUGGAAGGGUCCAACGUUUUUCCUUUAACCCUUUUUUUGCUGUGAGUGGAUUGUGGAAUUUAAGUUUUGUUUUCAUAUGUAUACUUUCUAUUAAUAUCACUACAUUUUUUGUUGCAUAAAGGAUCGUGUUAUUGAAGAAAUGAAAACAACUUCGGAAAAGAAAGAGUGGGACACGAAGGAUUACUGUUCGUUUGCAAAAGAUUUGAUUCCAUUUGAAUCACUAUCAUAUUGCGAUUUUGUAAGUUUGUAUUAUAUAAUUUUCUAUAAUGAUUUUAGGGCAUAAUUUUUUAUGUGUUUAAUUAAGUUAUAUUAUUCACUUUUAGGUAUUCAUCCCAACGGUGCACAAUGACCAUUGGUGGGUCUACGCGUUUAAUUUUCAUAGUAGGGAAUUGCAUGUCUUGGACCCCCUCGGCCAUAGAAGGGGAAAACGCAACAAAAUUGAUAAAGCCAUGGUAAAGAGUAAAAGAUGAUGUUUAGUAAAGAAUGAAGCGAUGAAUUUGGUAUUUGAUUUCUGAUUUCUUGUAUUGUACAGUGCAGGCUGUGCAAGUUGACCAUGUGUACAAAAUUCUUGACAAGUUCGGUGGAGUGAAUAGUCCCCCCAUCAAAGUAGUCAAACAAAAACUUCCUAUACAGCUAAACGGGUUAGUAUUGAAAUGAAAACUUUUGUUAUUUUUAUGCAUAUUCAUAUGUAAAUAUUUUUAUGUGCUUUCUUGUAUGUAGUUAUGAUUGUGGAGUAUUGGUUUUGAAAUAUAUUGAGUUGUGGAAUGGUAUGGUUGACUAUGACGGGAAGACGAUGCCUGAAUACAACAGCGUACGUAUUUGUUUCCUUCACUAGUAGAGUACAAGUUAUAAGUUUUAUUCUGCACUGAAAAUUGAUUUUCAAAAUUAAUUUCAGGACGAGCUUCAAGCAUUCUGUCAGGAAAUGGUUUGUAAUUGGUUCCUUGAUGCACGUAAUGCAGAACGAGAAAAUUUGUUGAGGGAGUUCAACUUUCGUGGAACUACAGAAUGAUGGUGGUUGAGAGUGCGUAGCAUGUGAAUCUACAUGUUCUGCAAUUGUGUAGUUAUUCAUUACAUGUUUUAGUGUAUCCUAGGAGCAUUCAUAACUGUAGAAACAUAAUGGAUUACAUACAUUCCAUUGAGUUGAACAAUGUGCGAACUUUUUAAUGCUAAGAAUUAAAGACGAAUAUUGUUGUACCAUAUGAUGCAACAAACCUUCUAAUUACACUUAAAAUUAGUUUCCAUCAUUUGUAAUUAUGAUGACAAGUUUUUCGAGAAAUGAUUUUAUUCGUAUUCAAACCCAAAGGAUCCAUUAGCAGGUGCCACAUACCGUGGAAGGUUAAUUUAACGGUCGUUCGUGGUUAAGUAUGACUUCAUUCUUAGUUCGUUGGACUCAGUAAAAAAAAAGUUAUAAAUAUUUACAUUUGUCCAUUUUGCUACACUAAAAUAAGUUUAAAGUUAACAAUAUUAAGUUAAAGUUCAAAAUUUGGCAACUUUUUUACCAAGUCUUUGGGUAAAACAUAAACAACUACGAUCAAAGCGAGGAAGACAAAAUUUCAUGAUACUAUGCCUAAGCAACAUUCCAUCCAAAAAUUUUCGUGCAAGCUCAAAUGGACCCUCCUUCAGCACUGGCCUAUUUUCGCUCAAUCCAAAAAAUUUCGUGUAAGCUAAAAUGAACCCCUUCAGCACUGGACUAUUUUCGCUCAAUCCAAAAAAAUUUGUGCAAGCUAAAAUGGACCCCUUUAGCAAUGUCCUAUUUUCGCUCAAUCCAAAUUAUUUUUGCGCAAGCUAAAAUGGACCCCUUCAGCACUGCCCCGUUUUCGCUCAAUCCAAAAAUUUUCGUGCAAGCUAAAAUGGACUCCUUCAGCACUGGACUAUUUUCGCUCAAACCAAAAAUUUUCGUGCAAGCUAAAAUGGACCCCUUUAGCACUGCCUUAUUUUAGAUCAAUCCAAAUUAUUUUCAUGCAAGCUAAAAUGGACCCCUUCAGCAGUACCCCGUUUUCGCUCAAUCCAAAAUUUUUCCUGCAAGCUAAAAUGGACCCCUUCAGCACUGGCCUAUUUUCGCUCAAUCCAAAAUAUUUCGUGUAAGCUAAAAUGGACCCCUUCCGCAUUGGACUAUUUUCGCUCAAUCCAAAAAAUUUCGUGCAAGCUAAAAUGGACCCCUUCAGCACUACCCCAUUUUCGCUCAAUCCAAAACUUUUCGUACAAGCUAAAAUGACUUUCUACCUUAAUAUAACUGUAAACAACAUUGUUAAAGUAUGUGGCUUUCAUUAUAACUAUAGUACAAACAAUUGUGCCUUUUGUUACAAUAUUCAUGCCUAUAGGUUUUAAAAUUUAACAUAUGUACAACAUCUGAUUCAUGCCUAUAGGUUUUCAAAUUUGACAUAUGUCCACCAUCUGAUGAGGAAGUUCGUUGUUCUCAUCCAGUAAUACGCGAUCCACCGACUCUAGGUAUAGUUUCAAAAAUUGUCUAUACUUAAAAAAAAAUGUCCUAUAUCCAAUAUUUUAAUUCACAUUUCAAUAUCCAAAAUAUAUUUAGAUGCAAAGCAAUUGGAGUUAUUGAAUAAGAUGGAGGAAGAUAGAAUCUGACAUUCAAGGAUGGUUUAAACUUCCACAUCUUACAAACAUGGCUACAUGCACAAUGAAGACUAUUAUUGUAUAAUUGAGGAUACAAAAUUGUAUUUAUAAUUUAUAAGCACAUGUUUGAACAAUGCUUAUUACAUGUGUUAAGUGAAUUUUUUGGUUACUUGUCCUUCUUAGCUUCUAUGAACUUAGUUUAUGUGUGUUGACACUGCCAUACAUUCAAAUUUAAAAAAUAUGUUCACUUCAACCACAUAAAUGGAAGACAAUUAAAUUUAAAUAAAACUUCAAAAAGUCCAACCAAAUUAGAGUUACUAAAAUUACAACACAGUUGCUAAAUACACGUCUUAAAUUCUCUAACCACAUUACACCCAAUGAAAUAAACAUGUAUCAUUUCUAACAACUACUUCGUAAUAAACAUAAUUAAGUACUAAACACGUCAUGUACGAUCCCUUUCAAUUAUGACUAACAAAAUCAUUUUUUCCCCUUCCAUACCUAGUUCAUGGUGAUUUCAUCACAACCGACUUCACACGUUUCCUUGCUCUAUGCUUCACUCGGGUGAAUAUGUUACUUUUUUCUUCUCCCCCAUCUUGGUCUUCGGGUACGUCUUGCUCUUGGGGUACGUCUUGGUCUUCGAGUACGUCUUGUUGUUCGGGUACAUGUUGCUCUUCGGGUAAGCCUUGCUCAUCGGGUAGGCCUUGCUCUUCAGGUAAGUCUUGCCCUUCAAGUAUGCCUUGCUCAUCGGGUUCGUCUUUAUCAUCAACGUAAGACGUCUGCAGAUGUUCGUCGUCAUCUACAGAAGGACUAUCAUGCACAGAAGAUUUUGCACGUGCACUUAAAAAUUCUUGUAACUCUUUCAACUCCUUCUCCAAAUUGCUGAUGACAACCUGUUGUUCCUUUGCUUGGCGAAGCAUAUCAACUACUUUCACCUUCAUUUUACCAUAGUCCUUUUUUUUUACAUGUCACUUGUAAAUCCACGUCGAAUUAUCUCAAAUGCUUGUACAAUGAAUUCUUUUUGCAACUCUUCAUUGGACGCAGAUAAGUCCACAAUAACCUGUUCAGGCAGACAACAAAUACCAACAUAAAUAAAUAAAUAAAACUAAGUAUUGUACAUUAAAUAAAAAAUUUCAAUGUAUUCUACACACCACAUUCUGUUGCAGUCCAGAUGCAAUUUCAAUGUCACUCAGCCUAACAUCCAUCCAAUGUGUGAUACGAGGAUAUCUAUUUCCAAUCCUCGGCAUUUGCCGCUUGUAAGAGAACAAAUGUUCAAGAGCCCAUAUCUACACAAUUCAUGUCAAAUUAAUGCCAGUAACCAGAAUUUGUAUGGGAAGUCAAAACACAUAUGAAGUAAUUAUUUUAAAUUACCUGCAUCAAGUACACACAACCACGAACAUGGAUAUAUGUAGCAUUAGUUUUCUCUUCAUACACAUUGAAGCUGAACACAAACUCUGAUCCAAAAAGUCAUAAACUAAACCUCCCCAAUUAAACCUACCCAAUUCGCCUAGAUCAUCCACAACCCUAAACAACCCACCAAGGACUAAACCCAUUCUACUUGGAAAUAAAAACUCUGACAUUCCUAACAAGAUGUACAGCCUGCAAAAGUCAUGUAUAGAACAUUCGUUGCAACGUUUAACAAUUUCAUCAUAAAUCAUUUUGACAGAUACAUGACUACUUUUGAAAAAACUCAUACUCUUACAAUUGUUUUCUGUUUUUUGUAAGUCAAAUUUGUCUCUCAAAACUCUAAGACCUAUACCUAAACAAACAUCUAACAAAGUAAAUGGGACAACUCUAGAGUUGACUACAAAACCAUGACUUCUCUCCACCCACCUAGUACAUAACUCCCUUAAAAGGCAACGAUUCAAUUUCAGGUUCCCAUCCAACACAAUUAGCCAACCAAAGGGGGUUGACUGAAUAAUAAACUUUUCUUCAUCACUUAAGGUUUUGUUCAAACUUCCCAAAAAUUUAGGCCUACAAUAAUGCCUAAAGACCUGCAUUUAUAAAAACGUGUACACUUUACUAAGAAUGUGAUGCCAUUGUAUGCCCAACAAAAUUAAGCAUAUUUGAAAUCGAACCUUAUCAUCCACAAAAGAUUUUGCAUGACUACUUUCUUCACUUGUCAUUAUAUCCUACAAAACAUAAAAAAGCAACAUUGAAUAUGUUAUUCAAAACCAAACAACAAUCAAAGAACAUCAAUCUUUAAAAAAUCAAACAAUUCAUAGUUAAUGUAUUCUGUAAAUGUGCUUUUGCAAUAAACUGACUUUGGGUCAACACAAAGAACAUAUGAAGGACAAAAACCUUACAUUAUUCCCCACCCCACACUAACUAAUAACACAAAAAACCUAACAUUUUAAGAUGAAAUUACCCUGCCUCUAUCAUAGAACUAUAAUGUGGGUCACCACAUAUUCCCUCUAGGGUCACCACAUUCUACAACUGUCUAAGUGGAGUGAAUUUUGUGGUUAGUUUGCACUUUCCUACACUCAUGGGUUCUAAAGNNNNNNNNNNNNNNNNNNNNNNNNNNNNNNNNNNNNNNNNNNNNNNNNNNNNNNNNNNNNNNNNNNNNNNNNNNNNNNNNNNNNNNNNNNNNNNNNNNNNAACCCACUUUCUCUCCACCUCAUGGCCCACCCUUCACCAACACGAACACUCACUUCCCAUAUCCAGGAAAAAAUUUCACUGGGGCUGUGCACGAAGUGUAAUGUGGGUCACCACAUAUUUCCUAUAGGGUCACCAUUUGAUGAUAUUCUUAGUUGAGUGAAUUUUGUGCCCACUUCACAAUGCUCUAAACUCAUGGCCUCUAAAUACCUCAAUUAAACCACUUUGUCCCCAGCUCAUGCCCCACUACAACCAACACGAACACUCACUUCCAAUUUCCAGAAAAAGUUUCCCUGGGUAUGUGCAGGAACUAAAGUGUGGAUCACCACAUAUUCCCUAUAGGGUCACCAUUUCAUUAUAUUCUCUUAGUUGAGUGAAUUUUGUGCCCACUUCACACUGCUCUACACUCAUGGCCUCUAAACACUUCAAUUAAACUACUUUGUCCCCAGCUCAUGCCCCACUACAACCAACAUGAACACUCACUUCCCAUUUUCAGAAAAAGUUUCCCCACAUCAUGCCCAUCCCAACAAACAUGAACACUCACUUCAUAUUUCCAUAACAAGUUUCACUGGGUUUGUGCAGGAAGUAAGAGGUGGGUCACCACAUAUUCCCUGAAGGGUCACCACAUACUGUCAGUCUCUAACUUUACUAAAUUUUGGGAUUAAUUCAUAGGGUCCUACUCCAACAACCUCUAAAUAACUCAUUUAAUCCACUUUCUCCCCACCUCCUGUCACUCCCUAACCAACAUGAACACAAUUCACAUUUUAAGAAAAACUUCCCCUGUUAAGUCUGUGCAGGAAGUCUCAUGUGGGUCACCACAUACUCCUACUAGGGUCACCACACACUGCAACCCUCUAAAUUCAGUGAACAUUGUGGUUACUUGACACUAUCCUACUUUGAUGGCCUAUAUAAAAAACUGAUUUAACCCACUUUCUCCCCACCUAGUGUCCCUCCCCAACCAACAUCAACACUAACACUAACACAAACACUAACACUCUCUUUUUAACUUUCUUAUCUAUGUCAACAUUACAAAAUUUCCUUUAUAAUUUUGGUACCUCAUCAACCUAACAUUCCAAACAAACACUCUGCACUAAUUAUAUACCAACACACAUAUUUCCAACAACAAUAUUUUCACAAAAAAUCAAGUCAUACUCCACAAAAAUGGGUCCCGAUUUUUGGACAACUUUAAAUGAGUUGCUCCACCAAUCCCUUUUCUUUGUGUAUCCUAACAUGCUACUAUGAAAUCAAAUACUACAAUAAUAGUGAAAUACAGACCCACAAAGUAAACCCAACAUCAAAUACAAAUAUACAUUUAUCUUAAUAGUCUGUGCGAGAAAUCAGCUUUGGCUCAUACAAGCGUCACCAUAGGAUAAAUAACAGGAAUGACCCAACAACAAAUCACACAACAUCAAGGUUUCACUUAAUAAACAAAUGAAAAAAAUAAAUGUAUUACCUUUGAAAACAGGAUGUCCAAGAGGAGAACGCCACCCAACCACCAUGAAAACAGGAUGUCCAAGACGACAUCGCCACCCAACCACCAUCAAAGGAGGAUGUCAAAGACGACACCACCGCCAAACCACCCUGAAAAUAGAUGCACCUACGACGACCACGAACGUCGUUGCACAUAAAGGUUGCGGAGAACUUCGAACAAAUACCUUGCAGAGAAGACGAUGUUGGUGGAGAAGACGAUGUGCUGGAGAAGACGAAGUGGUGGAGAAGACAAGUUCGUGGAGAAGAAACCUAAAUUCAGCCCCUUUCUAAAAACCUAAUUUCACAUUCUACUGCACCCUAAACACUCAAUUUCAUAUUUUUUCUGGACCCCACAUCCAAAUAAAAUAAUAUUUUCUUGUGCCACGUUGGUAGUUGUAUGGUGGAGCAACAAAUUUAGGGUUGUCCAAAAAUCGGGACCCAAAAAAAAAUUAAAGAAAACUGAGAGGGUAAAAUAUACAGAUAACCAUUAAUUUUUCAUUAAAUUUAAUUAUAUUUUACCACUUUGAAUACUUAUAUUUUAAUAGUUAUCCACACACAAUAUUUAAUACUUAUACUCUGUUAAAAGAAUUUAAAAAUGAUACUUUAAAACAUGAAAUUUAAUCAUUAUCAACUUAUAAAAAAACAAGUUAAUAUAAUUAAUUGAUAUUAAAUAUUGACAAACAAUUGCUAAAAAAUAUAUUUUUAUUUUAUUUUUCUUAUAUUUUUAUUGUUUGUACAUAAUAUAUUACUUUCAAUCAAUAUUUUUAUAAUAUGUUAUACUCAGCACUCUUUAAUUAGUAUGUGUAAAUAUUUUUUCCGUUAUCUUUAAUGUAGGAAAAUUAAUGUUUAUUGAUAAUAUCAUUUUAAUAGGAAUUAUCUAUAAAGGUACUCUAAAAAUUGGUUGUAUUUUCAGGAAUCAUUUUAUUAGAAUUUUAUGGCAUCUCAUCGUCUUCCCGCGAAUAUGUCUAUAUUGCGACUCCAAGAGAAACAUGUUACUAAAUACGUAUGGGAAGGUAAUGAAAGACUAUUGAGACCCAUAAGACAUGCAAGUUGGGUACUAAAGCAUGAGGAUAUACUUGACCAACGAGUCAAACGGUUAAUUGAUCAUUCUGGUUUUGGACAUUUGUUAAAAUUUAAGCACAUUGACUUCAACCAUGUACUAAUUACAGCAUUAGUGGAAAGAUGGAGAACAAACACUCAUACCUUUCACUUUCCUCUCGGUGAAACAACUGUUAUUUUGGAAGAUGUGGAAUUAAUAUUGGGUUUACCUAUUGAUGGGCAGGUUGUCACCGGGAUUACUAGUGGUGAUUUAAUAUCUUUCUAUAACCAGUUGCUCGGAUUUAUACCACCCUCAACAGCGGUAAAAGGAAAUGCAAUUAAGUUGUCUUGGCUUAACAACACUUUUCAGGAACUGCCACAUAAUGCAACCGAUGAUGUUAUUGCUCAACAUGCUCGAGCCCACAUAUUAACACUUAUUGGGAGUCUAUUGAUGCCUGAUUCUUCAGGUAGUAAGACAUUUAAUGUAUCUAUUAUUGUUGGCAGACUUGAACAACGUAAGGAAUUACAGUUGGGGGUCAGCUGUAUUGGCUUCUUUGUAUCGUGCGCUCGAUCACGGAAUAGAAUUUAAUCAAGAUAAUAUUGGAGGUUGCAUGCUUCUUUUACAGUGUUGGGCAUGGGAACGCAUAACAUGCAUUUCUCCACAACUUCAACCAUUGACCGAUGAAGAAGUUCAACAAGGAGUUGGUUUCCCCUCUCGGUAAAAGGUAUGUUAUUUUUGUAUUAAUUUUCGAGAUAAGAAAACGAAGCUCUUAAUAUUUCUUUGCUUACGUUAGGUGGACUCGGAGGAUGCAUGGGACGCACAUAGGAGGAACCAUUGUUCCACAAAUACGAGCAAUAUUUGAUGGCAUUAAAGUUAAAGAGGUUGUGACAAAUAUAUAAACUAACAUAUCAUUUUAACUAAAUAUUUCAUAUUACUGAUGUUUCAAACAUUUAUUUACAGUUUCUUUGGACUCCACGCUUGAUCACUAUUGAGGUUUCCCCAACUGCACGGGUUGUAGUUCCUCUCAUAUGUUUUGCAACUGUUGAAUUUCAUCAGGUUGAUAGGGUUAUGCGUCAAUUUGGAUUUCGACAGAGUAUUCCAAGUGACCCAUUCAACCUCGAUCAACUUCACAAAGAGGAUAUGAGAGGACGAAUUGAUCGAUACUGGCCACAAUAUCAUGUCGCAUGGAUAGCUAUGUGGAAUGACCGUCAUAAUUUGCAUGACAACUCAAAUGGCAAUUUGCAUGAGUUUAACGGAAAUCAGUUUAACGGAAAUGGAAAUUUGCAUGACAACUCAACAUACAUGCAAUGGUACAUCAACCAUACUAUCCGCUACAUCACGCCUAUACAAUCAUCGUUUGAUGAUGAUGUAAGUUCAAUUACAAAAUUAUUUAUUAUUCUUCAUUCACUCAUCCAAAAUUAACACAUAUUUUCAAAACAGUAUGAUAUGCCACAGGAGACUACACAACCUCACUAUCAACAUCAUGUCGGGUCUUCUUCUCAAGUUCAAUCAUUUAAACAACAAUCUUUUCGUCCACCAGGUGUUCAACCGACCCAGUUGUUCGGAUAUAGGGAUCAAUCUCACAUGUCAUUUCAAUCAUCAUUCCAUCAACCACCUUUCAACUACUUAACAUUUCUAUCUCAACAAAAAUUGUUUGUUGGCCCGUCAAAUUCCUUUGCAACCUCUACCAUGACCCCCCCAUCUGCCUACAAUCCAAUGUCAUUUAUGCAGUAUUAUCGACCAACAAUGCCUUCACAAGUGUCCGCAAAUUAGAGUGAUGACAAUGAAAUCGAAGGCAUUGAUGAUGACUGUAGAUAAAUGAAUAAACUAUUUUUCUCGAGGUUUUCUCUUUAAAGUGAGAUUUAUCUUUAUUAUCUAUAUCAUUCAUCUUUAAAGGUAAGAUGAUUCCUCUUUAAAACAUUUUUUUUAAUGUUUUUCCAUUUUAUCCUAUUACGGCAAAAUGUAGAAUUAGCUGAAAAAAAAGUGAAGGCCCUGUGGACACUAAAUAGUGUGAACUAAACCUUCAUUAUUAAAAAAAUUAAAUAAAGUGAGUUAUACUCACGUAAUUUUUUUUAAAAAAAUAAGAAAAAGGGUUGUGUGGUCAAAUGGUCACUGUUGAAAAUAUAAAUAAUAAUAAAAAUUUAAAGUUUGAAGAUUAAGCUCACACUAUGCAUUUUGAAAUUAAAUUUAAAUAAAUAACAAAAUUGUUAAGGUUCAACCUACGCAAAUAAUUAAUCUUUUAUUUAUUUGAAAAUGGCGCUGAUGUGUGGAGAAAAGAGUGAAAACUUUUCAAAGCUUGGGUUUAAGUUGAAAACGCGACCAGAGAAUGUACAUUGAGAACGUGCCCUAGCUGUUGAGCAGUGCGACCUGAGAACGCGACCUAGCUAUUGAACAGUUCGACCUGAGAAUGCGACCUAGCUGCUGUUGAGCAGUGCGACUUAAGAACAUGACCUAAGGAGCGACCGUGAGAACAUGCAACCGUGAGUUUCACAUUCCUUUCCUUUUUCAGUCUCUGCGAGUUGAAGACUCAACCCUAGGUUUUGCCCCAUCUCGAUUUCUUUCUUUUUUCGUUAUAUUGGUUGAGGUGUGUGUUGUGUAAUUUUAUUUUGAAGAUCUAGCCCUAAAGAUUCUAGAAUGAUUCUCAACACCGUGUUUUUUUAUUUCAUUUGUUUGAGGGAGCUUGGAAACUUCUAUUGUGAGAGCUUGAAGUUCCACCACUUGAGGUAAGUCUUUUAUAAGAAAUUUUAACCUGUCUGAUCAACUGAAAAAUCAUGAGUUCCAUCAAUUAAGGUACAUAGGAGAAGGGAAGUAGCAAUCACUAAGGUACAUAGGAGAAUGCGAUAUCAUCAAAGAAAUUGAUCAUGGUUUGGUGGAGCCAAAUAUGAGUUUUGAGGUACUUCACAUACUGAAUGGCUUCCUCCAACAUGGUUUGCUGUAAAAGUUCGUGAUAUAAGCAAGGGAAAAAGGAUUGCAAUUUUGGAAAAGUGUUACAAUUUUACGAGGUACGUAGCUAUAUACGUUCUCUUCUCAUCCUCUGUGAAGACAAACACACUAUGUUGUGCCAUCUAUCUUUGCUUAAAAUAUUUGUCAAGUGUCAUCGUCUUUUCUUCAUUUUACUGUAAUUAGAUUCUCCUCUUCAAAUUUAACUCUCCAUAAACAAAAUAUAUAUAUAUAUAUAUAUAUAUAUAUAUUAACACGUUACUUCAUCUUCAUUUUGCUGUAAUUAGAUUCAAUGUGGAAAUCAACCCAAAAUUGAUCUGUUUUAUUGUUGCCGUUUUACAAUUGUUUAAGAAAAAAAAUGAAAAAUGGUAAUAAAUUCUGUGAGGAGGACAACACAUAUGGAUUAUGCAUUUGGAUUAUUGUUUUAUAUUUUUCCAUUGCUUUUUCGUCCAUAAUGAAUAGUUCUAGUGAACCUUCCAGUCAUUUAAGUCCACAUUUCCACUCAUUUGCCAAAUUGCAAUAUAAUAUUUCUUCGUUGUGCGAUAGAAUAAUAUAUGUGUAAAUCAAAUCCCAGCAAAACAAUCAGUGCGAUGAGAAACAUUAUAAUGAUGGUUGGUAGAAAGUGAAUAUAGGAAUGAGGUGGGAACAGAUAAAAAUGGAAUGCUGUAAACAAAUUUUACAACUUAAAGUAAAAAUAGGCAAGGAAAAUGAAACCGCAGAGACAUAGUCCAAUAAAGUCAAUAAAGAGAAUAAUGUUUAAUAAAGUCUUUGAAUAAAUAAAAUAAUCAAUUUUUAAUAAUUAAUUUAUUAAAAUAAUAAAUUCUGUCAAUAUAAUAAUUUAUUUAUUACUUUUGUCUUUUAGUUUCUAACUUAUGAAUUCAUGUUUUUUGCUUUAAUGCUAUUGAAAAAAAAAAGUAAAUUAAAAAAUCUUAAUAUUUAAUAUUUAAAAUUCAAAUUUUUAUUUAAAAGUGGAGUCAUCAUCACAUGGAUAGAAGAAGAAAUUUUUUGAGUCCAAUAGUUGCCAAAUUAGCAUUUUAUUUCAUUGUAUAUAAUUGAGUACAAAUCUCAUUUCAUGAGUCGGUUUUAUAGUGUUAACUUAAGCUUAAAGUCUACUUCGUAAUAUGGUAUCAGAGCCAUUUCAAACCUAUAUUAACGAGUGUUUAUUGACCUUAUCAGACCACCCGCUAUCGGACCGUUAUCGGACCACCCAUAAUAUAUUAUCCUAACAUGAGCCGAUUUUAUGACAAAACACAAAUUAUCAAAAGUAAAACAUUAAAGAUGUAAAACAAUUAACUAAUAGAAAAAUUAUUUUAAGAACAUAUACUUCUUUUCUCAUAUUGUAUUUAUGGUUUAAUUUAAUAUUAAUUAGAUGUUAAUUUUUUAUAUUAAUUUCGAUUUAUUUAUUAAGUUUUUAUUAAAUUUACAAUUUUACUAUUUUUUAAUUAUUUAUAUUCCAAUCUUAUUUAAUUUUAUCAAAAUUCCUCCUAAAUACUCAAUAUAUUAUAAGAUUAUUUAAGUUUAAUAAUGUUACUUUUAUUAUAAUUUUUUGUUUCAUCAAGUGUUUGAUGUAUUUUUUAUUUUCGUAUUCUUCCUGUUAAUUUUAUCAACCUGCCUAUUUAUCCUCUACUUGUUUAUUAAUUUACAUUAUUAUUUUUUAGUAUUUUUAUUUUUAAUUUGUUAGUCAACUCACUAUUAAAAAAUAAUAAAUUAAUCAGAGGAUAUUGAGAAAAGAAGAAACAAAUUGAUCAAAGGAGAAGAUAGAAAUAAUAGUUCCAUCCAUUUCAUUUAUAUUAAAUAUCAAACACAAGAAGAAAAAUAUUUUUAAUAAAACCAAAAUUUUUAACAACAAAUUAAAAAUAUUUACAUUCAUGAGAUAUUUAAACUUAUUCUUAUUUUUUUAAUGUUAAAAUCUGAUUAUUUUAUGUUUAUUUUUCCCUUAUUUUAAUAUUUUUGUUUUUAAUAUUUAUGUUUUGACAAUUAUUCAUCAUAAUUUUAUAAUUCUGCAAAGAAGAGAAAUUCUAUUUUAGAAGACUACUUUUACAAAUUUACAAUUAACUUUGUAAAUUAUAAGACAUUUUAUAACUAUUGAAUUUCAAUUUAGGAACUGUUAAUAUAAUUAUAUUAGUUUAAAAAUAUAUAUAGUAUGUAUUAAAACUUAAAUUAACAUAUAUAUUAAAUUUAAAGGAAAACUAUUAAUUCUAUGUUUCAUUUAUGAAGAAAGAAUUCGACUAAUUCCAUUAUAAUGAAUAUAUCUCGUUGAAAUUUCACAAUCUUAGCUCAUAUCUUAAAAAAAUUAAAAUCAAAUGGAUAAGGAUUAAAUAUUUUUAUAAUUCUGGUCUUCAAGUAUCUGAAAAGUUCACAAGUAUACUAAAAAGAAAUAUUCAAUUACUGUAAUUUUUAAUAAUGCUUUUCCUCUUCAGUAUCUAUAACAAUAAUUUAAAAAAUAUAUUAAAGUAGUAAAAAUAAUUAAAGAAUAAGAUUAAAAUAAGGAAUAUAAGUUAUUAACAAAUAAAUGAAUUAUCUUACUUUUCAUUUAUUUAUAUUUUAUUUCUCUUAAUUCAAAUCACUUUAUUCUCUAUUUUUUUCAUUCAUUUUUUAAACAAUAAAAGAAAACUAAAAUAAUCAUUUAAUGCAUAAAAAUGGGUCAACUGUAUCUAAUUAUUUUGUUAGUAAAUCUUAUUAAAGUUUCCUGUAAGUAUAUAAUAUUUCGUAUUUAUUCCAAAACAUUGAUACGAAUAAUCAUUUAAUCUAUAAAAUAAGUUUAAUAAAAUAAGUUUUUUUAUAAUAAAAAUAAAAAAUACUGAUAAACACUACAGUACAGAAGCAAAGGUGUCAUGAAAGGGGUGGUGGUGUGUCCGUGCGCGACCUUUUGCGGCGUCAAGGGACACUGUUCAAUGCUGCUAUGUCUCAUAGUCCAACCUUCAAAUUAAUCCAAUUCAAGAAGUGGAUAACUAUAAAACUCUAUUCCAUCAAAUACACCACUGUCCCCUGUUCACCGUAAGUCUACUAUACCAAACAAUGAUCUCCGUCACUCACGCCAUCCAAACAAUCCUUAACGUCUCUAAACGUCUUCCUCCACUCACUGUGCCUCUUCACGAUGCCCUAGGCAAGGUCCUCGCGCAAGACGUUCGCGCUCCCGAUCCUCUCCCGCCCUACGCCGCCUCCGUCAAGGACGGUUACGCGGUGAUCGCCGCCGAUGGCCCCGGCGAAUAUCCAGUCGUUGCUGAGUCUAGAGCUGGAGACGACGCUCUUGGCGUCACUCUCUCCCCUGGAACUGUCGCUUACGUUACUACCGGAGGUUCGCCUUUUUCCGUUUUCAUUUUCCUAGAAAAAAAUGUAAAAUAAGUUUUGCUUCUCUCGCAACUGUAUUUCAGUUUCUGAAGAAGUUAUAUUCUAGAGUUUUAAGUUAAUUUAAUGGAAGUUAAGUCGAUAAAUUGAUACUAGCUUGCACGAGAAGUUCAGUUCAGUUCAGUUCAUUUUGUCUUUUCUUCUUCUCUUGUUGUUAAUGCUUCCAGUAUAGUUUAUCGGAGUAGAGCUUUAUAUAUUUAUAUCAUGGAUUAUUGAUUUAUGGUUAAUAUUCUUUGUCACGUUUCUCUCUCUCUUGAUUUAGGACCAAUACCUGAAGGUGCUGAUGCGGUUGUUCAGGUUGAGAAUACGGAAGUUGUGAACGAUGCCUCAGAUGGGACUAAACGAGUCAGAAUAUUGGUACAAACCACCAAAGGGAAUGAUAUACGUCCAGUGGUAUGCUCUUGUCGCUUCUCUGCUGUAACUCUGAUCAUAAUGUUGAGUUUAUGUUUUAAAUUGCGUGUCAUUUUUAAUGUCGCCAAAUUUGACACGGAUUCGUUGUUUACUAGUUUAAGUUCUGUAUAAUAUCGAAGUUUAUUAGCUGUUUUGUUCACUGCAUUUUGGUAUUCAUUGACAGGGACUUGAUAUUGAGAAAGAUGCAAUGGUGUUGACAUCUGGAGAAAGGCUUGGUGCUUCGGAAAUUGGUUUGCUUGCUACGGUUGGUGUGACAAUGGUUAAGGUAUUCUUUUAGAGAGUUCCUGGAUUCUGUAACCAAGCAAGCUUCUCCCUGUAUUAGCUAAUACUUCCUGAACUUUGACAUGUUUUGUCUAAUAUUGAGUAUUGAUACAUUUAAUGAUGGGAAUUAUUGCUUAAGUGCAGGUUUAUCCUGCUCCAACAGUUGCUGUUCUUUCUACUGGAGAUGAGCUUGUAGAGCCAAGUACUGGGCAUCUGAGUCGUGGUCAGGUAUUGUUAUGUUCUGCUAGGAUCCUAGGACUAGUGAGACUAGUGUAUGAAAAAUGUUUAGCAUAACAAUAAUGUUUUCAGUUAUUAGAACUAUCAUAUGGAUGGAAGCUAGUGGUUGUAACUUAUAAUUGACUAAAAAUGCAUGUCAGCUUCAGGUAUUUUCUUAAAGGAUUAUUAAUGUGAUAAUAUUUGGAAUAGAUUACUAAAGUCUUAUCUGAAUCAACCUAUAGGCAAUACCAACAUUAAUUAGGCUGCUUGCUUUGAUUUUAGCAUGAGUAGUUUGUUGAAGAAAGAAGGUUCAACCGAGCAUUAUAAUGGACCUAUAAUUCUCAGUCUGGCAGAGGCUUAAACAUAUUACUCUGCUGCAUAGAUGUAAAUUUCUUACUCUGCUGCAUAGAUGUAAAUUUCUUACUCUGCUGCAUAGAUGGUGUUUAAGAUUUGUUGGGCAACCCAGCACUUUUUUUACCACAUUAUUCAACUACUUAUUUGUAGACUAUGUAUUUGGGUUUGUGCAAUAAUUCGCAAGAGUUGCUGGGUAAAUGUAAUUAAAAUGGAUGUAAGCUAAUGUAGUUGCUUUGCAGAUUAGGGACUCUAAUCGUGCCAUGCUCCUGGCAGCUGCAGUACAACUUCAGUGCAAAGUUCUGGACCUUGGUAUUGCUAAGGAUGACAAAGAAAGUCUAGGAAGGAUCUUGGAUAAAGCUUUUGCUUCUGGAAUUAAUAUUCUUAUAACUUCAGGAGGUGUUUCAAUGGGAGACAAGGAUUUUAUCAAGCCUUUGCUUGAAAAGCGAGGAAAAGUACAUUUUGACAAGGUUAUGCCAUUCUUCUAUUUGAUUGUCUAUUAAUUAAAAAUGUUCUGACAUCCUGUUAAUCUGUGCCAUGGAUGCAAUGUGUAUGUUGUAGUUGUAGAAAUCUUACUAGUCCGUAUAAUCUCUGGUGAGUAUAAUUUGUAAAUCAUGUUUUCUUAAUUUAGAUUUUCUUUUCAUCUUUCAGGUGCUUAUUAAACCAGGCAAGCCAUUUACAUUUGCAGAGAUUGACUUUCCGUCAACAGAAAGUAAAAUUCUAGCUUUUGGACUACCAGGAAAUCCUGCCAGUUCUUUAGUUUGCUUCUAUCUCUUUGUGGUCCCUGCAAUACGCCUCCUUGCAGGGUGGACAAAUCCUCAUCAUUUGAGGUUACUUAAUUCCAAAGUUUGUUUUUAUGAUGGUUUGCUUGCCUUUUGAGUUUAUUCAUUUAAUUAUUUUCUAUGCAGGGUACAAGCUCGACUUCAUCAGCCCAUAAAGACAGAUUCGUUUAGACCUGAAUAUCAUCGUGCUUCUGUUAUAUGGACUGACAAUGAUGGAACAGGCAAUCCAGGGUAAGUCGAUGAUGAAUUGUUUGUUUUGGUCUGGGUCUAGCUGAAUCUACUGCAUAUCUGUAAUCUACAUGCAGAUCUGUUCUCUCUAUUGUGUGUUUUUAUUAAUUUAAUAUAGGGAGGUUGUUAUGUGGAGGGUCAGAGGGGCUGUUAUCUUUUAUCUGUUCUCUCUUAAUGAAUGAAAUUUUUAUGCUGUCCAUGAAUCUCAGUUUUGUUGCUGAGAGCACUGGUCAUCAGGUAAGCAGUCGACUGCUAAGUAUGAAGUCAGCUAAUGCUUUGUUGGAGUUUCCAGCAACAGGAAGAGUAGUUCCUGCAGGGACCACUGUAUCAGCUAUCAUAAUUUCUGACCUAAGAUCCAUGGCUUUUGAUGAGAAUCAUAUGUCAUCAGAUGCGGCAUUUUCUUUGCCAGGAAUUAAAUCACACAAAAUAACUACUGAUUCUUCAGGGGAUGCUGAAGUCAGAGUGGCUAUUCUUACAGUUAGUGAUACAGUUGCUAUGGGGGCUGGCCCAGAUAGAAGGUAUUGAUAUUCAUAUUAUAUUUGAUAGGUGUAUGCAAACAAAGAGACAGACAUACAUCUGAAGAUCAAAAUUAAACCUUUUUUUGGCCUAUCUGUAUUUGUUUUUUGAAUCAGGAGAGCCCUUUAAUUGAUUUUUCUGCAUUUGAUCAAUUUAUGAAUAAUGCUUUAGACUAAAAAAGUUUUUCUACUUUCUAGAUAAAGCAGCUUCUAGAUACUUCUAAUGAAAUCUUGCAAAAGAAGAAAUGUGACACCACACCUUUUAUUUUUGAAAUUGCUACAACACAAUACUAUAUUGAUAGAAACUGAGUAUUCCGAUGUUAGAAAGAGAGUUAAUAGACUUGAUACUGCCAAAUCUUUAUUAGAAUUCUCUAAUCCAGUUCCUAUCAAUUUGGUAGAACCGUCCCAGAACCAAGUAUGAUUACAAAAUACCCCACUGAGGUUGUUCGAGAGAACCUCACUCUCCACACACAUACAGUUCCUCUUUUUUUUCUCCAACCAAAAAGUCCCUCCCAACUCUGUUUCUCGACUAUUUAUAUAGUUUAGAUACAGCUGUCAAUUAUUUCUUCUCUUAUAUACAAUACCAAACCUAUCAUAUAUAAAAAAGGUUAAUGAGGUGCUGGCCAUAUUCAUAAUCUUUGUUCUUGAUCGCCAAAGUCAACUAGUAAUUUUUUGUCAUUAAUUGAGUGCAUCUAGUAUCCUCUUCCAAACCAAAGAUUUUUUUUUCUGUAGAUAUGAAAAUAAUGGAGCAGUGUGGCAUUUGUUAUUAUUAAAGCUAGAUUUUAGUAUGCUCAUAUGCAUCAGCAUUCACAUGCUGUAGAUUUUUAGUAUGCUCAUAUGCACAACAUUCACAUGUUGAAGGAGUCAAAUUAACCAAUGUUGGAAUACCAUCACUGUUGCUAUAUAAACACACACAUACUUUUUAUCCAACGAAUGACAUUAUAUUUGUUAACAUUUUAUAUUGCUUUUCGAAAUUACCCUUAAGAUUAUUGGGCUCAUCUUCUCAUUCUUUUCACCUAGUUGGUUAAUGUGUGCUGGUCAUAUUUUCACAUCUGCACAAGAGAGAGAAUAACUUCUAUUCUUUAUUGACUACAAAAACUAUAAAAUAAUUAAGUUAAACAAAUAAUUAAUGCAGGAGACAAUCUGAAUGCCUUGUGAAAAGGGAAAGAGAAAUUUCUUAAAAGGCUCUUAUAUAUAUGGGCACAAAGGUAUUAAUUGUUAAAUCAUAUUCCCAGUUGGAUAAUGUUGAAAGGCAUCUAGAUACACCUCUUUAAAUCAUUGUUUGAAAGAGGUCACAAAGUUGAUGCAAAACUAAAGAGCGAGCUUGAUGUUAGUCAAUGCCAAAAGGGGCAUGAGAUCUACUGAGUGUCUUGCAACAGUCUCAAACUUUUAAGUGUUUAAAGAUAAAAUUUCUGUUUUGGGCAUUGAUCCGUCAUAGUGUAGAAGUGUGUUCUGUUGACUGCAUAACCUUAUCUGCAGUACGUCUGGCUGUGGUUCAUAUUAUUGAUUUUUCACACAUCCUUCAUUGGGGUUUAUAGUAUUUUAUGCAUUUAAGGAUUGUACAUUUUUUCUGUUGUCUUGUUUAUUUCUUCAUUCUCUUUCUUAAUUUGUUAUUUGCUCACUGCCUUGUGAAUGAGUUAAGGAGUUGUGGAACCUUGAACUAAAAUUCACCCUAAUCACUAUUAAAGAAAAUGGCAAUGUCCCAUUUUUAUUCAGUUCAAUAACAAUUAGAAAUAAAGGGUUUGACUGCCAAGUUGCUCUGGACAUAAUUGGAAAGUGGAAGCUUUUUCUCAGUCAUCCUUGGCAUUAGACAUUUCUCCUUCUCUGUUGUUCUAGGUCUGAUGUUACUACUUGAUUAAAAAAUAGCAUCCCUCUGUGCUGGAAACACUUGGGUUCAGGUUGAACCCAAAAGAAAAAUUGCGAGUGAACUAAGAGCUUUGGCCUGUGAUUUUGUUAUCUAUGAAUUUCUGUACUAAAUAAAGUGAAGUUCCUUUAGAUUUCCCCUGGCCAAAAUAUUGGAAUAGAAUGAAUGCUUUGGCAUCCAUUAAAAGAACUGAAGUUUUUGUAGUAUUUGUCCCUUCUAUGCCAUAAGAAUGUUAUUUAAAUUUAACUUACCUGACUUUAUGAGGAAUCACUAUGUCAUGAUCUGGUUAGUUCAAUUGGUUAUAGCCGUGAUUGAACUUGCUAAUAUAAUAAAGAUAAAUUUGUCCAGAGACAUGUCUGGUUCAUGAUUCAAUUGGUUCAAUCAGUCAGUUCAGUUGUUUUUUUAAAACAUUGGUGUCGAUAUCAAAAUGUGCUGACCCUUUACAAAUAAACAGUGGUCCCAGGGCAGUUUCUGUUAUUAAUUCUUCAUCAGAAAGGCUAGGAGGAGCAAGAGUUGUAGCAAGUGCUGUUGUUCCAGAUAAUGUGGCAAAGAUUCAGGACAUUCUAAGAAGAUGGAGUGACAUUGAACAAAUGGAUCUCAUAAUUACUCUCGGUGCAUUUUUAUCUAACUGUCAGCCUCCCUAAAGUAUUUAAAAAAUUGUAGUUUUGUUGAGUUGACUUCUGCUUUAUUUUUGCUUUUCCAAUCCAGGGGGGACUGGCUUUACCUCACGAGAUUUAACUCCAGAAGCUACAAAACCAUUGAUUGAGAAAGAAACACCUGGUCUUCUGUAUGUAAUGAUGCAAGAGAGUUUAAAGGUAUUGCAACUAUGUUCAUAGUAGUUAGAUGAGUAAUUCUUGUGAUGUCUUUUGCAUUUUGUGGUUUCUCAUUUUCUUGCUUCUUUAGUUUCUUUUUUAAAACCUUCUAUUUUUUCCAAAUCAAUGUUAAAAGAGCCUUGACCUGACUGAUUUACCUGGACUGGUCAGUCUGUCAUCAGACUCUGCUAUAUAAUGGCUAUAACCGUAACCAGAAACCAACAUAUUUAUAGUAAUGCACUUUUUUCAAACUUCUAUUCACAAGCUUCUUGCUUUGUUAUUUGGACGAGAAUAAUAACCAAAACAUUCAUUUGAUAACAAAGUAAAGAAACACUAUAAGAAAAUCAUUAAAUAAAAACCAAUUUUAGAAACAAAAAAUAAUUAGUUCUUAUAUUGACUAAAUAGAGACUAAAAAAAUUUCUAGUUUCUAAAUUAACUUCUAUUAUUGUUAAAUAGUUUUUAAAUUGGUAUCUAAUUAGCUAUGAAGGUUUUGCUACCAAAUUUAGAAUUUAAAUAAUUAGUAGUUAAAACAUUGUUAGCUAAUUAGAUAUACCAAUUUAGAAACUAUUUAACAAUAAUGAUAACUAAUUUAGAAACCAUUUUUUUUUUAUAAAAUUGGUUUCUAUUUAAUGAUUUUCUUUGUAGCGAAAUGAGUUAGUAAUUAAAUAAACAAUGAGUUUGUGAAGAGUUUGUGUAUAGAAGUUUGAGUGUAGCAUAGCAUUACUUACAUUGAUUAGUUAUAGAGCUUGUGUAUAUGUCUAAAGGAAGAUCAAUUUUUUGAAUUUUAAUUUUCUCUUUAGUCUGUUUGAUUAAUUCUGUUUUCUGCAUACUUAGCUAUGCUGAUAUCAGGCCUGCUUCCUUGGAAAGUCUAUAGUUAGUGUUUGUUGAUUUCUGAAGGGCAUAAUUGAUUUAUGUUUAAAUAGGUGACCCCAUUUGCAAUGCUUUCUCGCUCUGCAGCUGGAAUCAGAGGAUCAACCUUGGUAAGGGAAAAAUGCUAAUGAUAUUAAUAUCUACUUUUAAAGUACCGUAUGAAAGCUGUGCUGUGCUUUGUCUCCUGGAGUUUUUGCACCUCAUUUUAAUGUUAUAAUGGGAUUUGCUUUGUGACCAUAUCUUUUCAUGCAUCGUACAGCUUUUUUGACAGCACAGUAUUCCAUGUAAGAUUGCUUGUCAAUCUUCUCUUACUCAUGAAAAAAGAAAUUCCUGAAUGUGAAUUGAGCGUCUCAACUCUCAAAUGUCUUGUUAAUUUGUAAAGGGUUAUUUCAUCUCAUUAAUAGUUGAUUUUAUUUUUCAAAUGUUCUUUGUUGGAUUUGUAUGGUUCUGCUCUUUUUAUGCUCUUCUCUAGGAAAAUAUUUUAUUCUCCCACUUGUACAAUAUCUUCUUAUCAGUAGCAACAAAUGAGAAAGUAAUUAACUGCCGUUUGAAGUCAGAAAAAUGGUUUACAUGUCUUGUUCGAUUUUAGACAGGAGUUUGAAGGUAGCAAUUGUUUUCAUUUCAGUCUUCACCGUUACAGUGUGGUUGUUUUACUUGAAUAGUAUUAUUUUCAGGAAACUCAAAUCAUCAUGUAGAUUUUAAAGCAUUUUCAUAUGAUAAUUUGUAUUUAUUACUAGUUACUUGGGUUUCAUUUCACUUAUCACCGUUACAGUGUGGUUGUUUUAGUUGAAUAAUUACUAUUUUCAUGAAACACAAAUCAUCAUAUAUAUUUUAAAGCAUUUUCAUAUGAUCAUUUGUAUUUAUUUCUAGUUAUUUGGGUUUCAUUUACUUAGUUUUGGUAUACAAUACGAGUGCUCUUUACUUCUAAAUGAUGCUGCAUUAGGAUUUAAGGUAAAUCUUGCGUUAUUUUGUUGGUGUAACUAGUACACCCUGAGUCCAGACAUGUAAUCUGUGUUUCUUUUAGACUUGUAUUUACUGGCUAUUUAUGGUGCUUGAUUUGUUGACAUUCAGAUCAUUAACAUGCCUGGAAACCCUAAUGCUGUUGCUGAGUGUAUGGGAGCUUUACUGCCAGCGCUUAAGCAUGGUCUGAAGCAGAUCAGGGGAGACAAGAAAGAAAAGCAUCCUCGUCACGUUCCACAUGUCGAAGCAGUUCCUGCAGAUGUGUGGGAGCAGAGUUAUAGGCUAGCCACUGGCGAUGACGUCUCUUGUUCCUGUUGCAAGUAAAGUUAAUUAUAUUUUCUUAUCGGUUUCAACGUUUGGCUCCCAUGUUUUUCAAUAGCAAUCAAUGUUCGGAAACACUAUUUUAUCAGAAAACUAAAAUUUUGAUGGGUGACAAUCCUAAUUAACUUGAAAGAUCAUUGAAAAAUACAAAUAAGAAUCAGGAGGAGCAGGAGAAUUGAAUUAUGCUAUGUAAUCUUUAAUUAAUAGCAAUUUGAUAGAUCAAGUGAUUUUAUUAACAAAAGCCUUUAAAAAAAGUAUACAAAGUAAGGUUAGUCCUUUAUGAGAGAAUUUUGUUUAUGGCCGGUGGGCAGUGAAAAUAAUUUUGAAGAAAAAUUGUUUUUCUUUUCAAAUAUUUGAAAAUUACUUCAAAACUUAAUCUCUACUUUUAUUGAAAGCGUGUAAGCAUAUGCAAGGGAGAAAAUGAUCAAUACAAUAUUUUAUAUGGUUUGACCCUACUAUUAUUCAAUUCUACAUCUAAUCCUUUACAAUGUUUAAGCAAAUUUUUACACCUUUUGAAAAAUAACUGCCAUUUGACAGUCGUGAUUUGACACAUUUUGUGUACGUGAUUAAGGGUUUUUUUGUCUAUGCAAACAAAUUAUUUUUUGAAAAAGUGUGAAAGGGGAGGGGAAGAAAGAGAGUAGGCGUGAGAUUCAUUUCGGGAGAAAAUUUUGUAGAUCCGUUGUGAAACCUGGAGUGAGGAGUGAUUGCAGAAUCGCCAUUGAACCUUGCAGAUGAAUAUGUCACACAUCAGAAGUAUUGAAGGAGAGGAGUGAUUUCAUAAAAGUGGAAAUGUUGGCAUUAUCAUCAUUGCAUCUGGUAAGUUGAUUUUAAGGGUUUCUACUUUUGAAUAUUUGUGUAAGGGUGUCAAUGGAAAGCAUCCUGAUGAGGGAGAGUGUCUAGCUUGAUAGGGUGUCCAAUUUUGAACUGAUGGUCAUGGUGCACAUGUAUCAAAGAUAUUGUAGAAAUCUUUCAAAGGUGUCCAUAUAAUUGAUGGAGGGUAAACCACAACUUCCCUAAUGUACAACUUGAGUUCACCAAUUUCCUGAAUUGGUGCCUUUGCUUUCAUUACUACCUUAGUAUACAUGCAAAUGACCCCAUGCGGUUGUAGUGAACAUAAAAAAGAAAAAUAUUUGGAGUUGUUUCUAGUUGUGGUCAUCAGUCAACAUUUAUCAAAAUGGUAUAGUCAGUGGCCACAUAAUUGAAGUGGCCAACCACUAUUUUGUAAGGGCAUGCCUUUGUUUUAGUUCAUUUGUUAGAUGAUUGUUAAAUAUUUCUGGAUAUUUUUAGAUAUUUUUAUCUAUUUAUAUUUUGUAACAUAACCUUUUGUACUCACUACACAUGAGAGAUUUGCCCACAUAAGAGAUUUCUCCUGUUUAUUCUUUUCCUUUAUUAGGGAUUUACAGCUUAAUGGUAAGCUAGGUUAUUUUUUUCACACCAAAAAUAGUUUGUCUCCACUCCAUCAUUUCUAUUUCAUAUGGCUAUUUAGUAUUUAGUAAUGGAUGCAAACCAACCAAUUUAUGAACGAGUCAACAUUGGUUCAAAUACCGUAGACAGGUAUAAGUUUGUUGUUGGACAUUGGUAACUGGUGUGGGGGUACCAACGAACACUUCCAUCAAAUUUGACCAUCACAUGCAUUGAAUUUAAGUUUAAUUAUUAUUUGGUUAGUGACUAAAUAAUUCAUAAAAUCAGAGUUAACAAUUCACCUAUGGGUGUAUACUUGCAUUUAUCUUACUGUAAGAUUAACAAUGUGGUUACACUGGUUAAAUUUUUGGCCAACCUGUAUUUCUAUUUUUUAGAAACAUUAAUCAUGUUAACAGUCAUUAUGCAGUGAACCUAAUAAAAUGAAUCAAAAUGGUUGCAGUGUUUGUAUCAAGUCGAAAAAUAAGUCUUUUUCUAUUAAACAUUGCUAAAUCUAAUUGUUUUGAGUAAGGUCAAAAUGAAGCAAACUUCAAAAGGUCAAAUUUCACAAUUUUUUCGAACUCAUUACUUAUUUACAAAUAUAAAACACAAAGUAAUGGUUGUAUUUUACCAAUUUCUACAAUUCUACAUACUAAAACGUCAUGAAAUGUCAAAAUAAUUGAACCAGAACUUUGAACAAAAUAAUUGGAAGGUCUACUUAGUUCACAAUGUUAAACAAUUUCGCUUGCCACUAACCUAGUUCAAAAGAACCAGUCAAUUCUAUUUAUUACAUCAACUUUAUCCUAAUAAUUUCUCGUACUUUAUGGCCACUUAACUCAAAAUUUCCCACCACAACUUUUCGAUGAAUGUUGUUUUCAUGAAGUAUAUGUUUGCAUACAAAAUCUUGUUGGAAACUCUGAAUUUAAUCAUGACAAAACAAUAUCAUCCAUAAAUUUAUGCACCAACAAAAUUACCACAACAACAAAACAUAUAAAUAUAAUGAAAUUAAACCAAUCGAAAGUGUAUUCUGAUAUGUUAUUCCCAUCGAACCAAGGCCUACUGACCCAUAACUCCACAUAUUUGAACACCAUUAGUCCACAAUCAUAUUUUCAAAACAUUAAUCACAUUAUCCAUUAUAUAUAUACACUAAUAGUACAUCUAUCUACACCUAUCUAUGAACAUAAUAUAGAGGUAUAGACUAACAUAUUUAGUUGUAAUGACAUUUUUUCCUCAAUAACCUUAAGAGGACGAUCUAUGUGUUUACAUUACUUAACAUACCAAACAGAUGCUCAGGUUGACGUGUCUGUUAACAUGCAUAUAAAUUUUGAGGCAUAUACGAUAUACUUAAAAAAUAACUUGUUAUUUAUUGAAUGAGUUUCAAAUCCUUAUUAACUUACCACUAUCUUACCAAUAUGCUUAUUUGAAUGACCUUUGUGUCACAGGGAAUCCAACACCACAAAUGAUUUCUAGUCUCACAGUUGGCCACAUAACACCACUAGUGGUCAUCAUGAACCAUUGGGAUAAAGAUGUACAUUUAAACCAGAAUGAAUACAUUAUAGAAACGUUGUAUUAAGUUAGGGUUUAAAGAACUCACAAAUUCAACAAUCAAAAUUUCUUCCAAAUGAAACAAGACCUCAAGUUAACAAACUUUAUAAUCAUUCUAGGUCCAAACUCGCACUUUGGAUUUCGAAUUUUCAUGUUUUGAAUUAUAUUAGUUUGCAAAAGAAUUGUAUAAUAAUAUAAAGUGUGUGAUUGAAACAACUAUCAAUACUAAUUUCUUUUAUACUUAUUAAUUCAACAUAUAUUGGAUAAAGCGUACUAAAAAAAAAUGAAUUCAAGCAAACUCAUUUUACAAUUUCUCCUCUCUUCAUUUCAUCGUAGGGUGUUGGAUACAAAUAACAUAACCUAUAAACACAUUAAACAAUUAUUUUUAUAUAAGACAUUAUUAUAUGUAACACAAACUUUUACCAUAUUGUCAAUUUUCGUCCUCGAUCUAAGUGUAUGGAAAUUUGUUUUUGUCAAAAUUUGUUGUUUACCUGAACUGCCACUCUACACAAAUACAAACAUAACAUCAACAAAUCAAGUUUUAAGCAUCAUUACUAAAUUGAUUUUGCCAUCUUAAUAUGCACAAACCUAAUGUUAUCUCCAUCACCACCUGAAGUAUGAGUCCGAUAAAGUUGGCUACAAUCAACACCAUCAAAGAUUGUGUCAGAGUCAUCCAUGAUGCUCCCUCAAAACCUUUUCCCGAGGCAUUAAAGAAUUCUUCUUGUAGAAAUCUUAUCUAUUCUUCAAGGACAACAAUGUGUUUAUCAUUUGCUUCAAUCUUAUCCCUAUAUAUUUACUCAUCAGAAAUAAUGCUUUCCCACUUAUUCGAUAAGGGAAAAUCAUCAUUAUCACUCGGUUUUGAAGAACCCUUUCUAGUAGAUUGUAGUGCUUCAUGCACUAUCCCCAACAUAUAUUCUUUUUCUAAAAGGACCCAAUUCCAUAUAAUUUUACAAAAAAUUAAUUAUUUCUUCUCAGCUAAAACAUAACAUACCGUACCAAAAUUUACAAAAUUGCUUAAUAAAAUCAACACUACCUCGUUGGAUAUGAAUGCACCAUGAAUUUUAGAGGAUAAAAUGUUUACACACUAUCAUUGAAGAAACCGUGGAAAGCAAGAACUACCACUAGUAUCACCCCAUACUAACGUGUUGAACUCACAAUUGUUGCCAAAAAACUCAAGUUAACAUAUAAAAUAAAUACUACAUUUUUCGAUCUCACCAAUAUAAAAAAAUACAUACUAUAGUUUUUCAUUUUUUAUUAUACAAAAGUAAUUACACUAACUUACAACACUGUAAAACAACCGACUAAGUGAAUUCAAUGUGCAUUCUUCAUUCUUCUGGUGGUUGAAAACUUGGGAAGCCUUGUUCGAACUCCUAACCAAUAAGCCAUGAACAUAUUUCUCCCAAUUUUACACAUUCAAUUGGUCUAACCUAUGCAACAACCAAAAUGAAAAAAACUAGUCACAAACCUAAACAUUUGAGGGAAAUAAAGAACUACAAACCCAAUCAAUAUAUACAACUUACAAAAGGCAUCAACAUAACAUAUUUUUUAUUUUACUAUCGCUAAGUUUCUUAACAAUAACACUUAUUGUGAUAUCCUCCUUGCCAAACAAAUUUUUGACUAACCCACCACCAUCAUCUUCCAACUUAAUUGUUUCCUCGGCACCCAAGCCCACCCCAAUACAUACAUCCAGAGGACUAAAUAAUAUUCUCUGAUCCUAAAACAUUAAUCAUCAUUGGUCCACCUAUUGACCAAUUCAUGUAGAAUGGUUUUUGGAAUAUGCAAUGACUCUUCCAAUCUAAGAAGCCAUCUAAAGGGGAUCUUCUCAAAUUUUUUUUUAUGUUGAAACGAAGUUAACAUACAAUUAAUUUCAACAAUGUAUUUCGUUUUCACUUUGAGCCUCACUCUAAUAUCAAAUUAAUUACUUUGUUAGACAUACAAUCACAUCUUCAAACUAUUUGUUAGUUGAUUUUGUUCGUGAGAGGAACCCACUCCCAUUUGACAACUGGUGAUGUGGCCAAAACGUUGACAAUUUAAUUGUUGAAACAUAUAUACUGAUAUUAAUUUAGAAACUAGUUUAUAAAUUUUAUUAAUAAUAAAAAUUAAUUUAUAUAUCAAUAAUUUUUGUAAUUUAUAAAAUAAUAUUUAAUUUAAUCUAUAUAAUAAUUAAUUAUUAUUACUUUUUAAAAAUAAUUUCUGUUUAAUAUAUAUAUAUAUUCAAUUUUUUUGGUUGGAUUUAAUAAGAAUUUUAAUUGGUAUGUAAUUAGAUUUAUUUCAUCAACACCGUAAGGAUAUUCAUUAAUCUUCUUUCAUUCGCAUUGCUCCUAAAUCAUUGGAGAGAAAUUUUAAGAAGCAAAAACCAUGGAAAAUUAUACUACAGAAAAGGUGUGUUAUAUUUAAUUGCAGGUGAAUUCACGUAAAAGAAACAUAACAUAAUGGAUACAACACAACGUGCAGCAGAUAGUUAUGAGAAAUCGUAUAAUGCUUUUCUUUAUUAUUCAUUUAUUGAAAUCAUGCAUUUACACGCAAACGAAUACAGUGUUCUCUUUACGUGCACAAGUACCUGAAGAAGAAGAAAAUCACAGCUCUUGGAAGAACAAUUCUGUUUCUGAUUCUCCAUUGGAUAUGAAUGCAUUUUUAGCAUAAAGACCAAGCGCUACAAGGGCCACAACCGCAUAGAUUAGCACCAUCCAUUUCACAAUUUUCUUGCACUUGUUUCUCCCUGCGUCAGAAUCUCCGUUCACUUCAUCAUCAACCUGAUUUCCAGAACCGAGUGCAAAAUCUAUCAGCCUAGUUUUGGUUCUUGAAACAGGCCUAGUUUUAGGGGCUGAUGGGGUUUCUUCUUUUGUCUCACUUGAGCCAUUAGCCUUGGCUUCUUCCUCCUUCUGGGGUGGCUUCUGGUCUGCAGAGACUUCACCAUUGGUUUUUGCUUCUGCUUUUGGGGUAUCUUGUUUUUGCUGUUCAAUCUUCUGUGGUGGAGUUGGUGCUGAUUCCUUGGGCUUAUUGGGUGAGAGUUUUCCAAAUUUGAUUGAUAGAGUGGAACCCUCAAACUUGGCAGUGACAUCGUCGGUGUCAUAAUCAGACUGAAUGGGCAAUUCUAAGUUGAAACGACGCCAUCUGUUCUGAACGAUCACUCGUUCACCUAUUAGCCUUAGGGUAGGCUUGGAGGUCACUUGAACCUUCAAUUGAUCCCUUCUAAAACCUACUCAUAGUUCAAAACCAUAUGAUAGAUAUUUCAUUGUUAUAAUUAGUAAACUAUUUUCAACAUGAGUAUCUGUUUCAUUAACAAAUUUGGAAAAUUUAUACAUUGAAAGCAUAAUGAAGUUGAUAUGAUUCCAGAGGGUAUAAGGUUUGAGAAGUUGAGAAUAAUGAAUGCAUUUACCUGGUAGCAUUACUUUGACAAGCCUUUCUUCUCUAACCCAUUCAUAGAGUGGUUCAAAGUCAUCGUAGACAACACCAGAUGCUGGCUGUGUACUUGAAGCCAUAUUUGAGCCCUAGUUUCUUUCUCUUUAGCUUCUGAGUUUGAUGUAUGUUUGGUUGGUAAUGAAUUGCACCUAGGGUUUCUUUUAUACUGAUAGGUGAUGAGGCAAUAAUAAGGAGCAUUUUGCACGCAAAAUGUAGCAUUUAGUUUGCUUUUUAAGUUUCUUGUGAAUGGUGAAAACAGUGUUGGUUUGUGUGGUGCAAGGAAAAUAAUAUGCUUUAGUAAUGGGAGGAGGUGACCUCGUCCUUUGGUGAUGCUAAAACCUAAAAGCAAAAUUUUGUUCCCAGACCAAAUCUUUUACCGACAAAUUCCUCCCUGCUCAAGAUAUACUAUUUGCACGUGUAAUUCCAAUUCUUUUUUGUUCCCCUCUCAAACAUAAACAAUAAAAACUCAAAAACAUAUCUCUCAAGGUUAACUCAAAAUUUCAAAUUUAAUCAUCAAUUUGGAGGAUACCAUUUUAUCUUAUAAUUAAUGCAACAAAAAUAGAUUUGUUGAGUGACAAUUGUUUACAUAGAUGAAAACAAAUGGAGAUCUUUUUUGUUUUUUUGUUUGGAUGAGUAGAAGAGUAAGUGAAAUAAUUUUUUUUUAUGAUAAUUAAAAGAUAAUUUUAUGUAAAAAAAAGUAAAGGUUUUACUAUAUUAUUUUUUUAGUACAAAUUAUUUAUUAUACGUUAAGUUACAAAAAAAUAAGUUUUAAACAAGUGAAAUAAACAAAUGUAGCAUUUUCCCUUUUUUAAAUUUAUGCAUAUGCAUCUACCAUAAUCUUACACUUUCAAAAAUGCUACAUUUUGAGAAAUUCCGACUACAAUUAAACGAUAUUUAUACAUUAUAAAACGUGAUCUUAAAGUGCAAUAUCUUAUAAAGUACGCUGCAGACAUGAGUAUAGUCACACCUAUGUAAACAUGAGAAGUAGAGUUAUAUAAAAAUUAUGUUAAAAUCACUCAAUAAUGCUUAAUUUAGUGGAUAUAUUGCAAUUGUGUGAUGAUAUUUUUUGGUAGGAGUAAUUGAAAUUUAUAUUCAAAUUCUAGAGCACCAGAAUAUAGAAGAUCAAGUACAAUAAUAUUAUAUUAUAUGUUAAUAAUUAUUUAAUAACAAAUAAAUAAAUGAGAGAUUUUUUCUCAAUGUAAAAUCUUGUACUAUAAUCCACAUAUGAUUCUUAAAAUAUUUCAAUAAGGUCUCACAUCUUGAUUAAUGAUUUAGGAAAGAGUGCAAACUUUUUUAUUAACAUAACUACCAAAUGAAUGAAUUGGGUGAGUCUCUUUGUAAUAAGUGAAGUUAUUAAAUUGACUUAUAAGCCUUAUUAUGAGUUACUUAUUCAUAUGUAUAAGUUCUAACUUUUGUAUAUUUAUUUUUUUAUUAAAUUAUAUCAUAUAUUUAUAACUAAAUAAUAUGUUGAAAAUAAUUUUGGAAAUAGUAUAGUUGAGUCUUAUCUUUAAUUACUAUGUAAUGUGUUAAUAACAACUAAUCUGUGUUGGAAUAUAAAAUCUAAGCAUCUCGGAUAUUCUUAACUAAUAGGACAACUAAUAGGAACACAAAUUAUUUUUUUAGCCUUAACUUUUUAUUUGUUUUUAUACCUCACAUAUUUUAUUGACCUAAACCACUACAAGAAAAUCUCAACCAAUUUUAAAUAUCAAUAAUUUUUUGUAAUAUUUAAGUUAAUAUUUAAUUUUGUUAAUUUUUUUAUCAACAAAUAAUAAAUGAAAUUAAAAAGACAAGAGUAUUUUAACUCUUAUACAAUUGUGAAAAUCAUACCUUGUAGCUUACAAUCCAAAGUAUUACAAACCAACAAAAUACAAAUAAAAACUAAAGUUCACAAGGACAUUAAUUUUGCAGAUUAUAUAACAAUUUUAUAUAAUAAUUAAUCAAUAUAAUAAUUAAUUAUUUUUUGUUUUUAAAAUUAAUUUUUAUUUAAUGUUUUUUAGUAAAUAUUUUUGUUGAGUGUGUAUUAUGUAGUAAUUCAAUAUAUAUAUAUAUAUAUAUGUUUUUUUUUUUGUUUUUUUGUUUUUUUUUUUUGUUAACUUUUUUUAUUUCAUAAAAGAUAGGAUAUAUGUAUGGUUUGUUAGUGUCAGAGUUUAUACUUUUAUUUAGACUCAAAUUAUUAUAUACUCCAUCUUCUCUUUAUAACAGUGGUUUAAGAUUUGUUUACUCAAAUCAAGGAAAUAUUCAAUUAUUUUGUUUACGUAUUUAUAGGCCAUACUUUUCCUACUUGGUACUUUCAUAGUAUUGUGCUUACGCAUCUUAUAAUCUGUCACGUGUUUUCUGAUAUUAUAAUGAAUAAACCUUUUUGUUAGUUUCAUGAAAUCUAUAAAGGUGUAUACAUUUAUUAGUUAGCACUGAUUACUGCAUAAUUUUAUUUGUGUAUAUAUCACAGGAAACAAAUAUUGACAUCUUCACCACGCAACUAACAUAUACGUAAGGGAAUAAUAAAAAGGAAUAUCAAUUGUGUGAUCUUUAAUACCUCUUAUUACACAGGGAAAAUUGGUCUAUUUGAAUCCAGAUAUUCAACCAGACCAGUUUCACACUCCUUUAUUGAAUUCAAUCAUGCUUUCACAAGCAUGAACAUGCACAUGGAAAUUAAAAUUCCUUGAAUUUCUCAAAUUCUGGUCCUCCCUGAGAUGACCUGAAUGCAUUUUUCACAUACAACCCUACCACCAUAACCAAUAAGAUCACCACACCAAUGUUCAUCAAGAUCUUCGGCCUCUUAAUCAGAUUAGCACACUUGUUAUCACCAAACCCUUGCUUAACAUCUUGGUCUUCCACUGAUCUCAAACUCACAGUGAAAUCUAAAACCUUUGUUUUCAGUCUCUGAGUCAUCCUAGCUUUUGGCUUCACUUGUGAUGUUUCUGGCACAUUAGUCCUCACCUUCUUUUCAGCAACUUCUUUAGGUGCCACUUCUUCUUUCUUCUCACCCUUUUCUUUCUCUUCACUAAUUGCUUCAUUCUCUUUCGGCCCUUCUGUUUUCUUCUCUUCUUUUUCAUCACUGGUUGGCUCUUGCUUAUCCACAUGAUCUUGAUCUUGUGCUUCUUCUUUCUCUUUCUGAGACACUGGAGCUACCUGUGACUGUGCCCUAGCAAGGGUGAUCAGCUUGGGAAACUUGAUGGUUAGAACACCACCCUCAAACUUAGCACUCACUUCAUUGGUGUCACAAUAUGGGGGAAUGGAGAACUCUCUACCAAAACGACGACGCUUGUUCUCAAUAAUCUGUCGUUCACCAUUGAUCCUUAGUGCAGGAGUUGAAGUCACUUGAACCCUCAGUUGUUCCUUUGUGAAUCCUUUGCAUUUCCAAAGUAUAUACAACAAAAUGUAACGUUUUUGAGAAAGUACAUAUAUAAUGUUCAUCCUUUUUAAUCAGAACAAUUUAUAUAGUUAAUCAAUCAUAAUGACUUCUAAGAUAUAUAACCAUUUCAAAUUUAAUAUAAUGAUCUGUGAUUGAAAUAAGAAUAUAAAAGUAUAUAUUAUUAGUGUAUAUAUAUAUUACUCCAUAGUUCAUGAAUGAUUAUUUUAAAGAAAAUAACAUUUAAGAACAUGUAUUGAAUCAUUGAGUGACACAUAUAUAAUAUAGAAGGUAGUUGAAUGAAGUAUAUUAUAUAAAUUUAAUCAUACUAGGGUUCAAAAGAUAGGGUAGAAGAAGUUUAAUUACCUGGCAGCAUCACAGUGAGGGUGGCACUUCCUUCGUCUUCAGACCAUUCAAAAUAGGGAUCAAAAUCUUGGUAUUCAAAAUUAGGUGCUGAUUGUGCCAUGUUUUUAGUUGAUGUUGUUGAUAUUUUGCUUUUGGCUUCUCUUGUUUCUCUCUUUUGUUGCAGAAGUGUGCUUUUAUAUGUGUGCUGAUGGAAGAUUGUUAUGCAUUUUUACACGCAAAAUUCUAGUUCCUGAUAUUUCUCUUUUGCUUUAUUACUUUCUUUUCGUGCAAACAAUUUUGUCUCUGUUAUUAGGGCAGUGAUGCACGAAAAACUAUAUGCUUUGGUCUAAGAGAAGAGGUAAGUGAUACUAAACCUCCAACUCAUUCUUCACUGCAAAUAUAUUGAUUUCACAAAAGUUAAGCAUUUUGGUUUCUUUAUUCCUUUUCAAAAUAAAGAUUUCAAAAACACUAUAUUUUAAGGAACCGACUUCUUCAAAAGAAUGGCUAUAUAUCUCACCAGAAAAAAGAAUAGUUAUUAUAUUAUGUUCACUUUAUUUCUCUAUCUUUUUUUUACAGUAUCAAGAACUUGAAUUAUAAUGUAUCUAUAUAUUUAUCUAUCUAUCUAUAUAUCUACAUAUAGAUACACUACUUGUGAACAGUGACUUAGUUAUUGGUUAAGGGUUUUUAUUAAUAUAAAUAACAGUACACACACAAAUUGUUAAUUAAUCCUUUAAUCAGUUUGAUGUGUUAUAAUAAUUGAAUGCUUAGGUAUACUUAAGUGUACGUCAAGUGUAAGAUAUUUAAAAGAAUAUAUAAUUGCAAUUUUGUAUUCAUUUUCUUCCUGUACUAGGUAUUCUAGAAAAGUUAAAAGAAGAAAAGAAUUUGAGUUAUAAUCAAUCUUGUUUACAACUUUAUUUUGGAAUCUUUUGGGGAAAAAAUACAUGAGAAACUUGGUUCUUUCCAAAGUCUAAUAAUUACCACCUUGGUGUUUUGUUUACCGUUUGAGAGGAAAAAAAAUGCUUGUUUGUAUAUUAAUUGAAUUAUUUAUAUUUUAAUACAGUAUCUCGUUUCUAAGAUAUUAAUAUAUAAAUUAUUAAAAGAUAAACUCAUUUUACAAGUCUUUUAAAAAAAAAAUUUAUUAUAGAAUUAUGAUAUAUACAUAUUUCAAUAAAAGAAGCUAUUGCUUUAAAGUUUCGUAUAUGUAAUAAAAUUAUAUACAUAUAUUUUUAUAAUUUAUAUCGUCCAUUCACAUCUUCAUAAGCAUAUUUUUGUGGAUGCACAUUUAAUUCAUUCAAUAUAUAAUUCAAUACACAUAUAUCAUAAUUAAGUAUUAAUUAAUUCUAAAUUUAUUCACUAUAUUUCAUGUCAUUAAUUAAUCACUAAUACAUUAGAUAGACUAUUAUGCAUUCAAAGUCACAUGUGUUAAAUUAGAUUCAAAGUUUGUUUUUAUCUUCACUAAGUUGUCAAAUAUAAUAAAACAAUAUAAUAAGAACAUAUCCACUUUUGUGAGAGGAGACAUCCCUAUAAUCUACUAGAUACAAGUCAUUUCUCACACUAAGGAUUAGGUCAUUAGAAUUUUCUUUAACUGAUAGUUGUCGUUUUGCUGUCAAAUUAAUAUGUUCUAGCGUAGACUUGUCUAACACUAGAGAGAUGAUAGUAUAAUUGUGGACAAAUGUCCCCAAGUCGUCUCCCAACGAAUCCAAUAGUAAAAUCAGUUGAUCAGGGGUUUAAAAUCUAUCUGCAAGCAAUGAAAGUUAGCAAUAACAAUAAAGAUGAAAAGGGGAUUUGAGAUAGUUGUGCAAAAAAUAUAAAAGAGAUUAAAAUAGCAAAUAAAAAGCGGUUGAUCCCAAGUUCUUCCACCAUUGAAUUCUUCACAGGUUCUCUAAAGAUUAAUCUUUUCUCAAUCCUUCAACAGAGCUAAACCAGAUUGAACAUGCGCCGAUCUAAUUCAACUGAAACUCACCAGUAAAGCAUGCGUCUACUAGUUUAAUCGAUACCCACUUUGUUCCAUGCGUAUACUCCAUGGGAAUGCUUACCUCCUCUCUCUUGAAUCAUGCGCCCAAGAAAUUAAUUAGAACAAUGUGAACUAACUAAGAAACCAAAGUUUAAGACAAGGAAGACUCUCAAUCAUGCGUUCAAGUACAACCUCUCACAAAAACUAGUUUUCCAGGAGAUUAGACAAUAAAAACAACUACUAUAGAGAAUUAAAAAUCGAAACUUUUAUUGAACAAAACCUCAGAGCUCAAUGGGAAAUUACAAAGGAAUCAACCAAAAAGGUUUAGUCUUCCAUGCGGAGGCAAAACAAAAGAAUUACAAAGAAGAAAAUAAACUAAGAAAACCCUAUGAAACUCUCUCUCUUCUCCUUGAUGCUUGUGUCCUUUUAUAGGCUUUUCUGCUCCAAGGAUCUUGAGAGAAUAUUGUAGUUUAUAUUUUGUUAACCGUUUCCAAGUUUCUAUCUUUCCAGAAUUAUUGUAUUUUGCAGAAGAUAUUGUAGAUUUUAUUUUCUCUUUCUUCUCCUCGGAAUUUGUUUCCUGUUUUGGUUCAAGAAGCAACUUAGACUUUUGCAUAUUUGGCCCAUUUAUAAAGGUAGAUGCUUCCUCCAGAUAAUUUACUCUAAAAACACAAAAUUAACAAUAAUAAUAGUUAAGGCCCAAAUAAACCCAAUUAUAAGAAUAUUAAUUAAAACAAUGGAUUUAUUUAUUACUAUAGUCCAAUAAUCUAUGAUUAAGGCUAUUGUGUGUGAAUAAAUAUAUGCUCAUCAUUAACUCUUAUCAUUUGAUAAUUUUGUCUAUGUGAGUGAAAUAUUAGUAAAGUCACGAUAUUUCCUCCAGAAUCUCAAAUUCAACACACAACUUAAACAUCUCAACAUAAUAUUCCCUUUCUAGAAAUAAUUAUGUUUACGACACAUCACAUGUUUAUGUCACAAUCUUAAUUAUAUUCUUAUCCAUAUACAUUUAAACUUAAUUUAAAUAAUAAUAGAUUUCAAAUUUAUCAUUCAUCACAAUAUAAUAAUAUUCAAGUAUAACAUGUUGAUAAAAUAUAACAAUUUAAUGAAAUAAAAUAAUUUUAGCAUUUAAAAUCAUUUAAAACAUAUUUGUUCAAAGUUUAAAAAAUAUUGUCUCACUCAAUCACUAUUAUUUUCGCUUAUCGGAUUAAGUACAUGUUUAAAUUCACCCAACCAUCAUUUUGCUCGUUCAAUCAAAGCUAUGUUCGUCCAACGAUCAAAGUGAUCGUUCAACGAUUAAACUUUUUGAGUUUUUAAUUAAAUAAAUUUUGUCAACAAAAAAUCGAUUAUCCAACUAAACCUCCCAAGUUUUCAAUUAAUGAAUUUUAUCCAGUGAGAAUUUGGUCACCAACAAUACUGUUUAAAUCAUAUUUUUACAAAAUUUCACAAUUAUACCAAAUUGGUACAAAAAUUGUUCUACUUUUUUUCUUAUACAUAAAAUUGAGUAAUUGAUUUCUAAAUAAGCAUAUUUUGAACUGGUUUGAUCUACUUGAAAUAUUUUACAUUUUUAAUGACAAAUCAUACAAUAUAUAUCACUUAGAAUUUCACCCACACAAACUAUAUCAUUUAUUAUAUUCAUCACUUUCAACAAUUCUUCAUCGCAUCCAUACAAUACAUUACUAACCUUUGACAAAUAGUUUAGGAAGAGUUGAAAGAAAUAUAUUUUGUAAAAGGAUUGAGGUAUCCUUAAAUACCCUUAUUUUUUAUUUCCGAUAAAAAAAAAAUAUCUAUAAUGAACAUUAACUAUGUUGCAGACAUGGAAGGAUUAUCACAAAUAUUUCAAAACUCAUUAUCAAAUAUAUUAUUCAUAUAAAAAUUCAAAACAUUUUGAAUAUUCUCAAACAAAAUGUAAUAUUUGCCCAAAACUCAAUAUUGUGACUGAAUUGCAUGGUAAGGUACACGUCAUUACUACACCGAUUGUUAAAUAUAUUUUCAUCUUGAUUUGGUCAUUAGACCAAUAGGAUCUAGAUGAUUCUUGGAUGUGUGUUGAGAUCAGGGAUGAUGACUAAGUUGCCAUGUGUUAUGCUUAGGACUUGAUCAUUGUCUGACUCUUCCACUCAAGUGGCAAACUAACCCUGAAAGAAGCAUCAUCACCUAAAGCAAUCAUGUAUAUGUGACACUUAUCUAGGGCACAAUCGAAAACAUGUCAAAAUACCUUACAAUCCAAGUUCUUCCAUCUAAAUAAAGUGGAAAUGAUGUAUUAAGAUAAACAACCUCUUAUAAAUAGUCCAAUGAAACUUAGAAGAAAGGAGAAUUAAUUAGUGGGAAACAUCCAUCAUAUUAAUAAAGGGAAUCUAGCAUACCAAAACACAAGUCACAUCUACCCUAUGUGCUAUAAAAAUUAUAAUUACAAUUUCACUUAUCUAUAUAACUUGCUUAAUCAAACUUAAACUUUCAACUUCACUACUUUCACAAGAAGACGGGGCAUGUACAUAAAAUACUGUGAUUAAUAAUUUAAAGAUCAUAGACAAACAAAGAUUCAUCUUUAUCACAUGCAAAACCUUAACCUUGGGCAUGCAUCUUUUCUCAUGAAAUCAACUCAAGAAAAAAUAAAAAUAAAGAGAAACUUACUCAAAAGUUAUUCAUGCAAAACUCUCUACCAAAAUCUCUAAAGUGGACUUGAACCUAUUUUAAAAAUUUAGAGGGAAAAUAAAAAAAUAUUCUAAAGAGAUAAUAUUUUAUGUAAAAUAAAUGUUAAAGUUAACUUUUCUAUUUAUAAAUUUUUUAAUUAAAUAUUCUAAGUGUGACAGUUUUAUGCAACUAUUAUAAGUUUUAUUUUUUUUAACUUUCACGUUAACGUUUAAAUAUUUAAAAUAUUUUUUCAUAAUAACUAUAAUCCAUUAGUUUUUACCAUUUUUUUUUCUAUUUUUUACACUCAAAUUUUUAGACUAGUUUUUCUUUUAAAUAUUUGAAGUUCGAUUGUAGGAUAUUAGAUUAAUUUACUAUUUUUUUAUUGAGUUCUAUCCUGAUCGAGAAAAAUGGGGUACAUUCACACCUUCUUCUUCAUUGAUGACAAUCACAUCAAUAAUCAAUAAUAAAAUAUGACAAUUUCAUCUUAUCUCACUUCUCUAUCCUUAUCUUGUGUUUCUCUAUAUUUUUCUUUUCCAAAAUAUUUAUAAUAAUUCAUAAUUAAUGUCCCCAAAAGAUUUAUUCCAAAUUCCUAUACAAUUUUUCUAGUAGUUUGUUUGGCCAUGACAGCAACUAGAAAGCCUACUCCAGUUUUUCUACUAAUCACUCAAUUAUUUAAUUACUUACAUAAUUCUCUAAAUAAUGUUAUUUCAAGUGGGUAGGUAUGUAAUUGAGAAAAUUAAACACAGUAUCAUUUAUUACGUUGAAAGAAAUACAAGAAGAGUCAACAUAAAAAUAAAAAUGUAGGAGUAACUUUAGCUAAAUUGUAUUAACCGAUAGUAAUUUUUAUAAUUUUCCUCUUAUUAUUUAUUUUUUAAUAAAAAAAACACACCACAAAUAUAUAAUAAGACAAAAUAUUUUAUAAAAAGCAUCUUGAAGAAUACAGUGGAAUAUUUUAUUUUGGGAUCUCCGAAUGAGUUGAAUAAUUUUGUUUUGAUAAUCUGAAGGUCAUAAACGGGGGACCAGGAAGAGAGUGCAAGACAUGUAUCACAUGUUUCCACGUCGAUGCAGUGUUUUUUUUAGUAUUGAACCUAUUGAUAAUGUUUUUCUUUAAAAUAUACUAGAUUUAAUAUAUUAAAAAAUAUUCUUAAUAUAUUUUGAAAAAUAAAAUGAAGACAACACUGAACAAAAGUCCAAUGGAGAAUCCAAAUUCAUGUUAUCACUGAAGAAAUGACAAGGAAACAAAAAAGAGGUAGCUAAACGAUGAGGAGUGUUCUCCAACACUUUUGAAUUUUACACUGUGAUGUGAAGAAAGAUAUAUACUUACAAACUCACACAUCAUAAGAGUUUAAAGUCCUCUUGUCUUGCUGAAAACUGAUAUAACAGUUCCUCGACUAUGGAACUGCAGAAGACUCCAACAAGUUUGGUUUUUGCUGUUAAUGGUGAGAGGUUUGAGCUCUCCCACGUGGACCCAUCAACUACCUUGCUCCAUUUUUUACGCACUCGCACUCGUUUCAAGAGUGUAAAACUCGGUUGUGGUGAAGGUAUCUAUAUCUAUAUCUAUCUAUGUAUACAUAUAUGGUUCUAUGUGUUCGACAAUCUUUGUUUUUUUUUGUUUUUCAAUGGUUUAGUUGAAAGUUGUUGUGCCCUUGUAGGAUGCAUGGUGUUUCAGUUUUUGCGGUUGUUUAUUCUUUGUUUCUGCUUACUGUCAAUAUAUAGAUUACACUUGAGCUAUAUCUUUUCAGUAAAGAUAUUAGUUCAGGAUUAGAGUUACAUCACCUUUAUCUUUAGGAUGUUGUCCUAAUUAUAGUGGUUGUCUUGUACACGGACGAAUAAAAUAGGAUCCAAUAGUUAUUUCAGAGUAAUUUGAUAUACUCUGUUUGUUUCUGUAUUGGUUGGUACUUGAUGUUUAGACAUGGUUGGUUUCAGGGGGUUGUGGUGCUUGUGUAGUUUUAAUCUCCAAAUAUGAUGCUGUGCUUGAACAAGUUGAGGAUUUUACUGCAAGCUCUUGUCUCACACUACUUUGCAGCAUACAUGGUUGUUCAAUAACAACUAGUGAUGGAAUUGGAAAUUCUAAAGAAGGAUUCCACCCAAUUCAUGAAAGAUUUGCAGGAUUCCAUGCCACUCAAUGUGGCUUUUGCACUCCUGGAAUGUGUGUUUCCCUCUUUGGAACACUUGUCAAUGCUGAAAAGACCGACCGUGCAGAGCCACCGGAUGGCUUCUCAAAAGUGACUGUUAGUGAGGCUGAGAAAGCUAUUGCAGGGAACCUUUGUCGCUGUACUGGAUACAGACCAAUUGCUGAUGUCUGCAAAAGCUUUGCAGCUGAUGUUGAUAUGGAGGAUUUGGGGUUCAACUCGUUCUGGAGAAAGGGAGAGAACAAGGACUUGAAGAUUAGUAGGUUGCCUCGAUAUGACCGUAAUCAACUGAAUAGUAGAUUUCCUACGUUUUUGAAGGAAAUCAAGCAUGAUGUGUUCUUGGCUUCUGAGAAGCACAGUUGGCACCGACCUAUUAGUCUAACUGAGACUCAGAGUUUAUUAAAGUUAAACAAUUCCAAUGGAACACGCAUAAAAAUUGUAGUUAGUAAUACAAGUAUGGGAUAUUACAAAGAUAAAGAAGUCUAUGAUAAGUAUAUUGAUCUAAGUGGAAUUUCUGAGCUUUCAAAUAUCAGAAAAGACCGAACAGGGAUUGAAAUUGGAGCAGCAGUGACAAUAUCUAAAGCUAUUGAAGCACUGAAGGAAGAUAUCAGAAGUGAGUUUCUCUCAGAUUAUGUAAUGAUACUUGAAAAGAUUGCUGAUCAUAUGAGCAAAGUUGCCUCUGGAUUUAUCCGGAACACAGCCAGUGUAGGUGGCAAUUUAGUCAUGGCACAAAGGAAUAAUUUUCCCUCGGACAUUGCUGUAAUACUUCUUGCUGUAGAUGCAAUGGUUCACAUUAUGACUGGUGCACAAUUGGAGUGGUUGACACUGGAAGAAUUUCUGGCAAGACCAGCCUUAGGUUUGGAAAGUGUGCUUUUAAGCAUUAAAAUUCCUAGUUUAGAACACAAUCAAAGUGAAUCAUCAAAACCAAGAAGUAGCUUCCUCUUCGAAACAUACCGAGCUUCUCCAAGGCCCCUUGGAAAUGCUCUUCCCUACUUAAAUGCUGCUUUCCUGGUUAAGGUGUCUCCCUGCAAGGAUUCUGGUGGAACUGUGAUAGAUACUUGUAGGCUGUCUUUUGGUGUUUACGGGAGUAAGCAUGCAAUCAGAGCAAAAAAAGUUGAAGAACUUUUAGGUGGAAAACUUUUAAGUUCUAGCGCUCUGUACGAUGCUGUCAACUUGAUUACAGCCACUAUUGUAUGUCAAGAUGAUAACGCAAUCACAGCUUAUCGUUCAAGUUUGGCUGCUGGUUUUAUUUUUCAGUUCUUUAACCCUCUUAUUGACAGUCCUGAAAGAAUAAGCAAUAGUUAUUUGAACGGAAACAAUAAUGAUCCUUUUGCUGAGGAUCUUGAAUUAAAAGUCAGUGAGAAGAAGGUACCUCGUGACAAAAUUCCAACUUUACUAACAUCUGGCAAGCAAGUCCUUGAAGCAGGCUGUGAGUAUCAUCCUGUUGGUGAGCCAAUCGUGAAAUCUGGAGCUGCACUACAAGCUUCAGGUGUGUUUUGUAUCAUUUAAGUUUUAAGUUGAUUUACUGACUGCUGUCUUUUCUUUGCAUUUCUAUCAACGUUUCAGAGUAGUAAACUAAAAUAUUUACAUACAAAGUUGGGACCUUUUUGUAUUAAAGAAAUAACUGUUCUCCAUGCUCUGGGUUUUGAUGAAUUGUGUAUCCAUAUUUUGCAUCUUAUAGUCUCUGGGUACCUUGUAACUAUUGUCGAGAUAACUAUGCUAAAAGUUCCAAUUUCCAGGUCAUAAAAACGUGUUCCAAAUGCUUUCGGUUAUGAUGAAUGCUGCAUCCAUAUUCUGCAUCUUAAAGUCUCUGGUUUCCUUCUAACUAUGCUCAAAAUUUCACUUUCAUGGUCACGGACUAGUUUUUAUGUGUCUUAUUUUAUCCUGUUUCGAUGCCUGUGAAUUAUGACUUUUCAUGUUUAGUUGUUUAAAUUUAUGUUCAGUAACACAAGUACAUAUUUGUGAAUAAUCACUUAUAGGUGAGGCUGUGUUUGUGGAUGACAUUCCAUCACCAUCAAAUUGCUUACAUGGAGCAUACAUUUAUAGUGCUAAACCUUUAGCAAGGAUAAGGAGUAUAAAACUCACGCCUGAGUUGCAACUGGAUGGAGUAAGGGAUAUCAUUUCAAGUAAUGACAUUCCCAAUGGUGGGGAAAACAUUGGAUCUAAGACUAUAUUUGGGAUCGAACCUCUAUUUGCAGAAGAAAAAGCCAGAUGUGUUGGUGAUCGCCUUGCCUUUGUUGUGAGUUCUUAAUCCCUCAUUGUGAUCCAACAAUGUAUAAGCUUAUUUUUCCUUUCUUUGGAGAUUGAUAUGAUAAUACCACCAUUUUAGUCACUGAAUGGCUUCUUCAGGUUGCAGAUACUCAGAAAGUUGCAGAUAUGGCUGCAAACUCGGCUGUUGUUGAUUAUGAUACUGAAAAUCUUGAGCCACCUAUUCUAUCCGUUGAAGAUGCUGUUCAAAGAUCCAGCUUUUUUGAAGUUCCUCCAUUUCUCGAUCCAAAACAUGUUGGUGAUAUAUCAAAAGGAAUGGCUGAAGCAGAUCACAAGAUUCUUUCUGCUGAGGUACAUUGCUAUAUGUUUAUUUCUUUUAUUUGUUUUCCCUCAUUCUCUCAUUUCACAACUUUGUGCGCCGUGGUUUCAAUAAAAUGUUUAAGUUUGCUCCUGAAUGUUUAAAUGGUUAUGCUGAAAAAACAUUCAUUGUUAUCCAUCUUAUUUGAUGUGAAAUACAGAUGAAACUUGGGUCUCAAUACUAUUUCUAUAUGGAGACACAAACUGCACUUGCUGUUCCAGAUGAAGACAAUUGCAUUACAGUUUACUCCUCAAGUCAAUGCCCUGAAUCUAUUCAUUCUACUAUAGCAAGAUGCCUAGGAAUUCCUGAAAAUAAUGUUCGUGUAAUUACGAGAAGGGUUGGGGGUGGUUUUGGUGGAAAGGCCAUGAAGUCCAUACCUGUAAGUAUUGAGUUAUGUUUUAAUAUUUUGAAAAUCUUAUUCAUUACUACAUCUCUUUCACUUUUUUUCAUUAUAAUUUACCAAUAAAUAUUGUAGAGUGUAAACAUGAAGCUUCAAACUUCUGUCGUUUGGAGAAGUCACCAACAAUUUUCCUUAGAAAUAUACUAUGUGCUCUUGUUGAAUUUUCUGAAACAGUACAAAAUAUUUACCCAGUGGAUUAUGAAUAAAAUCUUGUGUCAUUUGUAACAUCAUCUUUCAAAAUAUCCAACUUUGAUGCUUCUUUCAAUGUGGCUAUAUCCAUUGUAUGUUGUAUGAUAUAACUGUUAACGAACGAUUAGAAUAAAAUGUCUUUGUACUUCUCUGAUUCUAUUGUACGAUUGCAGAAAAGAUUCACCAAUUAAGAAGUUAAAUAUGAAAAUUAUACGUGCAUGCAUGUGUGUGUAUAUUACUAACGAUUAGAUUUUGCAGGUUGCCGCAACAUGUGCACUGGCAGCACAUAAAUUACAGCGUCCAGUUAGGAUAUAUCUAAAUCGAAAGAUAGAUAUGAUAAUGGCUGGAGGAAGGCAUCCUAUGAAGAUAACUUACAGUGUUGGAUUCAGGAAUGAUGGUAAGAUUACAGCAUUGGAACUUCAGAUUUUGGUCAAUGCUGGGAUCUAUGUGGAUGUAAGUGCAAUUAUGCCACAUAAUUUAGUUUUUGCACUUAAAAAGUACGAUUGGGGUGCACUAGCUUUUGAUAUAAAGGUAUGCAGAACAAAUCAUCCUAGUAGAUCUGCUAUGAGGGGUCCUGGGGAGGUGCAGGGAUCAUUUAUUGCUGAAGCUAUUUUAGAAAAUGUUGCAGUUACACUUUCAAUGGAUGUAGAUUCUGUCAGAAGCAUUAAUCUUCACACGCACAAAAGCCUUCAGUCGUUCUAUGAGAAGUCUAGUGGUGAACCUUAUGAGUAUACCUUGCCUUCAAUAUGGAGUAAGUUGGCUGUUUCUUCAAACUAUGAUCAGAGAACCAAAAUGGUGAAAGAGUUUAACAGGAUUAACACUUGGAAGAAAAGGGGAAUUUCUCGAGUACCAGUUGUGAUUCAACUGACUCUGAGACCAACCCCUGGAAAAGUAAGUAUUUUUUCAGACGGGUCUGUGGUGGUUGAAGUUGGAGGAAUUGAAUUAGGUCAAGGUCUUUGGACAAAGGUGAAACAGAUGGCUGCAUAUGGUCUCAGUGCUAUUCAAUGUGAAGGAACUGAAGGUCUCUUUGAUAAAGUACGGGUUGUACAAUCUGAUAGUGUGAGCCUGAUUCAAGGAGGCUUCACUGCUGGGAGCACUACAUCAGAGUCAAGUUGCGAAGCAGUUAGGAUUAGCUGCAACAUCUUGGUCGAGAGACUAAAGCCUCUUAAAGAAGAACUGCAGGAGAAAAUGGGCUCUAUCAACUGGGAUACCCUUAUUAUUCAGGUAGCUACUAUAAAUAAAGUAUAACACCUCAAUUUUGAACAUUGAUUGAUUUUCCUUUCAGUUAUCUUCACGAAUGUGGGAGGAAUUUCUCCGAAGAUAAAACCAGUUCUCUUCAUAAUCAUGUUGUAACAUGAAGCAAUUGGCAUUUUAACUAUUUUUUCUCUUUGUGAUCAUCCAUAUGGGGAGACUAUUUUAUGAUUGAAGUUCGCUAAUGACUUUUGAAGGUUUUGAAACUUUGUUUUUCUGUUCACAUUGAUGCAUGUAUAUAUUGGUAUUUGUAAUUUUGAUGUAUAGCUUCAAGUUUUUCUUGUUAAGGUCUUGGAGUAUGUAGUACGGAAAAAGGCACAUUGGCACUUAAGCAUUCUCAUAAUUUGUGAGAUCAUGGUUAACUCCUUUUAAUUAAGAGAAUUAUUCAGAGAAUUAAAUGUGGAAAUGGAGUUGAGAGAAUAUAAUUUCUUCUUAUUUUCCUAGCCCACGAGCAUAAAAUUUUAAUUACCAUGUUACUGACAAUUUAUUAACAUACAGGCAAACCUGCGAGCUGUGAACUUAUCAGCCUCUGCAUUGUAUACACCCAGUAAUGACUCCACCAGUUACCUUAAUUAUGGUGCUGCAGUAAGUGAGGUUAGUUGUCUUUUUUCCUAUGCAUAUCUCAAAUCAAAAUGGUAUUUUCUUAAGUCCACUGGUAGUCACUACUUCUCUAGAAUGUUAAGUGUUUGUGUCAUAUUUACACACAAACCAAGUUACUGAAGUAACUGAGCCAACUUAUCUCAUAUGCCAUGCUAAAUAAUGGAAAUUUUUUCUCAGGUGGAAAUUGAUCUUCUGAAUGGAGAAACCAGAUUUUUGCAAACAGAUAUUAUUUAUGAUUGUGGACAGAGUCUAAACCCUGCUGUGGAUUUAGGACAGGUAAGUUGACUACAUACUUGCUAUGCAUGCUCAGCCAUAACAAAAGGAAUAAACAGGAGUUGGGCCCAAAAAAAGUUUGUAUUAAUACAGCCUCUCACAUCAUGGCUCUCUGGGAGUGGAGAAAGGAGAAAGAAUUGGGAAACAAUUACCUAUGCUAUAAAUUAAAUUCAAUAUUCUAAGAGGGAAAAGCUAGAAUCAACUCCUGUUCACUUUGCUAAAUAGUUUUUAAGUUUGAUAUUUUGUUAACAACCAAGAUCAGAGGUUGAGGAGCCUUGUUAAGAACAAAGAGUCUUCAACUCCUUAUGCUAAAAAUAUCUUGCCAAGAACCAAUUCAACCAAGAACCUGAGAUAUUAAGUAGAGGUCCUAUAAGAUGUCUGUGGUCUCUUACAAGUUACAGUUAUUCCACUAUGAAUGUUUAUCCUUCUUAACAAAACACUCCUUUCCUGCAGAUUGAGGGAGCUUUUGUCCAGGGCUUAGGAUUUUUCAUGCUUGAAGAAUACGAAACAAAUCUCGAUGGUUUGGUGUUGCAAGACAGCACUUGGAACUAUAAAAUUCCUACUGUAGACACUAUACCUAUGCAGUUUAACAUUCAAAUCCUCAACAGUGGGCACCACCAGCAUCGUGUUCUCUCUUCAAAAGGUAUGACAGAAAAACCUGUUCAUGCAUUGAUCUUAUUUAUUUUUCCUCAUGAAUGCAAGUCAGUCAUACAUGAAAAGGGGAGUUUUGUGAUUCUGUCAUUGAUUCAUUAUUCUAGCAGUUACAUUCCAAAAUCUAGUGAUGAAGACAGAAAAAAUGUGUUAACCAUAUAUUUUGUAGUGCAAACUUACUAGUUAAAUAGCAGUAGUUUGAAUACAGAUUCAUGUAACACCUCUAUAGAAUAUAUUGUAAAAAGUAAAAAGUUUGGUAUCAAGCAUAAGGAUUGAAGUGGAUGAAAGAAGUAAUAUUGAGUUCAAUUUCAUCUGCAUAUAGUUUGGAUGUUGCAGCCCAUGUUUUAUUUUAGACUGUUAAUAAAAUUGAGAAAGCUUCAGUGUUAAAAAAUGAAAUUUGUUGGUGCAGCUUCUGGAGAGCCGCCACUGCUUCUAGCAGCCUCCAUUCACUGUGCCACAAGAGCAGCAGUGAAAGAAGCAAGAACACAGCUUCUUUCAUGGAGCAACCAAGAUGGAGAAGAUUCAACAUUUCAGUUGGAGGUCCCUGCAACCAUGCCUGUGGUGAAAGAACUCUGUGGACUUCACACUGUACAAGCAUACUUGAAAUGGAAAAUGAGCAACAAGUAAAAAGGUUAACUAGGUCUGCAAUAAUCUUGCUCACUUGUGACAGUCACAGGUUUGAAGGAUUUCUUCCCAUGAAUUGUUAGAUAAUAAAUUAAUUGAUUGGAAAUAAUAAAAAAUAAAAUGUAUUUCUAUUUGAAAGCAAUCAUAUUUAAUUAAAAAGUAUAACAAAUAUGUCUAACAAUAAAAAUAUAAAAUUUGAAAAAAAAAAUAACUUUACCAUGUUUAGAAAUUUUUAUUUUUAUUUGUCAAAAUAAAUUCAGACACAGAGCUUUGGGAAAGUUUUAAAACAAACCAUAUUUUUAAACUAAAAAAUAAAACAUGAAUAUUUAAAUAAAAAUAUAAGUUCUAUCACAUAAACUUCAAUUGGUUUUUUAUAUGAGAUUUUUAUUUACAUUUAACUUUAGUUUUUUAAAAAUAUAUGUUUUUUAACUCUUAUAAAAUAAAUGAGUUUUGAUUUUUGUUUUUAUAUUUUUUUAUUCUUCAUCUUAUAAAAUUGUAACUAAGUAAUUUUAAUCUUUAAUACUCAUAUAAAGGAUAAAUAAAUAAGAUAUUUAAAAAUAAAUAAAUUUUAUAUACAGAUAUUAAAUCAUUGUAAUAUAUCACAUUAAUGCUUGAGACCACUUAAAAUGUUCACUUGAACUUUUGUUAGAUACAUAAUUAAUUAAUAAAUGUUAUAUAAAACUAAACAUAAAAAAAAGGCAUUUCAAAUUUGAAAAAUUACUAAAUACCAAGAAAAAUACCCGUAUUGAAAUCAAAACACACACUCGUCUCAUGACUAAUAUUAUAUUUAAGUUUUUUUUAAUUUCAUAUUUUUCGAGUGAGUUUUUGUCAUUUAAUUUUUUUUAUAAAACUAAUAUCUUGUUUUAUCAUUUUACUUACUUAUCUUGUCUCUAUUAUUAAGAAAUGUGAAAUUUUAUAAUUAAUAUAACAAUUAAUAAAAAAUAAUAAGUGAUUUUUAUUACUUUCUUUAAAGAUAUGAUAUUGGUGAAGACGAUUACUUCAUCAUAAUGUAAGUGUAGUAGAGAAACAUUAUAAACUUAUUAUUUGACAUGUUUUCAGUAAUAAAAAUCACUUUUCGUUUUUCAUUAACUAUAAUGUCAUCUUAUCUUAAAAUUUUACAAUUUUUAAUACAUUAAAACAACUUAUAUGAUAAUAAUCACAUUAUUUAAUUAAUAAAAAAACAUAACUAUCUCAACUGAAAAAUAUAAUAAUUUUAAAUAUGUAAUAAAAUAAAAUAUUUUAAUAUAUACUCAAUUAAAAAUAAUCAAAUUUACAAUAAACAAAAAUCUUAAUUUUAAUAUCGAUCAAUUUUUAAAUUAAUCAAUUAUUUAAUCAUAUUAAAUAAAUAAAUAAAUAAAUAAAAUAAUUAACAAUUGAUGUUGACUUAUACACACUAGAAAAAUAUUAAUGAUUUAUAUUAAUGUUAGAUAAAAUCAGAAAUAAAAUUAAUGAUAAUCAUGGUAACCUAUGGUUAACAAACGUGCUGCUAAUUAAUGAUAACUAUUUAUUGAUAUUAAAUAGUUUAAUGUAGAAAAUAAAAAGCAUUAAUUAUAAUAAUAAUAAAAAUUUAAUGUUUAAUUAAAUAAUAAAUGUAGAUAAUAAAAUUAGCUAUUUAAAAAAGAUUUAAAUAAAUUUUAAAUACUUUAUAAAUUUGGAUAUUUUGAAUUAAAUUCAAUUACAAAUUUGUUAAUGCUUAAAAUAUUUUUGUAAGUAAAUAGUCCGUCCAAUGUAAUAAUUAUAUUGAUAUAUUUCAUUUAGUAUAUUAAAAUAAAAUAAAUUAAAAACUGUGAUAAUACAUAAACUUUACAAUUUUAUUAAUUUUAUUUGAAUUCGGUCAAGUAACCUUGUACACUCCUUUUAAAUGGUGUGUCGGAUACUUGUAGUGAACUGUUCAAUUUAAAAAUAUUUGUUAAAUUUCUAACAAUUUUAUUAUGAUUCUAACCUAAUUUUAAAAAGAAUUAAAAAUUCAAACUUUAUUGUAUAAAUUAUUAUUAUGAUUAUAAAAAUUCACUUGUUUGAUUAUCACAUCUGUUUAAUAAAGGAGAAAAUUAACGAGUUAAUAAAUGUUAAGAUGAAAUAUAUCAAUAAUUAUUAUACUGAUUAUUUAUCUAUUUUUUUAUUUUAAUCUGAGUAUCAUGUUGUUUAAGUUUUUUUUUUAGGAUGAUAUAAAUAUUGUUUUCGUUUUUUCAUCUCUAAUUCGAAGAUCAACUUCUGUCAUCAUUUCUAUAUUUUUCAAAUUUUUUCGCCAAAAAAUCUGCUUUUUUUUAAAACGAGUUAACUCACAAGUUGGAAAAAAAAUAGGAUUAACUUUUUUUACCAAAUAAAUUUUUUAAAUUAAAUAUCUUGUAAAUUAAUUUUUUUAAUAGAAACAUUUAAUAUUAUCUUUAUCGGUGUCAGUGAGUUUUUUUAAAAUUGAAACACGUGUUACACUGUUUACAAUGUUGAGUAAUAGUGUAAUACAUAUAAAAAUAUUUCACUUAAACAUUAAAUAUAAUAACAUAAACAAAAAUAUUUGUUUUAUGAACUUAAUUUUAUAAUGAUUAUUAAAAGUAAAAGGAUAAUGUCAUGAAUUAGGCAAUAAAAUAAUAUUCAAUUAUAUAUAAUGAUUAAUGAUAAAUAUGAAUAGUGGUUGGUCUUUAGGCUAAUCAACUUAAUUAGAAUUUAGUAUCUUAAAAUCUAUAUUUGAUUAUUUAAUCUAUCAUAUAUAAACUAUUCGGAUUACAACACACUUUAAAUAAUUAUUUUCAUAAUAAACUAUAAUUUUAUAUAAUUUAUUACAAAAUUAAAAAAAAUAUUAUAUCAAAAGUAAAAUUUAAAAUUACUUUUGACUUAAAUUAAAAAAACUUUACUAAGAUAAUAGCAUCUUUGUCAUGUCGCAUAGGAAGAAGGUUCAAUAAUUCAGAAUUGAUCCUUCUUAUCCAGAAAACCAGAUUUUAUUCCUUCAAAAGCCUAUUGAUAUAAUUUUAUUCAUUUAUUUCUAAAAGAUAUUUGUAAACUCAGGGUCCUCUUUGAUGAUAAUAUAGUAGUUUGAAAAAUAUAAGACUUAAUUAAAUUUUAAAUAACUUAUAAAAGCAUUUUUAAUUAACAGAAUUUAUUUUAUUAAUUGUUUUAAAUAUUUUUCUAUUCUUAUAAAAAUUUUAUGGUCUGAUAUUAUUUUCAUCUUUAGUUGAUAGUUGAUGUGAAGAAUAAAAUAUUAUGUGAUCUAUUCACAGUAUAAAAAAUACAUAAUAAACUGAAAAAUUAAUUUAAAAUAUUUAAAUUUGUGAAAUAUGAGUUUUGUUUUAAUUUCUUAAUAUUUUUAUUUUUUUCUUAUUUUUUAAUAAUAUUUUUUAUAUGAUAAAAGAUUGUUGUUAGUUGAUUUGAUGUGAUGUUAGUAGAAAAACUUUUUAUAUAAAAAAAUUAAUUAAUUAAUUUAGUAAAAAAAAUAUGAAAGAAAAUGGGACCAGAGUAUCUUUUCCAAAUGUUGUCAUGUCAGUCUCAAGCAGUUGACUAUGUUAUAAAGAGAGGUUGAUCACUACGGAAUGUUUACUCUCACAACACAACACAACUCACACACAUUGUAAUAGUUUAAGGUUCUCUUCUGUUCUGUUACUGAAAACUGAAACACGAGUUGCUGAAAUUAUGGAACUGCAGAAGACUCCAACAAGUUUGGUUUUUGGUAUUAAUGGUGAGAGGUUUGAGCUCUCCCAUGUUCAUCCGUCAACCACUUUACUAGAAUUCUUGCGUAUUCACACUCGUUUCAAGAGUGCCAAGCUUGGCUGUGGUGAAGGUACAUGCAUCUCUGUCGUUCUCUGCGUUCAACCAUUUUUUAUCUACUGAAGGUCAUGGAGUUUAUUCAUUCGUUUGCUUCAUUGCCGAAUUAGUUUUAGAGCUGUUCCCCUUCAUAGGUGUAUUUGAAUUUCCGAUCUUUUUUAUUUUUUAUUUUUGCCUUUCAAUUUCUGUAAGCUUGGUAUUUACUGUAGGGAUUCAUCUUUUCCUUUUUUUUUUGUCUGUAAGAUUAAUCUUGGACAAGUGUGAUUUUAAUGUUUCAUCUUAUUUUUCUAGUGGUCUACUCAUGAAGAUGAAGGAGAAGGUGUUGGCUUUAAGUAGUCCUAAUUAUUGUUUUCAAUCUGGUACUUGAUGUUUUGAAAUGGUUGGUUUCAGGGGGGUGUGGUGCUUGUGUAGUUUUAAUCUCCAAAUAUGAUGCUGUGCUUGAACAAGUUGAGGAUUUUACUGCAAGCUCUUGUCUCACACUACUUUGCAGCAUACAUGGGUGUUCAAUUACAACCAGUGAAGGCAUUGGGAAUACUAAAGAAGGAUUCCACCCAAUUCAUGAAAGAUUUGCAGGAUUCCAUGCCACUCAAUGUGGCUUUUGUACACCUGGAAUGUGUGUUUCCCUCUUUGGAACUCUUGUCAAUGCUGAAAAGACCGAUCGUGCAGAGCCACCAGAUGGCUUCUCGAAAGUAACUGUUAGUGAGGCUGAGAAGGCCAUCGCAGGGAAUCUUUGUCGCUGUACUGGGUACAGACCAAUUGCUGAUGUCUGCAAAAGCUUUGCAGCUGAUGUUGAUGUGGAGGAUUUGGGGUUCAACUCGUUCUGGAGAAAGGAAGAGAACAAGGAGUUAAAGAUUAGUAGGUUGCCUCGAUAUGACCGUGGUCAAUUGAGUAGUAGAUUUCCUACGUUUUUGAAGGAAAUCAAGCAUGAUGUGCUCUUGGCUUCUGAGAAGCACAGUUGGCACAGACCUACUAGUCUAACUGAGCUUCAGAGUUUAUUAAAACUAAACAAUUCCAAUGGAACACGGAUAAAAAUUGUAGUUAGUAAUACAGGUAUGGGAUAUUACAAAGAUAAAGAAGGCUAUGAUAAGUACAUUGAUCUAAGGGGAAUUUCUGAGCUUUCAAAGAUCAGAAAGGACCGAACAGCGAUUGAAAUUGGAGCAGCAGUGACGAUAUCUAAAGCUAUUGAAGCACUGAGAGAAGAUCUCAGAAGUGAGUUUCUCUCAGAUUAUGUAAUGAUACUUGAAAAGAUUGCUGAUCAUAUGAGCAAAGUUGCCUCUGAAUUUAUCCGGAACACAGCCAGUGUAGGCGGAAAUUUAGUCAUGGCACAAAGGAAUAAUUUUCCCUCGGACAUUGCUGUAAUACUUCUUGCUGUAAAUGCAAUGGUUCACAUUAUGACUGGUGCACAAUUUGAGUGGCUGACACUGGAAGAAUUUCUGGAAAGACCAGCCUUAGGUUUGGAAAGUGUGCUUUUAAGCAUUAAAAUUCCUAGUUUGGAACACAAUCAAAGUGAAUCAUCAAAACCAAGAGGUAGCUUCCUCUUCGAAACAUACCGAGCUUCCCCACGGCCCCUUGGAAAUGCCCUUCCCUACUUAAAUGCUGCUUUCCUGGUUAAGGUGUCUCCAUGCAACGAUUCUGGUGGAACUGUGAUAGAUACUUGUAGGCUGUCUUUUGGUGUUUACGGGAGUAAGCAUGCAAUCAGAGCAAAAAAAGUUGAAGAACUUUUAGCUGGAAAACUUUUAAGUUCUAGCGUUUUGUACGAUGCUGUCAACUUGAUUACAGCCACUAUUGUAUCUCAAGAUGAGAACACAAAAACUGCUUAUCGUUCAAGUUUGGCAGCAGGUUUUAUUUUUCAGUUCUUUAACCCUCUUAUUGACAGUUCUGAUAGAAUAGGCAAUGGUUAUUUGAAUGGAAAUAAUAAUCAUCCUUUUGCUGAGGAUUUUGAAUUAAAAGUCAGUCUGAAGAACGUACCUCAUGACAAAGUUCCAACUUUACUAACAUCUGGCAAGCAAGUCCUUGAAGCAGGCUGUGAGUAUCAUCCUGUUGGUGAGCCAAUUGUGAAAUCUGGAGCUGCACUACAAGCUUCAGGUGUGUUUUGUAUCAUUAAGUUUUAAGUUUUUUCACUGACUGCUGUCUUUUCUUUGCAUUUCUAUCAAAUUUCAGAGCAGUAAACUAAAAUAUUUACAUACGAAGUUGGUACCUUUUUGUAUUAAAUUCCAUUUCCUUUGAAGUGAGUCUUAGUGCUAUUAUAAGAUUGUAAAGCUUGUGACCUUGGUGAUGAAAUUUUUAUGUCUCACAAACAGCCUCUCAACUACGAUGGUUAAUUUGUAUACAUCUUAGCCUCUCUCGAUCCUGUAAAUGGAUGAGAGUCUCAAAAUCAGUAAGUUAAAAAAAUAACUGUUCUCCAUGCUCUUGGUUCUGAUGAAUUGUGUAUCCAUAAUUUGCAUCUUAUAGUCUCUGGUUAUCUUAUAACUAUUGUCGAGAUAACUAUGUUAAAAGGUCCAAUGUCCAGGUCAUAAAAACUUGUUCCAAAAUGCUUUUGGUUCUGAUAAAUUCUGCAUCCAUAUUUUGCAUCUUAAAGUCUCUGGUUUCCUUAACCAUGCUCAAAAGCUCACUUUCAUAGUCACAGACUAGUUUGUAUGUGUCUUAUUUUAUCCUGUUUUGAUGCCUGUGAAUUAUGACUUUUCAUGUUUAGUUGUUUAAAUUUAUGUUCAGUAACACAAGUACAUAUUUGUGAAUAAUCAAAUAUAGGUGAGGCUGUGUUUGUGGAUGACAUUCCAUCACCAUCAAAUUGCUUACAUGGAGCAUACAUAUAUAGUGCUAAACCUUUAGCAAGGGUAAGGAGUAUAAAACUCACGCCUGAGUUGCAACUGGAUGGAGUAAGGGAUAUCAUUUCAAGUAAUGACAUUCCCAAUGGUGGGGAAAACAUUGGAUCUAAGACUAUAUUUGGGAUCGAACCUCUAUUUGCAGAAGAAAAAGCCAGAUGUGUUGGUGAACGCCUUGCCUUUGUUGUGAGUUCUUAAUCCCUCAUUGUGAUCCAACAAUGUAGGAGCUUAUUUUUCAUUUGUUUGGAGAUUGAUAUGAUAAUACUACCAUUUUAGUCACGGAAUGUCAUCUUUAGGUUGCAGAUACUCAGAAAGUUGCAGAUUUGGCUGCAAACUCAGCUGUUGUUGAUUAUGAUACUGAAAAUCUUGAGCUUCCUAUUCUAUCCGUUGAAGAUGCUGUUGAAAGAUCUAGCUUUUUUGAUGUUCCUCCUUUUCUGUAUCCAAAACAUGUUGGUGAUAUAUCAAAAGGAAUGGCUGAAGCAGAUCACAAGAUUCUUUCUGCUGAGGUACAUUAGAAUUUAUUUGUUGCUCUCCUUUGUUUCCCACUUCCUCUCAUUUCGUGCCUUUGUGCUCCUUGGUUUCCUAGGCAAUGUUGAAGUUUGCUCCUGAAUAAUUACUGUUUAAAUGGUUAUGCUGAAUAAAAUAUGUGAACUACAGAUGAAACUUGGGUCUCAAUACUAUUUUUAUAUGGAGCCACAGACUGCACUUGCUGUUCCAGAUGAAGACAAUAGCAUUACAGUUUACUCUUCAAACCAAUGCCCUGAGAAUACGCAUUCUAUUAUAGCAAGAUGCCUCGGUAUUCCAGAAAAUAAUGUUCGUGUAAUUACAAGAAGGGUUGGGGGUGGUUUUGGUGGAAAGUCUAUAAAAGCCAUGCCUGUAAGUAUUUAUAAUUCUUUGAAAAUAUAACUUUAUUUUAUCUCUAUUGUUUUUUUCAUUGACUAACUAAUAAAUUUUGUAGAGUGUAGACAUGAACUUUCAUCUCCUGUUGUAAAGGAAAUACACUAAUAAUGUGAAAGAAAAGAAAAGAAUGUGUCUAUAGUCAUUCCACUUAUGUUAUUUAUAUAUUAUAUUCAGCAAUCUGGAGACGUCCUUCUAUUGUCUUUGACAAUGGUUUUGUUUAUUAAAGCAACCAUUUGCUCUUGAAAUGUGUAUUUUGAAUGUAAUAAAUUAGAAAUUGAAUUCUUCUCUUGGAUAAAAAAUUAAUGUUAAGUGGGAGGAAGGGUAAAAAGUUGUCAGAUAAGCAAACGAAACAAGACAGAAGAAAAUAUUAAAACAUUAGGUGAAAAGAUCCUCUUUGAUAAGCUACUAUCCCAAUUGUUAGAUGUGUUUUACAAUAUGGGCCUAGGCCCUUACUCAGAUUUUCGGGUUAAAGUAUGGUUACACCUUUUCUCCAGUCAACAAGAUGGUCUCUAUCAAAUUAUUUUUAGCCAUAAUUGUUUUUUGAUGUUGCCUCCUCUAUCAGUUGGAUGUAAACAAUGUCUUCCUACAUGGUGAUUUAAUAGAGGAAAUUUAUAUAGAACAACCUCUUGGUUUUGUUGAUCAAGGGGAAUCUUUCGACUUGGUUUGUCAUCUCCGCAAAUCUUUAUAUGGUAUAUCGUCAUUCUAUUGUUGGGUGUAUCUACCUAGUAGUGUAUGUUGAUGACUUUGUUCUUACAUGUAGCAAUCACCAUGACAUUUUACAAAUAAAACAACACCUUUGUCAUCAUUUUUAGACAAAAGACCUUGACAAACAUAAAUAUUUCAGAAGUAUACAUUGGAUAUUUUAAAGGAGACUGGACUAAUGAAUUCCAAGUCCCUUGACGCACCUAUAGAUCCCAAUGCUAAUGCUCAAAUAGUUACUUAAAGAAUUGAGAUUAGGGAAGGUUACAUCCAAAUUUACUACCAAAGACUAAAGACUUAUUUGUGCAUGAGAUUUCCACUUAGUGGAGUCCAAGGAGGGUAGUUGUAUGAAGCCUUACCCUUGUAAGCAGAGAGGUUUUUUUAAAUUUGAAUCCAUGGCCUCUGGAAAUUUCAUGUCCAAAGACUGCUUGGUUGUUAGGAAUUAUAGCUACUUCCCCUAAAAUUAUCCCUAAGUGUCAAAGGAAACCAAGAAAGAACAAAGGGUGCAAUGAAAUCUUUAUUAUCGAACAGGAAGUACAGUAUCCUUACCUAGGCAAAUCUCCUUCUACUGAGCCUGAGGUCUAGGGUCUCAUUUCUACAAAAUUUCUAACUAACAUACAACUGAUUCCCUCUUAUUUUGUAACAGUAGCUACCCACUUCCUUACUAAUUCUCUCAAAUUCUCUUAUAUACGAAAAUUUAUAUGUCUUCGUGUGUGUGUGUAGUACUAACAAUUGGAUCUUGCAGGUUGCCACAUCAUGUGCACUGGCAGCACAUAAAUUACAGCGCCCAGUUAGGAUAUAUCUAAAUCGAAAGACAGAUAUGAUAAUGGCUGGAGGAAGGCAUCCUAUGAAGAUAACUUACAGUGUUGGGUUUAGGAAUGAUGGUAAGAUUACAGCACUAGAACUUCAAAUUCUGGUCAAUGCAGGGAUAUAUGUGGAUAUAAGUGCAGUAAUGCCACAUAAUGUAGUUUCUGCACUUAAAAAGUACGAUUGGGGUGCCUUAGCUUUUGAUAUAAAGGUAUGCAGAACAAACCAUCCCAGUAGAUCUGCUAUGAGGGGCCCUGGGGAAGUGCAGGGAUCGUUUAUUGCUGAAGCUAUUAUAGAAAAUGUAGCAGCUACACUUUCAAAGGAUGUAGACUCUGUCAGAAGCAUUAAUCUUCACACAUACAAUAGUCUUCAGUCAUUCUAUGAGUACUGUCAUGGUGAACCUCACGAGUAUACCUUGCCUACAAUAUGGAAUAAGUUAGCUGUUUCUGCAAACUAUGACCAGAGAACCAAUAUGGUGCAAGAGUUUAACAGGAUUAACACAUGGAAGAAAAGGGGAAUCUCUCGAGUACCGGUUGUGUUUCAAUUGAUUCAAAGACCAACUCCUGGAAAAGUAAGUAUUUUUUCAGACGGGUCUGUGGUUGUUGAAGUUGGAGGAAUUGAACUGGGUCAGGGUCUCUGGACGAAGGUGAAACAGAUGGCUGCAUAUGCUCUUGGGGCUAUUCAAUGUGAUGGAAUUGGAGGUCUCUUCGACAAAAUACGGGUUGUACAAUCUGAUAGUGUGAGCUUGAUUCAAGGAGGAUUCACUGCUGGGAGCACUACAUCAGAAUCAAGCUGCGAAGCAGUUAGGCUUAGCUGUAAUAUCUUGGUAGAGAGGCUAAAGCCUCUUAAGGAAAACCUGCAGGAGGAAAUGGGCUCUGUCAAGUGGGAGACCCUUAUUCUUCAGGUAUCUACUAUAAUAAAUUUAAAGAGCUUAGUUUUAAACAUUGAUAGAUUUUCCUCUCAAGGAAUUCUCGUUCUCAUCAUGGGAGGAAGUUCCCUUGAGAUAAAAUUGGUUCUCUUCAUAAUCAUUCUGUAAAAAUGAAGCAAGUGGAUCUGUAACUGUUUCUCUCUUUAUGAUCCAUAUAGAUAGAUUAUUCAUGAUUGAAUUUCACUACUGUUUGCCUUAAGGUUUAGAAACUUUUUUUUUUCUAAUUUAUAUCGAUGAAUGUAUAUUGGUAUUUGUAAUUGUGCAUAGGAUGUAUUGCUUCAGGGUUUUCCCGUUAAGUUCUUGUAGGUACUCAGUGUUCUCAUAAUUUAUGGGAUCAUAAUUAACUCCUUUCAAUUAAGAAAGUAUUAGGGGAGUGCUCUGGAAAUGGAAUUAAGUAUAGAGAACUUCUUAUUUUCCUAGUCCACAAGCAUAAUAUUAAUUACCACGUUGCUGACAAUUUAUUGAAUACAGGCAUACAUGCAAGCUGUGAACUUAUCAGCAUCUUCAUUUUAUGCACCCAGCAUGAGCUCCAUGAGUUACCUUAAUUAUGGUGCUGCAAUAAGUGAGGUAGGUUGGUCUUACUUUUGGUUUUCUGUACACAUUUCAAAUCAAAUUGAUAUUCUUUUCGAGUUCACUGAUAGUUACUUCUCUUGAAUGUAAGCACUAAUGUCAUAUUUUCACAUAAGCCAUGUUGUAGAAUGUAAGUACUGAUAUUCUAAAUGAUGGAAAUUAUAUCUCAGGUGGAAAUAGAUCUUCUGAAUGGUGAAACCAGAUUUUUGCAAACAGAUAUUAUUUAUGAUUGUGGACAGAGUCUCAACCCUGCUGUGGAUUUAGGACAGGUAAGCUGACUACAUAUUUGUUAUGCAAAGCCAACUCUAAUCAUGGAAUAACACAAUACAAUAGUUCGAGGCCCAAUAAUAGGUUUUAUUAACACGGCCUCUCGCAUAAAGGCCCUCUGGGAAGUCAAGAGGAGACUAAGAACUGGCACACUUUUCCUUCCUAAAAAAUUACAGUUAAUUAUUAGAAAUGGAAAAGGCAAGAAUCAACUCCUGAUAACUUUCUGAUACCUUGUUAAGAAACACCAAAGAGGCUUUAAUUCCUUUAGCCAAAAAUAUCUUGUUAAGAACAAACUCAACCAAAACGCUUGAGAAUUUAGUUGGAGAUCUUGGAAUGUUAAAAGUUACAAAUACUGUUCAGUUGUUCAACUAUGUGUGUGUAUUCCUCCUAAUCAUAUAACACAUCCUGCAGAUUGAAGGAGCUUUUGUCCAGGGAUUGGGGUUUUUCAUGCUUGAAGAAUACGAAACAAAUCUUGAUGGUUUGGUGUUGCAAGAUGGCACUUGGAACUACAAAAUCCCUACAAUAGACACUAUACCAUUACAGUUUAAUGUUGAAAUCCUCAACAGUGGGCACCACCAGCAACGAGUUCUCUCUUCAAAAGGUAUGACUAAAUCACAAAAAAUCUGUCAGUGCAUUGUUCUUAUCUAUUUAUUGUCCUCAUGAAUGCACAUCACGUGAUGAAAAGGAAGUUUUGUGAAUUCUCCUCCAUUGAUUCAUUAUCAGUUCAUUCUAACUGUUAAUUCCAAAAUGUUGGGAUGAAAUGAGCAAAUAUUUGUUAACCAUAUACUUGUUGUGGCGUAAACUAACUAGUUAAUUAGUGUAGUAGCUUGAAUAUGAGAUACAUGUUAUAGUUAUACAUCUAGAGCAGGAAUUAAAAAAAAGGUUUGGUAUCAAAGCUAAGGUGGAAGUGGAUGGAACUGAAUAAUCAAUUCAAUUUCUUCUGCAUAAUAGUUUGGGGGGAAAAUUGUGGUUAUAACUUGUAGGCAUGCUGCAGCCUAUUUUUUAUGUUAGAAUCUUAAUAAGAUUGAGAAAGCUUCACCUAUUCCUGUUUGAAAAUCUAAUAUGAAAAAAAAAUUGAAAUUUGUUGCUGCAGCAUCUGGGGAGCCACCAUUAGUUCUAGCAGCUUCCAUUCACUGUGCCACUAGAGCAGCAGUGAAAGAAGCAAGGAAACAGGUUCUUUCAUGGAGCAACCAAGAUGAAGCAGAUUCAACAUUUGAGUUGGGGGUCCCUGCAACCAUGCCUGUGGUAAAGGUACUCUGUGGACUGGACAAUGUUGAAAGAUACUUGAAAUGGAAAAUGGGAAGGACAUAAUACUGUUGAAUAUCCUAGAUUAGUUAGAAGAAUAAUUUUAUUCUAUCCAUUUUUCAGUCCUUCUGGUAAAAAUUUAAAAUAAGUUGAGUUUUUAUUAUUUUAUUUCUCAUGAUGAUCAUGCUAGUGCAAAACUUGCAAUUUUUUCUUAUGUUCACAAUAAGAAACACAGGCUAUUUCUUGUGGGGCAGUUUUUGCUGCAAGAAUAAGGUAUAUCUGGACAGUAAUGUACUUUAGUUAUGCAUAAAGUGCUUAAAGUGAUGUGCAUUGCUUUAUCGGUAUAAACAUGUUUUAAUUUAUAAAAACUAAUUUAUGUAGAAAUUAAUUUUAAAAUUUAUAAAAAAUAAUUUUAUUUGAGAAAUGGUCUGUUUCUUAAAAGGAACAUGUUUGCCGACAAAAUUUUAUUCUGCAAUAUGUUAUUUUGUAAGGACUACCUUUUUUAUUACAUGUACGAAGUUCACCAAAUUCUGCAUGAUGAGAUUCAUCCAUAUUAAUUUGAUAAUAAAUGCUGCAUCUGCAUCAUAAGCAAUGUGUCAAACACUGGUAACAGAUAGCAUUUCUUUUAGUUUAUAUUACAUUUUAAAGAUGAAUAUAUGAAAUAUUGCAUUAUAUUCCUAUACUUUAAACAUCCUUUUAUCCAAUUUUUAUCUCUAAAAUCGAAAUAGAUUUAUGGUUUGGUUAUAUUUUUAAUUAUUUGAAUUUAAAUUAUGUGUUGUGGUAGUUUCAAGUUUUUAGUUAAUUAAAUUUUCUUUUUUCAAAAUUAAGUAGGUUUAUACACUCAUCUAAAAAAUGCAUUUUUAUUUUUUUAAGCCAUUUUGAACAGAUAGAGGUUUAGUGGUUCUGGUGAGUUCAGUCAAUCUAAAUUUCUAACUCACUUAUUCACUCACCAUACAAUAAUGUUUUAGUAUGAAUCAUAUAUAUAAUUUCUAUUUAUUUAGUUACACACCAUGACCUUAAACCAUUAUUUUUAUCACAUACUAAAGUUUAUCAUCUCAUUAAUGAGAAUCAAUUACUUAAUUAUGACUAAUUUUUUAUGUGAUCUUUUGGUAACAUAUAAAUAACUGACAUAAGAAAAUCACCUUAAAUAUCAUGUUUAAAUGUUUAUAAUUGCAUUGUUCCUUUGUUAGUUUCUAACUUUGAGAGGUUGGAGUCAUGAUUUUCAUUAUUAUCUACAACGUACGAGCAACUUAAUCAUCUUAUCUUAUGUUAGUAUCCUUAAAAUAUUUACAACUUAAAGCAUUUAAAUUAUCAUUUAUUCAAAAGCUCAUUCAUUCCAUCAAUUUUGUAUUAGAAUUUUUUACGGGAUACAGGAGAUAAAUCUUAUAUUAAUAGGUUAUGAACAAAUAAUACAAGAGAUCAUGAUAUAAUUUUAUCUUAAUAAUUCGUUAAUAAUAUGUGAUUGUAUUUUUUAAUAUGUCCCAACUUUUUUAUUUUUAAUUAGUGCACAACUUUUAUUUUAUACUUAAAUUCCUAACAUUUUUUUCAUUGAAAGGAAUAUGUUUAUGAUCAUUUUAAAAAUACAUGUUCUAUAUUUUCGCACAUGAUUAUGAAUGAAAAAUUUGGGAUGUAACCACGCAAAAAUAAAAUGAGAUUAAUCAUAAUUAAAUAAUAAACAUUAUUUGAAACAAAAGAAAUAAUUUUAGCAUAAAAAAAUACCAUUUUACGAGUGCCUUCUCUGGUACUCAUUUGUUUGUAUGUUAACAUCAGAAGCAAAUAUUAGAAACACAGCCUGUAAUUGUACUGCAACAAAUCACUCACAGCUGCCCUGCAAUAUCAGGAAAAGGUAUAUGCAAAUAAAAUAAAAUAAAAAUAAGUAAAAGUAGAUAUAUAAAUAAAUAAAAGAGAAAUUAAAAGUUUUAGUUUAAGAGAAGUAUAUAAAAGAAGAAGAGAGAAAGAAAAUUGAAAUAAAUAAAUAAAAAUAAAUAUUGAUUUUUAUCAAUUUCAAAAUUAUUUUUCCUCUCAAUCCCAUAAAAACAAACCAUCUUAGCUUACUUCUAGUUACACAAAAUUAUUCCAUCUCGUAAAUCAAACAAAAUUUUAGUCUCAUACUAAAUUAUUAAGUGAUUCCAUGAUUAUUAUUUAUUAUAAUUUCAGUUAAUUUCUAUAUUCUCUCAUUCUAAAAUAAUAGUAGUUUAAAGUUUUUCAAGAACAACAAUAAAUAAUAAGUGUAUGUUUGUCUUAAUAAAUUCUUAUUUUUAUAUAUUACAAAUACAAACAUUGAUAUAAUUGAUCUGAGAAAUAAAAUUAAUAUUUUUGCUGAAAAUGGGAAUAUAAGUUAAUUUAUAAGUUUAGAAAAAUAAAACUACUGGUAUUUAUGAUCAUGAGUAUCUUAUAAUUUAUCCUGAGAACUGCACAAAACACAUUAAGACACCUCACUCUCAAACCCACUUUGUUAUCUCCAUUCAACUUCUUCCUUUCAGCUUCUUCACUUCAGUGCCUGAAGUAGUGGUAACCUUCUUAAUGCCAUUAACUAUGCUCCAUUUCAUGUGUUUAGAAAACUACAUGUUUUUCACUUGCUUCAUAUGCAUGUCAAAUAAUGGAAUUCACAUCUUAUGGCUAUUGUGAAAAUAUCUCAACUACAUGCUGAUUAUAUACAGGUUCAACUUCAAGUGUUGAAAUGGGGGCAAUUGCAACACCCCUUGUGGUUGUUCUUCUAUUUUGCUGCCUAGUUUCUGUUUCACAAGCAGAAUACUUGAAGUACAAAGACCCAACACAGUCACUGAAUGUUAGAAUCAAGGACUUGCUGAAGCGGAUGACCCUGGAGGAGAAGAUAGGUCAAAUGGUGCAGAUUGAACGAAGUAUUGCCACCCCUCAAGUGAUGAAGAAGUACUUCAUUGGUAAGCUCUCACCCAAUCUCUGAAAAACUACCAGUGCCUUAUAUGCUACUAUACUAUGCAUGGUGGUUAGUAAUGUUUUUCUAUUUUCCUCAUAUAAUAAGUGUAUGAGUUGUUGGAUAUAAGGGGUAUAACAGUGUUUGCAAUUAUGGAGGUGACAUUAUAGAAAUACAUGUGAUGUGAUGAUUGAUGGGCAGGGAGCGUGCUGAGUGGGGGAGGCAGUGUUCCAGAAACAAAUGCAUCUGCUGAGACUUGGAUCCAAAUGGUGAAUGGGAUUCAGAAUGGAUCUUUGUCUACCCGCCUUGGGAUUCCAAUGAUUUAUGGCAUAGAUGCAGUUCAUGGCCACAAUAAUGUCUACAAGGCCACCAUCUUUCCUCACAAUGUUGGGCUAGGAGUUACCAGGCAAGUAUGCAUGAUAUACUUAAUGAGUAGUCAUGGUCAUUUUCUUUUGUGACAAGAUAACUUUUUUUGUUUGUAAUUUGAAGACCUUGGUUUUCAAAUGCUAAUGGUGCCGUAUGCAGUUGAAAGCCAUAUUUCAACAUGUUGACAUUUUCACUACACCCUUCAAUUAUUAUCCUCCAUUCAAUGAUAAACCAAAUUGAACUAUAGGAAUUCAUUAUUGGGACAUUUUAGAUCUUUAAAAUGAAUUAUUAUUUCAUUUUUAUCUCUUCUCACUACCUUUCUUCUUAGCUGAAUACAUAAACUAAUUAUAUAAUGCUAAUAGGGAUCCAGUGCUGAUAAAGAAGAUUGGAGAUGCAACUGCCCUUGAAGUUAGAGCUACUGGAAUUCAGUAUGUUUUUGCUCCAUGCAUUGCGGUAAUGUUGAUGAUUCCGUUCCUUUUACAUCAAGUAAAAGUUUAACAUUGAUCAAAUGUAUGUUUGGUAACCUUUUUCUUCCAUAGGUCUCCAGAGAUCCUAGAUGGGGGCGUUGCUAUGAAAGCUACAGUGAGGACCCUGAGAUUGUUAAAGCAAUGACUGAAAUUAUUCUUGGUUUGCAAGGAGACAUCAGUGGAAAUUCCAGAAAGGGGGUUCCCUAUGUUGCUGGAAAGUAAGAUUCUUAAUAGUAGCUUGAGUUCAGUGUGAACCAUUUGGUUAAUUGAUCAUCCUAAACUUUUUAAAUACUUCCAUAGUUCCAUGCACAUAUGUUGGAUGGUAAUAAUCACUCUGUUCCUUCUCACCUCUUGUUUAUAGUUUAUUGUUGUUAAAAGAUUUUCUGUGUUUGUAAAUUAUUUUAAGCUUUUGUUCUGUUUUUUUUAUGCAAAAGCAUUGUAUUAUUGUCUUUAAUUGUAUUUAUGCAAUUUUCUUUAAGAUUUUGGGUUCUGGAAUUUCUGUGUAAAAUUUUGUGAGUUUUGCUUCUACAAAAAGUGUUACAUUAUUUAAACUUGAAUAUUGUUUCAACAUUGUAAUUAAUUUGACACAGGAACAAGGUGGCGGCUUGUGCUAAGCAUUAUGUAGGAGAUGGUGGCACAUCCAAGGGCAUUAAUGAGAAUAAUACUUUGAUCAGUUAUAGAGGAUUGCUUAACAUUCACAUGCCUGCAUAUCAUGACUCCAUCCUCAAGGGGGUUUCAACAGUAAUGGUCUCCUACUCUAGCUGGAAUGGCAAGAAGAUGCAUGCCAAUCAUUUUCUUGUCACUGAUUACCUCAAGAACAAACUGAAGUUCAGGGUAACAAAUAAAACUUAUUUGAUUAGUCUCUAAUAAAGCAAUUGAAGUGUACUUUUGGUUCUUUUAAUUUACAUUACAUGUGAUUUUGGUUUCUCAAGUUUCGUUUUUUACCUAUUUUUAAAUAUAUAAGAAAAGAUCUUCCAUCAAAUUCAAUGAGUAAACAUGCAGUUUCUGAUGUAGUCUUUUUGGCAUUUUUCAGGGUUUUGUCAUAUCAGAUUGGCUAGGCAUUGACAGGAUUACUUCUCCUCCUCAUUCUAACUAUUCGUACUCUAUUCAAGCUGGUGUUGGUGCUGGAAUUGACAUGGUAACAAAAGAAAGAAAUUUUUUAUGACUUUUGUGACUGAUAUUUAGUAUCAUGACUUUUUCAUUUAUAUCUACGUUUACAUUAUUUUACAGAUCAUGGUUCCUUUUAAUUUCACUGAAUUCAUUGAUGUGCUGGUUUAUCAAGUAAAGAACAAUAUUAUCCCUGAAAGUAGGAUUGAUGAUGCUGUGGAAAGAAUCUUAAGAGUAAAAUUUGUCAUGGGCCUAUUUGAGAAUCCACUUGCUGAUCCAAGCCUGGUGAAUCAACUUGGUAGUGAGGUAUAUUUCCAGAAGGAUGUACUUUUAAUAUCUUUCAAAUGAAUAUUUUUUUAUGAAUUACUGUGCCUUGAACAGGAGCAUAGACAGUUAGCAAGGGAAGCUGUAAGAAAAUCUCUUGUGUUGCUAAAGAAUGGUAAAUCUGCUGAGAAGCCUCUACUUCCCCUUCCCAAGAAAGCUGCAAAUAUACUGGUGGCAGGAAGCCAUGCUGACAAUUUGGGUUAUCAAUGUGGAGGAUGGACAAUUACCUGGCAGGGGCUUGGUGGCAAUAAUCACACAGUUGGUAAGCCAACACGCUUAAUUUUGGUGUAAUAAUGUAUAUUUUUAAGGUAAGAGGCCUUGGUAUACGAUAUAAUGUGUUUCAAAUAAUCAAGAAGGGUUUUGGGUGUUAAAAAGGUAAGAGUAUGGUGUGAAGUUUCAACAAACCACCGGUGCCAAUGUAAUUUGCCCAAAACAUUAACUCUUAACCAUCUAAAACCUGCAUGGAUAAGCAUGUAAAACAUUCAUACACACUGCAACUUGGAUUAUCUGAUUAUGGUUUUCUUUUUGUAGGAUAUUUACGGUUUAUCUGACAAAAAAAUAUCACUUUCCUAACAGGUACAACAAUCCUUGAUGCUGUAAAACAGACAAUUGAUCCUGCUACUAAAGUUUUCUACAAGGAAAGUCCUGACUCCACCUUUGUCAAGUCCAACAACUUUUCUUAUGCCAUAGUCAUUGUAGGUGAACCCCCUUAUGCAGAAACACUUGGUGAUAGCUUGAAUCUAACUAUAGCUGAGCCAGGUCCAAGCACCAUUACCAAUGUAUGUGAAUCUAUCCAAUGCGUGGUAGUUCUCAUCACUGGCCGUCCAGUAAUGAUUCAGCCAUAUCUAUCAAAAAUAGACGCUCUUGUGGCUGCAUGGCUUCCAGGAACUGAAGGCCAAGGUGUCGCUGAUCUUCUAUUUGGUGAUUAUGGAUUCACUGGCAAGCUGGCAAGAACAUGGUUCAAGACAGUUAACCAACUUCCAAUGAAUGUUGGUGAUAAAUAUUAUGAUCCUCUCUUUCCAUUUGGAUUUGGCUUAUCUACAAAUCCCACCAAGCACUAAAACAAUAUUUGAGAUUACUACUCAAGUCUCACGGCUCCUUUUCACCAAGGAGAUUCUGAAUUGUCUUCGGCAAGUGAAUGAUCACACAUGUAUGUUUGUAAUGAAAACCUUAGAGAAACUUAGCACUAGAAAAUAAAAUUUACUGUUUUGACAAUUUUAUCUUAUGAAUUUAACAUUAUAGUGUGCUCGGAUAAGUAAAUAAAAGUGUUGAUUGCAAAGGAUAGAGAUGAAACAAAACAAAAAAAAUAGCUGUGAUUUUUCAACUUGACAGAUUUAAAGUGCAGUUCUAUAUACACUUCUCACUCACAACACAAGUAGAACAACUUAAUCACCAAGAAAUUUCAACCACAUAAGUUACCAUUCCAAUUCUACAAGGUCCCUUAUCAUUCAUAUGCAAAGAUCCCAACAUCAUCUAGAAAUCACCUUACGUACUUCAAACUUUAUAAAUAAAAUAAUUUCCUUUCGGAAAACCAAAAUCAAUCCACAAUUUCUAACAUUUUAUUCCAAUUAUCAAAGAUGCAUUGACUUCCAUCUAAUUUCCAAUUCUAACUUCAUUCAAAUAAACUUUCAAAAUUGAAUUAGUUUCUCACACCUUAAUUUUCUUGUACCCCACGGAACUAAAAUGGUAAGGAUAUGUGAAACACACACCCUCAGCAGCUUCUAGAUCAAUCCAAACCAAUUAGCUAAACAUCAAUCACCACCCAAAAAAAAAUUAUAAACCUCAAUUUCUCUCGAAUCUUAGAAACCCUAGACACUUGCAUUCAAGUCUUUGAAAAGAUGUAAGAAUAGAAGGAAAGAAAAAAGAAGUUUACCCUGAGUAAGGAAACAUCAAACUUAUGCUCUAGCUUUCCUUUUAAAUGAAAUUAUGGAAGAAAAUCUCAAUUAAGGAAAAGAAGGAGAUUUGGUGCUUUUUUACGGCUAAGGGGAGAAGAAACGGUGAAAGGAGAAUGAAGGCAAUUUUUCCGGCACCUCCAUAAUUUGUUCUUGCACCUCCUUAGUUUCUUUUUACACCUCCAUAAUUAUUGUAAUUUUAAAAAUACCCUUAUGAAUUUGUAUUCAAAAUUUUAAAAUUAAAAAGUGAUUUUCUGAAUUCAUAAAUACUUUUAGGAAAAUGCUCCCUGCACCCAACACUUUUGAACCUGCACCCAACACAAUUUAAAAAAUUCCAAAAAUACCCUUUAUUUUGGAAAUGAAAAUCUAGAAUUAAAAAUAAUGCAUUCCGGAAAAGUAGAUCCAAAAGAGAUUUUUGUGUUCUGGAUAUAAAAAUCCGGAUAAAAAAAUCAAAAUUCCCUUCUGGAUAAAAAAUUCCGGAAUUGAAAAUAAUUCAUUCUGUAAAAAUUUAUCCAUAAGAGAUUAUUGUGUUUCGGAAAAAGGGUCCGGAGUGUAAUUUUAUAUGUACCCUUUUUUUAAGGGUAUUUUCGUAGUUUCCCCUAUGAUUGGGUUCAGUGAUAUGGUGCAGGAAGCAAUUGCCUACUUUUAAAUUGUAGAAUUUGUAAGCCAACUUUGUAUUGUAAAUUCUUCAAUUCACAUGACUUCCAAAUAGUAGAAAUUAGAAUAAAAAGUUGGCUUUCAAAUUAUAAAAUUUGGAAUUUUACAUUGAGUUAUGACGUCCAAAUUAUAGAAUUUGGAAGGGAAUUUUGUAUUUCAAAUUAUACAUAAGUCAUUUUUUAAUUAAAAAAUAACUUUUAUUUUUAUAUAAAUUGUAGAACUCAGAAUACUAUUUAUACUAAAUCUGACUUUUCACAAAAAAAGUAUGGAGGUGCAUAGAGAAACUAUGGAGGUGCAGGAUAAAAUUUCCCAGAAUGAAAGUUAGAAAUGUUUCUGUUCAAAUUUUUAGGGAAGGAAAUAAAAUAAGAUUUCGAGUUACACCCCUUUUCCUCUAAAUUUCACUCUCUUCUUUAUCGUUUCUUUUUAAACAACACCUGGUUUAGCCCACAUAUAGCCCAAUUAAAUCAAGACUAACUCUCUCUAUCCACUAACUACACCCUUAUUCUCACACAUACACGCAUCCUUCAAUGAAUUAAAGAUCUCUCUUAAAAUAAUUUUAAUUAAAACUUUUUUAUUUGAAUUCACCCACUUAUUAAAUAUGAACAUAGUACAAAAUACAUUACUUCUACAUAUAAGUUUUAUCUAACUCUUAAAAUCUUUAACAAUUUAAUAACUAACUGUAAAGAUUAAUCAUAAAUAUUUAAUUUUUUAUAUUAAUUUUUUUAUAUAUAAAUACGUUGUUACCUUUAUAUAUUAGAGUAUUUUUUUAAUUAUAGACAUGAUCAUAUUCAUAAUUGUAUAAUGGUUAGCCUUUUAUUAAAGUUCACUCUAAAUUUUUUAUGAAUAUUAAUAGAUGCACUAUAUUCAUUGAUAAUGAUUUUAUAAUAAAUAAACAAUCCAUUUUAUCGUAUAUUCUAAUUAAUUUAUACGAACUUUUUAUAUAAUUAUGUGAUUUACAUCGUUUUUAUAAAUAUUAAAAAUUUAUUAAACAUAUGUAUAAUUAUGUUUCAUCUUAUAUAUAGUACUUAUUAAUAUAUAUAUAUAUAUAUAUAUUUCAAUUAUAAAUAAAAAAUUAUUUAAUAUGUUACAUUAUAAUAACUAUAUAUAAAUGACCAUAUACAUCAUUUUAUUUAAAUAUUUAAAAAUUGUUAGAUAUAACAAACUUUAAAAAACGUAAUUGUUUAAAUAUAUAAAGAAUUUUAUAUUCUGUACUUAAUUCUUUUAAAUACAUAAAUAUAUAUAAUAAAAAAAUUAUUAAGAAUGAUACUUUUAAAAUAAAAUCUACAUAAAAUCCUAAACAUCCUAUGUAUAAUUUACACCGUAUUCUUCAUUUCAUGCGUAGACUAUAAGAAAAUUAUUUAUUAAAAAGUAUAAUUUCACUCGAAUUUAAAAAAUAUUACAAUUUAUCAACUUUCAACAAAAUCAUUUUUAUGAAAACAUUUAUGUAACAAAAUCCAUAUCUUGUCAAGCUCAGGUAAAUAUUUUCAUAAAUAUUCCUUUUCUAAAAAGUAAUAAAUAACAAAUAGUUUAAUUUUGUUUAAAUUAAAAAGAAAUAUUUUUAAAAUUAAAUUAAUUUUGCAUAUUUAAGUUAAAACAAAAGUUCUUAGAUAUGAAAAACAUCCUUCCACGGAAUUCACUAAUCUAUUCUUCUAAUAAUAAACCAUAUUAUCCUAAAAGAGCUAUUAGACUAAUCUCGGAUCAUGAUGACCCCACAUUCAUUUGUUUUCCUUUAGUUGGUACCAAAACCAAAAGGAUAAAGUAGUCUAUCAAAAUCCAUUGAAAUUCUAUAUUUUGGGAGCAAAAAUGUUUUAAAAAACAACAAAAGCUAUCACUUGCCUGUAUACUUCCUGGCCCCUUUUAAGGUAAAAAACAAAUACACAUACCAUUUGCUCCCCCCAUACUUUAAACCAAAAGAUGAUGCAUGAAAGCAAUACAACUUUCUUUCAGACUGGGGAAAACCCCUUCUCUGCCUCGUUGAUGAUUACAAAAUCUUUACAUCCUAUACAAAAUUUAACAGAAUCAGUAACUGACAUCAGAAGAUGAGAACUCCAACUUUUCUCUGUGGAGUCUGGAGGAUAAUGAAUGCCAUUACUUCUUUGAGAAAGUGAGAUAUGGGUCUUGAGCAAUGGUUAACACAUCUGGUCUCUCAGCCUGGUUAUAUGUUAGACACCUUCGGAUAAAAUCCUGACAAAAAAAGUGUACAUACGCAACAGACUAUUGUCAGGUUUGACAGUAUUGUAGAUAGUAGGCACAUGAUACUAUAUUCUUCCUACAGUAAACCGGAUAUAAGAAAGUGUAUAUACAUUGAGGUCUUCAAUGGAAACCACAACCUUCCUAGUUCCUACACUUGCAUGUGGAAUCAUGUUUGAAUAUUUUAUUAUGUCAAAACGAUCAUAACAUACAUACAACCUUUCAAGAAGCAUAGUUGUGUCCAUCACUGAAUAAUAGAACAGAAUAAAGGCAACUGCACAAGCUAAGAAGCUAAAAGAGAAAAGCUCUAUUGAGAAAUACGAUAAUGCACUUCUACUAUGAUUUUUAAUGCACCUCAACGCUGAUUCCUCAAUCAGUGCAUGACAUUCAUUUGCAAAAUACCCUUCAAUAAAAAAUUGACGCAAGGCAAAAAGGGAUCAACUAUGGGCAGAUAAUAUCGGUAAAAGGGUGAAACUCACCUUUGCCUCGUUAGAAAUGGUAGGUCUAGAAGGAAAGUCAACCUUGCGAGCCUUAAUAAUUGUGUCCUCACGAAGUAUUCUCUCUUGGGUUUGGUGAUGCCCAAAAGGACGUCGGCCAAAGAGCAUUUGAUAAUACAAAAUACCAGCAGACCAGACAUCAACCUGACUUCCACAAAACAUGUCAGAAAAUAUGAGCCAAAUGAUAAAAAUCUCUAACGUUAUGAUCAAAGAGUUCGUUGUUUGCAUAAUCCCAGUCAUCAUGACACUUGUGUCAAAGUGAAAUAUCCUUUGACCAAAGUAAUUGAGUUAGAAUAACAACAACGAAAAAAAAAUAGAAAAAAAAAAUUAUCUGUGUAUUUACAACUUAGAAAAUGAUUGACCUUUGAUGAUAUAAGAGGUGUCUUGCUGAGCUCAAAGCAUUCAGGAGGCAAAUACCUGCAAAUUGAAAAACAAAAAGAGCGGAUAAAGAGGUUGUUAGAUAUUAUUAGAUAUUUCUAUUUAUGUAAUGGGCUUAGUUCAUAUGUUUCUUUUUUAUAUAUAAACAUAACCCUAUGUGUUCAAUAUACACAAGGGAUUUACCCUAUUCUUCCUUUUCUUUUAAUAGAGGUUUUACCAAAGUAAAUACUAGAAUCUCAAGGAAACAUAAAAAGGAGCACCAAAGGUUAAGUCAGAUUGAGGAGAAUGAAGCCUAAAACAUACAAAUUUGGACUACUUCAAAUUUUGGAUUCCAACAAAGAUUGUCACCACUUACCAAUAUGUUCCAGCUCCCUGGGAUGUAAGUUCCAUACCUUGGGAUCCCACAUCAUCCUCCACUAUCUUACUAAGACCAAAAUCAGUCACUUUGGCAACACCAAGCUCAUCAAACAGAACAUUUCCAGGCUUCAAAUCAUAAUGGAUAAUCUUCUGUGUUCUUUUAUUCAUGUAAAUGAGGCCUUGAAAAAUCUGAACUAUGAUAACCUUAGCCUCCCUCUCGGAUAAUAUAGGUGUUGCUUUAAGAACAGCAUCAAGAUCCUUACCUGGGAGAAUAAAGGAAAGUCAAGCGCUAAGGGGUAGAUUAAACAAGAAAUCAUACAAAAACAAUGAAGUUAUUCCAGUUCAAACUCCAAAAAAAUAUUUGGAGUCUGUAAAAUAAAUAAAAAUAAUGAACUUCAUAAAAUAGUUAACAGUGUAUACCACUACAAUACUCUAGAACGGUGCAGAAUGUGUUUUGAUCAAUCUCAAAGAUGUCCCACAAACGAACAAUGUGGCGAUGUACAAGAGUCUUGUGAAUAUUAUACUCCCGAAUUGCAUGUCGUAUGUAACUUUGCUUCUUCUCUUCACUCCAUUGAGCAUUUAAACCAUGAAGUUUGCACGCAACAUAUCUAUGGUCCACCAAAUCGAAAGCCUGCUGGAAAUUUCUUACUUCAAAUUACUGCAAAAAGGUAUUUAUUUACAAUUGCCCAUGUAGGCCAUGUAAUUGUCUAGACUCUGGUUUUUAGUUUUUUCAAAACCUUUUAUAAUAUUUGCUAAAAGAGUAGACCAGACACAUUUUGAGUUAAAAUUUAUUGAAAAGUACAAAAGCAUUAGUGGAAGUAUUGAAUGUUGAUACAGAAUUUGUGAUAUAUAAUCAUUUUGUCAAUGAUAAAUAGUUUCUAGAAGUGUGUUUAGUGUCUUGCUAGCAUUUUUCCAGCAAAAACAAUAUCAACAUGAUCAAAUGAUUAUUAUUUCUGAUCUGACCUUGUACACCUCACUGAAUCCUCCCUUCCCAAGAAGGUUAAGAAGGGCAUAACGAUGAUUUAGAAUCUGAAAGUUGUUAAACCGUGAACCAUCUUCAUCUCGUAUGCGUUUCAUCUCCCGAAUUAACCUCCCCUUGUCUAUUUCAUAUCGAUCCCUCUCUCGCAAAACGAUUUCCUCUUCCUGAACAUUUCCAUGCCAUUAGAAGCAUAAAGAAGAAAGAAAACAGUUGGACCAGAAGAAAUUGCAACUUACUCUUUUAAGGCUAGCUAAUCGACAUUUGUAAAUUUCAUCGUGAAUUAGAAUAUCUUCUGGCAAUGCAGCCUCUGCAUCUGUCCCAUCACCCUUAUCUUCAACAAAAGAAAAGACAAACAAAAACAAAACACACUAUUAACACAGGGAGUAGAGUAGUAUAGUACAAGAUAUAGUCCAGCGAUUUGUGUGUGAAACAGAUAUUUUUUAUAUCAAACUAUUCAUUUGAACAUCUGAUAAGUACCCUAGCACUCAGGGAAUCCACCCUCAAAAGCUAGCUAUUAACGGUGAAAACCAAUCACUCAAAUAUUCUACCAAGUAUUCCAUUCUAAUUCAUGUGAGACAUAGGCACUCCGAUCCAUAAUACCCAAGUUCCUCUAUAGCACUGCCCCUGAGACAGGCAACCAGUUUUAUAUCAAUCACUUGGGGAACCCACCCUCAAAGGCUAGCUAUUAAGGGGGGAAACAAAACACUUAAAUAAUUCACUGGACAUCCCAUACUACUCAAUGAGGGACUUAGGCAACCAUAACACCCAAGUUCCCAUCAACAUCCUUAAGGAGCAUAUGGAUUAUCAUGAUUUGUAUAAUUUCUAGCGAUGUUAUUGAGAUUCAAUAUACACAAAGUACCUAAUGUAGAGAUUUGACAACAUGCAUGGAAUGUUCAUACCAAUGGAUGGUAUAAACUAAGGGGAAUGAGGAAGUCAUAAUGACUGGUCCCAAAUUUGGUCCAAUCAACCUCUCCUCCCUAAUAUUAGAAGGAUAGUGCUGAAAGAAAAAAAGGAAACAGAAUUUACCAGAUUGCUUUUUCUUAAAUAAUUUGCGCUGCCGCUCUAUCGCCUCCUUUGUUUCUACUAGUUGUUUCUGGGGAAAAAACAAAGAAUGAAAAGGAAAAGGAAUUCUUGGCAUCACUAAUGAACACUAUCAAGAUAGGCAAGGUUUAAAUUGCAAAAAACUAACAAACAGAAGCUAUGGUGAAAUUGACAUUAUAUACCCGGUGCUAUAGCUAAAAGAUACUGAGAAGGAAAACACUUGACACUCCAAAAACAAUAUCCUAUAAUUUUAUUCACUCAAGUGAAGCAAAAGAAUUCAGAUUUGGUAGUAUUUAUAAUAUAAGGAUAGUAAAAACUUUGUAAUUUCACUGCACAAUUGAACAUGAAAGUAUCUUCAGAUAAUGACAAUUUAAUUGAAUAUGAAAUGUUCAAUCAGAAACAAUCAAUUUUAAUGAUAUUGAUCACAGAAAAUUAGGAAAGAAUCAGAAUCCUAAGAAUCUGUUAUAAUAAUUCCUAAAUCAGAAAAUCUCACAAUAAAUCCUAGUUGAAUCUGAUAAACUAAUCACAAUCAUUAAUAAUCUCCAGUACAAAAAUUAAAAAGAAAAGUCAUGAAGAAGGAGAAAGGAAAUGGGACAUACAAGCUGGGCAUUCAGAUCCUUUAAAGCUUGACCAUCUUCCCAGGUCUCAGAUAUUACAGUUCCAGCUCUACAAUUCAUUAUUUUAACUAAUAAGAAACUUAGUAAGAAAAGAUAAUGUGAAAUAUAAUUUCUCAGUUUCAUUUCUGUAUUUCGGUUGCCAGAAUAUGAAUGUCUCUAGUUUAGGGUAAAUAUAUGUAUAUGUAUAAAUUAUUAACUUUUAUUUUUAAAAUUCACAAUAGCAAAGCAGUUUUGGUGUCAGCUGCUCCACACUGCUAUCCGGGAUUGAUAAUUAUGUAAUUUCUUAAAAUGCUCCAUGCAUACCUGAUUACACCAACAUUUCCAAGUCUCAACGAGUCUUGUCGUACUUUCAGCCUUGCUUCUUGUCUUUCAGCCUUUGAAACGGAUAUCAGCAAGUCAGAUAUUAUUUUCAUUCUCUGCAAAAUAGAAAGAUCAGAUGUGAAUAUGCUGCCUAAUUGAUGCAUGAUACAGAGAAUGCUAAUUAACUAUUUAGUUGGGGGGAGGUAAUGGGGAUUUAACUCCUGUAAAGUGAGUAAAGGUUAAGAAAGUAAUCUUGCUCAUUGAGAAAAUAAUUGUUUAAUAUUCCAACACAUGCAUGAUUUACUAUACAUGUGCACUUCAUAUCAACUGGUGAUUUUCUCAUCAAUGAUUGAUAUUACUUAAUGCUUACUAUACUCUCUAAAGUGAAUAGCUUUUAGAGGAGCCUCCCAUUUAUUGUAUAACAGCAAGGAGCUGUCUAAGAUUUCUAGUUCACUUUUACAUACAGAAUUCAAACAAACAAGAUUUAGUGUCUGCAUUCAGUUUCAUGCACCGUAAGGACAGCCAGUGCUCAUUGUUUAAAUAAAAGUACAUAAUUAGUGAUGAAGUGUUUCGAUAGACUCAAGAAGCUGAGAAUAUCACACCUUAGGCUUCAUUUGUUGUUCAUGAUCAGUCAUCUCCUUCAGUUCCUGCAUGUGCCAAAAAAUCAAGCAACAAUAUUAUAAGAACAAAAAAUCAACACAUCAAUUCAAUAAUUCUCAAUUCUCUAUAAUUUAAAAUAUAUUUUGCAAUUCAGUAUAUAUUCCUUGUUAUUUUGUCCCCAAAAUUGGGAGUACUUUCAUUAGUCAAUGUUAUCAAAAAUCAUGAAAUUUGCAAAUAGAAUCACACGAUUUGGUCCUUUUCACUAGCAUCUAGUAUUUUUCAGGCCACAACAGCCAUGGUUUAUAUCUGUGUGGCCAAAACGGUAAAAGAUAUGAAAAUUUUAAACUUUGUACCUUCUUCAGAAACGUGAAUAUUAAAAAAACUAUAUCUGAGACUUUAUGGUACUAUUACAAAAUGCAAUUGCACAGAAGAUUUAACUGUGUUUUGGUUUGGCAGUGAGAUUGCAACAGAGCAGUUCAAAUCUGCUAGACCCAAACAGAAAAUACACAAAUUUGAAAUCAAAACACUUUUUUUCAAAGAACAACAAAUAAGGUAGAAUUUAUUAAACAUGACAGGAAGACCUUUCUUGGAUCCAAAAACAAGAAUGGUGACAUAAUAGCAAUUGCCCAGCUUUACCUCCUAGUGGAAAUGUAUCAUGAAUCAAUUUUUUAUAUUCAAGUCUGGACUCUAUCUUUGAAUUUGAAAUUUAUGUAAGACAUGAUUAGUUGUUAUUGUUAUAACAAAUUAAGUGCCAUGUUUGGUAUUAAAAUAGUUAAAUUUGGAUUAAAAUCAUAUGUUAAUCCAUUGAGGUAUGCCUCUUUGAAACUAUUUUUCAAUUCGUGAUAAUAUCUUACAAUUAUUUGAUACAAUUCAAGAUUCAGACAUCAUCCAUCUAAUUGUGACAUGACUAUGUCAUCCAUAUACCUGUUCUAACUGUUGAGUAAGAUUCUGAUAAUCAACUGCUUCUUGCUUUGAUUUACGCAAUUCCUCCUCCAAAGCAACAACUUUAGCUUGUAAAGAUGCAACUUCAUCCUAAUUUAAGACAGAGAUGAAAUAAAAUGAGAUAAAGUUUGAAAAUUACAAGCUUGUGAUACCUCAAUAAACAACAAUGGAGUUAAAGUAUCAUCAAUGUCCUUGGAUAUGGCGGAAGGAGGUAGAACUGAAAGAAGUCAUACCAAACUCCUAUUUAUUUUCAUAUAAAGCCACACAUUUUACAAGUGGAAUUAGGCAAAAGCCAUACCUCUAAUGAAACACAAUUAUCACUAUGAAACUGAUCACUGGGUUUGCCACCCUGCAAAUAAAUACAAGCUCUAUAGGGUACAAUCAAGGAGUACAAAAUAAAUUAUUAACGAGUAAAAUUAAUUGCUUAAGCAAUAUGACAUUCCUAAACUUAUGAAUCUUCCAUUCGUAGGGAUCAGAAAAGAUUCUAAUUUGUAUAACAACAGGUAAAAAGACGCAACCAGACAACAAUAUCAAAUAACCAUUGCAGAAUAGAGAAGACAGAGUGGUUUAUAAGACAUUACACUGAUAUUUAGUAACCAUUGAAAAAACAAGCAAAAAAAAGGGCACCCAAAACCAAUGCAAUCAAAUUUCCUUUCAGCUACAGACUAUAGAUGAUAUAAUCAAUCCUUACUGCUGAAAUCCUUUCAGCCAAGAAGUUUAAACUUCAGAACUCCAUUAAUAUCAGUUAAAGAAGACCAGGUGUGCAACUAUGCUUCCAAUCAUGUAUAGACAACAGACAGGAUCACAAUAAUAAGACCAGUUUAGAAAAACACAAUAGGGACAAUUGAAAAAUUACAAUUACAGAAACAAAUAUUUCAUGGGAAUGAGCAUACUUUAUGGUAUACAUUGUCGAUCUGACCAUUUGAAGCCAAAACAGUUGGAGGAGAAAUUAGUAUUUUGGUCUGAUCAUUAACUCUGGAACCCCGGCCUCUACCCGAACCAGAACUCCCUCUUCCACGACCAUGUUUCUUUCUAUUCAUUUCAACAUGCAUUUUUGUCUCCACAGAAUCCAAACUAGUUUGCCUUCCAUCAGUAACAACCUAAUAUGUAAAUUAUUUUCAGUUGGAUUAGAAAUCACAAGAUGACCAGUUUCUGAGACAAAAUGUACACAUUUUACCCGUGGUUGUUAAAGUCAUCAAAUACUAGAUACAGAAGAUGAUGAGAACAAUAAAUUUAUAAAGGAUGCAACUUAUCCAGUAAGUAGCUGUAUUUCAACAACAGAUGCAGUUAUUGUAUAAAAUCAAAGAGUGUAUCAAGUCAUAAAAACCAACCUCAACACGUUCAAAAACACUGGCGUUGCCAUCUUCUUGAAGUUUUUGGCGCUUCUGUGUGUUGGCUUGUAUCAAGAAUGCCCCGCCAUUCUGGAACAGAAAUACGAAGAUACCAACAAUCUAAUCAGUCAAGUUAUCAGAGAAACAUGUUUCCUUACAUCUACCGGUUCAACGAGAUAGAAACAGCGGCAAUGAACACAAAACAUACCACCUACAUUUAUUAUAUCCUAAACCAUAGAUAAAUACCCAAGCAAUAAACCUCCAAAAUAAACAAAAAAAAACUACAAAUAUUAACAUUGAAAAUCCCUGGUACCACAAGAACAAAGCCAAAACCUAAAAACAAACGUCCCGCUAAAUGAAGUCAAAGUACCAAACCCAUGCACUGUAUAAGGAUAAAACUUACAUCAUCAUCAGAAUCACUUGAAGUUGACGGUUCAGCCGAAUUUUCAGCAGCUCGACCAAAUUUCCCAGCAGAAGGAACAGACACAGUGGACCAACCUGGUUGCUGAGCAGAAGUUGAGGAACCCUUGCCAACCAUACGAGCUUCCAACUUCGCAAUUUUUGUAGGCAGGGAAUGAUCGGAUUGGUUUGAAGAGUUGGACGAGAAAUGAAUGAGCAUGUCAUCUGACAUUGUUGCUGCAACUACAAACUGUUUGGAAACAAAGAAAAAAAAAACGUCUCAAUUCAAAAUAAACCAGCAAUCUAGAAAAUUCAACCGAUUUAGGGGGAAAAUGGCUUUUAAAUGUGGAAAAGGAAAAUGGUGAAUAGAACUAGGCCAUACCCAUUCGUGAUUAAAGAUGCCAAUUUUCCAUAGACCCCCACGUGAAAGAAUUGGGGUUUAUGAAAAGGGAAAACGGCAGAAAAGUUGAAGAAAUCAGGUAAUCAGAGAACUGAUACGGCGAUGUGAUUGAAAGAAAAAAAAAAUGAAACUUUGGGAAAUUUUGAGUAUCUUUUGCCUUUUGGUUGAAGAACUCAGAGAAUUAAGCCAAAUAGAGAAUCUAGGGUUUUGAUGUUUGGUAAAGGGGUGAAGGAAUCAAAAGAUUGAGAGGGAAGAAUGAACACUGGGGAAGUGAAUGAAAAAGGCAUGACUGCAAAUAACAGGCGACAGUAGAGAGUAAAUUCAGUGACUUUAUCUCAGGAACUGCAUCAUGCAAUUGAGAUACUAUGAGCCAUUUGAUUUAAUAAAUGCUUCAGAUUUUGCCAUGUGUCCUUGGAUAUUUUUUAAUCACCAUUACUUUCCUUGUAUCUUCUCUGAGAAAUUCAACUUUUUUUUCAUUUGAGAAAUGUAAUAGUUAAUUAAUUGCAUUGUGUUUACCUCAAAUGCAAAUUCAAAUGUACCUGAUGUCUUGGUGAUUGUUUUGUCGGUAUGGAGAUGUUCAGGUGCAUUGACCGUUACAUGUAUUUAAAUGACAAGUGGCAAAAUCUGAAGCAUGUAUAAAAUCAAACGGUUGACAAUGUCUCAACUGCACAGUACAGUUCUUGGGUUAAAGACACUGAACCACUCCUGCUUAGAGUAACAAAUAAUGUUUUUUUUUCUGAGAGAAUGUGGGUUGUUUGAAUUUGUUUUGGGCUGUUUUUAUUGAAAGAAGUUGCUGUGGGUGUAAAUGUAUGACAUGAGAAUAGUAGCAGAGAAGUUAAAAUGGACCAGAACUAAAAAAUGUUGCACAUGUAGGUGCAGAGUGUGUUUGAAUGUGAUGUGAGUGCUUCUUAAAUCUGGUGAGGUAUUAUUGUGAACAAUGAUGGCAGUUUGUUCUUACCUAUUUUAUUCAUAUAUGAUAAUGGUGUUUUAAAUUCAAAAUUUUGUGAGGAUCCUAUGUAUUUAUAGGGAAUAAAUAGGUACACUUAAUUAAGUAAGAAGAUUUAGGACUUAGAUUGGGGGAAGUUCAAGAUCUUUAUUUGGAUAAGAUCUCUUCACAUCAAAAUUUGUGAAAAUAACUUUUGGUUGAUAAAUUGAAAGAUUAAAUAAAAUAUACUUGUUCUCCUCAAAGGUUCAAAGUAAAUGUACAAAUUGUGCAGGUUAGUUUAUUUUUUUCUUAAAGAGUGGAGUUUUGAUAAUCUAUAAAAGAUUAUUUUACGUUUAAGUCAAUAAAAAUUUAGAAAUAGGUUAAGGGAUGAGUGAAUAAAAAAAUAUUCAGUUGUUGAAAUCAGUACUCUGAUAUUAAAUUUAUAAGCUUUUGGAUCCACUAAAAUAUUGAGAUAACUUAUAUCUAAUAUCGAAUAUAGAGUUAAUUUACACUAAAAUUAGUUAUUUAAGAUAUUUACAAGAUGUGCAUAUAAUGUACAUUAGUACAAUGCUUAAUCACAAGUUUAUUAUGGGCUAAAAUGAUGUUAUGAAAAUAUAACAAAUAAAAGUGUUAAUGUCUCAAAUUCAGGAUAAUGUCUUAGAUAGGAAAGGCAAAUUACACAAUAAAUAUUUUAUUCUUAUUUUAUCUAUACUUGUAUAUAGGAUCAUAAGCUGAUUCUGUCGUUUUUUUGGAAGAUAUCAUUGAUAAUGAUUUUAAGGUUGAGUUGAUCUCAAUGUAUCAAGUUAAACUAUCUUAUCAAAAAAAACUUCAUAAAAAGAUCGAUUAAGUAUCAUGAUUACUUAUUUAUUGAUGGUAAUUAAGUAUUAUGAUAUCAUGUGUUUAUGUGAACUUUGCUACCAAUGACUUGAGAUGUAAUAUAAACCUAAAUCAUACGCCAUAAUGAAUAAAAUAAAAAGGACAAAGUAUUUUAUAUGUGAUAUUAUAUUUAUGUAAAGGACAAAGUAUUUUUUUAUAUGUGAUAUUAUAUUUAUGUAAAAUUGACUUUGUAAACUUAUAUUAGUUAUAAUUUAUUAUUUGAUUAUAAGGAAUGUGUUCAUAAAAGAAUCAUCAUGAAAUACUCUCAACUUGCAUAGAUUUAUUGUGUGGUACUUAUAAUCUAAAAUAACAAUUAAGCAUCGUCAUAAAAUACUCUCAACUUGCAUAGAUUUAUUUUGUGGUACUUAUAAUCUAAAAUAACAAUUAAGCAUACAUUUUGUUUGAAGUAAUUUAUCGGAUAGUUUCAACAACAAUGAGACACAAGUUAAACUCGUAUAAAUGAUUGACACCACAUUGAGAUAAUGGAUUUGAGUCAUAUUCUUUAUAUGUUGUUUAACUUACUUAAUUCUACAUAAUAUGAGACUUGGACUCACUUUAAUUCUCAAGAAUCUCCUCCUCAAGUGUGAGUUGCUUUCAUAUUGGACACUUUCCUCAAGCAUAAUAAUUUAUAGCAACGAGUACCUUUGUUUGGUCUUUCGAGGGAGAUUAAUAGAAGAGAUUCAACAACAAUGAGAUAUGAGUCAAAUCUAUAUAAGGGAUUGACACCAACUCCAACCCUAAAUUACCAGAUAAUGGAUAUUUAUAGGUCUUCUUUUUUAUAUGUUGUUCAACUUUAUUAUUUAUAUGUAAUGCGGAACCUAAACUCACACUUGGAUUUUUAAUAAUUUUCCUAUUGGGUGAGUUCCUUCCAUAUUGAUACACUUCCCUCAAGCGAAAACAUUUAUAACCAUGAGUACCUCAAUGAUGAUCCUUACUUGUAUUGUCAUUCAUCAUAACGAGACAAAUUUGCUUAAAAGUUUCGUGAGGAAAACUUUCAAUACAAGGACCAUCAUUCGCUCUAAUACCAUUGUUGGGUCUUUCAAGGGAGAAUUUACCAGUGAGAUUCAACAACAAUAAGACAUAAGUCAAACUCAUAUAAAGGAUUUAACAUCAUCUCCAACCAAAAACUUCAAAAUAGUGAAUAGAUUUUCAAAUAACUUACUCAUGUUUAUUGGAUUUUUAAGAUAUUUGAUAAUUAUUGUUCAAUUAUUUUAAAACACAAUACAUAUUUGUAGGACCAAAAUUCAUGUCAAUGUUUUCUACCUCACAAAAAAAAGUAAAAAAUAAUAUAAAAUAUAGUUCAUGUAAAAAUAAUUUGAUGAUAUGCAACAAUCUUAAUUGGAUCACUUAAGUAAAUUAAGUAAAAAAUAAUACAGUUCAUGUAAAGACAAUUUGAUGAUGUGCAAUAAUUAAUUAGAUCACUUAAGUAAAUUAAAGUUACGCACAUAACCCAUUUUUAUUUAAAUUAAUUUGAUUUGUUCAUCGGUUGAACUAUAUAUAUAUAUAUAUAUAUAUAUAUAUAUAUAUAUAUAUANNNNNNNNNNNNNNNNNNNNNNNNNNNNNNNNNNNNNNNNNNNNNNNNNNNNNNNNNNNNNNNNNNNNNNNNNNNNNNNNNNNNNNNNNNNNNNNNNNNNNNNNNNNNNNNNNNNNNNNNNNNNNNNNNNNNNNNNNNNNNNNNNNNNNNNNNNNNNNNNNNNNNNNNNNNNNNNNNNNNNNNNNNNNNNNNNNNNNNNNNNNNNNNNNNNNNNNNNNNNNNNNNNNNNNNNNNNNNNNNNNNNNNNNNNNNNNNNNNNNNNNNNNNNNNNNNNNNNNNNNNNNNNNNNNNNNNNNNNNNNNNNNNNNNNNNNNNNNNNNNNNNNNNNNNNNNNNNNNNNNNNNNNNNNNNNNNNNNNNNNNNNNNNNNNNNNNNNNNNNNNNNNNNNNNNNNNNNNNNNNNNNNNNNNNNNNNNNNNNNNNNNNNNNNNNNNNNNNNNNNNNNNNNNNNNNNNNNNNNNNNNNNNNNNNNNNNNNNNNNNNNNNNNNNNNNNNNNNNNNNNNNNNNNNNNNNNNNNNNNNNNNNNNNNNNNNNNNNNNNNNNNNNNNNNNNNNNNNNNNNNNNNNNNNNNNNNNNNNNNNNNNNNNNNNNNNNNNNNNNNNNNNNNNNNNNNNNNNNNNNNNNNNNNNNNNNNNNNNNNNNNNNNNNNNNNNNNNNNNNNNNNNNNNNNNNNNNNNNNNNNNNNNNNNNNNNNNNNNNNNNNNNNNNNNNNNNNNNNNNNNNNNNNNNNNNNNNNNNNNNNNNNNNNNNNNNNNNNNNNNNNNNNNNNNNNNNNNNNNNNNNNNNNNNNNNNNNNNNNNNNNNNNNNNNNNNNNNNNNNNNNNNNNNNNNNNNNNNNNNNNNNNNNNNNNNNNNNNNNNNNNNNNNNNNNNNNNNNNNNNNNNNNNNNNNNNNNNNNNNNNNNNNNNNNNNNNNNNNNNNNNNNNNNNNNNNNNNNNNNNNNNNNNNNNNNNNNNNNNNNNNNNNNNNNNNNNNNNNNNNNNNNNNNNNNNNNNNNNNNNNNNNNNNNNNNNNNNNNNNNNNNNNNNNNNNNNNNNNNNNNNNNNNNNNNNNNNNNNNNNNNNNNNNNNNNNNNNNNNNNNNNNNNNNNNNNNNNNNNNNNNNNNNNNNNNNNNNNNNNNNNNNNNNNNNNNNNNNNNNNNNNNNNNNNNNNNNNNNNNNNNNNNNNNNNNNNNNNNNNNNNNNNNNNNNNNNNNNNNNNNNNNNNNNNNNNNNNNNNNNNNNNNNNNNNNNNNNNNNNNNNNNNNNNNNNNNNNNNNNNNNNNNNNNNNNNNNNNNNNNNNNNNNNNNNNNNNNNNNNNNNNNNNNNNNNNNNNNNNNNNNNNNNNNNNNNNNNNNNNNNNNNNNNNNNNNNNNNNNNNNNNNNNNNNNNNNNNNNNNNNNNNNNNNNNNNNNNNNNNNNNNNNNNNNNNNNNNNNNNNNNNNNNNNNNNNNNNNNNNNNNNNNNNNNNNNNNNNNNNNNNNNNNNNNNNNNNNNNNNNNNNNNNNNNNNNNNNNNNNNNNNNNNNNNNNNNNNNNNNNNNNNNNNNNNNNNNNNNNNNNNNNNNNNNNNNNNNNNNNNNNNNNNNNNNNNNNNNNNNNNNNNNNNNNNNNNNNNNNNNNNNNNNNNNNNNNNNNNNNNNNNNNNNNNNNNNNNNNNNNNNNNNNNNNNNNNNNNNNNNNNNNNNNNNNNNNNNNNNNNNNNNNNNNNNNNNNNNNNNNNNNNNNNNNNNNNNNNNNNNNNNNNNNNNNNNNNNNNNNNNNNNNNNNNNNNNNNNNNNNNNNNNNNNNNNNNNNNNNNNNNNNNNNNNNNNNNNNNNNNNNNNNNNNNNNNNNNNNNNNNNNNNNNNNNNNNNNNNNNNNNNNNNNNNNNNNNNNNNNNNNNNNNNNNNNNNNNNNNNNNNNNNNNNNNNNNNNNNNNNNNNNNNNNNNNNNNNNNNNNNNNNNNNNNNNNNNNNNNNNNNNNNNNNNNNNNNNNNNNNNNNNNNNNNNNNNNNNNNNNNNNNNNNNNNNNNNNNNNNNNNNNNNNNNNNNNNNNNNNNNNNNNNNNNNNNNNNNNNNNNNNNNNNNNNNNNNNNNNNNNNNNNNNNNNNNNNNNNNNNNNNNNNNNNNNNNNNNNNNNNNNNNNNNNNNNNNNNNNNNNNNNNNNNNNNNNNNNNNNNNNNNNNNNNNNNNNNNNNNNNNNNNNNNNNNNNNNNNNNNNNNNNNNNNNNNNNNNNNNNNNNNNNNNNNNNNNNNNNNNNNNNNNNNNNNNNNNNNNNNNNNNNNNNNNNNNNNNNNNNNNNNNNNNNNNNNNNNNNNNNNNNNNNNNNNNNNNNNNNNNNNNNNNNNNNNNNNNNNNNNNNNNNNNNNNNNNNNNNNNNNNNNNNNNNNNNNNNNNNNNNNNNNNNNNNNNNNNNNNNNNNNNNNNNNNNNNNNNNNNNNNNNNNNNNNNNNNNNNNNNNNNNNNNNNNNNNNNNNNNNNNNNNNNNNNNNNNNNNNNNNNNNNNNNNNNNNNNNNNNNNNNNNNNNNNNNNNNNNNNNNNNNNNNNNNNNNNNNNNNNNNUAAGAAAAUUUUAACAUAAAAGAAACUAGUUUAGUUAUAAUUUUCAAGUUAAAUUAUAGUUCAUAUUAUAAAGUAUUUUGAAUGGAUAUGCUUGCAUACUUAUAACAUUUUAAAUAAAAUAAAAAGUAUAAUUUAUUAAAAUAAUCUGGUUUUCAAGAACUUUAUUGUUGUUACAUGCACUUAAUAAUGAGUUUGUGUGGUGCUUUCGUGAGAAUAAUGAAACUUAAACUUAAACUUUAUUUGUAACACGUACUAUUUAAAUGAUAUUUUGAGCAUAAUAAGAAGAUAGCAAAUAUUUUUUUCUAUGAUUAUUUUAAGAAUAAAAAAUAGUUAUAGGAUUUAAUAAUAGUUAUAUUUCUUUUAUUAUUAAACACACUAUUUAUCUAAUGAGAUAUAUCGGCGAUUUAGUUUUAAAUUUCAUUUCUUUCCAGACAUUAUAUUAAUGUAUUGUUGAUCUAAAAAAAAUGAUUUUAGAUCAUUUAAAAAAUUAUUAAGUUUAAAAUUUUGCAAAAUUCAAGUGAGUAUCUAGAAUGUCGUGUAAAAUUUAGUGUUCAGUAAAAUUAAUAAAUAUUCAUGUCUAUAAUAUAGAACUAAGAAAACCCUUUCUGAUUAUCAAUGUAGUUGUUAUCUCUCUAUAAAGUAAUAGUCUCUGUAAAGUAAUAGUUAUCAUGACUUUAUAAUAUAAUUCACUAGAAAAAAAUUAGUUACCGACUAAAUAAGAGAUAUUUUAAAAAUUAAAAAGAAAUAAUUUUUAAAUUAUUUGUUAUUAUUGUUAAAUAAUUUUUAAAUUGAUAUUUAAUUAACUAUCAAAGUUUUAAUUAUCAAUUAUUUAAAUUAUAAAUUUGGUAGAAAAAUAUUUGUUGUUAAUUAGAUAACAAUUUAGAAAACAUUUAACAAUAAUAGAAACUAAUUUAGAAACUAAAGGUUUUUUAAUCUUUAAAAUUGUCUAUAAUUUAGUCCCUAACAACUAAUUAUUUUGGUGUCUAAAAUUGAUUUCUAUUUCAUGAUUUUCUUGUAAUGAUUUAUAUUAGUUUUCUGAUCAUAAUACUAAAAGAAAAAUAGUUAUUUGAUGUAAGUGUUAAUAAAAUAAACACUUUUGUAUAACACAAAUUAAAAUACUAACAUUGUUUCAAUUUGUAUAGUACUGAAUAUUGAUAUGUAUAAUUGAACUAAUGACCAAACUAAAUUAAGUUUAACAAAAAUUGGUCACAAGAUCGAUUAUAAUACUAAAAUAUUGAUAUGCAUGAAAAAUUGAAAAAAAAAAUCAAAGUGUUAAAUUGGAAGUCAAUCUUGGUCUAGAUCAAGCUGAGUCGGCUUAGACAAGUUAAGUCAAGUUGUCCUGAGUCAGGUCAAGUCGAGUCAACCCGAUUAGAUCGAGUUGAGUCAACCUGAACAAGGUUGAGUCGACUGAGUUGAGUUGAUCCCACGUCAGGUCAAUCUCAUAUCAAAUUUAAUCUAAUUUAAACUGACUUAAAAAAAUCUAAAUAAAUUUGAUCUAGUUAAAAUAAUAUGAAUUUUAUAUACAACCUAUUUUAUUGGAUAUGGAUUGGAUGUGACCUUAAUUUUAAAAAAUACAAUCCAUAAUCAUAAUGAUAUGUAUAAUUCAUAAUCAUUUGUAUGAAACCUACAUUAAUUCUCGAAUUACAUGUAAAAUAAAAAAGACUAUUAAUUUGAUUUGGUUACUUGAGCACCAUAAUCAUAUAUUAUGUUUUAAAUUCUCAUUAUUUACUAAUAGAUUAACCUAGAUUUUGUUUAUUAAAUAAUUAUAUAUAAAUAGAAAAGUGUACAAGUUCUGAUUUCGAAAAUUACCUAAUAUAUUUUAAAAAUAUUUAUUUGAUUUUUUUCACAUGUUCAAUGUUUACGUAAUUUGAAAAAUGAUCUUAACACAAGGUAUAAAAUAAAUUAAAGGAUCUUGGACGUGAAAACAUGUAUGAGUUUCCUUGAACACAUCCUUUAUUAUAAAUUCAACUAAGAAGUAUGAUGACCAUAAAUUUAUGACAAAAACUUAAAUACACUCAAAAUGUCUUGAAUUAUUUAGAAAACUAAAAUAAAAAUAGAAAAAAUAUAAAAAAAUAUUCUUUGAAAAAUUGAUUUUGUUUGGGAUUAAAAUUUAUCCCAAACUCAACUCUAAAAAAAAAACAAUUAUAACCUAUACAAUAUUUUUCUAUUCAUAAAUUUUGAUUUUUUAUGAAAUUUAUAUGAUAUAAUAAAUUAUAAAAUUAAUUAAUGCAUGAAAAUUAUUAUUUAAUGUAAUUAAUUACAUUGAUUGAAAAUUAAUUGCAUUAUUAAUAGUGUGGAAUGAUAUGCAUGAUGGAUUAUGUCUUAUAAAAUAAUUGAUUAUGUCUUUUGAUAUGAUUGAUCAUCUACCUUCUUUCCACUACAACACUAGUAAUAAAUGAAAUUAAUGGAUGUAAUGGUUAUGAAUUUAAAAACUAUUAACACGAUUAAUAAAUAUAAUUAAUAAAUACAAUAGUUAUAAAUUUUAAAACGUUUUAAAGUAGUUUGUAUUUACUUUGAAUUGAAAAAAUAUAAAAAAAAUAAGAUGAAAAUUAAAUAUGACAAAAAUAUGUGAUAAAAAUAUUUUGGUACAAAUAAUUGUAAUAAUAUAUAUAUAUUAAAAUAGUUAAUGUUUUUGUUCACUCCUAUUUUAAACAAAUCUUAAUUUUCUUUUAUUUGAAAUUGAAACUUUGUAAAAUAAUGUUAAAAAAUAAAUUAAAUUUAUGUAAAAGUAUAAAUUUAUAUGAAAAAAUUAAUUAUUUUUCAAAUCAAUAUUAUGAAAUUUAUUAACAAAAUAAAUUUAAAUAUUAUUUUCAAAUUUAUAAAAUAAUUACUUAAUAGUUAUUUUUUUAAAAUAAUUCAUACUCAUUCUUCUUUAAAUUAAAUUAGGGAUAUUAUUGCAAUUUAUUAUAUUAUUUAAUUAUUUUUAAAAAAAAUCUAUUAUAUCAAUAAAAUCUAUUACAAACUUUUCACUAGUUUCUAAUUAUUAGUUUUCUUAAUAUAAACAAAUUCAUUUUCAUAUUUUUCCUUGAUUUUCUUCUUUUUCUACUCUCACUCAUGAAAAUGAAAACCUUUUCAAAAGUAAUUAAUUUUGAAAAAAAGUUUUUAUUGUGAGUUGAUACUUAAUUAAAAAAUAAUUAAAUAUAAGGAUAAAUUUUCCUUAUUCAUCAAACAAAUACAGAACUUAACAACUCAUAAUUUUAUCUUUUAUGUAAGAUCUUUAAAAGGCCAAAUUUAAAAGAUAAAGUUUAAAAAAUUGUAAUUUACUUACACUCAUUUCGACUUAAGAAAAGUUAUCUACAUAAAUGUUAAAUCUAGAUUUUCACUUACACAAUCUAAUUAAUAAUCAUAAAUUUUUAAAAUAUAUAUAUAUAUAUAUGUAUUAAUUACAGCUCAAAUUUAUACCGAAAUAAAUUACAUAAGAGUAACUUUAUCCUUCCACAAUCUUAUAAAAAAAGUUCGAACAAAAAUUAAAAUAAUUUUUUAGAGUGAAAAAAGUUAAUAGAUUAUUUUCUUUGUUUUAGAGUGCAAACAUUUAAAUUUUGUUCUCAGACACCGUCAACCAUGGUUUUUUUAAAACAUCUUUAAUUAUGUUUUUUGUUUCUUCAUUCAAUACUUUUAUAAUAACUUUAAAACAUGUUUUUAAGAUGUGUUGGAAGAAAGUAAACGAGAAAAUAAGAUGGGAGAGCAUAACAAUAAUACUGUAAUAUAUUUUAUUUUAAAAAAUGAAUUAAUUUUUUAUUAAAAAGGAAUUCUUCUGAAACCUAUUUUUGGUUUUUUAAAUGCAAACGAGACACAGAAAUUGAUGAAAAUAACACACACAUGCGUGGUCGUGUUUUUGCACAUGUCUCAAAAGUCUAUUUAAAAUAAUAAAAUUAAAAAAUAUGAAUAUUUUAGUAGGUGUAUUAUGCAAAAUAAAUGUUUUAUUGAUACAACUAAUAUUUAUAAAAAUAAUAAUUUUUAAAAAUAUUACGAUCAAAGUAUAACAACUAAAUAUGCUAAAAUAUAAAUUACACAAUAGACAUUUUACAUCGUAAUAAUAUUUUUUAAUUAUUUACAAAUUUUUAAUAAAAAAACCCUCAAAAAUACUAAAUACAUAUACACACAAGGUUGCAAAUAUUUGUUAAUUUUGUUAAAGGUUAAAUUUUACAAGAGUUUCUAAAUAAAAUAUGUUUCAUACUAAUACGUUGCUACUAAUUUAUUUAACUAAUUUUAAAUUAAUUUAAUCAGUAUAAAAAUGUUUCAUAAUUAAUGCAUCAACAUAACUUAUUAUGAGUUAUUUUUGUUUAUGAAUUAUAUAGUAAAUUUGACAAAACUGACUUAUAAGUUAAUUAGUAGUUGAAAAGCUAGCCAACUGACAAUUGAUAACUUUUAAUUUCUAAGUUUUGAGUGAAUAAAUUAAACUAAUAGAUGAUAAAUUAAUUGAUAAAUAUAAAAUAGAAAUAUAAUUAUAUGAAUUUUAUUGUAUAAAAUAAAUUUAUGUUUCUAAAAAAAUGUUAUGAUGUAGUUAUAAGAUAUAUUUCUUUAAAUAGUUAAUUUAUUGUUAAACCUUUUAAUACUUAUAUUUUUUAAAUAUAUAUGUUUGAACAAGUAAAUUUAAUUAAAUGAGUUAAUUAUUUAAUUUUUUAAAUUUAAACUAUUGUUACAUUGAACGAUUUUUCUUACAUUUUUUAUAGUGUGUAAUUUGAAUAGAACAUCAUGUAAGGACAUUUUUGUUACUUAAAUUUGUAAUAUUAAUUUUUUAAUUUAAAUAGAAUAUAAAAUUCAAAAAUCACCUAAAAAGUACUAAAAAUAAUGCAAUAGUAAUUAUUGUAUUUAUAAAAAUUAAAUAUAUAAUAAUAAGUAAAAUAAAAAUAGAGAUUAUAAGAAAAUAUAUUAAAUUAUAUAAAGUAGUAAUGGAAAAAUGAUAAGUUAACAGUUAGCUGAAAUGACUUAUAACUUGUACGGUAAAUGGUUAAUUUAGUACAAGUAUUGACAUGUUUCCUUCUAAAUACAAUAAAAAAUUCAAUUUUAUUAAUUUAUUUUUAAGUUUGUUAAUGCUUAAGGUAAUUGCAUAGGUGAUUUACCUUUAUUGAUGAUCAUGUGGGUUUAUUAAUUAAAUGGAAAAUUAAUGUCAAUAUGUAAUUGAAGUCUUUUUAUCCUUUUUUGUGUAAAUUAAUUUUUUUUAAUGAUUAUUUCAGAAAUAAUUACAUAUUAAUGUUAAAUACAUGUGAUAAUUAUUAAAUAUUAAAUACAUGUUCAAUUAUAUUAAUUAGUAAUAAUGAUAUUAAUUAGUAACGAAGUUUAAAUAAAACUAUAAUAAUUACUAAUUGUUGCAUUAAGAGAAUAAAUACAAAUUGUUGCAUUAAGAGAAUAAAUACAAAUUGUUGCAUUAAAACUAUUGUAACACCUCAAAAAUACAUCUAACUAUUAUAAUACAAGUUUUACAUAUUUUUAUAUAAACUUAGGGUUUUUCCAAAUUUCCUAAUACAUAGAGUUUAUAGAAAUACAAAUAUUUACAAUAUAAGUUUCAAAACAGCACUCUAAAGCUUUUCAGAUCCUCCAAUACAUGUAUGAUCAUCUACUCCUGUAUUAUUGCAGUUCACAACAUAACAAUAAAACAAGUGAAAAUAAAAUUUUAUAAUAUACAAUUAAUUCAAAAGAGAAAACUAAAUUACAUUGAUCAAUUUCUCAAUUAUUCAAUCUUCUUUAAAUCCCAACAUAAAAUAAUCACAUAGAUCUCACAUGGAUCUACACAUCUAGGAUAUUCAACAAACAUAAUAACAACUGACAUAUUCCAGAAUACCCGUAUUAAGUAAGUCAUACAAAAUACUAACACUUGAUCCAAAGAUUACCAGCGAAUCCAAGAGAAAGGAUAAUGGUAAGUUCAAUACAACCCAAGUCGUGCAUCUCAUAUGUCACGGUGUGCAUGAACUCUCUCAUCAGCUUCUCAUCACUUAAUAUCUUAGUCUACCAGUGAAGCUCAAAGAUCUCUGUUAUCACAUAGGCAUCAUUACUUAAUAUACAAACAAACAUCCAUUCAUACAUUAUCCAAAGUGUAUGAAUUCAAUUUCAUACCAUUUUUCAUCAUACAGUAUCAUUCAAAACGCGAUCCAUAACAUUCAAAAGUUUAUUUAACAUAAAAAACAACACUUAAAUAUUAAACCACACAAAUCUAAUAUUUCUACAAGUUUAAAUAAUACAUAAACAAACAACACAAUAUAUAAACACACAACAUCCCUGAAAGAAAAAUUGAAUAUUGGGAUCACGUCCCCUUCACAUCCAGAUCUUCCAGUCCAGGGUGUUAUUAAAAAUUAAAGUUAGAUUCUCUUACCUUAAUUACUUGUUGUCAAAGCAACUUCUAUAAUUUUAUCUCUUCAUUAUGGAUAAACUUUAAGAUUUAAGGGCCUAAUGCAAGUUAUCAAAACAUAAUAGAAAUUUAGUAUAUAGUAUAAUAAGUUGAGAUGAUUACUCUUCUCGACUGACCCCACAAAGAUUGGUGACUAAAUCUCGAGGAAAAACAGAGAAUAAAAGAUUUUUAGAACAAAAAUGAAUUUACUUCGUUUAAAAAUUUGAUCAGAUAGAAAUGUAGUCUGACUCAUCGGCUAUUACACGGUGUGGUCAAAUUUUGAAAAAUAGACGAGUUAUGGGAGAGAAAUAGAAAGUGAAAGAGAUAGGGUCGGUUUUUUUUUCUUUCAUAUUUAAGGAUUCUUACAUAAUUUUUUUUUUUAUUUUACUAAAAAUAAAAUAUGUACUUAUCACAUUGAAUCGACUAUUUUUUAUUAAUAUAUAAGAUAAUUAAUUUAUUGUACUCAACAUAUGUAGUAAGUUACUUCAAAUAGUUUUUACUUGUAGCUUAUUUAUUUUCUUAUAUUUUUUUUAUCAUUCUUUGUUUUUUUUCUUAUUUUCAAUUUGACACCGACAAUAACUUUUUACUUAUUUGUAGUAAUUGUUGAAUUGCUUUUUAUUUUUAUGCAUAUCAAGUUGAAAAAAUUAACAUUACAAACUAAGAUAAUUAAUAUUUUAUAACAUCAAUGUAAAAAUUACACACAUUGAAAAUUGUUAAAAAAAACCACUGUAACGAUAAUUUAAAUUGAGAAAUCAUUUUUUAAAAUAAAUAAAAAAUAAAUUUAAUCAGUAUUCAAUGACAUCAAUUAGCUUGAAUAAAAUUAUUGUAUAUAUUUAAAAUUAUAUAUAAAAUUUGGAAAUUAAAUUGAAGUACUUUUUUAAUAAAACAAUAUUAAAAAAAAUCUAAAUUUAUAACUACAUAAUAAUAUAUUUUUAUCUAAAAAAUAUAAAUUUUAUCUAUAUAAUAUAACAAAAAAAACUAUAGAAAGGAUAACAUUCAAUAAAAAGUUGAUGUAACAAAUUCAUAUACACCAAAAUUAAACUGGUCACAACAAAAAGAAAUAAAAACAUAAAAGGGCGGUCCACUGAUAUAGUAGAAAACUCCAUGGUGAUAUCUACACAUGUUUUCAUACGCACCACCAAACAUAGUUCCCAAAGUUUGUAUUUGAGUUUAUUUUGUACACAGUACAUUUAUAGCAUGUCAAGCACACAGACAACAAACAUGAGGACAGUUUGUAAAAAACGAACAUGAAGACACUAGAAUUUGAUAUUAUUGCAUCCACUACAAAAUUCACAAUUUGUUACAAAUCAUCAUAUGCUCAUCACAUGCACACAUAUAUUUAUUCACAUUUUUCAAAAUACUCCUAUUGAAAAAGUCAUAUUAGAGACAAACACAUUUUUCAUAUAAGCAUCUCACACUUUGCUUCAAUGGAUACGAGUUUAUAACGGGACUUGUAGCGUGCUAAAUAUGCAAUAAAUUCUCAUCCAACUUCUCGUCACCUAAUGUCUUAGUUUAUGUAACAGAUAAUUAAUGAAGCUAGUGAUCUCUUUAAUUAGAGUAUGAGCAUUAAACUAUAACUCCACUAGAGUGAAGACAACUCACAUAUUUAAGUGUAUCUGACUAAAAACUCACUAGAGUGACUUAUAUAUGAUGUCUUUGUUUCAGUGCGUUCACUUUUUGCCGAUUGAGGGUUUAGUAAAAAUGGAAGGCACUUAAACCAUUCUACUUAAUUAAGUGAUCUAUGUUCCUUACUUAGCCAAUAGCAUAUUAACAUAGAAAUGGAUGACUUGAAGGAAGUAAAACAUUAAAAAAAAAAAAUCUCAAUAAAUGCUAUUAAUGGAUUGCAUGUAUUAACAAUUUAUGAAAAUAAUAAUUAUUAAUAAAUGCUAAAAAAGGUUACUAUUAUUUUAAAAUGGUUUAUCUUCAUGACUUUUCUAAAAGUGAAGAGAAUGCAACCAUAACAAUCAUUAUUGCAAAAUGAAUUAGAUUUAUAUUUUGUUACACUACAACAAAAUGAUGAAAUAAAAAUCAAUUUUAGAAAAAAAAAUAUUUAGUUGUUAUAGUAAAUAAAUUAGAAACAAUUUUAAAGAUUAAAAAAAAGUUUAGUUUUCAAAUUAAUUUAUAUUAUUGUUAAAUGGUUUAUAAAUUGGUAUCUAAUUAGCAACUAAGGAUUUUGCUACCAAAUUUAGAAUCUAAAUAACAAUAAUAUAAACUAAUUUAGAAACCAAUUUUUUUUUAUAUAUAUGUAUACUUUUUAACAAGUUUAAAUCCUUUUAAUUAAUAACUAAUAUUGCACACUAUUAUCUAAAAUUCAUUUUCUCAUUUAAAGGAGCUAAAAUCCUUAAUCUAUACUAUAAUAGUCAUAAUAAAUAUUUAUAUUUAUAUCUUGUCGCAUGUAUAUAAAUGAGAGAAAAAAAAUCAUAAUGAUAUGUUUUUUAUUAAUUAUUUUGUUAUAAAAACAAAUUUGUUAAUUAAACAAUUGAAUAAUUUGUUUUGUUCUAUCCUUCAGAUGGAAUAUUUUUAAUAUGUUCACACGUAUGAGUAAAACUAACUGUAGUUAAUUUAGGUAAGUAUUUAAGACAAUGUACUAAACACUGUCAUGUUCUUUUAUCAAAAAGAUAAAAAAAGAAUUAUAAUAAUCUUAAAGAAUGACCAGUUUUUUUUCAAAACUAGGUGUGAGAAAUAAUUAUAUUAAUAUAAUAUAUAUAUAUAUUAUUGAAGGGAAUAGUAAAAGUAAAAGCAGAAAAUGAAUUAGAAUUAGAGUAAUUAUAGAUGAUGAGAGAGGUGUUAAGAAAAGUGUAAGAAAUUCGAUAUUUUAAUUUGCAGAGAGACAAUGAAGAGAGAAGAAGAUACAAAUUUGUCCAAGAAAGUGAGGGGUGAAAUACCGAAAGUGGGUAAACCCCCCAAAUAAAAACCAAAGACAUUUCUCCCUCUCGUCUCGAGCAAUAGGAACACAGCAAUAGCUUCUGGUGAUCUCGUUUUUUCACAGUGCUCUUCCCCCUUUUCUCUUUCUCUUUCUCUGUUUAUCUUUCUCUCUCUUCCAUUGCUACACCACAAGUAACGCAACGCGAGGUCAAUUGCGUAAUCGCCAUGACUGUCAUGACUCCUGCUCCCAUUGACGUACGUUUCUUACCCUCACUCCGCAACUUCCCCGUGCUCCUUUUCACGCCUCCAUUCACUCGCGCCUUUUCAAUUUCGCUUCUCGUUUCUCGUUUUAUCUUAUCUGCUUGCAUGAUUUUGUGCCUUUUGCUCUUCCGGCGAAUGGUGUCAAUUUGAUUGUCGUUUUGGUGGGAGGGUUGGGUUGGCGGGGACUGAUGGGGUUUCGUCCAGGGGUUGUGCUUUUGAUCUGCGCGACUGGAAUUUGCUUCAAUUUGGCGAUGCAUUUCGUGCUCGGAUUUUCGGGAUUUAAUUGGUUUUGUUUCUUCGCUGGAUCCGAAGUACGGUGAUAGUGAUUAUUUUUUGUUGGGUGUUUGGUUCUUGCAGCAGCAGGAGGAUGAGGAGAUGCUUGUCCCACACACUGAUUUGCCGGAGAAUAAUCACCAACCCAUGGAAGGUACUUGUUGCUUUCUUACUCUUUUGAUCCGUCGAGAAACCCCCGCUAUUUUUGUUACUCUAUUUAUUGGCUGUUAUGUGAUCGAUUGGUAUUCCUGUUAGAGUACAGGGAGCCACUUCGUGCAUUUUUUGAUUGCCAGAGAGACAGAGAGAGAAGGACUAAGUGACGAAUUCGUCCAAGAGUUUUAGGUUUUCUAGACAAAAAGUGAUUUCUUGUUAGUUUACAUUCUAGGGAUGUUGUGUAUUUUCAAUGUCUUUCUUUCUCCUCGUCUUACUCUUUUUUUUUUGAACAAGUGGAUGGCCUAGUUCAUUUUUUGUUUCUUGCCCUGGUUUCAGCAUUUAAAGCAGAUACUUAGUUGUUCUUUUUCAUUGAUUUUAUUGAUCGUUAGUUGUGGCACAACCUGAUGCUGCCAACACUGUGGAGAGCCAGCCUGUCGAGGAUCCUUCAUCGACAAGAUUCACAUGGAAAAUUGACAACUUUUCUAGAAUGAAUUCGAAGAAGCUCUAUUCAGAAAUAUUUGUUGUUGGUGGAUAUAAAUGGUAACGACAAUCGUGUUUUCACAUUGGCUUAGUUGAUUAAUGAUGUGCUUAUCUUUAAUGAUCUCUUCUGAUUCUUGUCUUUACUGAGCAGGCGUGUACUUAUUUUCCCAAAAGGGAACAAUGUGGACUAUUUGUCCAUGUAUUUGGAUGUUGCAGAUUCAUCUAAUUUGCCCUAUGGCUGGAGUAGAUACGCACAGUUUAGCUUGGCUGUUAUUAAUCAAAUCCAUAAUAAAUAUUCUGUCAGAAAAGGUAGUCUCUUAAGUUUGUUCCUUGCAAUUGUUAUUGUUACAAGAUGAUGUAAUAUGUAUGUAUGUAGAAAAGAUCAUUGCUUGAACUAAAGUUAUAGAAAGUGGUGGGAUUUUUGUUGCAAUUAAUUUAAGAACAGUUUAUACAUGUGUGUGUAUUUAUUUCCUUGUAGAAUUGUAUCUAAAUCUAGAUAUAUUAUAUUACCUCUUGAAUGAACUGUCAUCAUUAACAUGCUAAAUAAAACAAGGCUUUUGCAAAUGAAUGCUCUAAUGGUACUGGUUAUUGGUUAAGAAAUAAAUGGUAAGUAUUUAUUAUUUAGUGCAUGUAAUGUGUUGGGAAUUUAAAGUGUUUGACCUUUUAUUUAAUAAUUUGUUAUUUUUUUUAAUUUACCAUGGAAUAAAAGUAAUAAGGGAAGAAAGUGAAAAUGCUCAUGGUUUUUGGGUAUACUUAUUUCGUAUGUCGUGUUCUAACUUUGUUUUACAUGAUAUAGACACACAACACCAAUUCAAUGCGCGAGAAAGUGAUUGGGGUUUCACGUCCUUUAUGCCACUUGGUGAAUUGUAUGAUCCUACCAGAGGGUAUCUUGUGAAUGACACUCUUGUAGUUGAAGCCGAGGUUCUUGUCCGUAGAAUUGUUGAUUACUGGACUUAUGAUUCAAAAAAAGAGACUGGCUAUGUUGGACUUAAGAACCAGGGUGCUACAUGUUAUAUGAAUUCUCUACUCCAAACUUUAUAUCACAUUCCUUAUUUUCGAAAGGUCAGGCCCUAUUUUUCUUUUCUUUUCUCUUGUAAGUUUAGUUGUUUGACUUGAUAGUGAUGACGAAGUUGGGACUUGGGUCCUGGUGGUCAUAUUUCAGGCUGUGUAUCACAUGCCAACAACAGAGAAUGACAUGCCCUCUGCAAGCAUCCCUUUGGCAUUGCAAAGUUUAUUCUACAAGCUCCAGUAUAGUGACACCAGUGUUGCAACAAAGGAGCUCACUAAAUCUUUUGGAUGGGACACGUAUGAUUCUUUCAUGCAGCAUGAUGUUCAAGAACUGAACAGAGUCCUUUCUGAAAAACUUGAAGACAAAAUGAAGGUAAUGGAUGGCAUUUGGAUGUUUUGUCAACAACUUUUUGUGGAUUAUUCUCUCAAAUUCAUGAUGAUUAUGUUUAUUUUGUCAUUAGGGAACUGUUGUUGAGGGAACUAUACAGAAGUUAUUUGAAGGACAUCAUAUGAACUAUAUUGAAUGCAUUAAUGUGGACUAUAAAUCAACUAGAAAGGAGUCGUUUUAUGGUACUUCCGUGUUCAUUUUGAAGUUAAUUAUUUGUUUAAUUGUACCAUGCCACUUGAUUCUAAUUUAGGUUUACAUAUGCUUGCAGAUCUUCAGCUUGAUGUGAAAGGCUGUCCUGACGUAUAUGCUUCCUUUGACAAAUAUGUUGAAGUUGAACGUCUUGAAGGGGACAACAAAUAUCAUGCCGAACAAUAUGGCUUGCAGGUUGGUUGCAAUCGUUAAUUUCUGAGUCUGGUUGUAAUAAAUCAUCUGUAGAAGUUCUAAAUCUUUAGUUCUUAUAUUUUGACUUAACAAAAUUAAUUUUUGUUUUCAAAUUUUAAGUUCUGAACUGAAUCCUUUUAGUUUUUUAUAGUUACUGUCUGAAUGCACUCAAACAUACAAGUUUUCAAUAUAGUUUCAUAUAUAAACUGACAAUUUUUCAUUUUUUUUUCAGGAUGCUAAGAAGGGUGUCCUAUUUAUUGAUUUCCCUCCUGUUCUUCAGCUUCAGCUGAAAAGAUUUGAAUAUGACUUUAUGCGGGAUACCAUGGUAAAGGUUGGUAGUCAAACAGACUCUGCUCUAUAGGAUAUUUUUUUUCUCUAGGUGCUUUAUUUGCUGCCAUUUGAUUUAGUUCGCGUUCAGUCAGAGUAAGGUUCAAACAAUUUCCUGUAGCUCAACUAUUAAUGCCAAUUGAAGAUUAUUUCGAUUAAAUUAAUUCCUUAUGCUGGACUAUCUACUGUGAUAUCCUUCUUCAUUUGUGGUAUGUAUUCAUCUACAAUACUGUUACUUCAUGCAAGAAAGUGAUUCAGCACAUCUUGUGUGGGACAAUAGUGCCCCAAGAUGUUGAAAAUAAUGAAGAAUUUCUGCAAGCAUUUUUCUUAAUACCUUUUUGAAAUGUAAACUGCUAUUUUGCUUUUCUUUGCUCUGGGUGGGAAAUCUUUUGGUUGGUUCUUUUGUUUGCAUGUGUAUAUCCAUGUAUUUAAAAUUUGUGUACCUCAUUUGAAACAAUCACCUGAAGGAAUAUUUUCUGCUAGAGGGAUCAUGGGCAUUACUUAGUUUACGUUUUUGUCCAUAGGUUCUCAUUUGAUGGAAUGGUUAAACUCUCUUUUCAAUAAAUGGAAGUUUAAUUUUUUUUCUUCUUCCAUGUAGAUUAAUGACCGUUAUGAGUUUCCCAUGCAACUCGACCUUGAUCGUGAGAAUGGAAAAUAUUUAUCACCCGAGGCUGAUAGGAAUGUCCGCAAUCUUUACACACUUCAUAGGUAAUGUUGUGGUAAUUGCAGCAGUAUUUGUUGCCAGACUACAUGGUUUUUUUUUGGGACUGGUCUUCUAGUGAUUUUUUUGAAUCUUUUCAUGACUUAUUUAUUACUUGUGCUUGUUUCAUGAUAUUUUAUUUUGUUGUUUGUGAUUGGUGCAUGGUGCGUGUUUUAUCAUAGGUAAUGUUGUGGUAAUGGCAGCAUUAUAUAUUUUAUCGUAAUUUUACCCAUAUACUUGAGUCAAGUACAAUCAAUCAAUGACUUCUACAAUCUAAAGAAAGAAAAAAAAAAUGAUUAAGUAAAAUAAGGAGAAAAUGCUGUGAGGAUAGAGGAUAAAAAGAACAAAUUUUUUUAUCUUGGGGUUCACUGUCUAAAGCUUUCUGAAUUUUCCAAAUAAAGUGGGGCAUUGAAUUUUUAAAUCAUCUUGGAACAAUACAAUUUGUAUCGUUAAUAUUAAAAUUUAAUAAAGUCCAUCAAAUUUGUAAUUUUUCUUUCUCAAUGCUGAUGAUUUCCAUUACUGUGAAAUUACAACUUUUUCUCCAAAUGCAUAUUUUUUGACAGAUUUAAAUUUUUUCCACAGUGUUUUGGUUCACAGCGGUGGUGUACAUGGUGGACACUAUUACGCUUUUAUCCGGCCAACUCUCUCUGAGCAGUGGUAUGUAUAUACUAGAAUUACCAGGUCUGAAUUGUUCAGUGCCAUACAAGCUAGGUGCUUUUGUGCAUUUGUGAUGAUGACUACCAGGGGUCACAUUCCAACAUGCUUAAAUGUUGAUUUUGCUGCAUUCAUUGUAAUGGUUCAUAGGAUCCUACCAAAAUGCACAAUUACUGAUAAAAUAGAAUGUACAUGUGAUAAACAUGACAUAGAAGGAAAAUAUCCUGUAAAAGAUAGCAUUUAACUUAAUUUUAAAAUUCACAUUCAUAUUUUAUACUGGUAACUUUCCAUAAACUCAUACUAACCUAUGUAAUCUUUGUGUAACAUACUUUAGUUAACUUGAUAAAUACUGAUUUUUAAGUGUUCUAUUGAUAGUACCCUGUUAUUAUGAGUUACUAUAAAUACUGCAUAGGAUAUGUGAUAACUAUGUGUUUACAAAUUGUUGAUAAGUAUAUAUUAAUUUAUGAACAUGAAUACAUGGUUUUAAAAUACACAAUCUAAUUUUGUUAAUAUUUAUCUGUAGUAUAUAAUCUUAGUCAAAUUAGUGUACAUAACAUAUUUUAUAGGAUUGUUAGCAAAUAUUUUAAAACUGAAGCUAGUAUUUAAUAACCAGCUCACAUGUGAGCUAAAGCUUUACCAUCAAAGUUAAAAAAUCAAAGUCAGAACCACAAUAAAUCAAAAUAAGGAGUUUCUUUUAACAGAUAAAAUAAUAAAGUAUACAUGUUAUUGAGAUGACGUAGAUAAGGAAUAUAUUUUGUAAAUGGUAACAGUGAGUUAAACAUAAACUGAAAAUUCGAAUUCAUUGAUUUAUAUGUGUAGCCUGUAAAUGAUACCAUUAUUAGUUGUGCGAAGAGUAGGUCAUAUCUUACAUUUCAAAUGAAUGUGUUGCAAAGGUAAACAGUUGAAAUGCUGAAUCUUUUUUUUCGCACUUUUUGUUAGAUUGAUAAUUCAUAAUGGUUGUCAAUGAACUUGGAUAUAGCAUGCAAUUUUCUGAUAGUCCCUUCACCUUUUUUUGUUAUUUUGAAUUGCUUUUCUUGCUUUUUUUUACUGAGCUCUUCACUGCAUGCUUUAAUAGAAUGUAUAUGACUUAUUAGGUAUAAAUUUGAUGACGAGAGGGUAACUAAAGAAGACACUAAACGGGCAUUAGAGGAGCAAUAUGGUGGUGAGGAAGAGGUAAUUAUUUUUUCAAUUGGCUGUGAAAUUGAUCCACAUAUUUGAACAUUUACUUAUUCAUUGUUUAAACUAUUUUAACAGCUACCACAGACAAAUCCUGGGUUUAACAACACUCCUUUUAAAUUCACCAAAUAUUCAAAUGCUUAUAUGCUGGUGUAUAUACGUGAAGCUGACAAAGACAAAGUAAUAUGCAACGUGGAUGAGAAAGACAUCGCUGAACAUUUAAGGGUAAGCGAUCAUUCUUAGUUACUUUGGGCUCAAUAUAAGUCAUGCUAAACCAACAAGUUAUUUUUUGUACGUGAUAAGUUUUUUAGAAGUAUUUCAAGCCAAAAUCAAACAAAUUGUCAUUUAAAUUUCUAUUUUUUGUUGUUUCUGCUUUAUUCUGGAAAAUUUGCAUUGAAUUUCUUCAAUGGAUUAAUGCAGGAGAGGUUGAAGAAAGAACAAGAAGAAAAGGAGCACAAAAAGAAAGAAAAGGCGGAGGCUCACCUUUACACUAUUAUAAAGGUUCCUUGUUGCUAGUUUCUAACUUGCUAUUCAGAAUUUAAUACUGUUUGUGUGUGUCUGUACAUAUAUGCCGUAGGCUACCUAAUCAAAUUGUAUUUAGAUAUAACCUGAUAGCAUGUCAUACUUCUUAGGUGGCACGAGACGAAGACCUUGGAGAGCAGCUUGGAAAGGAUAUAUAUUUUGAUCUUGUAGACCAUGCCAAAGUGAGGUCUUUCCGUGUUCAAAAACAGAUUUCUUUUAACUUUUUUAAGGUAUAAUCUUUAAUUGCACUUUUAGCUCUCCUGCUAGAUGUGUUUUGACUUGGCAUAUCUUUUUCAUUUCUUGUCUUGUUUGGUCUGGUCUCUGUAGUAAAUCUCUCUUAGUCUCUGCAAAAAUUGGAAUUCAGGACAAACUACAUUUCCGACAGCAUGCCUUGUUUGUUUAUGAUUGUUUUGAGGCGGAUAUUAUAAACUGUCCAUUGACAGAAAAUUAUAUUAUUAUAAAUGCUGUUGAAUGGAAAAAUAAAUCAAAAUAGGAUUGAAAAAGGAGUAUUUUUUCAGUAGAAUUAUUUUUCUAAGAAAGGGCAACACUACAUAAUUUUUUUUUCUUUUCUUGGGAGAGGGAUUCAGUGGCAUAUGGAAAUUGCCCCUUCCUUUCACUAAAUUAUGUUCACAGUUGAUGAGUUGUCUAGAUAUCAUUUGACUGAAUAUAACCCACGUAGGAUUUGGGAUGUGGGAAUACUGAUAAUAUGUUGUAAUCCAAGUAGGAUUUAGUAUCUUAGUUUUUCUUACUACUAAAAAUUUUAUACUUGUGAUUUAUGGAACUAGAAGUUUAAUUUGUCUACUAAAGAAAAAUCAUUAGUUUUGUUGCUUCUUCUGAGAUGAUAAUUAUUUUUAGAACACUGUUAAAAUAUAAAACUUACGAUGCUUUAGCUGCAUGAAAAAUAUCGCAUAUGCAACUUUGUGAUCUUUGAUUUUCUAUUUGAAUUUGAAGAUGAUAUAAAGAAAAGCCAAAAGUGACGCUGGACACAGAUUUGAUUGAUAUGGACAUAAGCACACAAAUUUGAAAAGUCUUAAAUGAAAAAAAGAGUACAUGUCUUAAAAAUGACCUCAAGUUAUUGUUGACUAAACAGUGUUAUCUACUUAUUAUGGUAUUUUAGUUUAAUAUAGCAUAAAAGGUUAAAAAUAAUAGAAAAUGCAACUAAAAGUAUAUGAAGUGUUCAGCAUGGAUACUUAUCUAACACAGCUAUGACAUUACAACUACUAUUAAGAAGUAUCAAUGCUUUCCUAUAUGCUUGUUCAAAACACAUCCUAUUUUCAUUAGUUUGAUUUUUUUUAUCUGAUCACUGGUUGAUCCGUGUGAUAAACAGGAAGAGGUUGCUAAAGAGUUUGGCAUACCAGUCCAAUUCCAGCGCUUUUGGCUAUGGGCAAAGCGGCAAAACCAUACAUACCGUCCAAACCGACCGUUGACACUCAUGGAAGAAGCACAAUCUGUAAGUUCAUGAGCUUGAUUAAAGCUUUUCUGUAUUAUUUUGCUUAUAUACUCCCCUUCAAGCUUAAUAUGCAUUGCUUGUUGCCCCACACUUGUAUGUUGAAUGUGUUUUAUGCUUCAUGUCUAAUCAAUAUGCCUAUUUCGUAAUUGUCCUGGCUGUUUGCCUAUUUUGAAUUUUAUUUCUUGGGCUGGACUAACAGUUAAUUCUGUGUUGGCUUUGCUUUUUCAAUCAUUUCAUUUCUCCCAUGGUUGGGUAGUUUAUUUUAUUUGAUUUUAUUUCUGAAAAUGAAUAAGGAAAGCAACUGUAAACAUUUUUUAAACUAUUUUUGUGACCCUGAGGUUUGCUUUUUGUGUUGGGAGUGGUGGAUAUUCUACUGUUAUUUUUAUCUUUCUGCUUUUGGUUAAUUUCUGCCAUGUCUUUCUGUGUUAUCUGAAGUUCAAACUUUUUGUUAAUCUAAUUUGCGUUGCAGGUUGGACAAUUGAGAGAGGUAUCAAACAAGGUUCCCAAUGCAGAAUUGAAAUUGUUUUUGGAAGUGGAGCUUGGGCUGGUAACAUUUGUGUUUAUGGAAGUUGUAUUCCACUUUGAUUGCAUGAACAUGAAUAUCCAAAUUCUGUCUUUCUGACAAACUACAUCAAUCUUUAGGAUUUACGUCCCAUUGCACCACCUGACAAGACAAAGGAUGAUAUAUUACUUUUCUUCAAGUUAUAUGAUCCUGAGAAAGAGGAGCUACGGUACUGAGUAAUAUCUAUAUUUUAACGUCUGGUUGUGGUAAAACACGAGUUUUUGUUGACAUCAGAUGUAUUUCCCUCUUGUGGCAGUUAUGUUGGAAGGCUCUUUGUGAAGAAUACUGGUAAGCCAUUGGAAAUCUUGACAAAGUUAAACAAAAUGGCUGGUUAUGACCCUGAUGAAGAGAUUGGACUAUAUGAGGUUUGUUUGUCUUCUCAUUUAAUAUUUUUAGAUUGCACUUCAUCCUUGUAUGAUCUAAACACUAUAUAUUUGUUUAACAACUACACUUACUGAUGAUUGAUGAUAAUAAAGUGCAUCAUGUUCCGAGAGAAGUUUGGAUCUGAUCUCAAUGAGUGACUUUACUCGUGGCAUUUGUAAAUUUACUGUGCCUACUAUUAUUGUGCAGGAAAUUAAGUUUGAGCCAAAUGUUAUGUGUGAACCUAUUGAUAAGAAAUUGACAUUUCGAGCUAGCCAGGUAAAUUAUAAACACCAUUGGAGCACUUCGUGCUACUAUUGUUGAUUUGUUCAUUGAUUUGUUUUUCUAAAUUUGCAGUUAGAAGAUGGAGAUAUUAUAUGCUUUCAGAAAGCUCCUGCUAUAUACAAUGUGGAACAUGUACGCUAUCCAGAUGUGCCGUCAUACCUAGAAUAUGUGCACAACCGCCAGGUACUUUUCCUUUUUUGGUUCAAUUAAAGGCAAUAUGUAUAAAUUGAUGUGAUGCAAAAAUGAUCACCACCCAACAUUCAAUUGUAUUAUGUUUGAUUUUCUGCACCUUCCUCCUCUGUCCAUGCCUGUGCAUAUCUGUAUGUUUGUAACCAAUGUACCAUGUGUUUUUCAUUAUAUUUUUAGUGUAAGAUGUUAGCUAGUUUUUUAAUAUCCAAUUGAUGGAUUUUAGGUUGUUCACUUUCGAUCUCUUGAUAAACCCAAGGAAGAUGACUUCUGUCUGGAGAUGUAAGUAUUGUGUAAUUUAUUGGAGCAAAUCAUUAGAUCUAUUAUAUUGUAGUAGCAGAGAGAACAUUAAGUACUUGUUAUUUUUCUUGGAAUUACAUCCUUAGGAUAUGCUCUGCACAUUAAUUUCUAGGUCAAGGCUAUAUAAAUACGAUGAUGUAGUGGAGAGAGUGGCUCAACAACUAGGUUUGGAUGAUCCAUCCAUAAUCAGGCUUACUCCUCACAAUUGUUACUCUCAGCAGCCAAAACCUCAGCCGGUUAAGUAUCGGGGUGUGGAGCAUUUGUCUGAAAUGCUGGUUCACUAUAAUCAGGUAAUCAUUGACUUAAUGCACAAUCUUUCAUUUUGUUUCUUAUUUAAAAUCAAAACAUCUUAUUUCCCUUCAUGCAUGUCAGACUUCGGACAUAUUGUACUAUGAAGUACUUGACAUCCCUCUGCCAGAAUUACAAGGUUUGAAAACUCUGAAAGUUGCAUUUCACCAUGCUACCAAGGAUGAAGUGAGUAUAUAGUGAUCUGAUUUUCUUUUGGUUUUUAUCUAGAUUUUUUCUGACCCUUUUUUUAAAUUUUUAUUCAGGUGGUUAUUCAUACCACCAGACUUCCAAAGCAGAGCACUGUGGGGGAUGUCCUUGAUGAUCUGAAAACAAAGGUGAUUUUGCCUCAGUAUUGUUCAGUUCAUUAACAUGUCUAAAUUGUAUUCUUACUCACCACUGAAAUCAUAUCAUCAAUCUCCUUUAUUUUAAAAAAAUAGAUAUGUGAAGCAUGUUUACUGUUUUUGUUGAGUGCUCCAGGUUGUUAUAGAGUAGCGACUGUUUGAAUGUAAGUCUUGUGCUCAUUUAUUAUUGUUCACAGGUGGAAUUGUCCGACCCUGAAGCUGAGCUUAGGUUGCUUGAAGUUUUCUAUCACAAGAUAUACAAGGUCUUGUGUUACCUCUAUUUUAACUGAUCCUGGAUUUAUUGCUUAUUCUUUUAUAUUUUUCUGACAAAAAAAGAUGAUUCGGAAUUCAAUACAAUACUAAAUUUACAUUGACUUGUGAUCUUGCAAUUAAUUGUUACCCUGCCUCUCUGCUUGUGCAGGUUUUCCCUCCCAAUGAAAAGAUUGAAAACAUUAAUGAUCAAUACUGGACUUUACGUGCAGAGGAGGUAGUAGUCUCUUUCUGUUUGUAGUGGGCUGGGAAGGGAGGUGUUAGCUUUUAGUCCAUGAAGUGUUCAUGCUUUAAUUUACUGAAAUUAUUGCAUCAGUGGAUUUUUCUAAAUGCAUAAUCAAUUACCGUAUUCAGUUUAUGUGACAAUAUAAAUGAGUUGCUGUUCUUGUGGUUUGCAGAUUCCAGAAGAGGAGAAAAAUCUGGGUCCUCAUGAUCGCCUAAUCCAUGUGUAUCAUUUCACUAAAGAUACGGCUCAGAACCAAAUGGUAUAUAAUUGUAUUUGAUCCAUUUUGCUUAAUGCAGUUUGUAAUAUCGUAAUGGGCUUUGAUACUUCAUUCUGACUUAGUUGUAUGCCAAAUCAAUUGUAAUGUUUUUCCCAUUUGAUUUGGUAUGACAGCAAAUUCAGAACUUUGGGGAACCAUUUUUCUUGGUCAUACAUGAAGGGGAGACUUUGACAGAAAUUAAAGUUCGAAUACAAAAGAAACUUCAAGUUCCUGAUGAUGAGUUUGCAAAGGUAUUUCCUCCUUUUUUUGUGUUAUGUGUUUAUAUUUUGUUUCUUCCCUUUUGGGUAACUUUCUUUUGUUUGGUGGAAGUUUCAUUGUCCAUAAAUAUUAUUAAAUUUGAUGUUAGUCUAUCUAAUUUUUUAUUAUAUUUUUUGUUUGGCCAGUGGAAAUUUGCUUUUUUUUCUUUAGGGCGUCCUGAGUACCUUCAGGAUUCUGACAUUGUAUCCAGUCGUUUUCAGGUACAUCCAUUUAUAGGCUAAUUCCUUUUAUUUUUAGUUGUGUUAAUUCCAUUCAUUUUUUGUAACAUUUGCAUGUAUUUGAAUUAAUGUAUCUUGUGAUAUAGAGGAGAGAUGUUUAUGGUGCUUGGGAGCAGUAUCUUGGCUUGGAGCAUACUGAUAAUGCUCCAAAAAGAUCAUAUGCUGUCAACCAGGUUAGUAACCUUGUCUGCAAGAACUAAUUUCUUAAGUACAUUUUUUGUCUUUUAUUUAUUUUUGUUGAGUUUGUUCACUAUUCUGAUAAUACUGGAGUUUAGUUUUGAAGUUUAAGAAAACUGGUUUGAUUACACCAUUUCAAAUUUCUUGGGUUUUGUUUCAGAAUCGCCAUACAUUUGAGAAGCCAGUAAAGAUUUAUAAUUAGAAAACUUGGUAUUGACGAGCUCUCGUCUUGCGUGGGAUGAAUUUGGCAUUCUUCUACAUCUAUGGGCUUGUAAAAACAGGGAAACAGCAAAAGCUACUCUGUAUAGGCCAACUAGUGAGAUCAGCAAUCCAGGUGGUUUCUGCAGAUUUUAUAUUAAAAUUGUGGUAUGUAAUUCUUUCUGUCAAAAGGAGUGACAUUGCUCUCAACACUAUCUGCUGACCACAGCCCGUUGAGCUUUACUACUUCCAACUGUGGAAGUUCUUCAAGUUGAGGUCAUUGAUCAUCAUCGCUGCACUGUAUCAGUACAUAAGAUUUUUGGAUUAGUGAGUGUAUACAGGGUAUAGUUGGUUGACUUUUUUUUUGUUCAUCUUAAUUGCUUCCAGAUUUUGUUCAGUCAGUAGUUGUCAAAUUAUGUGAGAGCUGUGGAAUGGUGUAGCAGAGUUCAUGUAAUGUUGUAAAAGAGACCUGUCAGCCUCAGUAUAACCCGAUAGCAUAAAUAUAGUUUCCUGCCGCACCAUUUGGUCCAUUUCUAUUUCCUUUGGCUGUUUUACCUUUUUAUUUUCUGUUUCUUCCUGCACCUGACCCAUCUUUAGUAAGAGCUGAAUAAGCGUUAUCAUGGUAGUCUCAAUUAACUUUAGAGUAGAAGUAAUGCAUUGAUAUAUGGGUUAUUGCCACAUGUGCCUAUUCCUUCAUUUCAUAUUUUCAACUUUGUUGGACAUGAUGACAAUAGUAUAAUCUGCUUUAUAUGGCACUUUAUUAUUUUUCCAUCCAAUGCAACCAAAGAUUAAAUUUUCAUGUUGCGUAGUUAGAAACAUUUUUCUCUAAUGGUUUAUUACGGCUUUGUUUGGACUUACGGAAGACUGAAAAAGGACAGAAAGGAUGACAGACUGGAAUUGUUUGGAUAGAAAGAAAAUGAAUGGAAAAUAAGAAAGAAAUUUGCACUAAAUUGAUGUGAUAGAAUAAAAUUGGUUUUAUUUUAAUAUGUUUAAAAGGAAUUUACGGUAAAAAAAUAUUUAUUUUGAAAAUGUGAAUUAAAGUUAAAAUAAAAUUUAAAUUAAAAUACAAAUUAUUAUAAAUUUUUAAUAAAAAUAUCAAAAUUUAAAUAAAUAAUUUUAUUUAAUUAUUUAUUUUUAUAUAAAGGUUGUUAACAAAAUAUUAAUUUUUUUAUUAUAUUAAUUAUUUUGAUGUUUUUAUUUUAAUUAUUCAUUUUAUUAUAGUAGUAAAAUAUAAUUAGAAAUAUUUAUUACAUAUCAAUUUAAAAAUGUAUAAAUUACAUUAAAAUUCAAUUGAUUUAACUUAAUUUUUUUUCUAACAAACUAGUUUAAAAUAAUUUAUUUUGUAAAAUAUUAAUAUUCAAAUUCUUUUAUUUAUUAUUAUAAUAUUAUUUAUCGUAUUAUAAUUUUAGAGUAAUAUUAUAUUUAUUUAAACAUAAUCAUGUCUAAAAAUAUAAUUAAUUAUAAUUAUAUAAAUAUAAUGAAAUAUCUAUUCGUAAUCCUAUUAUAUCUUUGAUGAUAAUUUUUUAUUUAUUUUUAAAACUCUUUUUGGUAUUUGGAUAGAAAGCUUAGAAAAAAAUAAUCAUUUCGUUAUUUUUUUUCAUUUCUGCCUCUCCAUGACUAGUGUAUAGGAAAUACAAGAGUUGCAGUAUGAUUAGUUCUUCAGAAUUCAGAUUGAAAGUAAAUGGUUAGUGCUGACUCACUUCCAGCCACCCCUGGUGUUUUACUGCAGUCAAUUUUUCUAUGUAGGAUUUUGGAAUUUUGUUUAUUAGCAAAUUAUGAUCAUAGAAAACAUUUGCAGUUAUGAGAUGUUUUUGCACUAUUAAACCAAACCCUUGCCUUUGAACUUGUCAUAAAAUUUGAUGAGGAAUUCAAAUUAUAAACUAAUUGUUAGAUGACCGAGAUAAGUUCGUCAUGCUGUCCAGACCCAGUUAACUGUACGGAUGUGGCCUAACCCAUCUUAGUGGUAUAAUAUAUUUUCUAUUAUUUGUUCAAAAUCUUAUAUAUUACCAUUAUUUAAGUUUUCUAUUAAUUCUAUAAAUACAAAAAACAUGUACUAUAUGCUAUUGUUAAUAUAUUUAACAGCAAAACACUGUAUUAUAUUCAAUGAAAAAUUAUUGGAGUUAAUUAUAAAAUAUUUUUCUUCUAAAAUCGCUCUUUCUAACUUGUAUUAUUUUAAAUUUGUAAAAUUUCAUUUGUAAGAAUUAAUUAUAAAAAACAACAUAAUUACUACAUCUUCGUUCUUAAAAAAUUCCUGUAAUUGAUCAUGAAUAUAUAUUACCCUGUGUCUGUAUAAUUUUGAAAUGUGUUGAAAUUUUUGAGUUUAUGGAAAUGAAGAUAUUAAAUAGGUCUUAACUAAAUAAAUUAUUGUAGAAUAGAAUAUUAUUUUGAUAGUAAGUUUUAGAAAUUAAAUAUUCAUAUUAAUUUUUUAUGUUAAAUAAUAACUUUGUAUUUAGAGCUAUUAUUUACAAUAAAGUUAGAAGAAAUAAAUAUUAAAAGAUAGAGGAAAAGGAAAUAACAAAUAUUUUUAAGUCACCCAAAGACAAGGAGGUCCACUUACAUUUGAGUCAAUCAAAAGCAAAACAAAGUCAAGAAGGAAUUUAGGCAUGACAUGUUUGAAGGAGUAUAGAUAGUAUGACUCAGAAAAAGAACACAAACUAAUCUAUAGUUAAAUUUUGAAUUUUUAAAUUAAAUUUUUUCCUCUUGGUUUAGUUUAAAUUUUUCGUACCAUUUUUUCAAGUUUGUUUUUUUAUUUUAUUUUAAGGAUUUUAAAAUUAUAUUUCAAUUUAUAUAUUAUUCUAAAUUUUUCAGUUAGAUUUUAUUUUUUUAUUCUUCUAUUUUUUUCAUUUUAGUUUUUCAUUUUGAUUCAUAUAAUAUCUUUGUUUAACUAGAUCCACCCAUAGAUCUAUCAAACUUGGCUCUUACUUAUUCUUCUAUUUUCUCAUUUUGAUUCAUAUAAUAUCUUUGUUUGAUUAGAUCCACUCACAGGUCUAUCAAACUUGUACAGCACUUCAAUAAAUACUCCUAUUUAUCUAAUUAUUUAAUAAAACUAUCUAAUUAGAUAAUAUAUUUAUUGUGGUUAAAAAUGCAAGAUUAUUAGUAUGUUUAUUGUAACUAAAAGUACAAGAUUAUUAAUAAAAACAGUUGAGUUCAAAUAAACUUAAAUUCUAAUUAAAAAUAUGUGAAUUUAUUUAAUAAUAUAAUCCAAGAAAAUUAUAAUUAAAAUUAUGUUCAUCAAAAUCAAUAUUCUGUGAAGAUUCAAUUGUCUGUUAGUGUGCGAGUUUGUAGCUAAUAUAAUAAUUUGUAUAACUUAAUAUAAAUGGUUGUCUUUAAUUAUCAUAGCUAAUUAAGUUAUAUGAACAAUUUAAAUAGUUAAGCUUAUUCUUCUUAUUCAUAUUUUUAUAACUAUGACAAUCAUGAAUGACAUGUGAUUACAUAAUAUACAUGUGUAAAAAGAAUACUUUAAACAAUAUUAAAAAGAUAUUCUUUUAUAUUUGACGUAUGUUAUUAAAUGUAAAAACUUUACAAAUAAAGUUCUUUGUGAUUCAUAUGUACGAAAAUUAAAUAUAUCAAAAUAAAAUUUAUUUUUAAACAUUUAUAUAUAUAUAUUUAUAUAUAUAUAUAUAUAUAUAUAUAUAUAUACGUACNNNNNNNNNNNNNNNNNNNNNNNNNNNNNNNNNNNNNNNNNNNNNNNNNNNNNNNNNNNNNNNNNNNNNNNNNNNNNNNNNNNNNNNNNNNNNNNNNNNNAUUAUAUCAAAUAAUUCAAUUAUUCUUAUUAUUGUAAAUUAAUUUUAAUUAAAUAUAAUAUAAUAUAAUUUAUUUAUUUAUUUAAUAAUUUUAGUAUUAUUGUUAUUAAUUUAUCUUUUUAUUAGAUUAUUUAUAACAUUAAUAAAUAUAUUUUUCUUUUUAACUAUUUUAUUUGGAUAUACAAAUUUUUCUUAUCUUUAAAUUUUUUAAUUUUUAAAAAAUUAAUUAAUUAAUUUAAUUAACAAAAACUAACUACACAUUUUAAAAAAUUAUAAUGAUUAUAAUAUUAAUAGAAAAUUCUUCCUUUUAACUACUUCUUUUUAACAACUUUUUACUAUUUUACCUUUUAGAUUCUGUAACUCAUUUUAAACUUAAUGGUGUACUUACAAUAAAUCUACGCUCUAAAAAAAACUACUUAUAACAAAAUUAUAAUUUUUUUUAGUAUUUUUUGAAUAUCUUUUCUAUGUUUUUUAGUUUUUUAUUUUUUAUUAUGAUAGUAAAAAGUAGAGACAAAUCUACAGAAAUGUAAGCGUAUCUGUUUCAAUUAGUAUUAUAUAAUUAAUUAUAUUGUAUCCAUUAUAGGUAUACUAUAACAUAUUAUAAAUAAUACUUUUCAACCAUAAUUUUCAUUUAGACAAAGACAACAAUAUAACCUGUUACUCAAAUUAGUAUCUGUUUCAAUUAGUAUUUAAUUAAUUAUAUUGUAUCUAUUGUAACAGCGCUUUUUUUAAAAAAAAAAAGCAGACCCCACCCCACCAUUCUUUUUUUUCUUCUUCUUUCUUCCUCUUUUUUCCAAAUCACUUUCUCUCUCUACCAACUUCUCUCUUCUUCAUUUUUUCUUAAUUUCUCACUUCAUACCUCAUCUAUUUUAAAAUCUGAUCAUAUCACGCUGUAGCAGAGGAGUUAAGGAACAUUUCUACCAGAUCAGAUUUUCAAACAGAGUAAGUUCAUUUUUAUUCUAAAUAUCCUUUGUUAUCUGUUUUUUUUUAAGAUUUAGUCACCAAUCUUCGUGGGGUCAGUUGAGAAGUUUAAUCCUCUCAACUUAUUCUAUUAUAUACUGAAUUUUUGUUCUGUUUGGAUAAUUUGCAUUAGGCCCGUAAAUCUUGAAGUUUAUCCAGACUGUGGGGAAUAAAAUUAUAGAAGUUGUUUGGAAAACAAGCAAUUGAGGUAAGGGAAACUAAUUUAAUUUUUUUAUAGCACCCUAGGAUAGAAGAUCUGAAUGCGGAAGGAACGUGGUCCCAAUAUUGAAUUUCUCUUGCAGGGGUGUUAUUUGUUUAUAUAUUGUGUGUUUGUUUAUAUAUUAUUUAAAAUUUAUAAAUAUUAUAUUUUGAUAGUUUGAGAGUUAAAUAUUGUUUUUGACGUUGGAAAAGUUCUGGAAUGAUAUGAAUUUUUAAAUGUUAUGUGAUUGAAUGAUAUGUAUUAUAUACGAAUGAUGUAAAUUGUAUGAAAUUGAUGUCAUACAUUUGGGAUAAUGUAUGAGUUGUUGUUUGAUGGUACGUUAAGUAUGAAAAACCUAUGUUUAACGGAGAUCCUCUGGCUUCACUAAUGAUCUAAGUCAUGUAGACUAAGAUAUUAGGUGGUGAGAAGCUGAGAGGGAGUUCAUACACACCGGGUCCCACUGUAGACACUCGUUAUUGAAUGUUUGAACUUACCCUGAUCCUUUCUAUUGGAUUCACUGGUAAUCUUUGGGUCAGGUGUUAGUCUCUGGUAGGGGCAUACUUAAUGAGUCUUCCAGAAGACGAAGUGGGAUUGAAAUAAAAUCCAAUGAUUGUGAUUGAAAAUAGAUCCAUGUGUGGUCUAUAUGAAUGAUGGAAUUGAUAUUGGAAUUUUACAUGAAAUUACUAAAGAAAUGUUUAUAAAUUAUUAGUAUAAAUUGGUUCUAUUUCCAUGAAUUAUGUUAUGGAUUUUCUUUACAUUAGCUUACCCUUGCUUUUCUUGCUGUGUUUGAACUGCGAUGACUGUACUACGUACACGAGCAGAUGAUUUUACAGGUAUCGGAGGGUCUGAAGAGCUUUAGGAUGUUGAUUUUGAAACUUGUAUUGUAAAUAUUUAUAUUUCUAUAAAUCCUAAUCAUGUAUUAGGAAUAUUUUGAAAAACUCCAAGUUUGUAUAGAAACUGGAAGAACUUUUAUUGUAAUAGUUAUAUGUAAAUUAUGGGGUGUUACAUCUAUUAUAGGUAUACUAUAACCUGUUAUAAAUAAUACUUUUCAACCAUAAUUUUCAUUUUGACAAAGACAACAAUAUAAGCUGUUAGACUACGGAACCUUAUGUUGGACUUGUGAUACUCAAAUUUAAUUGGCAAGUUUUUCUUUUAAAUACAUUUCAUCAAACUUACAUUCUUUCUAAUUUACGAAUCUUUGUUUCUUUUAAUCUUUGAGCAUGAUUGAAUCAAGGUUUCGUUGUUUAGUUUAAGUGUUAUAUUUUAUAUUUAUGUUAGUUCAAAUUUGACCUUUUAUUUUAAUCACACUUCUAUAUUAUAUAAAAUACUCCCAACUUCUAUGUAUUUCUUCUUUUCUUUCAGCAAUGGAAUAAAAUUAUUGAGAGUGGAAAAUUAAGAGUCAUAUUAUUGCUGCAAUUGUUGUGAUGAGUUGUAACGGAUAAUGACGUUUCUAAAUUGAGACUUGACACUUCUACAUAUUGUGAUGGGUAAUACCAUUAAUUAAAAGUAAUAAAAUAAUUAUUGAGCUCAAAUUAAUAUAUUUAUUCAAUAUUAAAUAUAAAAAUUCUAAAUAUUUCUUUUGGAAAUAUACAUUUGAAUAUAGAUUAUUUUUAGAGAUUUCAAAAACGUUUUUAAGCAUCCUUUUAUGAAAUUGUUAGUGGUGUUGGUGAAGAUAAAAUUAGAAAAUUGUCACACAUAUUACUCUUGCCAUUGUCAUUUCUAUUUGAAAGUCUUUAGCCCUUUUGAAGGGAUGCAAGACCUGGAAAUUUCAAACAUGCCAUUUCAUUUUGGAAAUUCCUAGCCAUCUUCACGACGUAAGAUUUAAAUACGAAAUAGGAAAAUAAAAAAUGAAAAAUGAAAAAUUCCAAAAAAUACAAAUUUAAGAAUUAGUUUCAUGAUAGCUAAUUUUCAAAAAACUGUCAUAAAAUUAUAAAAAAAUCUUUAAGAAAGAAGUUUUAGAUCACCAUAUAUAAUUCUAAUUGAUUUGUGUAUAAUACAAAAGUAAAUUAAGCAUUAUUAUUUAUUUUGAAAAUUUAAAAUAGUCUACCUUGUUAUAAAUAGAUCAAACUCAAUGGAUUGGUUGCAACCAAAAUCCAUAUGAAAAUGAAUUGGGUUCUACUCUCAUACUUGAUCAUCUUCCUUUGCUUCCUACUUCAUUUUCCUUCCUACAUUUGUUUAGUGUGCAACCAUGAUGACAAAUAUGCCUUGCUGCAAUUCAAAAACACAUUUCUUGUUCCCAACUCUUCACUUGCCUUUGAUCCUUGUUCCUCCCAUUUCUCAAUGAUGGAAUCUUGGAACAACAUCACAGAUUGUUGUGGGUGGGAUGGGGUCACGUGCGACUCCAAGUCAGGCCACGUGAUUGGCCUCGACCUUACCUGCAGUGAUCUUAGAGGAGAGUUACUGGGUUCCAAUAGCUCCAUUUUCAGACUAAGGCACCUUCAACAACUCUACCUUGAUUUUAAUGAUUUUUCUGGAUCUUCAAUACACUCUGCCAUUGGUGACCUUGUCAACCUCACCCAUCUAACUUUGUCUGGCUCUGGAAUCACUGGUCAUGUUCCCUCCACAAUCUCUCACUUGUCAAAAUUACUAUAUCUUGGUCUCAUUUCCAUCGACUUAUUAUUACUACUUAAUGAUCCCACCACAAGCUACUCCGAAAUGAGACUUGAUCCAUACACUUGGAACAAACUCAUUCAGAACGCAACUAAUUUAAAAGAGAUUUCUUUAGGAAGAGUGAACAUGUCCUCCAUCAGAGAGAGCUCUUUGUCAUUGUUAACCAAUCUGUCAUCCUCUUUGGUUUCUCUAUAUCUCUUAGACACCCAAAUUCAAGCCAAACUUCCAACUGACAUCUUCCGUUUACCCAAUCUCCAAGAAAUAGAUCUUUCAUACAAUGAAAACCUCAGAGGUGAACUUCCAAACUCCAACUGGACUACUCCUCUAAGAUUCUUGUCUCUCUCUUCAACUGCUUUCUCAGGAUACAUUCCCGAUUCCAUAGCCCACUUGAAGUCUCUUAGCUCACUAACUCUUCGGGAUUGCAAUUUCAAUGGACUUCUUCCACUAUCAUUGUUUAAUCUAACUCAACUUGAUCAGUUAGAUUUAUCAGAAAAUAAAUUAGUUGGCCCCAUUCCGACCCAUAUCACGAAACUCUCCAAAUUAUCGUACCUAUAUUUGUCUGGUAACAUGUUAAAUGGACCGAUUCCUCGUUGGUGUUAUUCUUUUCCUUCCAUGUUGUCCUUGGAUCUUCAAGACAACCAACUCACAGGGUCAAUCGGUGAAUUCUCAACUAAUUUUUUGCAAUAUUUGUUGCUGUCUAAUAACAAACUGCAAGGUAAUUUUCCAAAUUCAAUAUUUCAACUCCAAAAUCUUAAGUUUUUGGGUUUGUCAUCAACGAACUUGAGUGGUAUUGUGGACUGUCACCAAUUUUCAAAGCUUAGAGCUCUAGUUUAUUUGGAUCUUUCUAGCAAUAAUUUUCUCUCUGUAAACUUUGAAAAUAAUUUUGACUACAUCUUACCCAACCUUCAAUACUUAAAUUUAUUUUCAAGUAAACUAAUUAGUUUUCCAAAAUUCUUAGCACCAAUGCAAAAUUUGCAAGGUUUAGAUCUUUCUCAUAACAGAAUUCGUGGAAGCAUUCCCAAUUGGUUUCGUGAGAACCUCUUGCGCUCCUGGAAGAACAUUAGUUCCAUUGAUCUCAGUUUCAACAAGUUGCAAGGACAUCUUCCAAUUCCACCAAAUGGAAUUCAAAUCUUUUUAGUCUCAAAUAACAAGUUUAGUGGGGACAUUUCUUCAGCAAUGUGCAACGCAACCACCCUUUAUGUACUCAACUUGGCUCACAACAACUUGACAGGACUUAUUCCACAAUGCUUGGGAACAUUUCCUUCUCUCUGGGCGUUGGAUUUGCAAAACAACAACCUUUACGGAAGCCUACCUCAUAACUUUUCUAAAGGAAAUUCCUUUCAGACUUUAAAGUUGAAUGGAAAUCAGUUGAAUGGACCGUUACCACAGUCUUUGACCCACUGUACAAAACUCGAAGUUUUGGACCUCGGAAACAAUAACAUAGAGGAUAUGUUUCCCUAUUGGUUAGAAACUCUACCAACUUUACAGGUACUCAGUUUACGGUCUAAUAAAUUUCACGGUGUCAUCAAUUCUUUCCAUACCAAACUUCCAUUUCCCAGGUUGAAGAUUUUUGACAUCUCCAAUAACUACUUUAUCGGACCCUUGCCAGCGUCAUACAUCCAUAAUUUUCAAGGAAUGAUGAAUGCGAAUGACAACCAAACUGGUUUGAAAUAUUUGGGUAAUGAUAGUUCAUAUACUGAUUCAAUAGUGAUUGUAAUGAAAGGGCAAUCCAUUGAGCUAGAGAGGAUAUUGACUGUUUUGACAACCAUUGAUUUUUCAAAUAAUAUGUUUGAAGGAGAAGUUCCGAAAGCCAUUGGAGAGUUGCAUUCUCUCAUAGGGCUUAACCUUUCACACAAUAGAAUCACUGGAACCAUCCCACUGACAUUGGCUAAUUUAAGCAAUUUGGAAUGGUUGGAUCUCUCAUGGAACCAGUUGAAGGGUGAGAUUCCCAUGGCUUUGACAAAUAUGAAUUUUCUAGAGGUAUUGAACCUUUCACAAAACCAAUUUGAGGGAGUGAUACCAACAGGUGGACAAUUUAACACAUUUGAAAAUGAUUCGUAUGUUGGAAAUCCAAUGUUGUGUGGAAUCCCUUUGUCAAAAUUCUGCAAUGAGGAUAAAGAAAGGGCAACACGUUCAAUAGUUGAUGAAGAAGAAUCGGGAUUUGGGUGGAAAUGCGUUGUGGUGGGGUAUGCAUGCGGGAUAAUGUUUGGAAUAAUAUUAGGUUGUAAUGUAUUCUUCGUUGGAAAACCCCAAUGGCUUGCAAGACUUGUUGAAGUUGUGUUAAAUAUGAGGCUCAUAAGAACAAACAAGAAACCGUACAAAUCAUAGAUGAAGGAAUUAGUUUAGUUUUACUUUAAUAUGGUUGGUUUUGUGUGCCUAUAUGUAGUUUUAACUUCUCUUUACUGUAUCUUAAACGAUCAAUUUCAUGUAGUUGAAAGGGAAGCACGUCCGUUGAUGAAGUAGAAUCAGGCUUUGGGUGGAAAAGCGUUGUGGUGGGGUAUGCAUGUGGGAUGAUGUUUGGAAUAAUAUUGGGUUAUAAUGUAUUCUUUGUUGGAAAACCCCAAUGACUUGCAAGACUUGUUGAAACCGUAUUAAAUGUGAGACUGAUAAAAACAAACAACAAAAACCGUACAAAUCGUUGGAGAAGGAAUUAGUACAAUUUUACUUUAAUAUGGUUAUUUUUUGUGUGUGCCUAUAUGUCUUUUGUAGUUUUAAUUUCUCUCUACUCUAUCUUAAGAGAUCAAUUUCAUGUUGUUGAAUUUGCAAAUAAUAAAGAAUUGUUAUUAUGAAUCCUUAUAUGGGGUAAAAUGUCAAACCUGCAUUAACAUUAAGGUAAAAUCAAUAAAUUUCUAUAAUAAUUUUUAAUGAAGCUUCAAAGAGGUUUCUUUCAUAAUAUAUUUUUACUUUUUUUAAUUAAGAAUAUAUGAAUUUAUUGUUGAUUUUGAAAUAUAAAAUUAUUAAAACAACUUUUUUUUGUUAUUCUCUCUUUUUAUCAUCUUAUAUAAAAAUUCAUAAAAACAGAAAAAAAAAACAAAAACGAAGUAAUAUUUUUAUUGUUUAAAGUAAAAGCAAAAAGAAAAAUUGAAAAUUUUAUUUAUUAUAGAAAAUUUAGGGAAAGGAGAUAAUGCUUGAGUAGAAUACAUGAAAAGCUUGUGGAGCGAGAGUGGGUGUAUAAAUUCUUUGAAGGAGACAUAUAUGAACUCAUUUCUGCAACUCUAUCAACUCUUUAAUGUUGAAAAUGGACAUUUUUUCUCUAUUUAUUAAUGUCCAAUAAGAUACAAAUUAUGUCAGAAUAAUUUAAAAAACGAUAAUUGGAUAUAUAUAUUAUAAGAUGCUGUAAAAAAUAAAGACUUAUUUAAUGAUUUGGAUAUAUAUUAUAAAGACUUAUUAAUGUAAUUAUAUGAUGAUUCUUACUCUAAUAGAAAUUUGGGGCUUAAAAACAAAUUUAAUAACAUAAUAUAUAUAUAUAUAUAUAUAUAUAUAUAAUUCAUGAACCCUUCAAAUCAUGUAACAUAAUUUUCAACUUUAAGAACAUUUAAUACAAAUGUUUAACUUAUUAAAUACCUAAUAUAAAGAAACGAAAUUAUUAAAUAUUCAAAAUAAAAAUGAUUGGGGAACUCGAAAGUUAUUUAAAUAUAUUAGGUGACGCGAUUAAAUAAAGUAGCUUGGUUAUGAGUCUACACAAGGUUUGUUUGUUUGUUUGAGCUUUGUGCUUUUACUUCUAAAAUGCUAUGAAAAUUUAGAGACUGUAGUUUCUGUUGGAAAUGGUGAUAUGAUUUAUGGUAACAAAGUUUAAUGUAUAGAAAUGUUCCCGCCGGUUGACCAGAGACAUCUUUGUGCGUGGCUUAUCCUUGUGAGUUAGGGCACUUUCGUUCUGUACCGUCUGUGAGUACAUGAAAAGAAGUGAACAAAGGAGCGCCCUCGCGGUCGUUUGCACUCCGACGAUCAAGUCAGCUAGUGAGAAACAUCAAAGGGGACGCACCUCCGUAUCGGAACACCGUGAACGGAUGCUCUGAAGGUGGUCCAAUAACUGAGUAAAUGAUUUUCUCUCUAAUUGCCUGUGCAUACAGUGGGUAUGUGAGCAAGCAACUAGAGUGUGUGCGUAAACUGAGCCUCAAUUUUUUUUUUUCCGUCUCAAACGGCUAAAGCCCCUUUUAAACGUCUAAAGCGUUUAAAGCGUCUUAAAGCGCAUUUAAAGCAUCUUAAAGCGCAUUUAAAGCGUCUUAAAGCGCAUAUAAGGCGCUUAAAAACAUUCAACGCGUUUAAAACGUUCAAAGCAUUUAAAGCGUUUAAAGUGCUUUAAAGCGUUCGAAACGUAAACUAAAUUAAAGCGUACCUUAGCAAACUUUCAGGAAAACAUUGAUGUUUCAGUGCUUACUGCCACGUGUUCUUCUGACUUGAUUACUAUUCUACGUGGAGAACCUCACAGCGUCAUAACCCAACUUAGGGACAUUCUAUCGUGUAAGUCCUCCCUAUUUGAAGUGCAUCUGGCGCAGGGGGUGACUUUUUGGGUGCCAACUCAUGCGCCCCAGCCUCUAAUCACUCGCCCUGGGAGUGUAUCUACCUUCCUCUCGCACUACGCACAUGGUUCGCCCCUGGGCAUGACCCUCUCAUGGGUCGUAUCUAUCCCAGGGGUCUCCCCGAGGUGGCAUGAGUACUUCACGAGUCAGGUUACUCCUCACUAGUACUGGGAAUAUGGCCUUGAAGCCACAUUUCUCUUCUCUUUAUUACUGUUCUAAUGUAUCGGGGCCCGAGACCUCCUCGUGGUGUCGCCCCCUCCACGGUCUUUCCUACCUAUGGGUAUCGGGGGUAACAUUGUCGAUGUCUCAAUCUUGGCGACGCCUCAACUUGGCGACCCCUCCACCUGGCGAUGCCUCAACUUGGCGACGCUUCAACCUGGCGACACCUUGUCCUGGCGACGCCUCAAGCGGUCAACCCGUUGACUUUCUCCCAUUGGACCCCUUGAUGGGUCCCACCAUAUGUUGACUUUGACUUUGACUUUGACCUUGGUCAACGCCCGGGGACGGGACGGUACAAGAACAAUUAUUCAAAUGUAAUUAAUCACUUAAUCGAGAAGUGUAUAUAUAUACAAAUCUACUUGUUGCACCGUGUCUGUGUAUUUUGUGUCUCUAAUUUAACGUUUCAUUGUGGUUUUACGGUUAGGGGUUUGGGUCUUAGUGCCAUUGUCAUUGUGUUGUUUCCUCAUCGUUGUAAUGUUGGAAAAUGGCAUCAGUAAACCCUAAUGUUUUUUUUUAAUCGAUAAUAAAUAAAUAAAUAUGAUCCACUUUAGGAGUGAUAUAACCCUUAUACAUAAACACAACCUUUAAUCUCUCUUACUAGACAUACUCUCAUAUAUGCUUAUACAUAACACUUCUAACUGCACCCAUAGAUAAUCACCUGAGGCAAUCAAACAUACAUCUUAAAUGAGUACAUCAUGAGAUCAUCCUCAUACAAACCAGAGGAUCAAGACACCAAUCAGAAAAGGAGAAAAACGCAGAAUGUGACUUGGAUGUAACACAAGACCAAUUGGACCAAAGUAAAAACUUCUAAUACCUCUACUACACCCCCUUUAAAGAUUACACUGUUUUUAUGCUUCCAAAUCUCGUUGACUACUGCAAUCCAAAUCACUCCCCAAACCUCAUUUACCGAAGCAGGCACAUUGCACAUCCUAAACUGUGAAAAAUUUAGCAAUGUAAUGUUGUGAAACACACUCUGCACACCCAUCCAUACACAAUAGUGGUUCCACAAUAACCAGGAAAAUCUAAUGGUGAGAAAUCACAAGGUUCUCUUUUCUCUGUUUUUGGGAUAGAAAGCAUCAACUUAUAGAAACUGAAUGGGAAAAAUAAUUUAGCCUAGUUUGCUUCUGUAAUUGGGUUGAAUCACGACAAUGGGGAAGGACAUUGUACCGGUGAGGGUCGUACGACUGAUGUCACGUAUGGGUCCUCAUCACUGGAUCAACCGAGGUAAAGGCCCACGUCCAUAGGGCUGACCAACAACACAAGUCCAAUUACGCUCAAUCAAGGUCAACGAAGCUAAUCCUCGAUUAAAAGCUAGGUAAUGCAGCCCUAAACGCGAUCCAACUCCUUAACCUGACCCAAUAAGGAAAACCCACCAAAGGUAAUAUAAAUAGCACAUAUUCCAAGAAUUAGGUAAGUCAUCAUAUGUAGUGCUCUGAGAACAGAGUACCGAACGUCUUUGCUGACUUGAGUGUCAGAGUGCCUUCUACACGUACCCUCUGAGUCUGGAUUACGAGAAGACGAAGAAUCGAUGUUAGGAAGGAAGAGUGAGGAGUUUGCAAGGGAGCUGAAGGAAAGUAGGAUCGACCGAUAGAAGGAAUCCUCUCAAUAGUUCUCUAGGCCCCAACCCCCGUACGAGAACAAUUGGCGUCCACCGUGGGGCCGAAAGAAGUUGAGUAAAGAACGCUAGUAGUGUUAGAAUGUAUGGCCUUAAACGAGAGGGGGGUGAAUUGUUUAAUAAAGAUUUUCGUAAACUUUUAUGCCUUAGAAUGAAAAUACUUCAAGAGAACCUUGAUUAAGAAAUCAGUUUUUCAAAACAUAAAGCAAAAACACAAUACUGGAAAAAAAAUCGGUUGUUUUAACAAAAUAAUCGGUUGUUUAUACUAGUUAUCAAAUAACAAAGCUGAAUUUAAAGAGAUAGGAAUAGAGAGAUUGUACACAGAUGUUUAUACUGGUUCACUCCAAACCCAGAGCUACAUCCAAUCUUCUCAGAAACCCUGAGGAAAUCCACUAAGCAACCACAACUUGAUCACUUACACAACAACCAAGAGAAUGACCUUGAACACCUCAAGAAACACAUUCUCCUUGGUCAACACAACAACACCAAGAUUGUGGAUCUUGAUCCCCUCAAGAACACACAGUCAAUCUUAGCAAACACAAAAACGAAGUUGUUUAUAGAGUACAAGGAUUACACUUGUUACAAAAGAUAAUCUGAAUUCAAUACAAGCAGAAUCCUAUUCCACAAACUUUGAUCAAUCACAAACUCUUAGCAAUCUCAGCUCUUUAAAAAACUAAAAAACUCUUAGUGAAAACUUGUCAAAAGAUUACAUUCUUAAAUCUGUUAUUUGAAUUUAUUCAAAGAUGUAAUUUGUUAUCAAAUCUUAACAAACUCUUAAAUUGCAUUAAAAGAUUGGUCAAAGCAUUUAAUGACUGGAGCGUAAGCAGUUAAAUCAUUUAAAGCUCAGUCAAAGAUAAAACAGUUUUUCUGUUAUGGUCCCAAAACAAACAAUCGGUUGUUUCCUCGAAUCAAUCGGUUGUUUUGGUUCUUAACAGUUCAACCAUUUGAAAAACAGUUUUCAAUCUUUUUCUCAAAACACCUAAGUACAAACAAUCGGUUGUUUUGACAAAACAAGCGGUUGUUUUAACUUAGUUUGAAAACAUUUUACUUUCACAAAGAUUGAGAUGCUUAUUCUUUAGAUUUAAUUUACAAAACUCAAACUACCCCAGAACUAUACUAAACCAGCACAACAACACCAAGCACAACAAAGGCUUCAACAUCCUUCAAAAGAUUUGUAUUCUUCAAAUCUUGAACACUACUUGGUUCAACAAUCUCCCCCUAUUUGAUGAAGACAAAUCCCUGGUGCUUAUGUUUGAACUGAUUGAAUCUGAAGCAGUACCUGUAAAAAUAACAUUUAACCUAUCAAAUGCUUCUAACAACAGCAAGUUAGAUUUUUUACAUAUCUCAAGCAUAAACCAUGAUAAACAAUUGGUUGUUUACACGAAACAAUCGGUUGUUUUUAUCAGCAGCAGAGAAAACCUUUUAUAUCAGAGAUUUUAACAGAUUAUUCAGUAUCAGAUAAAGAUAUACAAGAACCAACCAAUUCUCCCCCUAUUUGUCUUCACAAAUAGACUUUAGCAUGAAAACAAAAACAGAUUUAGGAGAGAUUAUUAAGAUCAAGGAUACCUAACUCAUUUCUUAAGAAGAAAAACCUCUCUUUUGGUAAAGGCUUUGUGAAGAUGUCAGCUAACUGCAGUUUGGUCUCCACAAACUUCACUUCACAGUUCCCAUUGUUUACAUGAUCCUUGAUGAAAUGAUGCCUUAUCUCAAUAUGUUUGGUCCUUGAGUGCUGAAUCUGAUUUUUGGUAAGAUUGAUGGCACUUGUGUUAUCACACAUCAAAGGAACCUUGCUGAUUUGCAAACCAAAAUCUGCAAGUUGUUGCUUAAGCCACAUAAUUUGUGCAUAGCAGCUACCAACAACUAUAUAUUCAGCCUCAGCAGUAGAGAGAGCAACACAUGCUUGUUUCUUGCUAUGCCAUGAGAUUAAGCUUGAGCCAAGAAGGUGACAAGUGCCACUUGUGCUCUUUCUAUCUAGCUUGCAACCUGCAAAGUCAGAAUCUGAAUAACCAAUUAAAUGAAUUGGAGAGUGAGAAGGAUACCAUAAUCCUACAGAUGAUGUUCCUUUGAGAUAUUUCAUAAUUCUUUUUGCAGCUUUGAAGUGUGACUCCUUAGGAUUUGCUUGAUAUCUUGCACAAAGACAUACCGCAAACAUGAUAUUCGGCCUACUAGCUGUUAGAUAGAGCAAAGAUCCAAUCAAUCCUCUGUAUUUUUUUUUAUCUACACAUUUUCCAGCAGCAUCCGCAUCCAUGUAGCAGCUUGAUGGCAUUGAAGUGCUUGCUUCUUUGCAACUCUCCAUUUUAAAUUUCUUGAGAAUCUCUUUGCAAUACUUUGAUUGACUUAAGAAGAUCCCAUCCUUUGUUUGCUUAACCUGCAAUCCAAGAAAGAAAGAUAGUUCUCCCAUCAUAGACAUUUCAAACUCACCUUUCAUUGCAGCCACAAAUUCUUCACACAAUCUAUCUUGAGUAGCACCAAAGAUGAUAUCAUCAACAUAGAUUUGCACAAGGAUUAUUUCUGCAUUUGAUUUCUUGAUGAAGAGAGUCUUGUCUACCAUUCCUCUUUCAUAACCAUGAGAUAGCAGAAAGUUGCUAAGCCUCUCAUACCACUGCCUUGGAGCUUGUUUCAGUCCAUACAAAGCUUUCUUCAACUUGAAUACAUGGUUGGGAUACUUAUGAUCUUCAAAGCCCGGUGGUUGAUCUACAAAGACUUCCUCAUUGAUGUAGUCAUUCAAGAAGGCACUCUUGACAUCCAUUUGAAAGAGUUUAAAACCACUCAUACACGCAAACGCCAGCAGCAACCUCACAGCCUCCAAUCUAGCAACAAGAGCAAAGGUCUCACCAUAAUCUAUGCCCUCUUCUUGAUUGUAGCCUUUUGCAACUAGCCUUGCUUUGUUCCUUGUGAUCACACCAUCCUCAUCUAGCUUGUUCCUGAAAACCCAUUUCGAACCAAUAAUAUUCAUUUCAUUAGUUUUAGGGACCAGAAACCAUACCUCAUUCCUUGCAAACUGAUUCAACUCUUCAUGCAUAGCUUCAACCCAUUUCUCAUCCUUGAGAGCUUCCUCAAUUGAUUUUGGUUCAAUUUGAGAGACAAAGGUUGUGUGCCUGCAGAAGUUUGAGAUGGAGCUACGUGUGGAGACACCUUCCUUUAUCUGCCCUAUGAUGUUGUCCACUGACAGAUCUCUAGGAAUCCUCCACUCUUUGGGCAGCUCACUCUGUUGCAGAAUUUCAAACGGUUGUUUCUGCGAAUCAACCGGUUGUUUUUUUGCAUAGAUAUCCAGCUUCUCCAAACUGAUGCUCUGUUCAUCUUCCUCAACACUGGUCUUUUGGGAUUUGAUUGACUCUGCGAUCUACCUCAUCAAAGACAACGUGAACUGAUUCUUCUACAGUCAUCAACCUCUUGUUGUAGACUCUAUAUGCAUGACUUGUGAGUGAAUAACCAAUGAAGAUACCAAGGUCCGCUUUCUCAUCAAACUUUUCCAAGUUUUCCUUUCCAUUGUUGAGAACGAAACAACUGCAGCAAAAGACUUUGAGAUGACUGAUGUUAGGCUUCCUUCCAUUGAAGAGUUCAUAUGGAGUUUUCUUCAAAAUGGGCCUUAUAAGCACCCUAUUCAUCACAUAACAAGAGGUGCUCACUGCAUCUGCCCAAAAAUACUUAGGAAGUGAUGAUUCACUAAGCAUUGUCCUUGCAAGCUCUUCAAGAGACUUGUUCUUCCUUUCAACCACUCCAUUCUGCUGUGGUGUUCUUGGAGCAGAGAAAUUGUGCAGAAUUCCCAACUUCUCACAGAAUUUGCUAAACUUCUCAUUCUGAAAUUCUCCUCCAUGAUCACUUCUAAUAGAACCUAUGUUGCUGUUCUUUGUAUUUUGUAGCCUUCUUGCUAGCUUCUUGAAUGUAGAAAAGGCAUCACUCUUUGAUUCCAAGAAAAGAGUCCAAGUGUACCUAGAGAAGUCAUCAACAAUAACAAGAGCAUAAUAAUUUCCACCAAAACUCAUAGUUCUUAAGGGUCCAAAGAGAUCCAUGUGAAGAAGUUUAAGAGGUCUCAAAGAUGAAACAACAUUUUUAAUUUUGAAAGAACUUUUCACUUGUUUCCCUUUUUGGCAUGCUUCACAAAUGUGAUCCCUCUCAAACUUGAGUUUUGGCAGCCCAAUCACAAGAUCCUUUGAAAUAAGCUUGUUCAAAUGAUUCAUGUGAAUAUGAGCAAUUCUUCUAUGCCAAAGCCAAGAUUCAUCUUGCUUGGAUAGAAGACAUCCAAUUGAACAUGGUGAAGAGAUAUCUAGAAGAUACACAUUAUUAACUCUCUUACCUACCAACAUUACCUCUUUGGUGUUAGGUAGACAGAUUUCACAUGUGUUUGUCUUGAACAUCACUCGAUAUCCCUUGUCACAUAGUUGGCUAAUGCUUAGCAGAUUAUGCUUUAGGCCUUCAACAAAAAGUACAUCAUGGAUCACCAAGAUGUUCUCAUCUCCUAUGGAUCCUCUCCCAAAAAUUCUUCCUUUGUUGUUGUCUCCAUAGGUGACAUGACCCUCUUGCUUGAAGGAGAUUCUCAGGAACUUUGAUUUAUCCCCUGUCAUAUGUUUGGAGCAUCCACUAUCCAAGUACCAUAGUUGUUUGCCUUCCUCCAAGAUUUCCUACAAAAGAGAUUUUCAAGUACAAAGAUUUGGUCCCCUUAUGAAUGUGGGUCUAUCUAGUUUAUACUCAUCAAUUAAAGUUUUAUUUCCCUUAGGAAUCCACUUCAUAAGACCUUUAGGAACAACAUGUUUUCUGAUUUUACAGAACCUCACAGAAUGGCCUCUUUUCAUGCAAUAGAAGCAUGUAACAAUCGGUUUCCAAUCGAUUGUUUUUCUGGCAUUUUCAAAAAUGAUUUUGAAAAUCUAUCUUGUUUGUUUUGUGGAUUAAAACUCAAUCCAGCUUUUCCAAAAACACAGUUUUGAGAUGCUAGAACACUCUCAAAGUUGGAUUGGCCUUUACAAAGCUUAUCCACUGUUUUAACAAGAUAGUGGACCUUCUUUUCAAGAUUUUCGCAAUUUUCACAAACUAGAGUAUCACACUUGCAGGAGGAGUUUUUGUAAAUGAUUUCCAGAUUUUCAAAGUCUGUUUUUGAAUUUUCUAAAUCCUCUUCCAGUGCCUUUACUCUAUUUUCAAGCCAGUUGUUCUUUUCUUUUAACCGAUUGUUCAAGAGAGCCAAUCGGUUGGCUUCUUCAUGUGUUUCUUGAAAGGCUUGAAGUAAUUGACCAUAAUUUUCAGAGUUUGAGGAGUUUGAUGAACUUACACUAUUUGAGUCAUCCUCCCUUCUGGCCAUGAAGCAAAGAUUGAUUCUUUUCUUAUUUUGCCUCCUUUUUCUUUUUGCUUGACUCUUUGUCAUUGCUUCCUUUGGUUCAUGAGCAGCCUUGAGUGUGUCCCACAUUUCCUUAGCAGUUUUGCACUUUGAUAUCCUGAAAAAUUCAUUAGUAUCCAGUGCAUAAGCUAUAAUGUUUUGAGCAGAUCUAUCAAGCUGGGCCAUCUUACAUUCAUCAUUUGUCCAUUGAGACAAAGGUUUUGAAAUGAAAGAAUUAUUCUUUUUGAACUUUGGAAUGUAAGGACCAUUCUCAAUUGAAUCCCAAAUUCUUUGAUCAAUAGAUUCAAUAAAGAUUUUCAUUCUUGCUUCCCAAAACUUAUAAUUCAAUCCACAUAAUAAAGGUGGUUUGUAGAUUGAAGCACCUUCCUCAAAAGAUAGUUUUCCAGCCAUAAAAAAGAUUUUUGAUCAACUUGAAUAACUUUAAAGAACCAAGCUUUUGAUGCCAAUUGUUAGAAUGUAUGGCCUUAAACGAGAGGGGGUGAAUUGUUUAAUAAAGAUUAAUAAAGAUUUUCGUAAACUUUUAUGCCUUAGAAUGAAAAUACUUCAAGAGAACCUUGAUUAAGAAAUCAGUUUUUCAAAACAUAAAGCAAAAACACAAUACUGGAUUACCGAAACAAUCGGUUGUUUAUACCAGUUAUCAAAUAACAUNNNNNNNNNNNNNNNNNNNNNNNNNNNNNNNNNNNNNNNNNNNNNNNNNNNNNNNNNNNNNNNNNNNNNNNNNNNNNNNNNNNNNNNNNNNNNNNNNNNNCCAAACCCAGAGCUACAUCCAGUCUUCUCAGAAACCCUGAGGAAAUCCACUAAGCAACCACAACUUGAUCACUUACACAACAACCAAGAGAAUGACCUUGAACACCUCAAGAAACACACUCUCCUUGGUCAACACAACAACACCAAGAUUGCUGAUCUUGAUCCCCUCAAGAACACACAGCCAAUCUUAGCAAACACAGAAACAAAGUUGUUUACAAAGUACAAGGAUUACACUUGUUACAAAAGAUAAUCUGAAAUCAAUACAAGCAGAAUCCUAUUCCACAAACUUUGAUCAAUCACAAACUCUUAGCAAUCUCAGCUCUUUGAAAAACUCAAAAACUCUUAGUGAAAACUUGUCAAAAGAUUAUAUUCUUAAAUCUGUUAUUUGAAUUUAUUCAAAGAUGUAGUUUGUUAUCAAGUCUUAACAAACUCUUAAAUUGCAUUAAAAGAUCGGUCAAAGCAUUUAAUGACUGGAGCGUAAGCAGUUAAAUCAUUUAAAGCUCAGUCAAAGAUAAAACAGUUUUUCUAUUAUGGUCCCAAAACAAACAAUCGGUUGUUUCCUCGAAUCAAUCGGUUGUUUUGGUUCUUAACAGUUCAACCAUUUGAAAAACAGUUUUCAAUCUUUUUCUCAAAAUACCUAAGUACAAACAAUUGGUUGUUUCGACAAAACAAUCGGUUGUUUUAACUUAGUUUGAAAACAUUUUACUUUCACAAAGAUUGAGAUGCUUAUGCUUUAGAUUUAAUCAAAGGGUGGAUUACAAAACUCAAACUACCCCAGAACUAUACUAAACCAGCACAGCAACACGAAGCACAACAAAGGCUUCAACAUCCUUCAAAGGAUUUGGAUUCUUCAAAGCUUGAACACUACUUGGUUCAACAAGUAGAUGGUAUCAACCUGCAGCAUGACAAGCGAGAGGAUGACCGAAGCUGACUAGUUGACGUUGUUGAUGUCUUUGUAGAUAGAGAUGGCUGAGUUGAGGAGGAGAAAUGAAGAAGUGAGUAGGACAUCCAAGCUCUCCAUAGGAAGAACGAGUAUAUGAAGAAGAAGUUGGUUAAGGGAGGACCAUCCGUUGUGCCGACUAACCUUGUCGGUAGGUCAUUCACCUCCCCUCCCAACCCGAGAGCUGUUGGAGAGACCAAGGACAAGGCCCUGACUCAGGAGAUGGAUAGUGAGUAUUUUCCUAACAAGUCGGUCCGCACGACCCGUACCAUGGAUUCGGUGCGUCGACACCCUUUCACUGAUUCUAUCAUCGGGUUCCACUACGGGAUAAGUGGAAAGGCUUCAACAAGGAUCGCUAUGAUGACACAACCGAUCCAGAUGGGCACAUGGAUGCGUACACUACGCACAUGAGCCUGUAUACCUCGAACGAUGCGGUCUUAUGCCGAGUGUUUCCUACGUCGUUGAAGGGAGGAGCUCUUAACUAGUUCACAAAGCUCUCUCCCAACUCCGUUGAUAGCUUCGCGACGCUGAUGUCUAAGUUCGAGACACAAUGUGCCACAAGCCGACUGCACCACCUGACCUCCAUUACCCUGGUUGGUAUCCGCCAGAAGAAGGGAGAAUCCUUGAGGACCUUUGUCGAUAGGUUCGACAAGGUAACAAUGAGCAUUCAGAACCUUAGUCCGGACAUGGCCAUGCACCAAAUGUUAACGGCCUUACGGUUGGGGCCGUUUGCCGACAACCUCUGCAUGUAGCCGGCCGCUAGCUUGGACAAGCUUCGGAAGUGAGCUACCAAGUAUAUUCAGUUGGAGGAAGUGAGAAAGUUCCGUAACCAGGCCCGGGCGAAAGCCAGCGCCGAGAAGGGAAAGGAGGAGAAGGAACGCCAGGGCUGAUCGACCAAUAAGGGAGACAUGCACAUGGAUAACCGAAGCAACCAAUUCUCAAUAUACACCACCUUGACGACCGAGAGGGGAAGAAUCCUGGAAGAGGCUCUCAACCAAGUUGAUCCCUCCACCCAGGAAAGCAUAAAACCCAGAGAAUGUUGACUAUAGGAAACGGUGUCGGUAUCACAAGAACAACGGACAUUCCACUGAGGAAUGUCAGACCCUCAAGGAUAAGAUAGAAAAACUUAUCCAGGUCGGGCACCUGCAAAGAUUCGUCCAAGGUGAUCGAGGCACAAGAUGAUCCCCCAGGUGGGACUAGCCCGUGAAGCGGAGGAACCACUCCCUUCCAAGGGCGCGGGAUGACCGUCGACCCGAGGAGGGAUGACCCUCCACGUAAAGAAGAUCGCUCAUGGGAGAACGAGAGGGAGGUGACCGGGAAGUCAUCAACACCAUCGAUAGAGGGUUUGCCGGUGGUGGAAGCUCCAACAACGUCCGGAAGAAGCACCUCAGAACGGUGCACCAGGUGAACAUGGUUUCAUUCUGACCGAGGAUGUCACCCAUCACCUUCAUCAACUACGAUGGAGUAAUUUAUGGUUUUAUUUCAAUAGUGUUCAUUUAAUCAUUUGAUGAAGAAAACAGUUGAAUCCGAUAGGUAAGCAUUUGAACUUUUAAAAUAUUUACUAUAUUUCAAAUUAUCUUAUCAAAAAAUAUGAUAUGCUUUGUCAUAACAUAUAUGUCAUUCCACUAUAUAUAUCAUAAAUGUUUUGUUGCAUAUUGCUCUCUAAUUUGAAUAUGCUCUUGGUGAGACAACUUUCUUUUCAAAACUUACAUGGCAUUCAAUCAUAUGUGAAACAUUACAUCAUAAAUAAGAGGUAUGAACAUUAUGAAAUUUUUAAUAAUUUAAUUUGUAAUUAUAAGUUUGUUAUUAAAUAACCUAAUAAUGUUUUUUCAUAUUGUAAUGACAGUUGUGCUCUUGGAUUAAAAAAUAGUUAUCUUUCUCAUUUCUAUUUUUUAACUCACUAUUUCUUGACUUAUUACAUGAAAAUAACACUUCAAUAAUUACAAGUACAAAUAUCUACUUUUUUCUUGGCCAAUGUGAACUCCACCCGUCAAUAUAACAUUUGUUUUUUUACUAAUUGUUUCUUAUUUGAAUUUGCAUGAUAACAUAGUUUUUCUUAUUAUAGUUGUGCUUCUGCUACAAAAUUGUAAUAAAUAUAAUGUCUUAUCAAAAUCUUCUAUUGAUAUGUUUGCAUUUGGACAAAAUAAUACUUUUACUUACUGUUUUUUUAAGACGUAACAAUACAAGUAUGACCAGUACAAAAUUAGUCUCUUAUUUUUCAUAUAUUUUCACCAAUUUUACAUUUAAGUUAUCUGUUGUGGUCAUUGAAAUGUGUUGACAUUAUAAUCUAAUAUUGCUCAACACUUAAUUUAUGGCAGCUAAAGCAAGAAACUUAUCUAAUUCAUUUCCUCACUAGUGCAGAAACAUGAAACAAAUGCGGCUGCAUUUGAUCAACACGCACUUGUAAAUCAAGAAAUAUAAAUGCGGCUAUAUAGCCGCAUUUAUAUAUACCAUUUACAAGUGCGGUUAUUUGCUUUAACCGCACUUGUAUAUGGCAAAUCAUUAAAAAAAAAUUUUAAAACAUCGUCAAUCUUGUGUGAAGGCAACGUUGAUGAAGAGUCACGGGAGCGCCAACAACGGUGGCGACAGUAGAAGCGACGGCGGACAUGGAAGCAGCAACGGAGCAAACCAAAAAAUCCACAAGAAACCACGAAGACAAUGAAAGAGUACUGAGCAAUGCAAGAAACCAAACAAUGUAAGAAAAACGAAUGUCAGCCAACAAAACAGUGCUUCGAGACCACCAAUGCAAGGAAAAAACAUAUAUAAGAAAAACGAAAACAUUUAUGCAUAUAUUUGUGAAGAUGAAGAAGAAGAAAGAGAGUUCGAGAAACUUACAUUGCACAAAUGGAAUGCAGAUGCAGCAGAAGGAGACGAACUCAGAGUGCGAACGCGAAACGAAGGCAAAGACGAGAAAGAAAGUUUGAAAUUGUGUGUGGCGCGCUUCAAAAUUUAGGGUAAAAAAGGAUUUACGAAUGCGGCUAAAGGUAAAACCGCAUUCGUAAAUCAAGCUCUUUGAUUUACAAGUGCGGUUAUACAAAUAGCCGCAUUCGUAAAUUAAGUGCUUUGAUUUACGAAUGCGGCUAUUCAAAUAGCCGCAUUUGUAAAUCAAAAUAAUUUCAAAAAUGCCACCGCGUUUUUUACGAAAGCGGGUAGCGCAAAAACCGCACUAAAUUAAGCGUAUCAUUUUCUUCUUUUUGUACUAGUGCCUAUUAUUUGUUGGUUGACAUAUUUUGUCAUUAAGAUUGCCUUUUUCUCUUAUUUUUUUUCUACUUUUUGUCAAUAUCGUUAUGUAAUAGUUAUUAAAUUCGUUAAUAACUGCUUCUUCAUAUUGAGUUGCUUAUUUUAAAUUUGUUGAUUUAAAUUUGUUAAUUCAAUAAUAUAAUGUACUUUAAAGUAAUAUUGUUUCAUAUACAAAUGUAUAUAUUGGUAAUUACAUUUCUACAACUAUAUUUAUGGUUUUUUCUUUUAUUUUGCUUCUAUAGUAUUAUAUUUAAAUCGUACGUGUUGUCUUAUUUAAAAUGUGUUGACUUGAUCCUAUCAUGUGGUCUACACUUCAAAUUUGACAACUACAUUAAAAUAGUAUAAUUCAUACCUAUGUUUGGAAUUACUAUUGUUAGAUUUAAUUUUUACUUUUAUUUUUAUUUAUUGCAUAUUUACUUGCUGAAAUGAUAUUAUGUUGUGUUAUCUACUUAAUUUGUUAAUAUUGUUAUUUAAAUUUUUCUAAACAAUUCAGACAUCGUACUAGUUCUUAUAUGUAAUCGGAUACAGUUAAAUUCGUAUAUAUGUUCCUACCGGGUUUGAACUCGGAGAGUGCAACUCGACAAAGACAGAAUAUUCCUCAAGGAAUGAACUUUCAGUUGGUCUCCGAUGAAAAGGAAAUGUUCACCUCAAAAUGACUUUAUGAUGAUUAGGCCAUUAAGAGCACAAAGAUAGCUAGUUAUUAACAAUGUGAGUGUUAAGAGUAUGAGAAAAGAUUCCUCGAGAGUGCGUAUUUAUAAAUUCAUCAAGUGAUAUUUUUUGAGUUGAUGUUUGUGAGCCCUUACAUUGACCAUGUAACUACUUUAUAAGUUCAUUAAUUAGAUCGUUUUACUUAUAAUGAUCAUUAAUAACAAAUAACGACUCCGUUACUAAGUAGAAAAGUCAUCCCAAACUAUUAAUCGUCCGAAGCUAAACAGGUAAUAUAUAUAUAUAUAUAUAUAUAUAUAUAUAUAUAUAUAUAUAUAUAUAUAUAUUCAAAGCAAAAACAACAAUGUUUCAAAGCUUCAAUAGCAAACUACUUAAGUUGACUCUCUCAUUUAAAAAAUUAAUAUAAUAUCUUGUGAACCAAUGAUUCAAAACAGAAAACUACACUUGAUCUUAGCCAAAACGCCGAGAAAGAUAUUUUUGUAUUGUUAUGUAGUAGAAUUAUUUCUAAUCAAGUUAAAAAAAAGUCUACCAAUAUUAAUAAGAUUAUAUUUUGAUUGACGUCAUUAAGAAUUCUUUUACUUGACCUCUAUUUAAGUUCUUUUUUAAAAUAUUAUAGAGAUUAUUAUUUUUAUUUAUACCAUUAGUUUUAUUUUUUUUAUCAAAAGUCGAUAGAGAUUUGUUUUCUUAAUAUUAAUUACAUAAUUUUCAAUUUGACUAAAAUUCUCUUUGAUAAUAUAUAAAAAAUAAUAUAUCAACAUCAUAAGAAAACAUACAGUAGGCAAUAUCAAGCAAAAUAAUUUGCUGUUAAAAAAAAGAAAAAAAAAGCAAAAUAAUUUCAACUAAACUCAAUUGAUAAAAGCAUUCUCUUAUUUAAAACAACAAAUUGAAGGUAAAGAAAUUCAAAUUUAAUAUAUUUGAAUUUCUUUGAAAUUGUAAGAUUCUGAACGCCCUUUAUUUUCACUUUUUUAUGCUGCUUACUCAGUUGCAUGGCAAAAGCACUUAUCGGUCUUAGCAGCGCAAUUCCAAGCUGCCCUAGCUUCUCAUUUCAGUGACAAUAUGUGAAGCUUCCAAAGACAACGUGGUGCCAAGAACACCAACAUUUGAAGAGACGCUCCCAUUCUUCAACAAGUUAAUCACCAAUGGUCCAAGUCAUGUCAUUCUCAAAGAUCCAAUGACACACCUCAAUUUGCCCCGGACCCGACCCGAGAGCCAAGAAAGCUCCGUGAGAUGGGCUCCAAGCUGACGUGUCCAAGUGACAGAUGGCAACACCACGGUUGAUCUUGGCCUUGCUUUUCGGGUCCAACAGAUCCGCUUCGUAGACCCGAACCUUUGGAACCGAAUGGCAGUAAUAAAGCAAAUAAGGAAACAAACUCUGGUGACAAGAAACGGAUUCAGUAACUCUCCCACCGUUAAUCCCAUUCACCCAACCCACCAUCACAUUCCCCUUCGACCCCUUCACGUUCUCUGUGGUUCGAACCACAACGUUGGAACCCAACACCCCUGUGGCGAAGUCCACCAUAUCCUCCAUGGACCCCACGCACCUCUUGCUCUCACCUUGGCUCGGUACUCUCUCGCACUCGCUCACUGAAUCCUUCACAAUCUUAUCCAAACUUGAACCGGCACCAACCUCAAAAACCCGGUUCACCCCACUAACGGUAAACGGUAACUUAGACAAAAUUACCCGGGGCAAAAACGACCUUUCAGGCAUUUUAUCUCUAAUAUCAGGCAUAGCCAUCACCGUUCCCUCUUUCAGCAUAAACUCCCGAAAAAACUUACCCUCCUCAACCCAAUUUUUUACUAUUGUGCCACUGAAACUCUCGUUUUUGUAGCUCGCAAAUGUUUGAGCGCCCUGUUUGGCAUACUCAGUGAAAGAGGAGUUGAUUCGGUAGCCAGAGAAUCCAAACCUCUGUUUCUCACCACCCUUUCCAUACCCAAUGAACUUAUCCGAGUUACUAUUAUCCGAUUUAUCAUACCCCUUGAAAUCCACGUCACCACCGUUAGAUUCUUUUCCGUAAUUCUGAAACGAGUCACUCCCACCGUUGGACUCAACCCUGUAAGUAUCGAACCUGUCAACGGCGCCGUCUCCACCGUUACCGUAGCUCUCGAACGUGUUCGUUGGAUUGUUCCCUUGGUUAGCGUAGUUCUUGAACGUGUCGUUCACUCUAACUCCGUCGUUGCCGUAGCUCGAGAAUCCGGUUAGGGUAGGGUUGGAGCUUGUGCCGUAGUUUUGGAACGAGUUUUCCGUCUCAUUGCCGCGUUUCCCGUAACCGGCGAACGAUUGUUGGCCGCCGUUACCGUUCUCGGUGUAUCCAAUGAAGGAUUGGGUUCUUUUUCUGGCGUCGUCGGAGUAGGAGGCGAAUUCGAGGUCGUCAAAGCCGUUGACCGGUUCGGCGUAGUUUUUGUAACUGGAGGUGCCGGCGGUGGCGCCGCCUCCAUAGCUUCGGAAUGUGUCGUUGAUGACGUUGCCGAAGGAGCCGUAGGUUAUGAAAUCGUCGCUGUGGUUUACGGAGGCUUUGCUGUAUUGGCGGAAGUCAUUUUGGGGGCCGUUUUCGCGCUGGUUGUCGGAGUAGUUCUUGAACGAGUUGAGUCCACCGAGUCGACUCGUUCCGUAGUCGGAGAAGUUUCUGUUGUUGUAGACAGCAAAUUUAGCGUCUCUGCUGGUGCGUUGGGCGGAGAGAGAGAGAGGUUUGGAAUGACAGAGUAAGCGUGCGGCGGAGCAGAAGCGUGGGAGGUGCGCGGAGAGGGUGUUGUUGGCGGCAAGUUUGGCGAAGGUGGCGGUUUCCGCUACGGUGAGUGGAGAGGCCUUGGAGAGAAGAAAAUGUGGCUUUGGUGAUUUGUUGGUGAUUUUGUUGUCCCAGUAACGAAUUAAGAAAGCCUUUGGGGAGAAAGGAUUUUGGUUUUUAUCUCUGACGCUGGCAACCUGCAAUAUUGAUAAUGAGCAUGAAUAAUAGAAAUAUAUAAAUAGAAUUUGACAUUUUGUUAAUUGGUUAAUUGAGAUUUAAAAGAGUGGAGUAAGUAGGGAAGAGUAAUGUUGGAAGAAAAUGGAGAUAAAGAAAGGUGAUUACAGUGAGAGAUGAAAGGAGGAGAAGGAGAAAGAUGCGGGUGAUCAUGUUUAUGGACACUGACAGUUGUGAUGUGAAUGGUGGUGAUGGAGAAUUUUGGGUUGUGUACUUAUACUACUUAGCGGCGGCUGCUGCUGUCAAUAUUGUUCUGAUCUCUAUAUUGAAUGAAAGUUGCAGAUUUUGUUUGGAAUCAUAGUUUUCACUUUUAAGAGAGCCCCUGAAACUGAAAAUAGAUGUUUAGCAUUUCAAGCUUUAAGCACAAAGAGUGAAAAGUUGAAGGUGGCAAGAUUUUGGUAAAUAUGUCAACAAGUUUUGCAAAUUGGAAGGAAUUGGGAGGAGUUUCACUAAUCCCUCAUAAUGUGCCAAUGUAUCUCUAUACACUUAGUGCACUCAUGAAACACUUGGUUGCAUGUAAUUUUUUAUGACAGACAAGUUAUAUUACAAUAAAUAAUAGUUGGUUAAGAAUGAGAUAUAUGAAGAUCUUUAAUGAGAUAGAUCAACCAUUACAACUCUCAGAGUGGUCUUAACAAGAACUCUGUACUCAACUUUUGUAGAACUUUUAGAAAUAAUUUACUAUUUCUUAUAUUGCGUGAAUUUUCAACAUGUAAAAUGUAUUCGGUGAUAAAUUUUUUAGCAUUAGGGCAUCCUGUUCAGUCAAAGUUACUGAAGGGUUUGAAUUUAACUUCAUUGUUAGCAUUAAGAAAGAUUCCUUUUAGAUAAUGCAGAAUUCGAAAAGAAGCUUGAUGAUGUGCAGUUAUAGAAGCAGAAAAAGCUGACUAAGAUGAUGAACCACAUGUGUUAUAUCUUCACUUAUAUUAGUAAAAUAGAUAUGCCUCCCUAUAUAUAAGUAUUCUAUAGGAUGUAGGGUCUCUGUUAGAUCACGAGGACAACCAUUUGUUUAAUUCAAAUUUAGUGAUAAUUUUUAAUAUAUUAUUUUGAAAAAUAACAGAUUAUAUUUUAAAUAAGAUUUACAUUUAAAAGACUUAAAUAUGUUUAAAAAAAAUAAUUUAUCAAAAAUAAUUUCAAAAUAUUGUUUUCCGGAUUAAUAGAUUAAUUUACUGAUAUAAAAUUUAUUAAAACUAGAAACAAUUUGUAAUUGAAAUUUUUAAACUUUUUCCAACACACAAAACAAACCUCCACAGUCAAAUAUAACAACAAUGGAGAGAAAAAUAAUUUUACAUUUAAUAUGAUAGAUAUAUAUUUCAGAAAAAAUAAUCAAUUGUUUUAUAAAACAUUGAUUGUAUAAAGAUCAACAGAAUUUUAUUAAAUUGUUUAUGUUUCAAAUAAUUUUAUUAAUCAUAAAUUGAUACAAAUUACAACAAAAUAUAUUAAGAUUUGAUAUAACAAUCAAUAUCAAUUAUUUGAGUAACUCUAGUUUUACAGAAAAUCAAUACAAGUUUGGAAACAUCAAAAGAAAUAAAUUAUUUAAAAAAAACCAACAAAUUGAUCAUAUAAAAAAAAAUUAUUAUGUAAACAAUUCAUAAAGUAGAAUAAAAAAUAUAGAAAAACACCAAGAAUUUUAUAUUAGUUCACUCAUAUACAAAGUUACAUCCAAUCCCACCUGACACCAAGGUGAUUUUCACUAAAAACGAAAUUCUUUACAAGAAAAUACACCAAACUCUUGACAUAAUUGACAACAUAUGUCCAAAAUUGAGCAGAAACAUUAGAUUGAAAAUCAAAGUUAUAGUAACAUUUAAGAGGUGUUGAUGUUUUAUUUUAUUUUUUUUAUUAUCACAUUUUGUUUAGGUGUUUCAACAUAACUAGUUUGAUGCAAAAUUCCUUCAUAGCAGAUUCACACCCAUUAUUGGAUCUUAUGAUUUUAAUAGCAGCGGCAACCUGGUUUUUUACAUACGCUAUGAAAUUAACAAGAUGUAUACAUGUUUUAGACUUAUUAUGCAUUAGAUAAAUCCCAGUAUAAUGUGAGUAAUGAUCAAUAAUGAUAAAGAAAUAUUUAUGAAGAUAUGGGACAAGGUCCAUAAAUAUCAAGAUAAAUAACAUCAAAUAUCUUAGCAUGCAUGGUAUAUAUUUUGUGGAAAGGUAACUUUUUUGUUUGGUUAAGUGGCAAACAUUACAACCAUCGGUUCUAGAAUCAUUAAUGUGUAAAUACUUUUGCUCAAUCUAUUAUGUCAAAGAUUGUCGUUGUCAAUUUUACAAAUUUAAAUCCUAUCAACCAUAUUAAGUGAACAAUUUGAGCCUUUAAAAAUAUAGAGAUCAACAUGGAUUUCAAUUGUACUAAUCCUUCCUUUUAUUUUCUGGUCUUGGAUCACAUAUACAUUCUUUGUAAAAGGAUCAAUGUCAUGGAAGGAUACCAAUUUUGAAAUAAAAAUUAAGUUAUAUGCAAAAUCUAGAAUAAAUAAAAACAAAAUUUCAUUACUGAUUUUGAUUGUUCCUAUGUGAGUAGCUUUAACCUUUGUUCCAUUAAGAAAAUUAAUAAUAACAUAAUCAAUUUUCUUAUUAGAAUAAAAUUUAUCAAAAGAGGAAGUCACAUGAUUAGUGACUCCUGAAUCUAACACACAUGUUGUCACACUAUUUGUCUUAAAAGAAUUAAUGCUGAAAAAACUUUUACCUUCAGCUUAAAUAACUUUUACCUUGAUUACAAAAAUUUGGAAUGAUAACACUUAUUUACUUUAUAUGCAAUGUGCUUGUAUCUUUAUCAAUAUUUGUUUGAUUAAUCAAAGCUGUCAAAGCUCGAUAAUGCUAUUGAGUGAACCAUAUAUCUUGCUCAACAUUAUUAGAUUCUAUUUCUUGCUUUGUAUCUUGAGUCUUAGCCAAAUUGUUGUUUUCCACUAUAGUGCUCGUGACCAGGUAGAAAUCAUGCUUUAUAUAGCAAACAUCAACCAUGUGCUCACCUUUCACACAAUGAAUACAAACUUUUCAUUUUGUAGGGUUCUUGAAACUCUUUUAAGGGAACCCUUAUUUCUUAAAACAAACAGAUUCAUCAUAACUAUUCUUUCCACAAUAUGCACAAGAUGUUAAAAUGGUAGCAAUCGCAACCUUGAUUUCUAAUUUAGUGAAAAAACUAUUGUCUUUCUUGUUGCGCGACAUAGGAAUUUUUCUUAGAAAUGGGAGAUAUAGGAUCGAUCAUUUAGACUUCUUAAAAACUAUAUGUCACUACCUUUUAUUUUUCUCUAUGCAAUUAAAGAUGUAAUCCCACAAGAACAUCUCGUGUUGCAACUGCAAAUAAGAUCAAGUCUAAAGUUCUCUAACGCAUCCCAUAUAAUUAUAAAACUUUUGUAAAAAAAUUUGUGAUGGUAUAUUCUCUCUCUUUUAGAUAUGUGACCUCCAUUUGUAACUAUAUGCUCUUAAAAGGUCUCCUUGAAAAAAAUCUAGACUUCAAGUUGUUUCAUAUGUCUUGUGCUUUCUCCAUUCAAAGAAUGCUUUGUAAAAUAGGUGGUGACAUGGAAUGCAAAAGCCAUGAAACCGCCUUGCAUUACUUCUAAGCUUGAUAAGAUGCAUCAUCCUUCAAUGAUUCAAUAGUGAACCCAUUAAUAAGUUUGAGCUUGUUCUUUGCACUCAAGAUUGUGAUCAUAGAUCUACUCCACACUACAAGAAAAUUAUGAAAUAGAAACCAAUUUUUAGAGACCAAAAUAAUUAGUUACAAUAGUAACUAAAAUAGAGACCAUUUUGGAAACUAAAACAAAAAUUGGUUUCUAAAUUAGUUUAUAUUAUUUUCUAUUAUUGUUAAAUAGUUUCUAAAUUGGUAUGUAAUUAGCAACCAAGGUUUUAGAGACUAAAUUUAGAAACUAAAUAAUUGGUAGUUAAAACACUGGUGGCUAAUUAGAUACUAAUUUAGAAACUAUUUAACAAAAAUAGAAAAUAAUAGAAACUAAUUUAGAAACCAAUUUUUGUUUUAGUUUCUAAAAUGGUCUCUAAUUUAGUUACUAUUGCAACUAAUUAUUUUGGUUUCUAAAAAUUGGUUUCUAUUUGAUGAUUUUCUUGUAGUGCCAUAAGUGAUAGUUAUUAGAGUCAAAAACAAAAAAAACACGAGUUAUAGUUGAAUUCUGUGUAAGUAUAUAUAAUUAUGUAUAGAUAAAAGAAGAGUAAAUUCUUCGGUCAUCAUGAAUGCUCAAUUUGGAUCCGAGUGAACAGUUCACUCGGAUAGAAAGAUAUUGAUUUGGAGGAAGUAAGUAUGUUUGUAUCAAUUUAAUUGUGAAGAAUUGAAAGUGUAGAAAAGAGUGGAGGAGUUCAAAAUUGUUCCUCACAUAGAUGCUGAGAUUUGAGAGGAAAGCCACUUAAGCAAUGUCAUUUUCAUUUAAAUAGUAAAUGUAUUUUAUUUUUGUUACUUUUUUUAUUUACAUUUUAUUUGGUUUUGUAUUUACAUAUCUUUACAAAAUAUCAAUUUAUAAUUUAAAUUUAAAACUAAUUUUAAAAUAUAAUAAUUAAUUUAUUAUUAUUUAUAUAAAUAUUAUAAUCGAUUAUAUAAUAUAAUAAAAUAAUGUUAAAUAAUAAUAAUUAUUAAUAAAAAUAAAUAUUAAAAAUUAAUAAUAAUGAAUAUAUAAUCAUUUAUAAUAAAAAAAUAAUUUAUACAAUAAUAAUGUUGAUUAUAAAUAUAAAAUUAUUAUUAUUAUUAUUUAAAUUUGAAAUAAAAAUUACUUUUAAUUAAUUUUUUUGUAAUAAUGAAUAUUUAAAUAUUAUUUAUUUUUAUUUAAUGAUUUUUAUAUAAUAAAAAGAUUAAUAAUUAUAUUUUUAUAUAUAUCAAGGUUAUCUUCUAAAAAUAAAUAUUUUAAUUCAUUUUAAAUUAUUUUUCAAAAUAUUUUUUACAAUUUUGAAUAUUACAAUUAAAUUUAUAACGGAAAAAAUUUAUUUUUAUUAAAUUUUUUUACAAUGAUAAUAACUCAUAAUUCUUGUAAAAAUAAUUAUUUAACAAUAAAAAAAUAAUUUACAAAAUUUUAAUUAACUCAAAUCUAUAUAAAAAUAUAUCAUAUUUUAUUAUUCAAAUAUUUUUAAAAAAUAAUAAAUUUAUAAACUUACAUUUUAAACUUUUUAAAAAUAUAAAAAAAUUUAUCACGAUCAUCUCAUUAGUUAUAAAUUUUGAUAACUUUUUCUCACAAAUUGACUCCAACGUACCAUAUUCUAAACACAUUCAUUUUCAUUUUCUUCAUAUUUUUCUUUCACGCAUCAUUUUCCUCAAAUAUUCACAUAUUCACUUUGAAUCCAAACACAACCGAAAAAAUAAGGAAAAAAAACACCUGAAACCUUUUUUGAAGAAAGAAGAAGCAAAUCAAGAAAGAGAUUAAAAUAAUAAAGAAAGAGAAAGAGAUACCAUCUUAAAAUCCUUGUAGUCAUUAAAGAACUGGAACUACAUGUUAUCUUGCUUGCAGUAAAAUGUAAAAGAUUCAUGUAAAAUGAAAAGCAGAAUAAAAAAGAAAAGAAAAUAAAUACGAAAACUCUGUACAUGAAAAGAGCAUUUGCAGAAAAAAUAAAUUUAUCACUAAAAGAACAAAACAAUGAGUUAUAAAGCCGAAAACAAUAAAAACCGGAAAAACUACAAAAACACACUUAAGUGUGACUAAGCUUAUCAAAUUAAAUUAAAACGACAUAUUUAUUUAAAAUAAUAGUUUUCACUAUUAUGAGAGAAAUUAUGUGGUUAAUAAGAAAUAAAAAAAAAUAAACCUUUUCAUUAUAAAAAAUAUAAUAAAAUAAUGUAUACCAAUUUGUUGGGUUUACAUUUUGUACUUUGAAAUUUAUUUUCUAGAGUUUUCCAAAUCAACAAUUGUAUUCACAUGUUAUUAUAAUAUUUUUUUUCCCUUUUCUUCACUUAUAAGAUAUUAUAAUAAAUGUUGAAAGCCCAUUAUUAUUUGGGUGGGUCUCGACGUGUAACGCACUAUGUGAUGGCGGCUGAAAACAAGAACCAUUAAUUGCACUUUGUUAUAGGCCUUGCAUUUUACACUUCUUUUAUUUAUACAUUUUUUCGCUAUUUUUCUGAAGGCAUUUUUCCAAAUCAAGUUUCAGAAAUUAUGUCUCUAAAUUUAUUUAAGAAAUUUUACCAUUUUAACACGUUCUAAAAACUAAUUUUUAAAGUGUUAAGAAUUUUAAUAUUUCUCGAAAUUUAAUUUGAAAUUUGUUAAAAUUUAACCCUGGCAUAAAAUUUGUUAAAAUUUGAAUUGAAGCUUUAUGAUUUGACAAUGGCGGCUGGUGACACUGCUAUGUGGUACAUGAACUUCAAUAUAAAAGCACAACAAAUCUGACUCAAAGACCAAUAAUUUAAAAAAAAUAGUAUUCUAAAUUGUUAUUCUGAAAACAAUUUAAUAUUGGACUAAAAUUAUUUAAAUUUGGAAAACUGGAGAACCAAUGUUAUUAAAGUUUUAUAAUCACUUUAUUUGCAAAAUAAAUCAUAUUAGGAAAGAAAUAGAAUGUGUUAAAGUUCCCAUAAUGUUAGUUUCAGGAGUAAAUAAUAAUUUGUAACAAUAUCAUAUUCUAAAAAAAGUUUUAUAAGAAUGAUAAGUGGAUUUAAGCUUAUAUUGUUAACUUUAAUCGUGAAAUCAAAUAAUGGUAUUGUUAAUCAGUGAAUAAUGGUAUUGUUAAUAGGCAAGCCCUUUUGCAUCUAUACCUUCUUUCUACACCUUCAUAUAUAUUUUUCCUACAUUUUUAUAUAUUUUUUUAAUUUCAAUCAUAUCCUUCAGAGUAUAUGUUAGAGUUUUUUAUUUGUUUAUGUUUUUCAUUUAUUUUAAAAUUAUAAAAUCCGUAACACUCUUCUAUUAUAAUAUGUAUUUUAAAUUAUGUAAUUUAAAAUAUAAUUCUAAAUCCAAAAAUAUCUCUCAUAUUAUAUAAUUCAAAAUACAUGAUAAAUUAUAGAAUUUGAAAUACAUAUUAUAAGGUGUUAUAGAUUAUACAAUCCAAAGCUAUUAAAUAUCUUUCGUAUUCUAUAAUUUAAAUGAACUUUUAAAAAGUAAAUUAUUCUAAAUUUCUGGAUGUGGUCCAGGUGUUAUAGAUUAUACCUUCUAAAUUUUACAAUCUAGUCCAGUGUAAAUAGAAAAAAUAACAUUUUUGGAUUUUAGAAUAAUAAUGUAUUUUGUAAGAAUAAAAUGGUCUUUUCGCCUGUAGGGGUGUCAAGAGAAACUAUGAAGGUGCAGGAAAAAAUAGCCAUCCGCAAAGGAGGAGGCAGGGUAUGUGUGUGCUGGGCUGGACCGCUAUAUUUUUUUUCUUACAUCCCUACAUUCUUCUUCCUGCACCCAUAUAUUCUUUAAAAUAUUGAAAUUAUUCUUGAUAGUUUUGAUGAUUUGAAGUAGAGAUUCUAUAAGAAAAAAUGUUUCUGGAAUAGAAGUUUUAUUAGUAAAAGGUGUUUUUGGAAUAGAAAAUUCAGAAGACAAAAUUAUUUCAGAAUAUCUAUUCUGAAACAUAUUUUUUUGUUUUUGGUAUGAAAAAUUCGGAAUUCAUAAAAUAUGUUCCAAAAAUAUUCCAGAAAAAAAAACCUGAAAGCCAUUUUUAAAAGGGUUAAAACAGUCUUUUCCGAAAUUGAUGGGUACAGGAAGAUAUUUGUUGGGAUGAAGGAAGAAACACCCAUGCGUUCUUUGGGGAGUUUCUUUCUGCACCCCUACAUUUUUCUUCCUGCACCCCCACAAGAUUGUGCAAAGACAAAAGUGUCCCUAUAUAAAUUGUACAUUUUUUUUUGUAUUUUGGAUUAUGAAAUCCGGUAAAUUUUCGGAUUGGUGCUUCCGGUAAAUUUUCAGAUUGGUGCAUCCGGUAAUCUCCCGGAUUGAUGCUUCCGGUAGAACAUGAAUGAUAGUGUUAAUCCAAAAUAAAAAAAUGCAAAACAUCCAUAUUUGAAAAAAUCAUUCCAGAUCCGUCAAUCCGUAAUUCAAAAUAUGCAUUCAGAAUUUAGAAAUCCAUAAUUGAAAAAAAUCAUUCCGGAUCCACCAAUCUGUAAUAGAAAUUAGGCUUCCGGAUUCAACAAUCUGGAAAUCAAUAAUUUAUACAAACUUUGCUUCUGGAACACUCCCUCAUCCAGAAUGCAACAUGAUUGACUUCCGGAUUGAUGAAUCCGUAGCACACUCCCAAAUCCCAAAAUAGUGGGGUCAGUUUCGAAAUUUACAAAAUUGUGGGGGUGCAGGAAGAAAAAUGUAGGCGUGCAGGAAGAAACUGCCCGUGCUUUGUUGUGUUUGGGUCAUGAAUUAUGGCCCAAGCCUAUGAUUCUUUUUAUCAAAUCUAUUUUGGUAAAUAAAUUAAAGAAUACAAAAAUUAAGUGAAAGAAAAGAAAAAGAAAAAGGCGCGAUGUGACAUGUUUGAAGAGCUUAGCUCCACAUACUAAUAAUAAUAUUAUUUGAUUUAGUUUUAUCAAUGGCCACUCUUCCUUACUACACUCUGCAUCCUCUAUCUUCUUCUUCCACUUCGCUUCACCUUUCUUCAUGCUCUUCCACACGUUCUCCUUCUUAUCUUCUCCAAUUCCCCUCCAUUCUCAGACGCAAACCCACCAAGAAGCCCAGGCUCUUCAUGAUCGUCCACCCCAUUUUGCUCUUUAACGGCGUCGCCACCACUUUCUAUUUCGACACCCAAACUGUCAUCGUUACUGUCAGUGUGUUGGCCGCCAUUGCUCUUUCUCUCUUCCUUGGCCUCAAGGUUCUUCAUUUUCAUUCUUUUAAUUAUGGGCUUCUCUGACUUCACAUAAAAAUCAAAACUUUUUUAUUUUCCUUUUUAGAUGUAAUGUAAGACUUACUAUACUACCCACAUGCAUUUAUUGUUUAUGUAUUCAGUUAUCUAUUAUUUCAGAAAUGUGUUCAGUUUAGCUUAUCAUGGCUCCAAUGUUGCUAAUUAUUUCCUUUUGUUGAAUGAUGUUUUUUGGCUUUGAUUAAGACAUUUACUUCUGCUUAGUGCUUACUCUCUGCUGCUUCAAUUUUGGUUUUGGAAAAUUGUGGAGUGGGAAUGAUAAAUGAGAUAAGUGAUGUGAUAGAAAACGUUGAAAGAAAAAAAUGUACACUUGUAAUUAUCUUUUGAAACUUUUAGGUUUUGAUUUGAUAAAGUGAUAAACAUUUUUUUGGGAGGGGUGGUGGUCGUGGUGAAUGUUGACAACCUACCUCAUUCAGAAGUGUAAUGUUGUAUUCAUAUGCAUAAUUGCAUCAACAUUUGCUUGUUGGCUACUUUCUAACAGUAACACUGUGGGUUAAAGUUGAUACUUAUGUUUGGUAACGAGUGAUGGGGUUUUGCAGGGUGAUCCGGUGCCUUGUGAGCGAUGUGCUGGCAACGGUAAUUAUCUUUCUGCAUUUGAACUUAAACAUUGUUGUGCUUUAGUGUUGAAUUUUAGGGGAAUUAUUGAGGCAUGAAUCAUGAUGGUAACAGUACGAGGAAUAUUUUAGAUAUUGGUAACGAGGAUAUCAUUAUUCAUGUGUUUAGGACCUUGACUUGAAUGACUGUAGUUUGUGGGAUAAUGAUUGUUUUGGCUGAGGAUACUUGUGGUCUGCUUGAUUGAGCAAGUGAGAAGGUGGAAAAUAAAAACAGUUUUGAACUAAAGUUAUUGGUGAGAAUUGAAAGGAGAUUGUUUUAUUUCCCACUCUUCGUGUUUUUGUUAUACCAAUCAAAUGUGUAGUGCUUUUCAUGUGAAAAUCUUCACCUCUUAUUUCCACCUAUUCAACCAAGAAGACAUAUAGGGGCAAUUGGUUGAAGUUUCAAAAAGUAUUCCCAGCAACUACAUGCCUGACUAUUGUAUUUUCAUAAGGGGAGUGCUGGCAAGUGCUUGGAUGAGGGUAAUAUGUAGAAGUUUGUGGAUAACAUAUGAUCUUCGAAUUUUAUGCUAGAUGACAGGUGUUGUGUUUCUCAGCCACUAUAAUGUAUGGUAUAGAGCAUAAAGCUUCUACCAAUUGUUUAUGCAUUAUAAGAUUGCGCUUCUAUUAUCCCAAUAACUUCAAAGUUUUCUCUUCUUACCCCUUUUCACGUAUGCUUUCUUCCUUCAAUAAUUAUAUCACUGUGAAUGGAGAUGUACUCUAUGGCAAUAGGUCAUUUGGACUGGAUAAAGAAAGUCUAGUACCUAUUUUAGUGAUGGUUAUGAAUGAGAGAUCUACUUUCUACUGUCAUUGUCCCUCUCACUAUUGGGAUUCCUGUAAGUCUGCAUUGACCUGCGUUUUUACAUUGCAUGUGAAAUUAAGGGGAACUUGUUUUAGUAUUGAAAGAAGAUACUAUAUUUUGAAUAACAUUGGUGACAAACAGGUGGGACAAAAUGCGUGUUUUGUGACAAUGGCAAGAUGAAGCAAGAUACGGGGUUAAUUAACUGUAAAGUAUGCAAGGGUUCAGGUAUAUCUUUCUGUUCUCAUAUGCGUAAAACAAAUUAUUAUGAUUGCAUUUUCUUACAUGAAUAUUUUGGGUUACCACCUUUAAGAAAUUGUUUGAUGUUGGUAUGAGAAAAUCAACAUAUUGUAUCCCCUCGAGGGGAAAAGAAGAGAUUAUACUCUUUUUCCCCACGUUCAACAAUGUCUUACUUAAGGUCUUCCUUGUUCUUUCUGUUUAUGCAUAUGUUUCCACCUUAUAGGAUUGAUAUUCUGCAAGAAAUGUGGAGGUUCUGGCUAUUCCCGUCGGCUAUGAGCUGUGAAAUUCCUGUUAUAUAUUAAAACCAUCUGUUCUGAAAUAUGUAAGAUCUUGUAACAAUUUUAUUGUUCAUAGUGUUUUUUUUCUGUGAAUCAUUUUAAUCAAGUUAUUCUGAAGCCCUUUGAGGUCUUAGCUAUUGAAUCAGUCAAAUUUUGAUCAUAACAGGUAAAAAAUGGUUGUAGUCAUGUAAAUUUGACUAGGGGAGUGUUUAAUCUGGUUUUUUCUUCUUCUUGACAAUGUAAGUUAGGUAAAACAUGCUUAGAAAAAAACUUAAAAGAUUAACAAACAUAGUUUUUGUUUUUACCAAAGAAGCAUAGUUUUUGUAAAAGAAAAGGAGGGAAAAAGUAGUUUCAAAAACCAAACAAAGAGUUGUUUUUUAAAGAAGUUGCUCACAGUAACUUCAUUUUGGGUUUUUAUUAAAAAAGUUAUUCACUGAUUUUUAUUUUUAACCAAUUAGUUAAAAUUGGACUAGUAUUCGUAUAUCGUAUUUUGAUCUCGUCUAUUAUUUUAAAGUGUUUUUUUUUAAUUAUUAUCAUUAAGUGAAUAUGUAAUGUUAAGUUUAAUAAUAUUUUAUUACUUUUAGUGAUAACUAUCUUUUAUUAUGAUUUUUAUCUUUUAAACAUUACUCGAUAAAAAUAUUUACUAAAAUUAAAAGAAUUAUCGAUGAUUAAAAAUCACGAAAAACAUUGAUUAUAAAGAAAAGCUUAUUUAAUCCAUUUAUUUGUAUUAGUCUUUCUUUAUUUAAGUUCUAAAAUUAAUAUAUCUGAUAUGAAGGCUAGCAUUCUAUGGGUUAGAAUCAAAUUCUUUUUUUAUAUUAAUAGAAGAAAUUAUCGACAAAACUUAUCAUUAAAUCAUUAAGGGAACUAUCCAAAAGUUAUCUGAUAAAGUAAUAUAUAUAUUAUAAUAAAAAAUUAUGAGAAUAUUAACGUCUUCUCUUUUAAUUUUAAUGAAAACUUUUAUCAAACAAUACACUAUUAAAAAAUUAUUUAAUAAUUAAUUAUUAUAUUGAUUAAAUUAGAUAUUAAAAAAUAUUAAUAUUUAAACUAAUUUUUAUUAUUAAUAAAUAAUUUUUAAAUUAAUAUCUAAUUAGCUACUAAAAUUUUAGUUACCAAAUUAAAAAAUCAGUAGUUAAUAGAUAUUUAUUUAGAAAUUAUUUAUUAAUAAUAGAAUUCAUUUAAAUAUUAAUAAUUAUUUUAAUAUUUAAAAUAGUAUCUAAUUUAAUAAAUAUAAUAAUUAAAUAUUGAUUUUUAUCAAAUGAUUAUCUUAUAAUGAUGUUUGAAAGGGAAAAAAAUCAUUAAAACAAUUAGUUGUCAUUAAACUUAAAUGUUAUUAAAUUGAACAUGUGAUUACUUAAUAUAAUAGUUGAAAGAAUGUAUUAAAAUUAAAAUCAUAGACAAACCAAAACAUAAUGUAAUUAAAAAAAUUAAAAAUCUUUUGUAUUGAAAACAAAAAUCAUUAAAAGUUGAAGGGAUUGGACUUAAGUUGAUGAAUAAACGUUGACAAAUUAUUUGAUAAUGAUCUGAAAAUAAAUGAGUUGAUAAGUCAACAGAAACUAUCAUUAAAAAGCAACACAACUUAUAAUUAAUUAUAUAUCAUACUUUCACUGUUAGUAUUAUUUGGAAUUGCUCUGAAGAGUCUACAUAUUUUUUUUGUCCAAUUCAUUUUCCACCAAACACGGUGUAUACUGAAUAAGAAUGCCAAUAAUAUAUCAUUGGGCAAACACAACAUCAAAUAUUUAAUAAUAAAAAUGUAAGAAAGAAAUAAUUCAAAAAUUCUUCUACAAUUGUUCAUUUCUCAAAUGAAAUAAAAACUCCCCAUUUCAUUUCACCUUCUGAAAUAUGAUGCACCCAUCACUUUUCAUUCCAAACCAUCACAGUUUUAUUUAAUUUACUCUUAUGGCAUAAUUUUUUGUUAUCAUAGAACUUAGAUUAAAUCCUGCAUAUAUUUUUUUAUUUUAUUUUAUUAAUAUGCAUACUUUUAGUUUUGACUAGUGUUUUAUAUUGUGUAGUGUAUAAGAUAAAUAUUUAUUUUUAUGAAUUUAUUAUUGUAAUUCAUAAUAAAUGUAUAAAUUAAAUCUUCAAUUUAUAAUAAAAAAAUUAAAUGGUGAUAUGAGAUAUUUCUAAAUUAAAAUGGAUACCCAUUUUAAAAAAAGUGUAUAUAUAGAUAUGACAGUUUGAGACGAUUUAUAAAGAUAACUUUUUGCCAAGUCACAAAAAUAUACUUGAAAUGCACUUUCCUAUAAAAAGGAGAAAGAAUUACAAAAACCCUUAAUUGUAUAAGUACUUUUUUUUUAAUUUGAAUUUUAGUUCUUUAUUUAUUUAAAUAGUUGCAAGAAAAUACAUUAGAUUUUUUUGAUAGAACCCACCACCUGAAUUGUGGUCUUAUUAUACCAGCUAACCCUCUCAAAUCAAUACCACGGAUGGUUUUAAUGGAAUUCAGGUUCUAAAUAAAUUUAAUCUUUAUUUAAUUUUUAAAAAUGAAUUAAUUAAUGAAUCCGACAAAUAAUUUUAAUUAUUUGACAAUGACGUGCACUAAAAUCAUUUAUUGAGUUUGGUUAUUUUCAUGUAUUAAUAGGGAUGAUAAAUCAGACAAACAGGUUAUUUUAAUUAUUUGACAAUGACAUGUACUAAAUAAAAUCAUUCAUUGAAUUUGGCUAUUUGCAUUUGAAAUAUCCAAAUUGUUGUCAGUUGACAGAAAAAGGUGAUACUAAAUUUGCAAACUACUUGGUACCAAACCCUUUUGCAUCCUUUUUUUUCUUCCAAAACAGUGAAAAAACAUGUAGUUGGUGUCAAACAGUAACUAAAAAUUUAUUCAUAUAUCAUCUACAUGACAAAAAAAGUAGUAGUAAAUUUGUGACAACAGAUCAGAAUGUCAAAAUUUGACCUGAAUAUCUCUGUUAUAUACUUCAUUGAAAAUUCACAUGCCUUUGAUUUAUAUACAGGAAAAGGUAGCAGAGUUAUGAUAUUAUAUAGCAAUGCUACCAAUAGUGAACUUCAAAAACUAUCUAAUGCUAGUUUUAUUCUCUGCAUUAAACGUGAUUUUCAUCACAUUCAAACUCACUCAAGAUGACAAUGAGCCGCUAUGUUUGCUUGCCAAUGGUGUGUGUGUUCCUCCGGGACUGGCGUUUUGUUUGUACAACUACUGGCUCUUGCUCUUCCCACUUUUCGCUCAUUACUUCACUAUCACUAUCAUCAUCACCUUUAAAUACAGGAUGGAUAUAUGCACUCUGAAGGAACUCUUUCAAAUUGAAGUUUGGCUCUCUUGCACGCUCCAAUGUGUCCUUCAUCAUUGCUUCCUGAAGUUUCACCAAAAGAGAGGAAAAUUAACACGAAUUUGGUGAAGAAAUGGGUGAGCUAAGAUGCCAUGAUCAAGAAAAGGAUAAAAAAAGCAAUUUCAAAACAAAUGGUUUCUUGCAAAGUUAAAAGCUGUAUGCCAACAGUGUUGCAAUAUCAAGACCAACCUGUAAUGGAUGCUUAAUGAAAGCAGGUUGAUAUCGUCCCUUGCAAUACAAAUGGAAUGAUAUUGUCAAAACUGGGAGAGUGAUGAGCAAUGGAGUUGAGUUAGCAGCUUCUUUUGUACUCAAUAAUCCCAUUAACAGAAGCUGUGAGAUCACUAAUGCAAAUAUGAUACGUCCAUGAACAUCAGGCCAGAAUGCUGCAGCACUCUCAUACUCUUGGUUGUAGACAUUUAUGAUCUGCCAUCAGAUAUCGUGCAUUAACUUAGAUAUUAAAACUCAAGUUGGAACUCCACUCACAUAGUAAAUAAAUGAGAAGACUUUUAUGUUAGAACAUACUGUUUAAGUUCUACGUAACAGUUGAAAUUUUAAUAAACACUUGCUAAAAAAUUUCAGACACAAACUAUGAUAAGCUUGCAUUGUAGGUAACAUAAUUUAUCGUUCAAAAGCUAUGGUGUAAGUAUAAUGCCAUAAUAUUGUAGAACAUUUUAUGUAAUCAAUUUUAUGCAAAUACCUUGUGCCAUGUUUAAGUUGAAUAAUCAUACAGAAUUUUUUGUGUGUAUGUGGCCAGUUUAUGAAAACAGUAACUAAAUGUACAGAAACAGAAACCUGUCAUGAACCAGCUUUUACCUGAUGACGGUAGACGACAUAUGCGAAGCCAAAGAACACUAUGAUGUAUGGAAGAAGAAAUGGUGUGACCACAGCAUACACAAGGCCAAGUAAGAAAUAAAGUUGUAUCUGAGGUUCUCCUGUAUUGAAACCAAAGGUCCCUGGAUCCAUUGCUUCUUCACGAUCCUUUUCAGUCUUCACUAAGAAGAAAAUUUUCAAGUGAUAAAAUAUCAAUGGCUUCAACCUUAAAAUCUCACCAGCACAUCCAGCCCACCCAUCCACCAUUAUGUAAGUUAUGAAGAAUGUUGCCUUCAUUGGAAUUGAGACACCAACUGUUAUUGGAAUUCUGCAUACACAGCAUAUGUUUACUUUACGUUAUUGAAAGCUAUUUGUGACGGUUUAUAACCUCACUUUUUUACUUCAGGUUAUUAAAACUCUAGAAUUAGAAGAGUUUGCCACAAAAUACCACUACUUAAAAAUGAAGAGACAACCAGAAAUUCAACCAAACACUUGAUUUCAUGUUGUUCAAUCCUCAGACAUUUUACACAAACAUAACCUUGCAUGUGCGAUUCGCUAAUCUUAUUUUUAACUCAAUUUUCAUGAGGAAAAAAUGGAAAAUCUGGGGAAUGCCAAACAAGUUUAUACAAUAUGACUGUGUCUAUACUUCAGUUGAAUCAUGUUUAACGUUAAUUCAUUGUGAGAGGUGGAUUGAGUUGAACGUUUGGAAAGUGAAAAAUGGGAACUGAAUGGAAAACAAAGAAGCACAUGGUCAUUAAUGAAAGGAUAUUUUCUGUGAUUGUUUUACUAUUAUCUAAUUGACUGUGUUGACCAGAAGAAUGAGCGAAAAUAAUUAGUUUCCAAGAUAUAAUUUAUUCAAACUGAAUUGCUAACAUAAAUGAAAGUUAAAUGCAAUAGUAAUAGUAGUACUACGAGGGCUUACUCAUUUGCUGACUGGUGGAGAAAUUUAUCUAGCUGUUGGAAUGCAGUCCCAGUAAUUAUGCUCCCAAGAAAUACAUUAAUGAACUGGAAGAUGUAAUAUCUUGUGGCUGCUCUCAUUUCCAGAGAAGAAGUGCUAAUAUACCCUUCGAACUUGGACAUCAUCAUCAAUAUUGAUGGCAGAAAUAUGAGAAAUAUCUUCAAAGCAAUACCGGGAAGGAAACCUUGUACGAAAGCUUUUAUGACUUUCCUGGAUAAAAGAGAAGCAUAAGAUUAGUUUCCACCACAGACACCAUUAAGAUAUCAAAGAGCAAUACAGGGUUAUCAGUAACAUAUUCUGGGUUGCGAUCAUAUUAUGUUCAAUAAAUUUUGUUCAGGCGGAAAUAUGUAUUAUGCAAAAAGGAAAAGGAGAUGAUAUUAAAAAUAAUAGCACUUACAUUUCAAUAAAAGGUUUAAGGAAAGGUGCUGCUUUUUCAAUGCCUUCAAUGUUAGCUAAUGACUGAACAAAAGCAAUGGGGAUCAUGAAAAAGAAUGUCAGAAAGAAGAAAGCUACAGCAAUUAUAAGCCUCCUUAUUGUGAGUGAAACAUAUGGUAUUGCCAUGUUGUCCCAAUACACAUCACGAGGUUCUGGAGCCCACUCAGUCAACCAUACGGUUGGAUUUCUGGACUGUUGUGUUUGCGCACAAACAGCUGCACCCCAACGAGUUCGGAAGGAAACAAAAGCCGCUGGCAUUAUAUAUUUAGGAUUCUUCAUCACCUUAUCUUUCUCUAACUCUAUCUGAAAGUGCAGAGGAACAUAACACUCAAUCAUUUUCUUAAAAGAAAAUUAGUUAACAACUCAAUAAUCUAUGAUGCAAGAAACAUAGAUAACAGAAAAUGGAUUUGGAGAUGUAUAAUGAUGAUGAUCAUAAGCGAAUAUUUGAAUUUCAAAGAUGAGGACAAAUUAUAUCACUGAUGGAAAACACCUCUGAUAGAAGGAUCUCUUAUUCUGUUUUAGGUGAAAGAAAAUCAUUUCAGAUAAGUAUGCCUGCCGAUAAUUAGCUCAGAUCUCUUCCAUCUUUUUUAUUUUCACAAUUAAGUGGAAUAAAAUUUCUUUCUAGUUAUCAGCAUUGUAAAAUAAACAUAGAAAGCACUGCUUACUUCUUCUGAUAAUCUGUCAAUUUCAGCAGUGUAAAAAUCAAUUGCAUCCACUCGAUCACCCCAAAGACCUAGACAACCAGUCUGCAAGCAAGUACAAGAUAAUGGAAUUAUAGUGCAGGCGAAAAAAAAUUGGAAUGCCUUUAGAAAAAUAGCAAGAGUUUAUGCUGAAAUUUUUUAAAAAUGGAAGAUAGUUUAGAACUCAUAAGAACCAGAUUAGUGAAAAUGGCAUACCUUUUUAUAUGGCCUUGUGGAUUGAUUUCUAGAAUAUUUAAGUUCAUAGUAGUCAAGCCAAUUCUGGGUUUUCUUCUUCUUAGAAACUAGACUAGAAAGUUUCUUUGCAUUGCGAACAACCUGCAGGAAUAUCUUUAAAAGUAAGAGAAAAACAAAAACAAAAGUACUUCGUAGGAUAAAACAGAAUGAACAGUCUGUGAAUGAAGGGUUAAGACGGAUUGAACUUGAUAUCAAAGUAUCAUUAUAUCAACAGUGCAUUUAACAUAAUAAAUCUUGGUUGACUUGAUCAUGCUACAAAGAGAAGAGUUGACAUAGGUAUCGCCAGAAAGUUUCUAGCCCAAUAAGUAAUCUUUAGCUAACAGAAACAAAACAGAAGAGGAAGUUUGUCAAAUAUACUAUGAGAAGCUAUAGUACAAUAAAACCCAACUAAGAAAUAUGUAUUUCUUUGAUUAUAACCAAUCCUACAAAAAGGAUUAGGAAAUAACUAUCCAUUUGAAUAAAACAAAAUUAAUAUAAGGAUAUAAAUGGUAAAUAUUGUUAAUCUGAUACACUCAAAUGCAAAAACCAUAUUACAAGCUUUGAAACAAAAAAUAAUAAUUAGGCAAGUGUGAUUGUAAUAAAAAAGGAUCAGACCUGGUGAGUGAGAUAGUGAUCUGGAUGGUUGACCAAAAAGAAAUGUUCCACUAGCUCACUAACUGAUUCAUCAGGAUCAGGUGGUACAUUUCUAACAAGUACCUGCACAGAUGUAAAGGACAAAGUUUAUUGUCACAAGUUUUUCUUCUAUAUUUAUGAAGGUACAAUUGGAUCGCUACUUGAAAGGACAGUCCUUUUGAUGUAAGAAGGUAGGAGAUAUGUGGACUUUACUAAUCUUAGGAUAUAAAUCCUUAUUACAGAAACAGUGGAACUACGAGUAUGAACAUAUCGUCUUGUUCAGCUAUAAAACUUAUUCUUACUGUAAAUUGGUCUGGACGGCGUCUUUCUGAUGCUAGAAAAUGCAAUCUCAUUGUUGCAACUAUUUGAUACUCCCUUUUCAAGAUAUAGCAUGUCCAGAAGGUAAAAGCAUAGGCCAUUACCAAAUGAGUCCAGAAUCUGCAAUUCAUGUAAAAAGCAUUGGAAGAUAAUCAUGCUUGUUCGAAAAUAGGCAGUUACUUCAGGAAGAGAGUAAGGUUCUGCAAGUAGUUAUUAAUUUGUUUCAACUUGACUUAGAAGAUUUGCAUGGAAUACCAGAUGUAUAUACCAAUUCACCCACUCUACAACAGGGACAAAAAUGAAUGUACGCAACAUACUAAUACUAAUGUGCAAUUCUUUAAAAUUAACAAACACAUAUCAAUAGAAAGUUCAUAUCAGAUGAAAGAAUAUGUACAAGGCCAAAGGAAGGUAGAAAAUAAAGCAAACAAUCCUACCGUUGAAAAGUUUGCAUACCUAUUUGAUCCGGUUGGAAUAUUUGAAAUAGAAAGCUUAUCAAUCUCACUAUAAGUCAAAUUGGAACGCUCCAAGGUGCUAUUUGUCCAAUUGACAGGAACCAUAACAGAAAAUGCUAGGAAUGCAAUCGGGACAAAUAUUUUCAGCCUGCAUUUCAAUCGGGUAAGAAUACGCAGUUAGUAAAAAAAUCAAAAGACAUAAGCAAUGUUGGAGCUAAAAACUGGGGAAAUUCUGAAAAACAAACUACCAUUGGAAGUGAAGGAAAAAACAGAUGAGAAAGCAAGAAAGCAAUGAAUAGUUGACAUCCACAAAUGCCACAAAGAAUGAUUCAUCAGAGCAUACCCAAGUAAGUAGAUCCUCAAGAAAACAGCAGAGUCCAAGCCUGCAUGGUCAAUUAGUUCAGGUUCUGGCAUUUGCAAUGCUGAAGGCAUCCAGCUCAGGAAACUUAUAUAUGACUUGAAGUCCAAAUUGACAAACUUGCUGACAAAUAACCCUGCUUGCAAUGGACUGCUCCUUAAACCCUUCAAAUACCAUUUUGGAAAAUACACCCUAUCGUUUAUAGGUUGAAUUCGAAGUAAGGCAAAAGCCAAUAAGAAAGUAAAUGCACUCAGGAUGUUAAUUGCUGCUGCGAGUCCGAUAUCACUCAAAGAAGCCAUAAGCAUAUGACAACUUAGAAGUAAGAAGCUACUCCCUGUAAAAUAUACAAAUAAAGCAUGAUGUCAAAAUCAACACCAUUUCUUUAUAAGCUUUGAACUUAAAAGUACAACCUUAUUUUGCAGCAGUGAUAGGUGGAAGACAAAGCAGACAAUGACAUGAAGAUUUAACAUCCGAUUUGAAAUAAGAACUGAUGUAAAACUGAUUUUCAUGUGAUGAUAUAGACAAAAACAGAACCAUAAUAUUAAAAAAAAAAGUUGUCAAGUGGGAGAGGCUGAAAAGUCACAGUCAAAUGAAGUUUUCUCUUCCCCAAAUUUUCACCCAAAGUCAUAAUCAAGUGAGGAAGUAACAAUCAACCCUUCUACCCCAAAAUCUCUCGGUGGUCAAACUAUAAUCCACUUCUAAACAAAAGAAUGUCUUUCUGUUAGGCAUAACCGAUCAUGAUUCUGAAUUCCCAUUUUCCAUGCAAAACCAAAAAUUAAAGCCAAAACUUAAUGACAUAUUUUGUUCUUCUAACCAUCUUAGCCACCAAUCAACAGAAAACAGAGUUCAGCACCCAGAAAAAUUCAGCAUUGGAAACCAAAGGAACUAAAACACAAUGAAAAAAAAAAUGUCCUUGAAUAUUACUACACAAUAGAUCCACUCCAUUGGGGUACAUUACCUUGUCUGCCACAACAAAUUCUCCGAAUAGAAAAUGAAAGACGGGAGAAAACGAACUGAAACAAAAAGGUAAAAACGAAAGGAGUAGUUUUUCAACGCAAUUGAGAUGAUCACACUGCCACUGUUAGUUCAACCGACCACAGGGAGAAAACCCAAAAGCCAGAAAGUCAGCAAUUAGCAAAAGUUACAAACUUUAUGGCAUUUCUUUUCAAAGGGGUGCGUUAAGGAUUUAUAAUUUGUAGCGGCACGUCUUAGUCAGGUGAGGUAAGAUUCGUGCCUACUCAUAUACACCAUGUCGACCAUUCACUGUAUAUAAUAAAUCCUGCAUGUAAAAUAAUGAAAAGCAAUUGAAAACAAAAGCUUUAACUAAAAGAAAAUUGGAUUGAUAAAACAGUGAAUCAAAUUUGGAUCAUUUCAUGAACAUAUGGUGAAAAGAUAUUUUACAAAUUACAAUUACUUUUUCUAAUACAGUGAAUAUUUUCCAAUUAGUUUUGUUAUUUUACCUUUUAUAACAUGAUCCUAUGAUGGUAAGGGAAUAUGAAACAAAAUUAAAAUAAAACAAUUAGGAUUUUGAAUUAAUAAAAUUCUGACAUUAAAUUAUGUUUGGUUGGCUGCACAUGGCACGAGGAGGUUGGGUCGGAGAGAGAGUAUUAUAGAAAGAAGAAGAUACUGUGUCUUUGACGUUUCCUUUCUUUUCAUAACGGCUACUAUUUUUUUUUUUUUGCUUUUGUUAAUUCACUACAACAGUUUAAAAAGCCAUGGCCAGCCAAAAUGAGAGGUUUUUUUUAAAAAAAAAAAAGAUAUUUUGAUACUCCACGUUUAAAUAAUUAAAAGAAAGCUUAUUUAAUCUUAAAUAGUGAGCUUGAAUUCAAAUAUUCUUAUUAAUUGUUCAAAAUAUUUAUAAAGUUAGUUUUGUGAUUCAUAUUAACUUUAUUUGACUCAGUGAUGAUUGCCUUCCAUAAAAUAUACAUAUAGUUUAUGGUAAGAAAAUUGUUUUUUUAAGACUAAGGGUUUUUGAAAUUAAACUCUAAUUAAAAAAACAAGAAACGUGUAAAGUUGCACAUUAAAAGUUAAACCGAACAUAAUUUUUAAUUCAGUUGAAGAUGUGUACAGUUAAACUUGUACAAUAAUAGUCAUCAAAUUUUAUAUUUGAACACUCUUUAUCUAAGUAACUUCAACUCUAUUAUUUUAAUUUAAGUUGUGACCUCUCUUAUAUAAGUUUUUAAUUUUUGACAAUUAUUGUAUUAUUGAGACUUAAUUCUGAAGAAUUUUGAUUUUACAGUGACACAUCCCUUGAUCGUUGGUAUAAGGUUUAACGUUUCAAAUAAACCCGGGCCCACGUGAUAAAAUGUUGAAAGCAGUUAUUGAGAUAAGUUUAAAGUUUUCAAUUAAUGAAUAUGUUUAUUGUUUCCAUUGUCAAGUGCCUAUUAAACAGUGUAGAGUACAUGAACAUCAAGAUUUUAUUUUAAUUGAACCAUAAAAAAAUUAUAUUGUUACAUAUUAAACGGUGAAAAAUUUGUAAUUUCUGUUAUAAAUAUUACAUUAAUUAUAUUCACAUAAUACUUUUGAUAUAAUAAAUUCAAAUAAUAGAUCAUGCAAAUGUGUUUAAAAAUCAUAGCUUAUCGACUUUAAUGUAAAACCUUUUAUAACUUGUAUAUGAUGGGACUUCUAUUUAACAAAAGCCUGUAAUAUUUCUUUUCAUACUACACAACAAAAAUUUAGAAGACAUAUCACCAAAAAACCAUGUAUCCAUAAAAUUAUUUAGAUAAUAAAUGGAAGAUAGAAAUUUAUAAAGUAUGUAACUCUUAUUUUAUAUAAUUUUAGUAAGUUGGGAUUCUAAAUAGGAUGAUUAACUGUAAAAAAGUAAUAAUUAAAGAUUAAUAUAACCGCAACAUGAAAAAAUAAUGGACUUGUAAGUAAAGAUUUGUCUAAUCUAAAAGAUAUACUUACUUUUUACGUCAUAGUUAAACAAAACAAUAAGGUUUUCAAUUACGCCUAAAUAUAAAAUAAUUAAAUAACAACUUAUAGAUACAUAAUAACAAGUUUUAAUAAUAACGUAUUUUGUUAGCUAAGAAAAAAUAAUUUAUUGGAAAUAAAUAAACUCAUAAAACGACAUUUAGCAACCUCAAAUCACAUCUUACACCGAAUUAAUUAAUAAAUAUUGCAGGUUAUACAUCAGAAAGCCAUAAUUAAAUAAAUAAUAAUAUUUUUAUAAUAGUAAAAUAUCACUUAAAAACUUCUCUGAUGAUAGAAGUUAUAUAUAUAUAUAUAUGAACAACUUUUUAUUAAAAUAACAAAUGAUAUUAUAUUAUAUUAAUACAAUACUUUCUAUUUUUAAUAUUAAAACUUUAACAUUUAAUAUUAGUUUUCUUGGACUAUAAUUGUAUGUUUUUAAUUGGAAUUUAUCUGAUUGGGUUUAUUUGGGCUUUAACGGUGUUUCUAUGCUGUAUACAAUUUAAUUCUUGGACAAAUUCUUCUUGCACCUUCAUAUCUUUCCCUUGCACUUUCAUACUUUCUUUUAAUUUCAGCAAUGUCUUCCCGAGUAUGUUGGAGAGAGUGUGUUACUUUUCUUUUCAUUUACAAGGGGUGGUGGUGAUGGUUGUUUGUGAUGGGUGACGGUGAACGUUGAUAAUUGAGAUAAGUUUUGUAUUGCUUUUACUAGUGGUAGCGGUGUUUUUCAUUAUCUUUUUUUUUCAUGUUUUUGGAAGCCACAAAAUCCAAAAAAGAACCAACAAGGUGUAAAAGUGAAAUACAACAUAUCUUAUUAUCAACCCUCUUGUACACGCUCAAAUGAUGAGAUUUCUCUCUCAAACACUACAACUAAAGAUAAUGGAAGUGUUGUGGCUAGAAAAGAGAUAUGUUGAAAGGGAAGUAUGGGGGUGCGAGAGUUAAGGUUAUUUAAAAAUGUGGGGUUAUGCUUCAUUUGGAGUUAUUUAAACUCUUAAAAAUGUUAAAAUCGACUUUUCAUAAUUAAUGUGGAAGUGGAGGAAGAAUUCACCAAUUCUUGUUGCAAUAGAUGAUCUUAUGGAAUAAUUUGCUCCACUGAUGCACGUGGACUUCAUUAGUCAAAGUCCAAUUCGUUUAUUUAAAAUAGAUUUAGAAACAAAUUAACAAAAUUUGAAAAUUAAAAAACAAAUAUGAGAAAAAUAUAAUAUUAGAACUGAAACAAAUUUUGAAUUCGAAACCUACAAGGAAAAGAAACUUAAACUUAUAAAUGUAUACAAGCAAGGGGAAGAUUAUAAUCUAGUUGCGUUGUUUUUUUAGUUUUUUUUUUCUUUAUAAAUUAUCUUAGUUUUGUAUUUACAUGAAAGCCUAAACUUUAGUGAAUUGAUUAUCUUAUGAUCUAACAUUGAAUUAUAAGGUUUUGUGAAAUUCACAUUUGUUCUUCAAUUUCUAUAAUAGAUUGAUUGUGCUAAACGGUUUUAUCUUUUAAAUUCUAAUUUUGUUAUUGAAAUUGUGUUUGAACGUUAGUUGAUAAUUCAGUUUUAUUUUUUAAUUGAAUUUUUUGUUUUAUUUAUUUAUUUUGAACAAUAAUAUGUUUGCUAAAUUCAAGAGUUAAAUAACUAAAAUAUUAUGAGUAGAAGCUGAGAUACGAGUGAGGUAUUAGUACACCUUUGUUUUUUUAGUUAUAUUCUAUUGGAAUUGAUUGAAACUUUGAUUAAAUUUGAUUUUGAUUGAAAAUUUGGAUGGAUAGAAAUCAUAUAACAACUAAUAAAGAAUUUAAAAAUGAAUGGACUUGGAACCUCAUUUUAUCCUUAUUUUUUUUAAUUAUUGCACAACAAAACUUCCUUUUUACUUAUUGCUCUUUUUAAUUAAUAUUUGUUUACAAAUAAUAUAUCAAUAACAUUUAACUGAGAUUAUAAUUAAAUUGAUGGAAAAUAAUUUGGAUUGACUAAUCAUAUUUAUAUUCUAAUUUUUUGACUUUUGAUACAAUAAAGAGUCUAUAUUAAAUAUAAAAUAAUUUAAGACACUACCUUAAACAAUUUACACUCUUUUAUUUGAUUAAAAAGGAGAACUAUAAAAAAAAAUUGACCGAAAAGAGAAAAAUAGUUCUUCAGUCUCUUUAAACAACUCCUGAAAAUACGCUUUGCGUCUAGAAAAUGUUUUCUAUCUUAGACUCUAACACUAUCUCCUGCUACAUAUUUUUAUAAUAAAGAAAGAUGUUCUAUCUUUUUUACUUUUACUUGUAAUUAUAAAAACAUACUUUAUUUGUAUUUUUUUCUGUUUUCUACGAGUUUAUAUAUAGGAUAAUAAAAAUAGAAUAAAAAAAUUUGUUACUAUUUUUAUACAGGUGUUUUAAAAGAAAAAAAAUCAAAAUAAAGAGACACUUUUUAAUUUAAAAAACACGUUUAACAAUCGAAAUAACCCUUAAAAUUUAAUUAAAAAAGAUUACAGAAAUUUAUUGAUAACGUUAAAUGUUAUCCUGAAUAAAAGAUGUAAAGUUUUGUUUUCUUAAAUAAUGUUGCCAAGAACAUUAUUUUAUGAAAGAUUUGACUGGUAUAACAUAAUGGUUUUGUUUUCAUAAAAAGCAUGAUGCACUGAUGAUGAUACGAGAUUUGAUGUAGUUAGGAGACAGUGUAUUACGUAGUUGGGACUUGGGAGGCCCAAUUGAGUGACAUAAACUGGGGGCAUGGGCUGGGAGGUUGUGGACCAGUAUGGCCCAAAGUGUUGAAGAAAUGAUUGAAUUAAGAAAGGGAAAUGAGAAAAGAGAGAGCUAAUAGAGAGACAAGAAAACUGAAUGGACCUCCUUUCUUGUGAAUUGUCCUUUCUUUAUAGCCCAUCAUUAACAAUCACAACACCCAUUACUCAUUGCAAUUACCUGCACAAAACUUUUCUUCACACAUUUCUAACGCCUACAAAAUUAAUUCAUAACUAUUCUUCAUAUAAUAUUAAAAAAGUAAAUUUCAUAACUGUUUUUUAUAUAAUAUGUUUUAUCAAUAUACAACACAUAGUUAUGUAUUAAACUCAAAAACAGUUUAUAUACUAAAAAAAACAGCGUUUUUUCCUCACCCUACACCAUCACUUUCUUCUUCUUUCUUCCAAAUCACUUUCUCUCUCUACCAACUUCUUUCUUCUCCCUUUUGUCUUAAUUUCUCACUUCAUACCUCAUCUAUUUUAGAAUUUGCUCGGACCACGUUGUAGCAGAGAAGUUAAGGAACAUUUCUACCCGAUCAGAUUUUCAAAUAGAGUAAGUUCAUUUUUGCUCUAAGAUCCUUUGUUUUCUGUUUUUCCUUAUGAUUUAAUUAUCAAUCUUGGUGAGGUCAGUUGAGAAGUUUAAUCCUCUCAACUUAUUCUACUAUAUACUGAAUUUUUGUUCUAUUUAGAUAACUUGCAUUAAGCCCGUAAAUCUUGAAACUUAUUCAGACAGUGGGAUAAAAUUAUAGAAGUUGUUUGAAAAGCAAGCAAUUAAGGUAAGGGAAACUAAAUUUAAUUUUUAAUAGAACCCUAGGUUAAAAGAUUUGGAUGUGGAGGGGACGUGGUCCCAAUAUUCAAUUUCUCUUGCAGAUGUUGUUUGUUUAUAUAUUGUGUUUGUUUAUAUAUUAUUUAAACUUUAUAAAUAUUAUAUUUUGAUAGUUAAAUAUUGUUUUUGAUAUUGGAAAUGUUCUUGAAUGAUAUGAAUAUUUAAAUGUUAUAUGGUUGAAUGAUAUGUAUUAUAUAUGAAUGAUGUAAAUUGUAUGAAAUUGAUCUCAUACAUUUAGGAUAAUGUAUGAGUUGUUGUUUGCUGGUACAUUAAGUAUGAAAAGUCUAUGUUUAACGGAGAUCCUCUGGUUUCACUAAUGAUCUAAGUCAUGUAGACUAAGAUAUUAGGUGGUGAGAAGCUGAGAGGAAGUUCAUACACACUGGAUCCCGCUGUAGACACUCGGUAUUGGAUGUUUGAACUUACCCUGAUCCUUUCUAUUGGAUUCGCUGAUAAUCUUUAUAUCAGGUGUUAAUCUCUGGUAGGGGCAUACUUAAUGAGUUUUUCGGAAGACGAAGUGGGAUUGAAAUGAAAUCCAAUGAUUAUGAUUGAAAAUAGAUCCAUGUGUGGUCUAUAUGAAUGAUGGAAUUAGUAUUGAAAUUUUACAUGAAAUCAUUUAAAGAAAUGUUUAUAAAUUAUUAGUCUAAAUUGGUUCUAUUUUCAUGAAUUAUGUUAUGGAUUUUCUUUGCACUAGCUUAUCCUUGCUUUUCGUGUUGUGUUUGAACUACGAUGACUGUACUAUGUAUUUGAGCUAUAGAUAUGUAAAUAUUUAUAUUUCUAUAAAUCUUAAUCAUGUAUUAUGAAUGUUUUGAAAAACUCCAAGUUUGUAUAGAAAUGGAUAUAACUUUUAUUGUAAUAAUUAUAUGUAAAUUAUGAGGUGUUAGAACAUCCUCCAACUGAUUAAUGUCUUUUACGGAUAAAACUGUAAUAGAGCAUUAACAAAUUAAAAAAAACGGUUCAAUGACAAUUUUAUAAUAAACAUUAUAUUUAUUAUUGUUAUGUGAAGUUAAAAUUAAAACUUAAUCUAAAAUCAGCAGAAUAAGUUAUUUCUCAAUCAUCAUCGACACGAGUUAUUUUUUAGUAAUCAUCAUUUUUUAAUUAGGUUAUGAUGUUAAUAAAGAAAAUCUUGGUAAAUUUUAAUUAAGAAAUAAUCUGAACGAACAUAGACAAAAAAAAAUGUUUUAUUUAUUUAAUAUAUUAUUUAAUACUAAAAGUUUUUUUUUUAUAUUUUGUUUAAUUGAAAAAUUCUAAUCAAACGAGUAAAUUUAAAUUCAAUAAAUUUGAAUGUUUUAUGAAAUAAAAUAUUUUAAAAUUAAAUAAUUUUGAAUUUUUUUUAUUCAAAUUAAUAUAUUUAAUUUUUAAAAUCAUAAUUCUUUUUGUUCAGAAGGUUAAAAGAUGCACUAUGGAGUAAACAUUUUUUCUCUCCACUAAUCAAGGGAGAGAAUUAAUAAUUCAUUAACAGUGAAACAAAUGCAAUAUCUUAGCAAGUAUCAAUGAAAAAGAAAAAUUAACUAAUAGUUGCAAAAAAAAGGUUUUGUGUUAGUAUAUAAUUAAUUAGUGUCUUUAUCGAUUUAUUAUGUACAAUCUCAUCUCAGUAAUACAUAUUUGAUACUUUAAGUUGUUUAUUGAUACUAUUGAUAGCAUAUUUAAAUCCAUGAAAGAUACACAUAGUUUUGUCAUGGGCCAUUUUUUGGGGAGGGAUUAUUUUUGGCCAGUGUUUUCUUAAUUAUGCUUUUAAAGAGUAAUCAAAUUUUAUUUAUAAUUAACCUUAUACAGGUGUUAAUUUGCCCAGUCUAAAAGUUCAAUUGGUUGUGAUAUUUUAUAAUAUUAAUUUAGAAGUAUAUCAAACUUGUCGAAAGGUUAAGUUAUCGUGAGUUUAGGAUUAAUGGUUUAUUUAGAUUGUGUUUCGAGGUGUGUGAUUCGACAUCUCAAUAUCUAAUAGUAUAUUUUUAAUUAACGAUGUUUAUCUGUUAAUUUUUACAAUAUUUCAUAAAAACAUAUUUCCAAAUAUUAUACCAUGAUAGUUAUAACUUAAUGUUAUUAUUUUGAAAAUAAUAAAAUUAUUAUCAAAAUCAGAUUUAUCUAUUUAUUAAAUGUUGACGGUGAUUUUUUGAGGUGAUGUUGAGUUUUUCCGGUUUCAUAAAAUAAUCUAAACACAAAUGAGUUAAAUUUAAAUUAUUUUGAUAAAUAAAUUAAUCCAUUAUUAUUAAAAUUUUGAUAAUAAAAUCUUAACAAUACAAUAAAUACGAAAUAUUAAUUUACGAUUUCUAACGAAAAUAUAAUUUAAAAAUGGCUGUGAGAAUAAAUAUAAUAUAAAAAUACUAUUUUACCCUUGUCAAUAAGACAAUGUGUGAACGGGUUCUAUAUAUGUUUUCAGCAUUUAACAUUUAUAGUCUAACAGCGUAAAGUCUUCUGACUGUGAACGUGAAAAUUAUGGUUCAGACUUUUAAAUGUUUCUCACACCACACAUGAUACACGCACGUCAACAAUGUGUUUGCACCACUGCAAUAAUCACAUUUUUAUAUGAUCUCACAUUUAUUUUGAAAAAUAAAAUAUUUUUAAGCUUUUAGGUUAUGUUUUUUUAAGAAUUUGGGAAUGUAGUAUGAACUCCAGAAUUGGAUUAAUUAAAAUCCAAUUUUUAAAGGUGGUUAAUCUUGCUAAAUAAUGAAAGGUGUUUAAAAUUUUAUGUAUUUUUCACUUAUGUAUAACGUAGUAUUUUUAAUAUUUUCUUGUAUAUGUUUUACCUUAUUACAGUACAACUUCAAUAAAUUAUAAAACAAAAUAAAGAAAAUAUAAUUACUAUAAUAAUGUACUUACCCGUCCAAAGGUUGAGAUACGUCUAAGAGAUCGAGGCAACUAAUGAGCAUUAUGAACAAAACGGCCUAAUCAAUGAGUCUUAAAUGAUGAGUGACUAUUUAUGGAAUAAUAAAUAACAGUUAUGUGGUCAAUCUAAAGGACUCGUAACUAUUAACACAUAGGAUACCACCUAAUGAACCUAUAAAUAUGCACUCUUUAAGAAGUAUAAUCUAUUUUAUCUCAUACUCUUAACUCUCAUAUUGUUAAGAACUUAUCAUUUUUGUGCUCCUACUGACCUAAGCAUCGAAAAACCAUUUUCAGGUGAACCUCCCUCUCUCAUCGAAGACUAACUGAAAGCUUGUUCCCUGAGAAACAUCUUGUCCUCAUCGAGUUGCACUCCUGGAAUUCAUUUUUGGUAGAAACAUUUGGCGCUCGCCGUGGGGUCUGACAAUUUUUUUUCCAAGACCACCAUAACAACUAGACAUACACUCUUAACAUAAGUUUCCAACAAGAUAACACAAACCAACAACUCGAGGCUUUCCUCCGAAGGAGUGAGGAAAACUUGCAUAGAACCAUGAGGGACACCCUAGGCCAAAUGUAGGAAAAGAUGGAGCAGGACAUGGUGUCCCUGAAAGAACAACACAGGGUAGAGUUGCUAGCACCGCAGGACCAGAUGGCCUGCAGGGAUGGUGAUCACACUCAGGAAGACCUUGAAUAUUCGGGCCAUAUUGUAGAGUCCCAGCGAAACUCCCCUAAGAACUCCUCUCUUUGGGAGAAAUCGGCGUCCCGCACUCACACUAGGAGAUCAUCUUGGAGGAGGACCCUGACAAGCACCGCUCAGGGUACAACGGGGCAGGAAAGAUGGGGACACGAGCACCAACCUUCAAGGCGAUUCACAAUCCACUGAUUAACCGCAAAUGAAGGCGAAUUUGAAGGGUUUCCACCCAUUUACCAACGAGGUCAUGGGCACCCAGUUAGCUCGGAGGUCGUGGUGGCCCAAUUUGGAGAAGUACUCGGGAACCUCCGAUCCUAAGGCCUACGUUAAGGCCUAAAUGGCACAUGCUCACUUGUUCUCGAAAAAUAUGGUCGUGCAUUGCAGGCUGUUCCCCACCACUCUGGCAAGGGUAGCCCUGGUUGACUCUUUUGAGUUCGUGUGGCCGAUUCCUGACUCGAUUUGCAGAUUGUAAGCCCAUAAUCACAACCUUAGCAUCCUUGCACAACAUGAUACAAGGAAAGGGGGGGGGGUGAUAAACAUAUAUUUAUUCACAAUCAAUAGUUUUAAUCAUAAAUUAUUGACCAUAAUAAUAAAUAAAUUCAUUCUUUUAAUUCAAAUUCAUAUAAUUGGGUUUAUUUGGGCCUUAACUAUUUUUUGUGUAAAUUUUGUGUUUUUUAUAUUAGUUUGAAGGAAGUGUCUACCUUUGUGAAUGAGCCAAAUAUGCAAAAGUCCAACUUGCUUCUUUGAAUCAAAACAUAAAACAAAUUUUAAAGAGAAAUAGGAGAAAAUAAAAUGUACAAUAUCUCAUAAACAAAAUUGGAAACAAAUCUUCUGCAAAAUACAAGAAUUCUGGAAAGUUGGAAACUGAGAGAAUGUUAACAAAAUUUAAACCAAAAUAUUUUUCCAAGAUCCUUGGAGCAAAAAAACCUAUAAAAAGACAUAAGACUUAAGGAGAAAGGGGAGAGCUUCAUAGGAUUUUCUUAGUUUAUUUUCUUCUUUGUAAUUCUUUUGUUUCGCCUUAGCAUGGAAGGCUAAACCUUUUUGAUUGAUUCUUUGUAAUUUCCCAUUGAGUUCUGAGGUUUUGAUCAAUAAAAAAUUCAUUUUUUAAUUCUCUAUAGUAGUUGUUAUAAUAUUCUAAUCUUCUGGAAAACUGGUUUUUCUGAGAGGUUAUACUUGAAUGCAUGAUUGAGAGUCUUCCUUAUUUUAAACUUUGGUUUCUUAGUUACUUCAUAUUGUUCUGAUUAAUUUAUUGAGCGUAUGAUUCAAGAGAGAGGAGAUUAACAUUCCCAUAGAGUAUACGCAUGGAACAAAGUAGGUACUGAUUAAACUAGUAGACACAUGCUUUAUUGGUGAGUUUCAAUUGAACAAGAUUGACGCAUAUUCAAUCUAGUUUAACUCUGUUGGAUGAUUGAGAAAAGAUUAAUUUUUAAAGAACCUGUGAAGAAUUCAACGCUGAAAGAACUUGGGAUCAACCACUUUUUAAUUACUAUUUUAAUCUCUUUUAUAUUUUUUGUAGAACUAUCUCAACCCCUUUUUAUCUUUAUUGUUAUUGUUAACUUGUAUUGCUUGCAGAUACUUUCUAAACAUUGAUUUACUAAUUUCACUAUUGGAUUUGCUAGGAGACGACUUGGGGUCAUCUGACCACGAUUACACUAUCAUCUCUCCAACGUAAGACAGGUCCACAUUGGAAUCAUUUUAAUGUGACAGCAAAACGACAGCUAUUAGAGGCUUGAGACAGUACAUGGCCAAAUUUUCCCGGGCCACGCUGAACAUACUCGACCUACAUCCGACAGUGUUCAUGCACGCCUUGUCAGUAGGGUUACGUCCAAGGAAAUUCUUGAACACGUUGUAUGUUAAGCCACCGAAAGACAUGGACCAACUACGGGUUAGGGCGACAAGGUAUAUGAACAUUGAAGAGAACGUCGACGCCUACAAGAAGGCGAUGAAGGCAUCAACCACGAUGACCUUCCCUAGUUAGAAAAGAAAUAGGUCAGGGAAGUUUGAGAGCUACACUCCUCUAAACGCCUAGAGGGAGAUUGUACUACAGGAGGCCUGCAACUUGGAGCUGGUUCACCUACCAUCUCCAACCUAUAACAACCCCCUAGGGGAUUGUAGCUACCACCGAAACCAGGGGCAUAACACAAGAGAAUGCUUCAAGGUAAAAGACCUCCUUGAAGAACUUGUUAGAUCGAGGGCCCCGUUUCAUCUACCGGGUUGAUAACACCCGUUGUAGGAGGUCAAAUCGAGGUCACGAUAGGGGCAGGUUAGGACGAGGACGCGAUAACAAAGCAAGAAGCUCGUGCUGAACUGACACCCCAGAGAAGAGCAAGGCAAGAACCACCCAACACGAGAUGGGGAAUCCCAUCAAGAGCUAGAGAACCAGGAGAGAUCCGGGGUUAGCAUCGGUUGGGGAGAAAUCAACACUAUCACUGGUGGUGGCCCUACCAGCUCGACUAGAAAAAGACAUAUCAAGAGUGUCAAUUCUAUCAGUCUCCUACCACCACGUAUUAUGCCAAUAUCCUCUUUACAAACAAAGAUCGAUCCUCAGGAACAUCCUAAUCUCGCGAGUUGCACUCCCCAUAUUCAUUUCCAGUAGGAACACUAUAUAAUAAACAAAAAUGCAUAAUGUACAUAUAAACUAGAAUCGUAAACAUGUAUUUAAAAAAUAUACUAUUAAUAUAUAACAUAAUAGAAACACAGAACCAAUUUAAACUAGUCAAUUCCUUAGCGAUUUGCAAGGUUUAUGCCUUUUGUUUUUGUCACUCUUACAUUUAACACAACUUCAACGAGUGUGGCAAGCCAUUGAGGUUUUCCAGUGAAGAAUAAAUGAGAGCCCAAGAUGAUUCCAAAGAGCAUCCCACAUGCAUAUCCCACUACCACAAUUUCCCACCCAAAUCCUAAUUCUUUAUGAUCAAGUGUUGAAUGUGGUGACAAUUUUUUAUCCUCAUUGCAUCGUUUUGACAAAGGGUUUCCACAUAACAUUAAAUUUCCAGCAUAUGAAUCAUUUUCAAAUGUGUCAAAUUGUCCACCUCUAGGUAUCAUUCCCUCAAACUGGUUUUGUGAAAGGUUCAAGACCGCCAGAAAAUUCAAAUUACUCAAAGCCAUGGGAAUCUCACCUUUCAACUGGUUUCGUGAGAGAUCCAACCAUUCCAAAUUUCUCAAAUUACUCAAAGAUUGUGGAAUGGUACCAGUGAUUUCAUUGUGGGAAAGGUUUAGCCCUCUAAGGGAAAGCAAUUCUCCUAUGACUUUUGGAAUUUCUCCUUCAAACAUGUUGUCUGAUAAAUCAAUAGUUGUGAAAGCAGUCAAUAUUCUCACCAACUCCAUGUAUUGACCUUUCAUUACGACCACUAUAGAAUCAUUAUAGGAUUCGUGAAUAUCCAUAUAUAACGAACCAGUUUGGCUGUCACUCACGUUCUUCAUUCCUUGAAAGUUCUUAAAGUAUGAUGUUGGCAAAGGGCCACUGAAACUGUUAUUAGAGACAUCAAAUAUUCUCAACAUGGGAAAUGGAUGCUCGGUACCCAAACAAGUGAUGACACCAUGAAGUUUAUUUGAUCGUAGACUAAGUACCUGUAACUCUUGCAAAGUUUCCAGCCAAUGGGGAAAUGUAUCCUGAAUGUCAUUGUUUCCAAGGUCCAAAACUUGGAGCUUUGUGCAGUGAGCCAAAGAUUGUGGUAAUGGUCCCUUGAACCUGUUGCCAUUCAACUUUAUUGUCUCAAAUGCAUUUUUCUCAGGAAAGUUCUGAGGUAUGUUUCCGUAAAGGUUGUUCACUUGCAAAUCCAACACUAUAAGAAAAGGAAAUGUUGCAAGGCAUUGUGGAAUGUGUCCUAUCAAGUUGUUGUGAGCCAAGUUGAGUAUACGGAGAGAGCUUGCGUUGCACAUUGUUGAAGAAAUGUCCCCAGUUAGCUCAUUAUUUGAGAUUAGAAAGUAUUCUAUACCACUGGGUGGAAUUGGAAGAUCUCCCUGCAGCCUGUUAUAACUCAGAUCAAUAGUUUCAAUGUCCUUCCAGUGCAAGAGUUGCUCACGAAAUCCUUGGGGAAUGCUUCCACGAAUUUUGUUAUUAGACAGAUCCAAUACUACCAUAUUUUGAAGAAUUUCUAAGAAUUUUGGAAAAGUACUCAUGUUACAGGAGGAUAAAUAUAAGAAUUGAAGGUUUGGUAAGAUUUCAACACUACUAUCAAAGUUGAUAGAGAUAAAAGUAUUGUGUGAAAGAUCAAGUAAAAGUAGAUUUUUUAACUUUAAAAAUCGGUGAGAAUCCACAAAACUAGUAAAAUUAUUUGAUGACAGACGCAAGUCAACAAGAUUUUCCAUUUCAAAUAUUGAAUAUGGGAUAUUACCUUGCAGUUUGUUAUUAGAGAGAUACAAAUAUUCUAAAGAAUAAGUCGAGAAUUCACCAACUGAGCCUGUGAACUGGUUGCCACUGAGAAACAACCGUGACAAGGAUGGAAGAGAAUAACACCAACUUGGAAUUGUCCCAUUUAACUUGUUAGCAGUUAAACCCAGAGUGUGUAAUUUUGGAAAUUGAGUGAUUGUAUGUGGAAUCGGGCCAACUAACUCAUUAUCUGAUAAAUCUAAAAGAGAAAGCUGAGUCAAAUGAAACAAUGAUGAGGGAAUCAAUCCAUCAAAUUUGCAUCUAGAAAGACUGAUAUGGUUGAAAUACUUCGAAUGACCUAUGGAAUUAGGAAUUUGUCCUGAGAAAGCAGUGCCAGAGAGAUCCAAGUACCUCAACAGAAGGCUCAAGUUAGAUUUUGGAAGCUCACCUCUUAACCAUGCAUUAGAUGAAAGAUCUAGUUUUUGAAGAUUUGGUAAGCAAAGUAUGUCACUUGGAAACUUGCCUUGCAAGUUGGUGUUUGAGAGACUAAGAGAAACCAAAGUGGAAGAUAGAUUGGUUAGCAAUGACAAAGAGUUCUCUUUGAUAGAAAACAUGUUCAUGCCAUCUAAAUGGAUCUCUCUUAACUUAGUUGCAUUGUGAAUGAGUUUGUUCCAAGUGUAUGGAUGCAUUCUGAUAGACAAGUAUAUGGGCAUAGGAUCAUCAACUAGUCCCCAGACAGCACUGAGAUCAAGUGAUACUAACUUUGACAAGUGAGAGAUUGUGGAGGGAACAUCACCACUGAUCACAGAGUAUGAUAAAUUUAGAUACACGAGAUUCACAAGAUCACCAAUUCCAGAAGAUAGUGAAGACCCAGAAAAAUCAUUGUAGGCUAGAUUGAGUUGUUGAAGGUGCCUUAACCUAAAGAUGGAGCUAUUGGGAUGGAAUUGACCUUGAAGAUGACUGCAGCUAAGGUCAAGAGCAAUCACGUGGCCAGACAUGUCGCACGUGACUCCAUUCCACUGGCAACAAUUUGUUCCAUUUGUCCAAGAUUCUGUCUUGGAAGAAAAAGAGGAACAGACAUCAAGCCAUGAAUAAUAAUGGGAAGUGUUGACAGUAAUUGAGUUUUUGAAUUGUAACAAGGAAGAUUUAUCAUGAUGGUUGCAUGAACAAGUGUAAGAAGGAAAAUUUAAAGCAGCAAAUGAAGCAUAACAUAGGCCAAUAGAAACCACCCCAUAUGGGAGAACAACUUUCUACAAAAUACUUUUCCUCUUGUUUUUCUUAUCUUCAAGUAAAAGACUUUGAAUGCAACCAUGGAAGAACUUUAAUUUAUAAGCUAGGUGAGGCUCCUAGGAUUAAUCAAAUUUAUUAUUUUCUCUUUCUCCAUUUUUUUUAUCUACUUUGGGAUGUAAUAAGACAUACAGAACAAGCCAUCACACUACUGCAACCAAAAUUUAAAUAAAUUUUAUGGGAAAUCAAUAAUGAUUUUAUUGAAAGUAACUAAUUAUUAUAAAAGAGAAAGAAAAAGGACAAAUACAUAAAAACAACAGCAAAGGUUGAAUACUUUUCAUUGACAUUAACUUAUAUCUAAAUAUAUAGAAACAAAAAAACAUAGAUAAAGAACAAAUAAGUUGAGAUUAGAAGGAGAUGUUAGAAAAAGUGCAAAAAGAUAUAAAGCUCAGAUGUGUCACGGAUCUUCUGAGGAUCAGAGGAGUGUGAUGAACCCAUCCAUCACUGUGGACACAGAUUCGUCAUAGCUAUGAAAUGCACCAGCCGGGAAUCGAACCCGGGUCUGUACCGUGGCAGGGUACUAUUCUACCACUAGACCACUGGUGCUUCUGUUGGUAGGAUUUUCCCUCUUAUUAAUAAUUUCGAUCCUUAUCAAAUUUAUUUUGGUUUCCUUGAAUUCAUUUGACAUGAUUAAAUAUAAUAGUUAAACUCUCAAGAUUAUUUCACCUAGUAGAAAUAAAUCUUCAAAUCAAUAAUUUAUUUUUAGUGUUAUUUUAUGAAGAAAAUUAUAUUUGUAGCUUGGAAAAGUAAGAGAAUAUUUAGAGAAAAACGUCUGAACAGAUAAUAAAAGUUUUAAAACUAAUAAUUAUAUACACUAAAUAAAAAUCAAUUUCAGAGAUAAAAAAUAAUUAUCCAUUAUAUUUAUUAAAUUAAAUAUUAUUUUAAAGACAAAAAAAUAUUGAUAUUUAAAAUAGUUUUUAUUAUUAAUAAAAUUUAUAAACUAAUUUUUAUAAUUGGAAUCUAAUUAACUAGGAAGAUUUUAGCUAUCAAUUAUUUUAAAUUCUAAAAUUAGAAUUAAAACUUUGAUGUUGAUUAGACAUUAAUUUAUAAAUUAAUUUAUAAUUUUUUUAAUAAUAUAAAUUAUUUUAAAUACUAAUAAUUACAGUAACGCUACAAUGUUAUGUGGUAACUUUUUAUUAAAAUAUAUACAUAAUAUGUUAGUGUGUAGAUUUUUCUAUUUCUUUUUUUAUUAUUUAAAAGCGUAAAUUGUAUGUAUGAUAUAUAUGUGCAAGUUUUUCAUUCUUAGUGAUUCAUCUAAACUUAUGUAUAACAUAUAUUUACAUUUUUAUUUUAUAUCAAAGAAUUUAUUUUGAAUUAAAGAAAAAAUAUAAUAAUAAUUUUAUGAUUAAUGCAAGUCUCAUUAAUUUUUUUUUAAAAUAAAACAUAAAUUAUCAAAAACAUUGUAAUAUCUAUACAUAAUUACAUAAAUUUAUCAAAAUAUAAAAUACUUAUAUUUUGAAGAAAUAAUAAUUGUAGUUACGUCUAAAUUUGUAAGAUGUAUUCGUAUAAAAAGUUAAACAAAAGUUUGAUCAAAAUGUUAUAAAAAAUUGCAACAAAUUUGAUCCUAAGGAAUUGACUGUAUGGAAGAAGCUCAUACAAAAAAUAUUGUGUCAAUUCUAUCAUAGAUUGUAUUUGUAUCCACAUGGUGUAAUAUGCACUCAUGUAGAAAAUUACACUAAAUGUUGUGUAAUAUGCACUAAUGUAGGAAAUUACACUAAAUGUUGAUAACAGGGAUGUGACUAAGCCCACAUAGGUCGGAGAGAUAUACACAUAUAGAAAAUUCUUUAGUAACAGGGAUGUUGAUAACAUUUUGUUUAAACUCUUUAAUAAUAAUAUAAAAGAACACUUAUUUAGUCUUUAGUAAAUUAUCACACGUAUGUUUAUUAAAAUAAAAUUAAUAAUAAUAUAUAAUUAAUAAAAUUAAAAUUAUCACAUGUUUAUUAAAAUAAAAUUAAUGAUAAUAUAUAACUAAUAGAAUUAAAUUUUUUAUACUAAGAUUAUAUCCUUUUUAUUGUACUAAAAAUAAAAUAUGUUAAUAUUUAUUAAUUUAUUCUAAAAUAAUUAAAAAAAUAUAGACAAUAUUUAUAUUUAAAUUUAUUUAUUUAUUUUAAUUAAAAAAUUAGUAGAUGCUUAUCUUGGCUUUUGAGAUCACAUUAGUAUGUAUUUAUUUGGUAUUUUAAUAUUAAGGUUGCUUGUAAGAAACUACCUGGUAAGCUAGAUAGCUAAUAAAAUAGAUAUUAUUUUUCAGAUUUUAUAUAGUGAGCUAAUUUCUAAUUAAUGAUUUUUUUAAUUAUAUGUUCUAAACUGAUAAAUAGCUUAUUUUGAAGAAAACAUAAAACCUCUUUAUCAUGCCACACCUGAGAACUCACAACAGCUUACACUAGUAAUCACUAUUUCGUCAAAUAUUAGUACAAUAAACCCACUUGCAGCUUGCAAGUGGUUUCUUUAACCAAAUAUUCAUAAAAGAAUUGUAAUUUUUCCUUCUGCAUAGAACAAUUGUAAUCUAAAACAUACUGCACCAAACAUUUUCCACAAAGAAAGAGAAGCAAAUCAUAAUCAUAGUUUCUUACAUCCGGUGUAAAAUAUAUCAACAGCCGGUUGCCCAUUCUAGAACAUAGAGAUGUUUAUGCUCCACCAUCUACCAGUCUUCUUGUGCUUUAAUUUCCUUCUGUUCCUAUUCAUUUCUAUUUAUUACAUAGAUGCAUGCAAUCCUUCACAAGUUUCUGUUCUGAAAUAUCAGAAUUAGCCUUUUUGGUGAACAGCAACUUGGUGAAUGUCCAUGUCCUUCAACAUCACAGAACGCCCACAAGAAUCACAGGGGGCAGUCCUGGAACCACAAACACUCUCAUGCUCUGACAAACCUCUUAAUCUGUCACGGACAUCCAUGGCUGAAUUCCCAGCUUGAACCAUAUCACCACAAAACCGGCAUGAAAUAAGACGCAGGGGGCAAACUGAAGCUUGAUGCUCCAUCUGGUAAAAGGAAAUCUUAGAUACUCAGUUUUUAUACAAAUUCACAACAAAAGACAAACUUUAGGAACCCUGCCACUCCUUAAGAUUAAGAAAUUAAGAUACACAUUUCAAGAAUUUCUAUUGACCUCUUAAUUAUUUGUAAUUUCUAUGCCAAACCUGUUCGUUUGAAAUACAUCCAUCUACUUAAACCUCUCCAAAUGUUGUUGAUAGGCAGUAAACCCUACUCUCCAAAAGUUUGGGAAAAAACAUAGGACAUUUUUUACUACCAAGAUAUAAAGAAAAUUUGGGAUUCCUAUCAUCUGGAAUAAAAAUGGAAAGUAGGGAUGUGUGUGCCAGCCGUCAUGCCAAAUAUCACAGUUUAGCUUCUCCUUUCUUCAAAAUUUGAAGUCCCAUCACAAUUCACAUGAUAGUCCGUCAAUAAAAUGAUUCUAAUAGUUGAGUUGAGAGUAGAAAUAAAUACGAAUAGAGGAGGCUUACUGUUCAUUGUUCAACAUAGACAAAGGUAGUCGUAAAAACACAUGGUUUGGUUUGUCGUAAAAACACAUGGUUUGGUUUGGAAAAAAAAACAUCAUUUCAAUAGUCACUCUCCAACCCCCUGUAUUAUUGAAAACAAAAUUUCAAGAGACUUAGAAAUGGCUUUAAGCUCAACUCCCAACACUAAACUUGCAACUUUUAGAAGGCCAACAUGCCAGUCAGAUAAUACCUUUGGAAAAAUGAGUAUAAUUCCAUAGAAGUUUGUGUAAAUAAUGAAAGAAGUCCCAAUAAAUUUUUUUUAUCUAGUAAAAAGUUUGCACACUACACUUUCAACUGGAAACGGUUUAUUCAUUGCCUCCUCAACAUUGUUUCAAUUAAAUUUAAAUAAGAUGAAGGCUUUUGCCAUUGAUUCUCCAAAUUAAACUCACCUAUCUCAGUAAAAUAUAAAUUUGGAUGGACAUAACAGCAUCAACAGAACCCAGUAAAUAAUGAAUCACAGAUAUAGAGACAGAAACAAGAAUUAGAACACCAAAAAGAGAAAGAAACAUGGGCAGACACAAAACUGGUAAGAAAGGACAAGAGAUGUGCAGCUUACCAUUUUCUCUUUCUCGAGGAUAAUUCCACAAGGGCACUGAAGUGGCUCGUGAAAAACUUUCAUGUGCUUUUCUAAUUCUACCUGCUGGAAUGCCAGAUCACAUCUGUCACAGUGAACGUGGUUCUUGGACUCUUCAAUCCUAAGAACAACUCCACAGCCUGCACGCGGACAUACAACAAUGUGCCUCCUACAGUAGGCUUCAUGCAGUGCAAUAGUCCUAGUGGGAAUAUAAUGCUUGCAGUUCCUACAUUGUUCAGUAUCUAUUUCCAUAGAUGACACAGAAGAUGAUGCUUGCUGACCAACUUUUUGAUUAAAGUUAUCCUGGACCACUACUGAUAUUUUAUACUUAGUCAUUCCCUUGAAGCCAUAGAUACCGAUGCUGUAAGUCCCCACACCCAAGCUUUCAUCUUUACAGCUAAGAAUCAAAGUCUUUGAGCCAAUAUCAUGAGACGACCACUCAUGCUGGUGCCGUGUAGGAAAUAUGAGAGGAUGUUUAGAGAUAAAAAGAUCAGUGUCCCCCUCACCAGUCUCUGAUUCUAAUUUUACCUCAAUACAAGAAUUCCCAGAAGAUAGUUUCUCCCAUAUGACAUUAUUGUCUAUAGAAAAUUUAUAAUACACAAACUUUCCUUCUUCUACUGUUCCAAUUUGUGACAUUCCAAAUGAAAGUGGCAUUAAAACAUGCUCAUCUCUCUUUUCUGAAGAGGUAUCAGGAUCAACUAUGUCAACUUCAAUAUCUGUUUCUAAAACAGAUACACUUGAAGAAGGUUUUAACUCCAGGACCCUUAAUUUGUAUGCAAGUUCUCCAUAGUUUACAAUUAAAAUGUCACCUUGAGAAAGGGUAGCAUGCUGCCGAAGAGAAGUUUCAAGGAUAGCCUUAUGAUUCGGUAAGUCAGAAAAUCCUGCUCUUUCAGGUUGAAGUUUUGCAUAUGUCCCUUUCGGAAGCCAAACAUAGCGGACUUCAACUAAUGGAGAUUCUGAAGUGCCUUCGGAAAAUAAAUUAUUCCAAACAUGAGGAGGAAGUCCCACUGAACCUUCAUCAGCAGUGAAUUCUAAAACUCCUGAAUGGGUGGUCCCUUGUUUCUCUUUAUCAAUAUCUUGGAUGCUUGAAGAGCUUUCCUUGUGAACUAAUGACAGUUGAAAGUAUAUGGGUCCCUUAUCAAAAGCACCCUGAUCAGACAGUUCUGUGAAGCAAGAAGGAGGAAGCUUGAUCUUAUCUCCACCACCUUGAUAGGGCACAGCCUCUAGUAAUCGAUAAAAUACGAUUCCUCUGCCAGCAAGAAUGUUUUCUUGCAUCUGUUGGUCAGCCUGAAUUGAGAAGAGAAUCAUUUAGUGUUUUCACAUUAACAAUGUCGACAAAAAGGAAAUAUUUGCAGCCACAGCUUUUGUGCUGGAAGGUAAGGUAAACAUUUAUGCUUAUAUUAGCAAGAUUAUUUUCGCUAGUUAGAGAUUAAACUCACUAGGUCAGCCCCUCAAAAGCUUAUUGCUUGAAGGGCCACGUUAGAGAUUAAACUCUUUCAAGGCAACCAACUAACAGCUCAAGCUUUCGUGUGAAUGGUUGUUCGAUAGCAACUAGCAUUUUUUAAUAUACCACUUUUUGAAGGUUCGACAAAUCACACCACCAUAACACCUCAUAACAAUUUUGGUGCUUGCACCAGUAAGGGGUAUAGAAAAGUCCAGCAUGGACUUCUCUGAAUCCAACCAAUGAAUAUAAUUGCUGAAUCACAUUUUUGUACAUGUAUAAAGAAAGCGAUUCAACAGACAUAUAUUUCUAGGCCACCAACUCUCAAGCUUUCGUGUGAAUGGUUGUUCGAUAGCAACUAGCUCUUUUUAAUAUACCACUCUUAAUCCAACCGAUGAAUAUAAUUGUUGAAUCACAUUUUUGUACAUGUAUAAAGAAAACGAUUCAACAGACAUAUAUUUCUAGGCCACCAACUCUCAAGCUUUCGUGUGAAUGGUUGUUUGAUAGCAACUAGCUCUUUUUAAUAUACCACUUUUUGAAGGUUCGACAAUCACACCACCAUAACAUAACACCUCAUAACAAUUCCGGUGCUUGUACCAGUAAGGGGCAUAGAAAAAUCCAGCAUGGACUACUCUGAAUACUCCACACAACUUGUAACUUUCCAAUAAAUAUAAUUGUCGAAUCACAUUUUCGUACAAGUAUAAAGAAAGCGAUUCAACAGACAUAUGUAAAGGGCAUAAAAGCGAUUCAGCAUUAAAAAAAGGUAGAAAAUCAGGGAGCAUAAAUAGACAUAAAAAUCAUAAAAAGUAGAAAUUUGACUACCCUUGCCGUUAAACUGCAAGGACCAACUGAAGGAUAAAUUUAUUGAGAGAGAUAAUCAUCCUAGGGCAUGAUCUGACAAUUGAAGAGGCCUGAUCAUAGCAAAAGGUAGACAGAAUAUACUGAACAGCCAAAAACAAAAAAGAAAAAUAUAAUAACUGGAGACAACAAAAGGGUUGGAAUACAUGCCAUCAAUUUCACGUGUCAGAUUCUCCAACCCUACCUAUGUUUGCUUCAAAGUUAAUAUCUUUAAAGAACAAUCUACAGUAUUGCAUCUCUAGUUUUCAAAAAAUUGAACACAGAGAAAUCAAUCUGAAGGACCCAAUAACAAGAUUACCUAAAAAUAAUCUUGAAAAAGGUUUGAUAGUAAUGAAAGGGGUGAAAAGGGUGUGGAUACCUUGAGUUGCGCUUGUGCCGCAUCAAUACGACGAGAUCUUUGAACAGCUUCGAGGGCUUCCUUUUGCUUCUGAGCCUCUUCUUUGGCCUUUCUUUCCUUCUGCAAUUUCAAUCUUGCUCUUUCCUUCCUCUCCUUCUGCUCUUUCUCUAGCUUUUCUCUCGCUCUUCUCAGUUCAAAAUCCAUCUCUCUCUAAGUGGUGUGUUGGUUAAGAAAAGGAAUUGCAAUUUGUGAAUGAAUCGAAUCGAAUCAAAACAAGAAGUGAAUUUUGAAUAAACCGUUGUUUUUUGUUUUCCCUUUUAUUGUUGUUGGUCGCUAUGCUUCUAAGAUUAAUUUAAUUUAAUGUUUUAAUAUUAAGUUGUUUGGUUCUAGAAAAGUCUGGGCCUUUCUUCUGCGAUCAACUAAAGCCCGUCUUUCAUGUUUUAAGAAACGUGUAAAUAUUCGAUUUUGUUUUCUUUCUAUCGUCAUCACAAACACAACUUCCAUUGCUACCCUUCAUUCCAUUUCUCCCUUUUCAUAAAUCAGGAAAUAAAUUAUAUUGUAUUAGAAUAUCACUUAAAGUAACUCUAAAAAAUUCAUUAAAUUAUAUUAGAAGAGAAAAUAUAAUUAUUUGUUAAAAAACUGCAUUAAAUUAUAUUAGAAGAGAAAAUAUAAUAAUUUGUUACCCAUAGAGAUGAGGAGAUCAAUGGUUUGAGGAUGGAUUCUCACCAAAUAUAGUAUCUAAGUUGCAUGACUACCGAGCUUAUUCAAACUCUCGUUUUUAUAGAUCAUAGUGGGUUCUCUCACUCACGCAUUAAUUCACAUGUUGUGGGUUCUCUCACUCACACACUAAAUUUAUAUGUGAAGGUCACAAGUUCACAGGUUGGUAGGUUAUAGAACAUGACGGGUUCUCUCACUCACGCACUAAAUUCACAUGCAAGGGUCACAAGUUCACAGGUUGGCAGGUUUUUUUGUCUUCAUUAGUAAAAGAAGGAAAUCUUUCAAUUCCAAAAUGCACAGCAACUUUAAAGUACAUUUAAGAAACGUAUUACGAAAGUGAUAUUAGUUGGGAAAUGAUUUUGAACAAAAACAGUGAAGUUAAUGAUGUGCGAACGCACUUCAGAUUUAUUAUGCAACAAAAUAACCCAAGUAUAACGCGAGUAAUCAUCAACAAUAGUUAAGAAAUAACGAAAACCUUGCAUAGAAGUUAUGGAACAGGGUUCCCAAAUAUCAAAGUGUACAAGAUCAAAAAUAGCAGAGGUAGCAGUAGUACAUAAAGUGAAAUGAAGUUUUCUUUGUUUUGCACGACUACAAGUGUCACAUACAUUAUGAGUAUCAAUAGUAAUAAAAGGGUAUUGUUUACGUAAGACAUGCAAUCUUUCAUGUGAAGGGUGCCCCAGUCUAUAGUACCACAGUGUUUUGUCCGUGAUAUUACAAUUAAUAAGAGGAGCAAAGUUAUGUGGUUUAGAGCGACUAGAAGCAGGCAAGGUAGCCACAGGGUACAAGCCACCAGUGGCUUCAACUGUACCAAUCCUCUCUUGGGUGAGAUUGUCCUGUAUAAUGCAGUGAGAGUUAAAGUGAAAGUUAAAGUGCAUUUAAGUUGGUGUGUGAGUUUAGAAACAAAUAUUAAGUUUAAUUGAAAAUGAGGCACAUAUAACACAUAAGACAAAUAAAACUUAGCCGAAAAGUGUACUAAACCAGAAUAUGUGGCAUAAACAGUUUGACCAUUUGGGAGACUAAUUAAGACAGGUUUGAUUUUAGUCCAAGUAGUAAAAGCGCUCAAAUUGUGGCAAACAUGAUCAGUGGCACCAGAAUCAACAAGCCAAGAUUCUUUUAUAGCAGAUAGUGAAGAGAAAAACUUACCCGUUGAAGAUUGCUCGGUAUUGGUGAUUUUGUCUGUCGAGAAGGUUCCGACUUGAUUAAUUUGAGCGUGAGGGGCAGGAUCCUCAAGGUUUUGCUGACGCAAAAUGUUGGUUAGGAAUUGACACUGUUGUGAUGUAAGUUGAAUCCCCUUUACAUCUUGUUCUUUAGAAAAAGACUCAGAAGAAGAGUUAGUAGUAAACAUAUUGUUGGCUUGGGAUGUCCUAUUGAUGGAUUUGUAGCCAGGAGGAAACUCAUGCUUUUUAUAACAGGUGUCGACAGUGUGGCCAAGACGAUUACAAAAAGUACAAUUUUUUCUAGUAGAAGAAAACUUUGAGGUUUUAACAUCACCAGAAGGAAAACCCACUUUUCUAAAACAAACAGCUUCAGUAUGACCGUAUUUACCACAAAAAUUGCAUGUAGUAGUGCGACUACUGUUAAGACUAUGAAGACUAGGGGCAGGAACAACAAUGCAUAAUUGUCUCUCUUGUUGAACAACCAAUGAAAUUUUUUUGGAUAUGGCAGGAAUGGGAUCCAUGAGCAAAACAUGAGAACAGAUAUUUUUAUACUGAUCAUUUAAUCCUCUUAAAAAUUGCAUAGCACGAUCCUCACAUUUUCUUUGAUUUAUAAUAGAAAUGACAGAACAAGAACAUUUUACUGGGCAUGUGCACACAGGAUUAGGUCUAAAAUUCUCUAAUUCGUCCCAAAUAAUACGCAAUUUUGUAAAAUACUCUGUGACAGACAUAUCCCAUGGUUUAAAGAAAUAGCUUCAAAUUGCAAAUCAGAAAUGCGAGAUAAAUCCACUUGUGAAUAUCUAACUUUUAAAUCAUUCCAGAUGUCAAAGGCUAUGUCCAUCCAAACAAUGCUUUGCCUAAUAGGGAUUGAAACAGAGUGUACUAACCAAGAGACAACCAUGUUGUUACAGCGUGUCCAAGACGAGAAAGUGGGAUCAUCCCUUUGUGGGCACGGGUGUGAGCCAAGUAUGAACUCCACUUUGUUCUUGGCACUAAGAGCAGUGAUGAAGGACCGACUCCACGAAUGGUAGUUUGUUGAAUCAAGAACAGGCGACACCAACGAGGCUGCAGGAUUCUCGCUUGGGUGUAAGUAUAGGAAAUUGUUCAUCGGCUGUUCCAAAAGGGGCAUCAGUGUAGGGUUUCCAUUUGAAGAGGAAGCCGGUGUGGGAUUUGCAUUAGCCGUUGCCUACAAGGAUUUAAAGAAAGAAAGAAAAAAAACAAAAACAAAACAAGAACAGCAAAGAGGGAAAUAAAAAUCAGAGAGAAGCGCAGCUAGAGCUCUGAUACCAUAUUACGAAAGUGGACUUUAAGCCUAACUCAACCCCAUAAAACCGGCUCAUAAGGUUGAGGUUUGCACCCACUUAUAUACAAUGAAAGGCUCUAAUCUCUAGUCGAUGUGGGAUCUCCAACAAAACGUGGUUCAAAACAGUAAGAUAAAUUCGUUGUUCAACAAUUUUGACUCAUUAAAUGAAGGAAAAAAAUGAAGUAUAUUUUUUGGCCUGAUACACAGACUCAUGUACAAUUAAAUAGCAACCUCCACUCCUUUGCCAAUGAACCUACACUCCUUAGCCAAACCACCUUGUUGCCAAACCAUGCUGGAAAAAAAAAAGAAAUCUUAUUACCAACUACACCUCUAACCUACUUGUAGGCACAGUGUUGAAAGAAUCUAUCUUUCAGUUCAAUAUGUAGAGUUCUUUACUGUAACUGAGUGUUACUAACUCACAUUGAUUCAUAGUCUCCAUAGUACAUCCUGUAAGUUCUCAUCAACCACAAAAUUGUGUUUGUUGUAUGAUUUAAUUUAUAAAAAUUGUUAUAGAUUUUUUUUAUAUACUUAUUACAAUAAUUAUUUUCUAUAUAGGAUUAGUAAUAUUUGAUAAGUUGUGAAUCUUUAUAGCCAUAACAUUCUCGUUUGAUAUGAAAAUCCUCUCUUCCCCAACUACAUUGGCAAAAAAUCUUGCUACAUGGCUACAUUUGUUUGCAAACUCUUACAGUAUCAAACAUUGAGACAAAAUUGCAAUUAUAUAUAAUUAUAUUCAUAAUAUAUAUAAUUAUUUACAAUUAUUUAAUUAUUUCAAAAGAAUUCCCAUACUUAUAUAUUUUUAUACUUUAAUAUAAAUGACAUUUAAACAAAUAAAUAAGUUUACAAAAAAUUAUUAUUUGAUUUGUGAUAAGGAACAACCCACCUACGAGGACAAUUAGUUUGAUAAAAUGGUUCAUAAAAAACAUAAAUUUAUAUUUUCAAUCCAAUGUAUAAGUAUAUAUUUUGUCCAAUACUAAUAAUGUCAAGUAUUUUGUAGUUCUUGUGGACUCCAUACAACAGGCCAAACAUCGUUGUAUCAUUGAUGAUGUUUCUCCAGUUAGUAGGGCAAUUGUUCCCCUUAUUGUUUUGCCAUCGUUGAAUUUCACCAAGCUGACCCGGUUGUGCGACAAUUUGAUUUUCAACAAGAUAUUCCAUUAAAGUCACAAAACUUAGAUGAGUUUACAGAGAAGAUAUGAGGGACAGAAUAGACAGAUACUGGCCAGAAUACCAUCAGGAAAGUAAUGUGGACUGAUAGACAUAAUUGUCUAAUAGAAGGCAUUCAGUUUAAUUAUAAUGGUCAUUUGCAUGAUUCCACAACAUACAUGCCGUGAUACAUUAAUCACACUAUCCGUUACAUAUCUGCUCAGGAAUCGUCAUUUGACGAUGUAAGUUAAUUCAUAUUUAUAUAUUUUACUUUUAACAAUAUUAACAUGUUUAUGUUUAUAAUGAAGUUAAUAAUUGUUUUCAAAACAUGACAUUACCCAAGAUUAAGGUGGCAAAGUCAUGGCAAAAUUUUUAAUUUUUUUAAAAACAAUCCCAUUUUGGUAAAAAAAAAAAAACCUAUCAGAUAAAAAAAAAACCAGAAAUAUACAUGAGCGAGAAUGAAAAACAAUGAAACAGCAUAAAUAAAAGUUGAAGGGAGAGAAAAGAUGAAGAAGGAGAAGUUGUGAAGAAUAUGAAUGAAUCAGGGAUGAUGCCAUGGUUUUGGAGAAGGUUUGAAGGAGGAGGAGGAGUUAGGAGUUGGAGGUUGAUAAAACUGAGCAAUAGUGUAAACGGUCUGAACAAUGGUAAGAGCGAAGAGAAAAACCGCAGCAACAAGCGACACAAUAGCCCAAGGGUUUCUGAAGUAGGUCUGGAUGAGAUUGGCGCGCCACAUGUUCCAGGGUUUCUUGCAGUAGUUACUCAUGCUCAUCCUCACCACAUCUAACACUCCAUGCGGAUCCACAGCAAUGUCCUUCGAAAGCGAGUUGAACAGUUUCGCAACGGCCUUAUCGCUGCCGAGAGCGUUCACCAGAAUCCCGUUCCGGUGGAGAAGCGCCACGUCCAUCUCGCUGUCGAUGAUCGUGUCCAUGAAGAAUAUGUAGGAGGUCACGUCGUUUCCUGUUUCCGCGUGGAGCCGCUCGAAGGCGAUCAGGUUCAGAAACAUGUACUCAGUGCUGUCGUCAACGACUAGGGUUGGGAGCCGAAGCACGCCGCCGCCGAAGGAGACGUCGCCGAGGCUCUGGGUGCGGCUUUUCACGAAGCGGAUUCCGGCGUCGCGGAGCUCUGUUGCGGAGCGGAUGAUCUCGUCCUCGCCGUGGUCCUCCUCGCUCCGCCAUAGCCUUCUUCUGCGUUUUGGUUUGGAGACGCGUGUUCGGUGAGUGGGUCCUUGGUAGAUGAGGCUUUUUCUGUAGACGUCCAACACAUGCAUGCAUCUGCCUAGGGUUCUUGUUUCGGGUGUGCCUGGGGAGAAGAACUUCAACAUUUGUUUCAUCAGUAACUCUUCUCCCUGUCACGUAUUUGAAUUUCAGAAUCAGUUCAGAAACAUGCAAUAUAAUUUACAUGCCUUCUGCAUAACAACAACAAUCGGUUACCUGGUUUGUGUCAUUCUCAACCUCAAUCAAUAUACGAAGAACGGUCAAGGGAAGCUGAUUCUGGAGCAUAAGCAUGUCACGUUUGAUAUAUGGCACCACAUUCAGUUUCCCGUGUUGUCCAAACACAGGAUCAUUGUCAGCAUAAUCAUCCGGAACACCAUCACUGCCUCUCAGAAUCUCCAACAUGAAACACCCAUCAACAAUCAUCAUUUGUACGAACCUUGCCCUAUCCUGCAUCCAAAUUUCAUCCAGUGGAUUGUACGAGCCUCUCAACUCUUCCACCACUUGAUCCAUGCAGUGGAAGAUAAGCUCAAUCGGUUUUCUGCAUCUCUUGAGAAAAUGGAGCAGAGCUCGAUGCUUGUGAUCUUCCAUGUCCUUCAGAUGCUCCUCUCCAUGGUGAUAAGGACCAAAUGAAACUGCUUGAGGCUUGUAGGCCUUUUCAUUCAACGCAGUGACUCGUGAAGGUAUUCUGUAUAUGGAAUGUCUCUUCCAUUGCUCCUUCUCAUGCACUGAUGAGAUACCAUUGCUCUUGAGCUCCUCGUUGAUUUGGACCACCCACUUCGUUUCUUCCAUAUAUAUCUCUUCAGUGUCUCUCUUGAUCAUGACAUAUACAAGGAUAGGUUUUUCUGGAUCUUAUAGAAUGUUAUGCAGGUGAAAAUCAAGGAUAAAAUAUUCACGACCAUAAGCCUCAAAGAUAUGAAUGUCUAAUUGGAAUCUUCACUUUAUGCAUAUUAACCAACAUAGUGUGUAAAGAAACUGUAAUUUAUAAUUGAACAUUUCUUGCUUCUAAUUUCUUCUUGGAGUACUCUUAUAUACGAAGAAAGGAAUGUAUACAAGACUGUCACAAGCCAUUAAAGCUCAAUUGUUAAGAGACUGGACAGCUAUAUUUGCCGGUUUGUUGUUAUUUUGCAAAUAUACAUAUUAUAUGUAUAAACCGUCAUGGAAGACGAGGUAAAGAUGAUUGAAAAAAGUUGCAGAAAAUGAAAACUGCAUUUUGGAAAUCACGUAAAGGAUUAAGAAACUCAAAGUUAAAGGGAACUCGUUAAUAUGCUUGAGGAUUAUUCACCUUGGAUGACUCAUCUAGACAACCUAGGAGUUCCACAUAUUCGUCUUACAAAUCACUUAUGAUGGUUUCUCACAUGUUUAAAGAGUUAAAAAGGAGAAAAAUUUACAAAAAUAAUGAUUUUUUUUUUUAUCGGAUGGACAAAUUGUUAAAAAUUCCAUUAUGGAAAAAGUAUGCUUCAAAUGAGGAAACUAUAUUAAUUGUAAAAAAAUAUCCUGUUAUAUAAAUAUGACUCUAAAGAUUUUAAGUGAAAUUGUUAUUUUUCAAUAACUUUUAUGUUAAUGGGAAAGUUGUAUGACACAUGAACAAAUUUGUUUAAUAUAAUUUUGAGUUAAUAUUUUAUUUUUAUUAAUUUAUUUUGUUUACACUAAAGUUGUUAAGACACAAUAUUCUAUUUUUAUUAAUUUAUUUUAUUUACACUAAAAUUGUUAAGACAUGUUACAACUUUAAGGUAAUUGAAAUUGAAGUUGAGGUGGUGUAGGGUGCAUGACUUUAGUGUUGUGCGAUUGAAGCUGAAGUCAUCGCAUGUCUCCAUUCGUUGGUGAUCAAAUAUCUUUUUGUGUCAUUUUCUCCUAAUAGUGUGAAAGACGACAAUACCUUUUCAAACCAUAAAAAUAGUGUUUGUGUUUAUAUAACACCACUUCUUCAAAAAAAAAUCGUGUUAUGUAAAUAUAACUUAUAUCCAUCAACAUAACUUUUUAAAAAUAUGUUCAUUUAAAUAUUAUCGAAUAAAAAUGCACCAUUUUCAUAAGUUUUCGGUUGAAGAAACUUUAACUUUAACUAUACUCUAUAAGAAAAACAUGAAAUAAAAACUAAUUUUAGAAACCAAAAAAUAAUUAGUUGUAAUACUAACUAAAUUAGAAAUCAUUUUAGAAACUAAAAAAAUAAUUUGAUUUCUAAAUUAGAAACUAAUUUUAGAGACAAAAAAAAUAAUUAGUUGAUAUACUAACUAAAUUAGAACCCAUUUUAGAAACUAAAAGAAAUUGAUUUCUAAAUUAGUUUUAAAUUUGGUAGCAAAAACCUUGAUUGCUAAUUAGAUAUCAAUUUAGAAACCAUUUAAUAAUAAUAUAAAUUAAUUUAGAAACCAAAAAUUGAAUUAAUUACCAUAAUUAAUAUAUAUAUAUAUCAAUUAAUAAAUAAAAAAAUAAAUAAAUGAGAGUAUUGUAAGGAUAUUCUGUAAUACAAAAUUAUCAAUAAUCCAACUUUUUUAUUUUAAUAGAAAAAAGACAAUAAAAAGCAUAUGAACUACUAAAUAUCCUAAAAAGAAUCAAACACAAUCAUCAUAAAAUAUAUUGAAAAACCUUAGAGAAAUAUUAGGGCCAUUAGUAUUUAUAGUAUUGUUAAAAACUUCCUAGUUAGUCCUAUUUUAUUAAAUAUUUGUGAUAUCUGUGAAGUCCUGGUAAGGUUCUUUGCAUCUAAUUAAACCACAUGCUCCACCGCUUACCCAAGAGAUACCAUGUGUGAAAGAACAAUAAUAGUCAUGUGGUGUUAUAUUGUCUAAUCUCAAAAACUAAAGAAAGAACUCGAUCAUAAUCAUAUAAAAAUGGAGCAGGAACAUUCAAACCUAGAAAGAGGAUAAGAGAUUAAUUGUUCUCGAUCCUUAAACAUUAUGUUGUCUCUUCUUUUUGGGCUUUUUUUAGUGGGGGCUUACUAAAACAUGUUCUAAAAACAUCUCCUGUUGAGAAGUGAAUCAAGUGAUGAAUAUCUUAAAUUUAAAAUUGAAGUUUUAUAAAUUAGAAAUUGGAACGUGCUGAGUUUGGCCUAAAGGUCUUAAAAUUAAUACGGGAUCUUGGAUAAGAUAUUAAAUUUUAAGAAUAAAAAUUAAUCUUCAAAAUCAACAAUAUAUUUUCACAACACCAACAUUAAAUUAAUUAUAAUAAUUCAAUUGACUUUUUAAGUUAUAAAAAUCUAAAAUACAAUUGUUUUUUUUAUAAAAGUGUGAUUCUUAUAACACCUCGAAACAAAUUUAUAAUUUAUCAAUAAGAAUAUAAUAUAAUGGGAUCCAAAUAAAAUAAACUAAAAUCUUAUGCAUGUAUUUUUUAAGACCUUUGCAUUUUUUAUAUUCUAAAAAAAGUCUACUUAAACCUAAGGACCAAGCCCAUUACAAUUAAAACACAAAACAAAAAAUUAAACUGAAUUAUGCAGCAUGUGUUAUGUGUAUGGCUAGAAGAUCAGUUAGGAGCUUUCAUAAUCAAAAGGUUUUGAACUUACCAUUUGAGCUUAAAAUUUCUAAAAUUGGACAUUUAAACUUACCACUAGACAUAAAAACAAAGCUUUUUUUUGUUGCACUUAAACUAUUCAAAAUUGGACCACGUUUGAUUUUAUCAUUGAAAUCUUGCUAAAUGGACAUUUUUCCACUUUCGAAUGAUAAAAGGUAAAAGCAAAGUGGCGUUGCAUGGGGUUAAGUUCAAAGUAACUAAACUACAAACACAAGCCUAUCUGAAUGUGAAAAUGAAGCUUGUUGGUUGCAAGUUAUCUACACUUGGAGAUCUUAAGAAAAUCUACAAAACUAAUUUUAAACUCCCAAUUCCAUUCAUGUACAAACUUGUAAAACCUUACACAGGGUGUAAUAGGUCCAAAGAACCUUCAUCUCACAGACAGUAGAUUUAUGAGAGUUUGAUUUUCGUAGGAAUCGUCCAAAUCCUCAGUAGGUGAUGAAAGUGUCAUAAGAGCAACAACUAUAGACCUCAUACUUGGGCGUAGUAGUGGAUUAUCCCUUGUACAAGCUCUCCCAAGUUGAGCAAUCUGCAACUCAAACAAUCAACAUACUAAGUUUUGGCUAGGAUAAAACUAUAUUAAACAUUCAAAUUAUUUUCACAGAAAAAUGUUUCCACCUUGAGAACUGAAUCAAUUGGAUAGUUUUCUCCAAGCCUGGGAUCCACCAGUUUGCGAAUAACUUCUGAAGGAUUACUCUGAUUAAGUGCUUCUUCAAACUGCAACACAAAACAAGUGAAGGCUAAAUUGAUUUCUGUUCAGGUGGGUGCAUUCUGUUUACUGGCUUUGAAAUGUAAAUUUGUGAACUGGGAGUGUUUUGUUAGUAGAAUGGUUCAGAGGAGUGUGUAGACUCACCAAAGCUACAAGGCCCUUGGAUUCAGCAACAUAUUCACCUGUUUUCAGAACAGCAUUCUUUGCAGAAAUAAGUUCAUAAAGAACCACUCCAAAAGCAUAUACAUCUACUUUUGGAGAGACGUCACCAUAUUGAGCAUAUCUGCAGAAAAUUCACAUAAUCAAUAAACUCAGUUGUGUGAAUAUACACCAUCAAAACUCAAGGACUGAUUUUUCACAAUUGAGAUAAGAUCAUUUUAAAGAAAAGGGACAAAAGAAGCUAAACUGAAUUUGAUUUUACUACUUAUUCAAACAAUAUUGACCCCAUUUUUAUGAUUAUGAUCUGUUCAUCAAUAAGAUAAGCAUAUGAUUCAUCAAUUAUAAGAUGGUCUACUAAUAAUAAUACAGAUCACACACGUUCUUUUUUCAACUAAAUCCAAAUUUCAUACAGGGGUGUGGUAUCAUUUAACACAACAUAACAAAUCAUACUCUGGUGGCAUGUAUCCAAAUGUUCCCACAAGGCGAGUGUGAAGUGUGGAGCCUCCAACUUCAAUAAGUUUAGUCAAGCCAAAAUCUGCUACCUGUAUUUAAAAUAUUACUUAUUUUUAUCUAGUCUUCAAGAAGAAUGGGAAAAUCAGGUUUAUGAAGAGUGGUAGCAGUGCAACCUUUCCACGGAAGUUUUUGUCUAUUAAUAUGUUUGCAGAUUUUACAUCACGGUGGAUAUACACUGGCACAGUGUGCUCGUGAAUAUAUUCAAGGCCUCUUGCAGAAUCUAGCGCAAUUUGCACUCUGCUAGACCAUGGCAAAGGAUCUUUCCCUGGAAUCAUGUUAUUAUCAUCAUUGAUCGUUCGACAAUAAGGUAACAUUACAGAUAAAGAUAAUCAUUCAUCAAUCCAAGCUGAUCUCACCUAUACCAUGCAAAUAUUGGCCUAAGUUUCCGUUGUCAAUGUAUUCAUACACAAGGAAAAGAGAUCCCUCAACGCAAUAUCCAAUCAAACGCACCUGUGGUUUACAUGAAAGGUAGUUACGUAAUUGCAGAAGAAGAUAUAGAACACUCUUUUCAACUGUUUAGCCCAAAAAGUAAACCCCGUUGAUACUCACAAACGACCACAACAGAAGUAAGAUAAGAUUUCACAGGUUAUGUUUGCCAUGUUAUAUAAGUAAUGUAGAUCCAUGUUAAUUUGUAGGAUUAUCACGUGGAUUUGAAGAAAUCAUUUUUCAGGAUAAUUUAGACUGUUUUGUAAUUCUUAUUCACGAACUCACCCUGAAUAUUUAUUUUGUAACAGACUUAGUGUUAUUCAAACUAUACGGAAAAUGAUUAAGUAUCCUUCCCAGAUAUACACAUGCUUGGAGUGAUUUGAAGGAUGUUGUACCAGAUUCAAGUGAUGAACAUGAGUUAAGACCUUCAACUCACAAAGAAAUUCAGUGGAUGCUUGCACGUCCAUCUUUUUAAUUGCAGUUUUCUGCAUAAUGAGAGAAUAAAGUAACAAAGGUAAAUGGUUAAUCUGAAAUGGAAUUAAAAGCAAGAACUUGAAUAUACACACUCAAGAACAUUAUCCAUUCAUAACUAAACAAUUCUACACAACAUAUAUUCAAUGAAAUUACUUGUUUCUUACACUAUUAAUUAUUUUAUUUAUCUAAUACACCACAUAAUGAACUUAGAGCCUUACAAUUUAAACACAUCACAACUAUUCUAAUCUAAAUUCUAAAAUAUCAAUCACCUGGAAAAGCCUUUAUAUAUCAACAAUAAAUCACAUGGCUAAAAGUAAAAUCUUCUAUCUUUCAUUUUUGUUUUCCUUUUUUCCUUUACCAAUAUUUUGUCUGAUUAUGCCAUAAAAUUGGUUAUAGAUGUAUGUACCUCGCCUCUCAAUUCUGCAUAAUAUACAGCUCCAAAUCCACCUUGACCAAUUUUAUUCUCCAAGCUGAAGUUAUUUGUAGCCUUUGCUAGUUCUUGAUAUGUGAACUCCAUUGAUUUUGCCACCAUAAUGCCUGUAAGCCCAGUAGCAGUAGCAGUCCCACUGGAUCCUGAAGUUUCAUAUUCUGCACUUCCAGAGGCUUUACUCGGAAGAGGAAGAAAAAUCAACAAGUAGUUCCAUGGCCAUUAAGCUAGCACAUAUCAAAUUCUAGGAGUAUGCAAGAGUUGAUGACAUGUAAACUUUGAAAAGGUUGAUAAAUAGCAGGCAUUUUUUACAAGGGGUGCAAGAUUAAAAGGAGAAUGUGUUAAUGAAAAUAAGGGGUAUCACACUAACAUUCCUCCGUAACCAAGAAUAUGUUAUGUGAAUAGUUUAAAAGGUAUGUGUUGUAUGAUUACGAAAAUUUAACUGUACCAUAUUGAGUUGAAAACACCAUAGUUGGCAAUUUGGAUUUCUCUCCUUCCUUCUUCUGGAAGAAUUUAGCAUAAAUGCAAAUUACUAAUAAUAGAAGACCGCAUAUUCCUGCUAUGGAUAUUCCAGCAGCAGCACCCCUAGAUAGACCUGCUUUAAUACAGAAGCGAAUUUAAGCUCUGAGACACUGACUUUUUCUUUGCGUUCUCAUAUUUAUGUGAACGUUAAGCUGAAAAUCAUAAUCUUAACCAACUCCCUAUGAAGUUUGAGAGCCAAACCUGUGUUUCUGCAAGAUGGAGAAGAAAAUUAAAGUUAAGAAGAUAGAAUCAAACAUUUAGCAAUAUUCAAUUGUAUAUGCAUAAUUCAGCAUAGAAGGUGAGACAAUCGAAGUUACCCACCUAGGGUGCAAGGGAACAUAGUCUCCAAAUUGAUCUGGCAAGUUAAAUAAAAUUAAAACGUCAAGCAAAUGCAUGAAAGGUUAUCCAAAAUGCUUUGAACAAGAACAAAGUGGUUAUAUUUAACCCCUAAUAAUACCAAUAGAAAGGUACUUAGAAACAAUUGUUUAUUGUGUUGUUCUCUAAUCAGAAUUGUUGAAUUUUUGUCUUGUAACUUACAUCAUAAGGUUUGCAUUAAAGGUUAGCACAGCUUACCAAAAUAAAACUCCAAAACAUUGAAAAACAUUAGUAGAAGUAUCUAACUGUAUCUAAAUUUUGUCAAUGUCAAAAUACAUUGACGAGUACACCAAACUAACAUGAUAGUAAGAUGAGAGCAUACCUCUUCCUGGAAUGAAAACAAUCCCACUCUCUUGGCUGAAAUUGACUCCAGGAUUAUAAUUCUGCAGCAACUGUGCAUCAAGUUGAGUCUCGUUGGCAAUAUCAUGCAGAUUAUUGCCAGGCCUAAGUGGAUAGGUAAUAAACAACCCAUAGUCUUGUGAAACCUGGCUGUUCCCACAAGAACAAUUGACCGUGACAUUAACCUUGGCAUUUGUGGGUAUAUCAUUUUGGCCAUAACUGUUGAACCUCCUCAAAAGCUCAACAGUGGUGAGAUUGGCAUAUGUCACUUUAGCAAUCGAAUCAUAGGUGUCACCUGCAGCAGCUGAGUACUCAAACACAUGCCCCAGAAACUCAUCACGGAUACAUUCACAGGGAAAUGGAAUAUUGAUUCUGUAAAAGAAGAGGACAUUUUUAUUGAAUAUUCUGUCUUUAUUGUAGCUUACUAUAUCGUCAGAAUUGGACACAACACUUGAUUUCAUCAAGUGUGUUAUAUCAUCCAAGGUUGAAAUUCCUGGACUCACAUAAUAGGAAGCUAAAGCUGCACCACAUCCCUUCAAACACUUUGCUUCAACAUUGCAACAAACAUACUCCAGCAACAAAAAUAACAGCAGCAGCCCUUUUUUGAGUUCCAUUGGAUCAAUGAUCACUAAGAGAAACAUAAAGAAACGUAAAUCAGAAAAGUGGAGUUCUAGUAUUUUCUGCAACUUCUAAAAGCCAAUAAUCAUAUUCAUUUCCUUUGUCUUGAAACCAUGCACACUUUCACUUCUAAACACACAUACUAUAAAAAAUAACUCAAACAUAAAAUAGAAGUAUAAAGGCGUAAUUACUUAAGUGAAUGAACAUAAACUAUGAAUUCAUAGCACACGUUUAUGCUCUUUUUUUUUUCUGCUCAAACACCUGAUAGGUUAUAACGUUUAACAGUUUCCACUAGAGUGUGGAAGGAAACAGUACAAUUGGGUAGAAAAUUAUUGAAGUUGACUUCCAUGUCAUUUGUUUAUUUGUUUAUUUCUGGGUAACAACUUGCAUGUCAUUUAUUGAGGGAAGAUUUGUUGAACUUUGCAUAUAAUAAUUGUUAUGUUUGACGAGGAUGCAUUGCACAACCAGAAAGGAAUCUUUGUGAUUGCCAAAGUUGGCUUUGUUUAAUCCUUUGUAUCCGAAAUGCCAACAGUGUCUGCCAAUGUGCCAACAAAUUAACCACUUCGUAUUGCGUCCUCUCAUGAUUCUAACAAACAAAGAACAAUUUUCCAUUUUAUAUUUUGAAGCACGCCUGUGGUCCAACUUGACUUCACCCGUAACAAACAAAAAGGAAUCUGCGUGAUAACACCAAUACCAUAUAAAGUCCCACAUCUUCGAAUAGGAGAAUCUAGAUCCUCUGCCUAAUCUAUAUUAUUAGCUUUAUUAGAAGCUUCAAAGAGUUCUUCGUGGAGAAAUAUUUUGUAAUACGAUUUGUGACCUCAACAAUCUUCAUCUGACAUGGAAUCUUUCUUCUAAUUUAUAUGAAACAAUCAAUGACUUAAUGUCUAGAGAUUAAUUAAUUGAUAAUGUUAUUUGAUGCUCCCCUAAUAAAUUAAUAUUAUCUUAAUAAGCAUUAUCAAUUAAUUAAAACAAUAUAAUUUUUAUUUUUUAAUUAUAUUUUCUCUUACUUUGUUAAUGCUCUUCAUUACACCUAAUAUCAAUAUAAGAAACGACAUUUGAUAAAGUUGAAAAUAUAGUUAAUAUUUGAUUAGUCUGCUAUAGUGGAAAAAAUUAAAAUAAAUUAAAAUGACUCAAGGUGAGGUCUACUGCCUUCUGUAUACUUAAUAUUUAUUUAUAUAAAAUUUAUUUAUUUUUAUGUAAAAUAGUUAGGCUCUUAAUUAAUUACAUAAAUAGAUUUUUGUUAAGUUUAUUACACAUAUAUAUUUUUUAAUAUUUUGAUGGUUUACAUAUAUUUUUUCAGGUAAUUACUUAGUAGGUGGGGUUAAAAUUUAAAGUUUUUAUUCUACCCUCUUCUCUCUUUCUUUGUAGGGAAUAUCUUUCUAGUUUUUACUUUCUCACUUAUUUAUUUUAUCUUUUGUUUUCUCUUCUAUAUAUAUUUAUUUUCUCUUUCUACGUGUAUUAUCAUGGAUUCAAAACUAUCCAAUUGAUUAUAACGUAUUAUGUUAAUUUCUUUAUUAAAAUCUCUUCUUUUGUUAUUUUUAUAUUUGUUGUAAUCUCUAUGUAGAAACAUAAUUCAUUUGUCUUUAUUCUUAUACAUUCAAUUUUCGAUUGUAUUUAUUAUUUAUAGAUAAAUUAUAUUUUUAAUUAUUUUAUUCACCAUAGAUCUUAUUAUUAAUUAGUUGUUAUUCAUAUAUCUUUUAAUUGUUAACUUCUACAUCCUGUUUGUUUAGAGGAAAAUUCUUGUGGUCUUUCAAAAUUGUGAAAAGAAAUAUGAAGAUAGUCAACUCAAUAAAAGAAAAAUCACUUAACUGUCCUUGCUUUUAGCAAAGAUAAUUUUACGCUAUAUAAUUAUAGUAUAUAAUAUAAUUUUAUUAUUACAUUAUAUAAUAUAAUAAAAUAAUUUUAUAUAAUAUUAAUAAUAAAAAGUAAAAAAAUAAAAAAUAAAUGAUAAUAAUAAUAGUAGUAGUCAAAUAAAUUUAUAUAAUGAUGUUAAUAAUAAAAAAUAAAAAAUAAUAGUAAAAUAAAUUUAAAUAAUAAUAGUAAUAUUAAAAUAAAUUUAAAUAAUAUAAAUAUUAAUAAUUAAAAAAUUAAAAAAUUAAAUAAUGAAUAAUAAAAAAAUUACAUAAUAACAAUAUUAUUAUAAUAAUAAUAGUAAAAUAAAUUUAUACAAUAAUAAAAUUAAUACCAAAAAGUAAAUAAAAAUAAUAAUAUUAAUAUUAAUAUAUAAUAAUAAAACUAAUCUAUAAUAAAAAAACAGUAAUUUGAUCAUUUUAUAAAUAUAUAACUUUAUAAUUUUUUUAAAAUUUAUUACAUCAAUCAAAUAAUUCUUCAAUUUUUACAAACUUUUUUUUCAUUUUCCUUUUACUAUUUACUCUUUUUCUCUUAAUCCAAAUAAUCUAUUUUUUACUAUUUUUCUUCAUUUUUCAAUUUCCUUGAAACAAAAACACGUUAAAUUAAGCAGGUAUAUUAAUCUUUGGCCGUUUUUCUUACUGCAUCUCUGGGAUUAAGAAAUACUUUAGUGAAUUGUCCUUAUUUUAAACUUAGGUUAGUUACCGUCUAUUCAAAUAUACUCAGAAGUUCAAUUUCUCUUUUAUGCAAAAAUCAAAUAAAAUUGUGGAUUCAAUUAUAAUCACGUUAUUAUCAUCAACAGUAUUUAGUCUUUGAUAUAUUGGAAAAAUAGGUAAUAAAACAAAAAAUAUAUUAAAAUGUAAUUUGAUAUUCAAAUGCGUGUUGAUUUCCAUGAAAAGGUAAGAUAUUGAUAUUUGAAAGUUUUUGCCAUGCAACUUUUCCCAAAGCAAGAAAAAAACAGUGAGGAAACAGAGUUUGUUUACUUCUGCAAACAAUCACUGCUACAAAUCAUGCUACAAGCAAUACAGAUUUCGGUUGUAGAUAAUUGUGAGAAAGGAAAUAGAGUUAUCACAAAAUUUGUAGAUGAAAGGUGACAUUUUGUGUUCUGCAUUUUUUUUUCCUAUUUCCCUGACAUUAGAUUUGCUAGAGUUGGAUUUUCAAUGAUGGAAGCAAUAUCCCAAUCCUCACUAGUUGAAGUAAGUGCUGUGAGAGUAACCACAACAGAACUCAUAUUUGGACGUUGUUGUGGAUUACUCUCUGUGCAUGCUUUUCCAAGUUGUGCCAUCUGCAAGAAGAAAAAUGGCCUGAGUUUCUUAAAUCAGAAAUACAAAAAAUGUUUAUGCUUUGUGAUAACUCAUACCUUACUAACUGAAUCGAUUGGGUAGUUAUCUCCUAACCUAGGAUCCACCAGUUUUUUAAGACCUUCUGUGGGAUCUUGCUCAUCAAAAACUUCAUCAAACUGUCAUAUAUAUAUCACUAACAGAUUAAACACAAGAAAGGGAAAAUGUAGUUCUUGAUUGUUUAUGUAAGAUUACUAGGUUGUCAUUGAAAAGUGAUAAAUAGUAGGGUGUGAAGACUCACCAAAGACACAAGGCCCUUUGAUUCAGCACCAUGUACACCACCCACGAACAAUGCUUCUUUAGCAGAAAUUAGUUCAUAAAGAACAACUCCGAAAGCAUAGACAUCUAUUUUGGGAGAAACAUUGCCAUAUGCAUAUCUGAAGACAAGACAACGGAAAAAUUGAAUUCAGGCUCAUGAGAAGCAUACUUAUUUUUAUGUCUACAACCACAAAAGCAUGUGUUAACAAUGAAAAACUUCUCUCUCAAAUGCAGUUUAAGUAAAACAAGAGCUGCACAACAGUUAACACUUUCAAUAUUCAUAAAAGGGAAAAGAACAGACUUUCAAUAACCCAACAGGACAAACCCAUAUAGCAAUCUAUCAACCCAAUUUUUAAGAUUUGUUUUAGUUUGUGACACAGAUUCUUUAUAUAAGAUAAUCUUGUUUGAGACAUAGUCAAGCAUUAAAUGUGAGUGUCUCUUCCGGCAAAGAUUCAAACUGGACAAAAUGUGCAUUUGAUUAUGAUAAAGGAUUUCUCAGUUUUAGUUCAUUAAGGAUUAUUGUAUGCUUACAUAUUGUGCAUUUAUUUGAAUGUGACCGACACGAAUCAGUUUUAUGAUAGUGAAUGGGUGUGCUACAGACCUAUAUGUUAAGAUUCUCUGAUCCUUAAUUCCCAAACUCCACAAAUCCUAUUUACUAAAAGGAAGGUAUCACUUAAAAGAGAGAAACACAAUUCAUCGUACUCUGGUGGCAUGUAACCAAAUGUGCCCUUCAUAUUAGCUGUGUGAAGUGACGAACUUCCAACAUCAAUCAACUUGGUUAAACCAAAGUCUGCAACCUGCAAAAAAAAAUAAUAUAGGAUCUCUCACAAAAUUCCCAAGUAGAAAAGUAGUAAUAAGAUCCACAAAGUCAUUGAAACAGAUUGUACCUUGGCACACAAUUUUUUGUCUAUUAAAAUGUUUUCUGACUUUAUGUCGCGAUGGAUAUAUGCAGGCACAGUAUGCUCAUGAAAGUACUGCAGACCUCUGGCUGAAUCCAGAGCAAUUUGCACUCGGGCUGACCAUGGCAAAGGAUCAAAACCUGGAAACAAACUUUGACUUGAUCGUUAACUUACAAAAGCAUUACACUAAACAAUCAAUCAAAUGCAUAGUACUGAAAAUGGACAUUUUUAAUGUGCUCAUAUAACCUGAUCCACGUAGAUGUUGUCUUAAGUUGCCAUUGUCAAUGUAUUCAUAAACAAGGAAAAGGGAAUCCUUGAUACAAUAUCCAAUCAAGCGCACCUGCAUGGUUAUCAAUAGAAAGAUAUUUAGGUUCUAAAAGGAAAAACAAAACAAAAAAUGCUCCAAGUUUCAAAUAAUACCAGGUUCAAGUGAUGAACACGUGUCAACACUUUCAGUUCAGCUAAAAAUUCUCUUGAUGCUUGCAAGUUCAUCUUUUUUACCGCAACUUUCUGUGUAAUUAGAGAGGACUUCUUUAUAACAAUAGGAGAUAUAAAUAUUAAAAUGGGAAACUUGGGAAAGAUAGAAAUAUAAGCAAUUGCAUAUUUGAUCCUAGUAGCAUUGUCAUAUAUAAAAAUUAUGCUUCUUGAUGUAUGUGUCAAAUGAAAAAACCGUAUUCGUUUGUUGUUUAGGAUCAAAAAGGCAAUUAUGUAAAGAAUCUGUAACAAGUAAUGUUGUGUGAGGGAGGCACUCGCUCUAGAAAAAGGUGAAAAGUCAGAGAGAGAAUAAUGCUACAUAUUAAUUGAAAACCGCGUGAAGACAUGAUAACUAGAAGAAUAUGCAAUUUCUAUUUCAAAUACUUGUGAUCGAAAGUAAAAGAUUACAAUACACAUUACAAACCUCGCCAUUAAGCUCUGCGUAAUAGACUUCCCCGAAACCACCUUGACCAAUUUUAUUAGCCAGAUUGAAGUUAUUUGUGGCAUUGGCUAGUUCUUCAUAUGAAAACUCUCCUGAUUUGUCCACCCUAAUGGUGUUGGCUCCAUUUUCUGCAUCAGGGCCACUAGAGGCUUCAUCUGAAACUGGGACGAUGAACAGAAGUUACUAUACCCUAUCAUCAACUAUAUUUUCAUUUUCUAUGUGUGCUGCUCUUCUAUUUCAUGAUAUAAAGCAGAGGAAGACAGAGUGCAAUCAGAACACCAAACUAGUUUUACACUGGCAACAAAAACUGAAUUAAACUUUAAAUGACAGAAUUAAACUGUAAACUUUGUCCCUUCAGAUUAUUUGCAAGGUGGAGGGAGGAGUAUUGGAGAUCCUGAUUUAGAGAUAUGAUCAAAAUAUAAUAUAAUAUAUAAGUAGGUGUAAAUCUGAUUGAUUAUGGAAAGAUGAGUUAGAGUUAAAAGUGCAUUUUGUAAUAGAAAAUAGAAAAAAAGGAGAAUUAGACGAGUCAAAUUAAUAUAUAUAUAUAUAAAGUGAGUACAGACUAUUUAUUUUAUAAGUUAGUUUUAUAAAGUUAAGGGAGAACUAGAUGAAAUCAAAGUAGAAGAAAAUAUACCAUUCUUAACUCUAGUCGAGUUCAUCCUGAAUUCUUCUGGGAGCAAAUUCUUCUUUCUUCGGUAAUAUGUAACAUACACACAAAAUGCCAAUAGCAGAAGUAUCGUUACUACUCCAACAGAUAUUCCAGCGAUAACUCGAAGUGCAAGACCUGCUUUUGUAGAAACAAUAUAUGAGAAGAGAGUAGGUUUACAUUGUACUUUGAGAAUAUCCUGACCUUGUGUCUGAUACUAAAAUCAAACUCAAAUGAAAUCAUUCAUCAACUAAACAACUUUCUGAGGGAGUGAGAAGGUCCAACCUCCGGUUCUGAAAAAGUAAUGAAAAUACAGCUGUUAAAAUUAGCAGGUUACUGAGAUUGAAAAAUUAGUCAACUUCAUCUGCAAAUAGAAUGGACAUUAAGGAAAAAGAAUCACCUUAGAUGAAGGGGCACAUAGCCACCAUUUUGGUCUGAAAGUAAAGAAACAAGAAGAUGUGACGCAUGUGUCAAAGUUAACAGUUCCAAGGAAAUAUGUUGAAAGAUACAACCAUAGAUAUAAGCAUGAUGCAUAUAAAUUAGUCUACUCUUUAAAUGCGUAAUUCUUAUCAUGUAAACAUCUUGAAGAUAUCAGAAAUUUAUGAGCAUUUCUUCAUGUAUAUGUACAUACAUAUUUUUCAAUGACUAAGAAUGAAAUCAUCGUCAAUAAUGCCAAAACCAUAGUUAAUGUGGUAGUGACAUGACAAGACUAAAAAUCUAUUUUAGUAACACAGGACACUGGAAAAGUGACUAAAAAGGAAUGAAAAUUUCCCUUCAUUUACGAUAUACAAGAGAGCAAGAGCCUUUUAAACUAGGUCAACAAUGAUAUUCUGGCUUAAACAGACCUUGGUACAGUACAUUCAAAUUGCAAUUCAGAUUAUUUCAUUAGAUCGAUGAAGAUGCAACAAAUUCAAAAUCCCAUUGAACAUGACUAAUGCUUUUGAGAUGUUUUCUUCAAAAGCAAAUUCUCAGGAAGCAAACUAAUAAUGUGUUUGGUCACAAGUUAGGAACUUGGUUUUUCACUUCAAGACAGAAGCCAUCAGUUGUAACUUUUGCAUCAUUUAACGUGAUUUGUUCCCCGGUGAACAUAUUUCCAAACACAGGAUAAGCAAAUUGGAGGUUCAAGUUUAAGAUCAAAACGCAAAGAAGAGUUAUAGAACAGCUAUAGAGGAAGUUCUACCCAUAGAUCUUUUUUUUAUAUAUAUAAAAAGAUAAAUAAAGAGUACCCUUCAAUCCAUAUGAAACAUGAAAUAUGUCCAAAAACAUCAUAAACUUAAAUCAGAAGAACAAGGCAUGGCAGCAAAGCAAGAAUGUACCUUUCCCUGGAAUAUAAACCAAACCACUCCCUUGGCUAAAAUUCACACCGGGGUUGUACUUAAGCAGCAAGUCACUUUCUAUCCUAGUCUCGUUGGCAAUUGACUGCAAAGAAUCCUCAGGUCUAAGCGGGUAUGUGAUGAACAAUCCAUAAUCCUUGGAAACUUCACUAUUCCCACAGGAACAGUUAAUGAAGACAUCAAGAGUCACGGUAUCAGGAAUACCAGUUGGUGAAUAUGAGUUGAAGUUCUGCAACAACUGAGUAGUGGUCAAAUCGGAAUAAUUCUGACUGGCAAUGGACGUGUAAGUGUCACCUGAUACAACGUCAUAAUGGAAUAUAUGGCCAAGAAACUCUCCAAUGCAAUCACAAGGGAAUGGAACGUUCACUCUGGUAAAGGCUUGCACCUGGUCUUUGUUUUUUAUGGUUUCACUGUUGUAGGGGAGAAUAUCUUCAGCUUUUGAAACAACCUGAGAUUUCAUAAUCUUUGAUAUAUAUGUCAAAUCACCUCCUGUUAGAUAGUAGGAAGCUAGAGCUAAAUCACAGUCCCUCCUACACUUGGAUUCUGCACUAAGCACCAUAGCCCAUAACAUGAAGAAAACUGAUAAACUGAAUCUGUUCUCCAUUGGGUGGUAGAGUGUACCAGCUUUGUGAAGCUAUCCAAGAGGAACACAGUCAAGAAUCUGGACGUGUUGAACACACCAAAUUGGGAUUGGAAUAUUAAACUGAAACACUAUUUGAAACGUUGUACUCUUUUACAAAAGUCUUUAGUAGUCUUUUGCCUUACUUGUUGAGCAUGUCGGAUUUAAAGAUGUUUGAAUGUAUUUGUUAAAUAUGAAAUUUGGACACUCCUCUUCUUAAAUGGCGUGUGUCGGUGUUCGAUAGUUGUAUCGGACACUGACAUCAUUCAUAUGACAGGACAUGUAUCCGUGAAGUGUUCAAUUCAAAAAGUUUUUUGUUAGAUUUCUAAUAAUUAUAAUUCAGUUCUGACAUAAUUUUAAAAAGUAAAAAUACAUUAAUUUUUUAAAACUUCAAACUUUAUUGUAUAAAUUGUUAUUAUGAUUAUAAAAAUAAGAAAUAAAUAAUUGUGAAUCAGUCAUGAAAAACAUCUUUUUGUUCCAAAAAAAUAAUAUAAAACAUACUUGUACACAUAAAUUUUUAUUAUCAAAUUAUAUAAUUCAUAAUUAUAUAAUAUAUAGAUCUUUGUCCUCGUAUUCUACAUUUUAAAAAUUUUACGUAUCUCCAUAAUAAUAUCAAUAUCCGUGUCUUGCUACAUAGGUUACUUAUAGAUACCAUGUACUAUAUGCUGAAUAAAUUUUGAUAUUUAUUAUAAUUUUCUUUUCACGACUUGAGCAUAUAUUAAUAACUUUCUAGAUUAUUCUCUCAAGCGACAGUUUUUCAAAUAAAUUUAGAGACUUUUCUUCUUUUUCCUCUUAAGUUUCUUUUGUUUGUUUAUCUGUAGGUCCUUCAUAUUUUAUUCUGGUAUAUAAUUGUAUUAAUUAAAAACUAUGCGAAUAUAUCCUUACUUUUAACUUUAGACAAUUUUCAUAUUUCAUAGACAUGUUCAUAUUAAUGACUAGGAGAAUCAAAACAAUUCAUUUAUAUAUUCCAUUAUUAAUACAUCCACAAGUAAAUUCAUCCCAUCCAUUCAUGAUUUCAAAUUCAUUCAAUUAAUUUUAUGAUACAUAUAUUGUUUUAUAAAAAAUAGAUACUCUGGUCAAUAUCAAAACUAGUCUAAUUAAUUUUGUUCACACGUAAGCUUGUUUUAUUCUGAAAGCUUUUUAAAAAAAAAAACACUUUUUAAAAUUCUUUUACAAAAGUUACUCUUUAAAAUUGUUUUAAAAAUAUAUUAUUUUUAUGGGUGAUUAGAAUAUUCAUAUAUAAAAAAAUUGUUAAUAAAUUAAUUGGAUUGAGUUUUUAAUUACUUUUUUAUCGAACAAAAUAAAUUAAAAAAUAGUAUACUGUAUUAUAAUUCGAAAUAAAAUUUAUAUUAACUCGUUAAAUUUUUCUGACAAGGUUUGUUGGCAUUGCCCACACGACAAGCUGAGAAUGACUAUUGACUUCUCCACCUCUUCACAUCAAGUCUUCCUCUUUCAUUAAUUCUGCUUCUUUUUCUCCUCUAUGCACAUAUCUUGGCAAAUUAAUUUAUGUUCCAUUUAUAUAAUAAGUUUAAACAUAAACUAAUUCAUUUUAUUAACCUUAAUCCACACUCAUACUAGCUCAACCCUAAUCACUCGAUAAAGUUUUGCAUGGUUUUUUCAAUUUCUUAAAUAUAUUUCCGUGGUUGGAUUUCUGAUCAGAUUAAUGGAAAAUACUUUUAUUAAGAGAAACAAAAUUUACUUUAGUAGUGUACUAUCUAGGCCGAAAGGUCAACCGAAAGGUUGUACCAAAAGUCUCGACCGAAAGGUUGUACCGAAAGUCUCAACCGAAAGGUUAAAUAUAAAAAGUAAAUAAGUAAAAUUAAAUUAGUGAUUAUAGCAAAGCCCAUAAGAUGGACCCAAAUAUACAGGUGUGUGUUUUCAAAAUGUUAGGUGCAAAAAGAAAAUACCCAAGUAACUCUUAAGCCCAAUAAGAGAGCCUUAUAAAUAGAGGUUCAACUCAAGAGGUAAGUAAGAUUCAAUUGAUCUGAUGAACAUAAAACUAUAUCUGACUUUGGCAUCGGAGCGCCUUGCAGGUACACACACCCACCUGUGAGGAGAAGAAGCCGAGAGCCCAACUCGAGUAGAAGCCGCGAGAGCCCAACCCGAGAAGAAGCCGAGAGCCCAACUCGAGGAGAAGCCGAGAGAGUCCAGCCCAAGUCCGGAAGAUUUGUAAAGGAGUUGAUCUUAUCAACCUUAUUCUAGUGUUCUUGGUCCUUGUUGUAAGAACAAGUAGUUUGUCUAAACACGUAAAAAUAGUACCUAAAUGUAAACAGUUAAAAGUAGUGAUAUUUUUCAUUUUAUAAUAAGAUAGUUUUUCUUUUUAAUCCCAUAAUUUCUUUCUUCUUUCCCAUAAAUAUGAAAUUUUUUCACUUUGUUCUUCUAGCUUAUGAAAAAUUGUUUUUUGAAUUAUGUAAUUUGAAAAUUAAUUUUUUAUGAAAAAAACUUUGGAUUUUACAAUUUUAAAUUCAAUUUUUGACUUUUCAAUUGUUCAAUCUCAAAAUUCAUUCUACAUUCACUUUAGAAUCUACAUUCACUUUAGAAGUUUUUUUUAAUGUAAAAAAUACUUUAAAAUUGUAUAAUUUAAAAUACUUUGGUUUUGAGUUCAUCCAUAACAUAACACGACGGUAACAACCAGGGAACCACGAUGUUUGAUCUUUUAAUUACCUCGAUGGGGAUUACAUAUGGAAGCUAUGAGACUGCAGAAAAAAAGAAGUGACCUUCACAUAAUUCAACUAUGUUGGUGGGAUGAAUGUGACCUAAACUUUGAAGGCAAAUUCUCCCUCCACCUCUAUAGGUUCUUCCUACAUCUCCAUAAUAAAUGUGAAAUUCCUUUUUGUUCCUUUCUUAAAAAUUUAAAUACCCUAAUUCUCUCCUUACAUUACACUACACUCUUCAUUUCCUUUCUCUUUCUCUUGUGAAGUCGCUACAACUACUCAUAAUAAAUGUGUAUUUUUGUUACCAAAAAUGAUUUGAACUGCAUCCAUGAAAGUAUAGUUUCUCUCUCCAUACGGGUUGCCACAAUGAUAACAACAGCGUGAAGGACUUCCAUUAUUGUGUGAAUGUAAGUUUAAUUUUUUUGUUAUGUGAAUCUUUCUUACACUAUUUUUCGACCUUGCUACUUUUUGUUGUGUUACAUUGAUAUCAAAUCAUACAAUCCAAUUUUUUUUUUAUUAACAUAUUGGAUUGGACAAUUUGUUAUCCGAAUCUGGGACAUACAUAUCGGAUCGUACAAUUCAAAAUAUUAUUAGAAAAUUAAAUAUUAGAUUGUACAAUUCCAUUAUACAUACCGGAUUACAAUCCGAUUUGCAAUAUAAAUUAAAUGUACAAAUUGAACGAUUUUAAAAUUGAACGAUUUGAAAGCUAAAAUCGGAUUAAGAUUGUCUACUGGACUGUAGAUUCCGAUAUAACAAAUAAAUUUACAAACUGCAUUACAAUUUAAUAUGCUGAUCCGAUUUUAGCUUCUAAUUAUUCAAUCGGAUGUGUGCAUUUUAAAUGGGAAGUGUUAUGGAUUGCUCAGUCCAAUACACACAAAUGGAUACGUUUUGAAUUUUAAAAUUAUAUGGAAGUAAGGGAAAUAGAGGUGCAAGAAAUAUUUGCCAACUCGUAACCCCAAAAUUUAAGUAACUCUAAGCCCAAUAUUUGUGUGACCAUCCAAAAGGCAUUGCAUUUUGCACUCCCAUGUUUCUAUACCAGCACCCCCAUGAGGGCUGAAAUGAUAAAUUUAUCCUUAAAAAUUACAUUAUGGAUUGCAUAUUGCAAUAUGUAAUACCUUUCAAAAAUAUACAAUUCAGAAUAUAUUAAUACAUUUUAGAUUGAACCAUAUUUUUGAAAUAUAUUUUUAAUUUUUUAAAAAUGUAUAAUCAUGAUUAUAGAAUGUACAAUCUUGAAUAUAUUAAUAUACAUAAUAAUAUAUUAAUAUAUUCUAGAAUGUAUUUCCAGAAAAUCAUUACAAAAUAUGCAUUCUAACAUAUUUCAUUUUAAAUAUAUAUUUCAGAAUAUAUUAAUAUAUUUUAGUAUGUAUUUUUAGAUUUGGAAAUAUAUUAUGAGAUAUACAUUCUACAAUAUAUUAAUACAUUUUGGAUCACAUUUUAAAAUAUAUUUUCAAAUUUUAAUGCCCCCAAUCCUAGGAUUUGGCAUUCCAAACUUUGAAAGCCCAAAAUAAGUAACUCUUACAAACUGCAAAGAAGGGUGUGGAGAAUUAAAAGUUUGGUCAUCGCUUAUAUUUAAAUAAAUAAAAAGUGCAAGUCUGAUAGACUAAAAUAUAAUUUAUUUUUAACUAAUUUAAUCAAAUUAAAUACCAUUAUUUUAAAAAUAUUCUUAAGUUAAAUUAAAAUGUGAAAUAUCUCUGAUAAAAUAUGAGUAAAAAAAUAAAUAAAAAAAUAAGUUUCUCAUCAUAUUAUUAAAUGAGGAAAAUUAAAUAAAUUUGAUUAUAUUACAUUGUAUACUAUUAUGAAUAAAUGUUAAUUUAGUAUUUUGGUAAUUGCCAAAUUAAGAUCUGUUAAUUUAUAGCCUAACCAAGAAGCAGCAUCUGAAACAUAUGAAUAGCACUUGAAAGUUGAAUCCAGUGGGUUGACUUAUCUGUAAUAUGGCAUCAUAAAGAUUAAAGAGAAGUAGUGAAUGUAAACUUUGUUCAACAAACCACUCAAGUAACUUCUGAUCAACCGCACAAAAGUAAAAGGAUGUCUCUCAGCUAGUGGACUUCAUCCCACACCCAACACAACAACACACAUUUUUCACUCACCAAAUUCUCUCUCUCAAUGCUUCUCUUCUACAACAUCCAACACUGUUAAAUUCAGUUCCUUCAAACACACUUUAAUACAGCUAACUAAUCUCAUCCAAACAAAGUUCAGGUGGUCAAACAAAAUUAAGUUGUCUCUACCAAUGACACUAAUUAUGUGCUGUGACAACAUCAAUCUUUAGGCUAUAGCUUCCAAUCUAGUUCAUCAUCAAGAUCUAACACUUAAACAUGUUCAUAACAUAAGUUUCUUUAUUAGGGCUCUUUUUGCACAGUAAACAAAUAUAAAAUCUAAUUAUUAUGCUUGGCUUAGGUUAUAAAUGUGUGAAAGACAUAACUUCCUUUUAAGUAUACAUAUGAGUUAAUGAUACUUAACUAAUCCUGCAUUUAAGAAUAAAAUCUCCAUGUUGUGCUCAUUGAUUAGAAAAUUAAGAUAUCUUUAGACUUCCAAAUCAGAAUCUCCAAUAAUUUACCUGAGAGAUUGAUUAAAAGUUAUAAGAAUAGUGGCAAUUUUAACCAGGUUUUGAGAGUAGGUGAAACCCGAGAUCAGGAGACAUCAGUUUAAUUGUAAACCAUAAUAGUCAACGAUACAUUUGAUGGCUAUAAUUAAUAUCUUAAUUCAGAUUGAAAUCUUCUGUUUGUGACAGCUAUGAAGAUAAAACUUUGAAUCACCAUGAAACCACUCAUUAGUUGCUAAUGAUGCUCAUAAAUGGCCCUUACACAAGAAUAGAAGCUGUACAUAUAUAUUAUGAAUAGAAAUGUGGAUGAACUGCAAAAUUGGAAAGAGGGUGAAAUAUGGUAUGAGUUAACUCCCUGUGUGGGGUCAUUCCAGUUGGAAACUCAUAUCCUACGUAGCCUCUUGUUAUUAUUACACUACAGUUUAUAGAGUGGUAAAAAUGAUACCAAAGUGCAAUUUUCAUUGCCCCUUAAAAAGGUUAAAAAAUGCAUAUGCCCACAUGAACACAUAUUUGAAAGUUUAUCUGCAUUUGUGGGCGGACCACAGAAUUUCAGUGCCAAUGUCUCACUUGGUUGGAUGAGAAAACGAUGGCUUUGAGCCGUACAACCUCAAAAAGUGCAUCUAUUGACCUCUUUUUUUUCUCUCUUUCUUUUUGAACAAAAUAUAUGACUUUGUCUUGUGUUUCUCUCACAUUAGAUCAGCUGUGAUAAAUCACUAAACGUAAUAAAGAAGGGUUACCAUUUUGUUGGUUAGUUAGAUAAUCUAAGUAACUUUCCGCCAAGAAUUUUCAUUUCUUCAAAAAUCAACAUAUCCCUUUCUCUAAACUACUAUUUGUCUGUCUAUAAUCACUUUCCCUUUUACAACAGUUCUUGACUACUCACUUGUCUCCAAUAUUUAAUCUUGAAUUAACGCCCAACCAUAUGCAUACCCUUUUGAGGAAUGCUUGCAGCUUUGAGUGUGAAACAGCUCAGUCACAGAACAAAAGUGUUUCUUCUUCUUGUUGUUCUUCUUCUUCUCAUUAUAAAUGGUUUCAUCUUUUGCCAUACCAAAAGCAAAAAGCUACGUGGAAACGAGUUUUCAGAGACGCUUCACGAUGAAGCCUUUGGGCCUUUGCCAAUUCUCACCCGUGCAAGAAGAUACAUCAUCCACUAGAUCUAAUAACAUUGACAAUUGGUGCUCUUCUCUUUAUUGACAUGCUUUUUUUUAAAAUGAUACUUUUUCUGGUAUAGUCUAAAUGUAUGAUACUAAUUACAUGCGUUAUACAUGACACAAUCAUUCAACACAAGACUAUCAGCAUUACGACACCCUUAAUCUAUUAUAUUUUGAACCAUUUAUAACAAGCAACAGGUUUUGAUUGGUGCGUUUGCUGAAUAAGUCUUAAAACAAACUUCUAUACUAUUCAUAAAAAGAUUACGGUAUCAUCACAAAUAUUUUUACCAUUUCAUUAGUCAAAAAUGAAAGCUUUCCCAUUGAUUUUCAUGAAAGACUAAGCCAGUUAUAGAAACUAUUUGAAGGGUCCAAAUUCUUGCAUAUCAUAUGUGAAGUCCUUAAAAGGGACCAAUAUUCAAAAUCCUCAUUUUGACUUAGACCCAGCAUAUUCUGAUCUACUUAACCUACCUUAUGGAGGUGUGUAUGUGAAUAGCCUCAACAGCAGUGGUAUGUUCUCUUUCAACAUGUUUAUUAUUUUAACUCUUUAGGAUUAAUUAGAUAGUAGUAUUACAAGGCCACAUGGCUCUCGAGUGCGUCGGCGAUGUUUGACUUUUCAUGACAAGAACACCCCUGGUAUAAUGCGCGUGCUUUGACUCUUUCAGAAUGAAACAUUGAGGGUGUUUUGGCCAUCUCAGGAAGUUAACUAAAGUCAUAGCUUGCAAAAUAAAAAAACAGUACCUUUCUUUGUUUCAGGCUUUCACAUAUAUGUCUGUCGUUCCUAUGUGUGUUGAGUUUUGUAUGUCACUGUCUUUCAUUGAAUAUUGCCACCCCACCACCCUCACCCACACAACCGUCAUUCUAGACACCCUGAUCCAAUGCCAGACCCUACUCACAGCAUUCAUGUAUCCACCCAUCAUUGACCAUUUGAUCACAAUCAGACGGUAAUUAGGCCAUGCCCCACCACCCAAACUCACACGGAAACACCACAAGUGUUUCAUAAAUAUCACCAGAUUUAGUAUGCACAUGUUGGACCUAACCGUGUCCAUAUAAAUAUAUACACAAUAUAACAAGCGUAGCCUACACCAAAUUCUGCAGUUCCAUCACUUUGUGUUUGUUUCUCCUUGACCUUGUUAAACAAAAAAAAAAUACCAUGACCAUGAAGCACUUCCACUUGCUCAUCCUCAUCCUCAUCACGCUUCUGUUCCUUACACCAAGAAUUCACUGCAUCAGGACCAAAUUCUCAGGCCCCUCCACUUCAACCCAUCAAGAUUUUCAUCCGUGGGGAAAUUCUCCAAUCAGCAGCAGAGAUAGAGUUUUUAUGUCAGAGAAACGCAGAGUGCCAACAGGGUCCAACCCUUUACACAACAGGAGAUAGCGUGAUUUCUCAGGUUUUAUGUAGCAGGAUAAAUAGUGUAAUCAGAUAUGGUUUCUUAUUCAGUACCUUCUUUGUCAUAUACAGGGAAUACAGAUAUAUGUUAUAUGUUAUAUGCUAGCAGAGUCAUGUUAGAAAUAGUGAUUGUUUUUUAUUGGCUAGAUUAGUACAGAGUCCUUGUACAGAAGGUAAAGGAGAUUUUGAGCUUUAGAAGUAUGAAACAAAAUAUUAUAAACUAGAGUUUGUUUGUUUGUUUGUACAGUUUUUACAUUUUCCUUGCCUCAGCCAAACUUCCCUGUUGCAUUGCAAUUAAAGCCAGUUUUUUUAAGAUCAGAAUUGUAUGCCUUAGUCUUCAUACAUACCAUCAUAGUUUAGCUUCUUCUUCCACGGCUCAAAAUCAAACACGGGUGGCCAUAAUUGACAGUUUUUGGGGUUGCAUUUGUUGAGUACACCAUAUGAAUUUUCUUUUUCACAAGUGAAACUAGGGGAUCCACCAUCAGAUAUUUGCAAAGGCCCUCCUCUCUUGAAAACAACUGUUGAGAGAAGAAGAAUACAGAACACAGGGUUGUUGGCCAACAGAUUUUGUGAGAUUUCAUGCUUUGUAUGAAUUGAUGUUGAAACUGUUCCAAAUUAGCUCUGUUUCGGGGAGGAAGAAGAGAGGGGGGGGGGACCCUUGAGUUGAAAAUAUAUGAAAAUGAAAUGGGAUGCAGUGAGUCGUGAGUGAUGAAAGAGUUCAGUCAUUAUGGCUCCUCUGGUGUGAUAGGCCCCAAAGCUUGAAUGCAGUGUGUUUAAUACCCAUUACUCCACACAACAACCAUGCAAAUAAUUAAUAAAACUCCAUCAUCUUGAGCACACACAAGAAUAUUUGUUGGCAGAAGGUGAUAGAGUCCACAUGCUCUUAGUCUCACCCUACCUACAUAACAUUGAGGUCCCAGAAGCUCUUGUACAUUUAUUUUUUCCAUUUGAACUUGCGAUUUAAAAAGAGAUUUUUCUCCAAAACGGUAGGGUGGUAGUUAGGAAGAAGAAAAGGUACAGAGAUGAACAGUUGCAUGCACCCAAAAUCCAUAGGGAAUUGGAAGUGAUUUGGUUUGGGUGUGAAAUUAAGGUGGAGGGGUUGUGGUCCACAGAGGGUGGAAUAAGUGCAUAUACUAAUUCUGGUUACAGGAACCCCACCAAGGUCACCACCACCUCCAGCUAUAGCCUUUAUGGUGUGCGCGUGUAGAUUUUUGAACACCAUGGUUCAGGCAAAUAAUUGUGUAGUUGGAAAAUAAAUCAAAAGUAACAAAAUUAAAUAAUAUUCUCCAUCACAGGUAGUGUCCAUUGCCCUUUGCCUAGCCACCACCACCACCAUUUUAAGUGCCUUUCACUGUAUAUAUUUACACAAAAAUUAUUUCUACAAAUUUUUAGAGAAGGAAAAUAAAAAAUUCAAUUUUUAAAAUUAUCACAACACAAUUUUAAUAUAUAUAUAUAUAUAUAAAAGUAGAUUGAUAAUAUAUGACAUUUAAAAAAUACUUAGAAUUUUAAAUACAUACGAUUUUUUAUAUCUUGAAACAUAUUUCCAAUUAAAAUUAAAGAAUAAAGAGUGAUUUAAAAUCUCCUUCUAAACAUCAAUUUCUUUAGCAUUAUUGUCCCUAAGAGAUUGUUUCUUUUAACUUUAUUACAAACAUGAUAAUUUUCCUCUUGGAAAACAUUGCAUAUAUCAAUAGUAAGUAACAAUAAUAAUAAAUAUUUUUAUUUUGCUUUUCUUUAAUAAAAUACAUUUUUCUAUUCUCUUAUUUAUUUUUAUUUUUUUUUCAACCAAAAAAACCUUUGUUUAUACUCAUUUCUCACAUUUUUUUUUCUUUCAUUCAUUUUCUUUCUUUUCUUUUUCUCAAAGAGCAUAAAAGAUGUGUCGAAAAAUUAAACAAAUUCAGGUUUAUAAUAUUAACCUGAUAUUUUAUUAUGUGUUAUCGGCAUCAAUUAAUAUUUAUGUAAUGUAUAUUAAACUUUUUAAUACUAUAAAAAGAUUAUAAAUAAGUAGAUAUCACAAUAAUCCAAUAAUAUAAAAAAUUUAGUUAAGCACCAAAAAAAGUUAGUAUUGAUGAUUGUUUUAGAGACCAUUCACGCGCUAGCUACGUUAAUGGUAAUAGCUAUUACAAUUUUCAUAAUUUCUAAAACGCCGUUUAGACUAUUGGUUAUUGGUCUAUAUUAAAUUUUUAAAAAGUGGUAGAGUAAAAGAAUAGUAAAACUGGUUAAAUAUCAUUAAAAAUAUAUUAAAAUUAGUUGCAAAUCGAUGUUAAAAAUUAUGCUUCAACUUAUUGGGGAAAGAAAGUUGGCCAAUAAGAAAAUACACAUAAUUGAUUAAAAAAUAUUUUUAAUAAAAAAUCAUAUAUAUAUAUAUAUAUAUAUAUAUAUAUUCCGUUAUUUAUUUUUCUGUAGACAUGUAAUAUGAUAAUCUAAACUUAGUAUAAAAUUUUGCGUAAAUUAAUUUUCACAUUACUUAAUAUUUGUUUAUUGCUUAAUAUAUUGUGUAAUAUUAAAAAUAUGAAUGUUUCUUUGUGAAAUGUUGGUCGGUGUAAGUAUCAUUACAUUAUCAACUAAUUAGAAAAUAAUUGUAGCUUAAUUGUUAUGACGAUAAAUCUACCCAAAUAUAAUAAUUUAUUAUUAGGUAAUACUGUAAAAAAAUGUAUAUUUUUAAUGUAUUUUAAUUAAAUUCUAAAUGUGUUUAAUUAUUAUUGGUUCAAUUUAUUUAAUUUUGAAAGAAAUUUAUAUCAGAAGGUAUGAAAAAAUUUAGAAGAAAAAUGCAGACAUGCUUAUUGAACUAAUUGAAGAGGAUUUAAUGCGUAAGAAAGCAUCAGAAUUUUUAAUUUGUGACCACAAUGAUUCAACAAUCUUGUGAUAAUUAAUAGACUUUUUGUUUAAUGAUUUAAAAAUGAAAUGAUUGAGAGCACAUGCUGGGUACGGAAUCAGAAUGACUUUUGAAUUGUUUACAUUAAACAGAAUACAAAACAUUUAAAGAUUUGAUUAACCUUUUAAGGUCAAUAGAUUUUAUCAUAGUUUUAUUCGAUGCAGUUGUGAAACUGAGCCUGAUAACUUAUCUGUAAUGAUCACAUGAUUAACAGAAAUUUCAUAAAUAGAUUAAUAAUAAAAAUAGGUAGGUAGGUAAAAUAUUCUUGACUAAUUAUUAGAGAUCUUGAUUAAUUUGUAAAAUAUACUGUUUAUGGCUUGUAGAAUGGAAAUAGGUAGGUACAUGUAAAAUAUAUUUUGAGUAUGAAAAAAAAAAGGCAUAAAAAGUGUAUGAAAAAAAAACUUAUUUAGAAUCUGUUUGCUUCUUUACAUACCGUCACUGUUUAUAGGUAAAGAAAUGAGAAAAUAUUAUUUAGAUCAUAUGGUAUCUAUUUGUAGCAAUUUAUUAAUUUCAAGAAAUCUUAUUGUAUAUAUUCUUCUAAGUUUAUUUGUAUUAAUUUAUUAAAUCGUAAUUUUUGUUGUGAUAUGAGAAAAUGAAGAGAAGAUUUGAAAUAUUGUAUGUUAAAUCUUAAAAAAAUAUUAUAUAUGUUAGAUAUUUAAAUAUAGGUGUACCGGUCGGCACCGGACGACCGCAACAUACUCAUGGUAAAAUCAUCACAAAACCCUGCGUCUUAUACGACUCUUCGUCCUUCUAUGACCUCUAGCCGGACGAACGAGUGGUUUAUGUCGAAUAAAUCUAAUUUAAUCCAGAACGUGGUUACACGUGUAGAAAAGAGCAGUUAUAACAACCAUUGACGAAGUAAAAACACGUUCUCUAGACCACUCCCCUGGUUUUCAGGAAACCACCAGGCACGACCCAAAGACCACUAAGCAUGUCUCUAACCAUCAACUGAUUGGCCCACAUGGCCAAGGCCCAGGUCAACCUACUAAAGGGACUUCUGAAAAGGGGGAAAAGGUACGUUUUCCAUACUAUCAGAGAAUUCUCACUUGAGCACCAUUGCUGACUUGAGCGUCGGAGUGCAAUCGCAGGUACCCCCGCCGGCCGACCGAAGCACGCGAAGAGAAAGAAGACUUAAAGAAUAGGACAACCCAGAGGGAAGAAGACACCUUGUAUCGACGUGGAUCAACAUUACUCAGUCCCCAAUAUCCAUACAGGUACAAUUGGCGCCCACCGUGGGGCCGAGUAAUCAUUAUUUCCAGACCCAAAGAUCCCAACGCUUGAAGAUGGGCUCAACGGCAAACAACAACAACAAUGAUAUCUCUGAAGAGCAUAGGACCAUACUACAAACCCUCCAGAUUCAGAUGCAGGAGUUACUCCAAAAAGGAGUCAUCGAUCAACUUCGCCAAGAUGAAGAAAGGAAAAGACGAGAAGAAGAGCGUCAACAACACGCAGAGGAGAUAGCACAAUUGAAAGAACAGAACAAGAGAUUGUUGGGUAGACUUGAGCAAUCUGAACGCGAAGGGCAUUCACGUGCACCUUCUCCAUCACCGUUCCAAUCAGGAACAAGAACGAUAGCCCAGGCUAUACCUCACACGUCAUUCGUUCAACACACCCGUCAGAGUGCAAAGCCAGUAACCCCAAACGAGGUAGCAAACCCGAAAGGCCAUCCGUUCACUGAUGACAUCAUAGCCACUCCUCUCCCUGACAAGUGGAGGGGCCUAACGAUAAACCUUUAUGACGGUUCCACAGACCCAGACGAACAUCUGAAUAUAUUUAGAACUCAAAUGACCCUUUACACAACCGACCGAACGGUAUGGUGUAAAGUCUUCCCCACCUCUCUCAGGGAAGGCCCCCUUGGAUGGUUUUCGGACCUUCCACCCAAUUCCAUUGCAAGCUUCGACGCUUUGGAAUUGAAGUUCACCACGCAAUACGCCACAAGUAGACCUCAUCGGACAUCCUCCAUGUCUCUUCUAAAUGUCAAACAAGAAAGGGGAGAAUCAUUGAGAACAUUCAUGAACAGAUUUAGCAAAGUGUGUAUGAACAUUCGUAAUCUUAAUCCAGAAAUAGCCAUGCACCAUUUGGUCUCGGCCAUACUACCAGGAAGGUUCACUGAAAGCCUUAUCAAACGACCUCCGUGCAAUAUGGAUGAAUUAAGAACAAGAGCAACGAAGUUCAUGCAGAUAGAAGAACAUAUUGACUAUCAUCGAAAAACUUAUGCUGAGAACACGGACAAGAGCAAAGAAAUUCGUCCCCCCACAAUACCGACCGACCGAGAACGACAUCGCCCCAAUAGGGGACCCCGUUUCCAUAACUACACUCCCUUGAUUGUACCAAGGGGUAAGGUUCUCGACGAAGCACUGCAGAUUGAAUUGAUUCUGAUGUUGAGGCCAUCACAAACCCCUCCCAAUGCCGACACCAGUAAACGUUGCCAAUACCAUCGUAACUAUGGCCACACGACCGAAGGAUGCCAAGCACUGAAAGAUAAAAUUGAAGAGCUCGUCCAGGCCGGUCAUCUGCGCAAGUUCGUGAAAACCACCAUCACGGCACCCAGGUCACCCCAGCGUGAUCAUGAUCCCCGCGAACGUUCGGGACGAAGAGACGACCGAACCCGUGACAACCACUAUCGUUCAAGCAGAAGAAAAAGAAGCGAAAGUCCGAUCAGACGAACGAGGCCUAAAAGCGAAAGCCCUGAACGUAGAAGUCGAACUAAACAAAAAGUUCGCACAGUCAUCAAUACAAUCGCUGGACCGGUGUCGCUCGGUCAGCCCCCUCAAGAAAUUAAUUACAUUGCAGGUGGCUUCGCGGGUGGAGGAUGCUCUAAUUCAGCCAGGAAAAAGCAUUUGAGAGCAAUUCAAUCCGUUCAUUCGACUCCCACACAACGCCGACCGCAUAUACCACCAAUCACUUUCACUGACGAAGACUUCACAGCAAUCGAUCCAUCUCAAGAUGACCCCAUGGUAAUAACUGUGGAGAUAGAUAAAUUUGCAAUUGCAAAAGUUUUGGUAGAUCAGGGUAGCUCGGUCGACAUCCUAUAUUGGGAAACGUUUAAGAAGAUGAAGAUUCCAGAAGCAGAGAUACAACCAUACAACGAGCAGAUAGUUGGUUUCUAAGGGGAAAGAGUGGAUACGAAAGGAUUUAUCGAUCUGUACACCACGUUCGGGGAUGAUUACCUCAGCAAGACCAUCAACAUACGAUAUCUACUCGUUAAUGCCAAUACAUCGUACAAUAUUUUGCUCGGUCGACCAUCUAUCAACAGAUUGAAAGCCAUUGUCUCAACUCCUCAUUUAGCUAUGAAGUUCCCCUCGGUCAAUGGAGACAUAGCAACCGUACAUGUAGACCAGAAGACAGCACGAGAGUGUUAUGUAGCUAGCCUGAAGGUGGAGCCGACCCGAAGGCUUUAUACCACGUCAGCCGAACGGACCACAGAGCGAAGAGGUCGGUCAACAGAAAGACGCUCCAGAGGAAGAGAAUCUAGAAGACACUUGGUCGCUUUAGUCGAUCUAGAUCCUCAACUGGAUGAUCCCCGAAUGGAAGCAGGAGAAGACCUUCAACCCAUAUUCCUUCGGGACAAAGACCGGAAAACAUACAUGGGAACAUCCCUCAAACCAGACGACCGAGAGACGAUCGGUAAAACAUUAACAAAGAACGCUGAUCUUUUCGCCUGGACGGCUGCAGANNNNNNNNNNNNNNNNNNNNNNNNNNNNNNNNNNNNNNNNNNNNNNNNNNNNNNNNNNNNNNNNNNNNNNNNNNNNNNNNNNNNNNNNNNNNNNNNNNNNNNNNNNNNNNNNNNNNNNNNNNNNNNNNNNNNNNNNNNNNNNNNNNNNNNNNNNNNNNNNNNNNNNNNNNNNNNNNNNNNNNNNNNNNNNNNNNNNNAAAAGACGAAUGGAAAAUGGAGAAUGUGCGUAGACUACACAGACCUUAACAAAGCGUGCCCAAAGGACUCGUAUCCUCUACCUACUAUCGACCGGCUGGUCGACGGUGCAGCCGGUCAUCAAAUCCUAAGUUUCCUUGAUGCUUAUUCAGGUUACAAUCAAAUACAAAUGUACCACCGUGAUCGAGAAAAAACCGCUUUUAGAACAGAUUCUGAUAAUUUCUUCUAUGAAGUCAUGUCGUUCGGCCUCAAGAAUGCAGGAGCCACAUACCAGCGACUCAUGGAUCACGUAUUCCACGACAUGAUCGGUCGGAAUGUAGAGGUAUACGUUGACGACAUCGUCGUCAAAUCAGACUCUUGCGAGCAACAUGUUUCUGACUUAAAAGAGGUUUUUCAAGCCUUGCGUCAAUACCGCAUGCGUUUAAACCCGGAGAAGUGCGCGUUCGGCGUAGAAGGGGGGAAGUUCUUAGGCUUCAUGCUCACACAUCGGGGUAUAGAAGCUAAUCCAGAAAAAUGCAAGGCAAUCACCGAAAUGCGAAGUCCCAACGGACUCAAAGAGAUCCAGAGACUAGUCGGCCGUCUCACUUCGUUGUCUCGAUUCGUACCUAAGCUUGCCGAACGAACGAGACCCAUCAUAAAACUUCUGAAGAAGACAAGUAAAUUUGAAUGGACAGAUGAAUGUGAACAAAAUUUCCAACAGUUAAAAGCAUUUAUGGCAUCUCCACCGGUCAUCCAGAAACCGAACGCACGGGAACCCAUUGUGGUCUACCUCGCCGUCUCCAAUGAAGCGGUGAGUUCCGCUCUAGUACAAGAAAUUGAAGCGGAAGAACGACCGGUAUAUUUUGUAAGUCGAGUCUUACAUGACGCAGAAACCCGGUACCAAAUGGUCGAAAAAGUUGCCUUCGCUUUGGUCAUUACCGCACGACGGAUGCGGAUGUAUUUCCAAAAUCACAAGGUCAUUGUUAGGACUAACUAUCCCAUUAUGAAGAUUCUCGCCAAACCUGACCUCGCCGGACGAAUGAUAGGUUGGGCAGUCGAACUGUCAGAAUUCCACAUCGAAUACCAACCCAGGGGAGCCAUCAAGUCCCAAGCCCUCGCCGACUUCACAGCAGAACUCACUCCCUAUCCGACCGAACGGACUCCCCGAUGGACACUAUACGUAGAUGGGUCAUCUAACAGUCGUUCGUCCGGAGCAGGAGUUGUACUUGAAGGACCAGGGGAGAUUGUUGUCGAACAAGCCAUGAAAUUUGAAUUUAAAACUUCCAAUAAUCAAGCCGAAUACGAAGCUAUAAUCGCAGGUUUGCAUAUGGCGAUUGAAUUGGAGAUAACAAAUAUAACUUGCAAAAGCGACUCCCGUCUAGUCGUCGGACAACUUACAGGGGAGUAUGAGGUAAGAGAAACAUUACUCCAACAGUAUUUUCAUUUCGUAAAAAAUCUUCUAAACAGGUUCAAAGAAAUCUCCUUCCAACACGUACGGAGGGAAAAUAAUACUAGGGCGGACGCUCUAUCGAGAUUGGCUACCCUAAAAAAGAAAGGCGUCCACNNNNNNNNNNNNNNNNNNNNNNNNNNNNNNNNNNNNNNNNNNNNNNNNNNNNNNNNNNNNNNNNNNNNNNNNNNNNNNNNNNNNNNNNNNNNNNNNNNNNNNNNNNNNNNNNNNNNNNNNNNNNNNNNNNNNNNNNNNNNNNNNNNNNNNNNNNNNNNNNNNNNNNNNNNNNNNNNNNNNNNNNNNNNNNNNNNNNNNNNNNNNCGUCCCCUCCUAAAAUGCCUUGGUCCAGAACAAGUCACUUUUGUAAUGACCGAGUUACACGAAGGGAUAUGCGGAACCCAUUCAGGAGCGCGGACUAUGUCCGCCAAAAUUCUAAGAGCAGGAUACUACUGGCCGACCUUACAGGGAGAUUGCACUGAAUACGUUAAAAAGUGCGUGAAAUGUCAAGAGUUCGGCACCCUAUUGCACCAAAAACCAGAGCAUUUGCACUACAUCCUAUCCCCUUGGCCGUUCGUGAAAUGGGGAAUGGAUAUUAUCGGACCUUUCACACCCGGAAAAGGGCAAUGCAAGUUCCUACUGGUGGGUAUAGAUUACUUUACCAAAUGGAUUGAAGCUGAACCACUAACAGCCAUCACCGCCCGGAACGUACAAAGCUUUGUGUGGAAAAACAUUGUCUGCAGGUUCGGCCUACCUCAGAUCAUUAUCACAGACAACGGUCGACAGUUCACCGACCGUGGGCUAGCUGAAUUCUAUGAGAAACUUCACAUCAAACAUAUAACGAGUUNNNNNNNNNNNNNNNNNNNNNNNNNNNNNNNNNNNNNNNNNNNNNNNNNNNNNNNNNNNNNNNNNNNNNNNNNNNNNNNNNNNNNNNNNNNNNNNNNNNNGAACACCCUCAAACCAACGGUCAGGCGGAAGCCGCCAACAAAGUUAUUCUCAAUGAGUUAAAGAAGAGACUUGGCCCGUCCAAGGGAAAUUGGACUGAAGAAUUGUUAGAGGUUUUGUGGGCUUAUCGUUGUACUCCCCAGUCAACAACUCAAGAAACACCUUAUAGCCUGACGUACGGCACAGAAGCCAUGAUUCCGGUCGAAAUCGGCGAACCUUCACUACGCCGACAGACGUUAGACCUAGACUUAAACAAGGAAAGUCUACUAGUCGGCCUCGACCUCAUCAAUGAAUUAAGGGACAAAUGCAAGAUAAGGGAAGAAGCAUGCAAGAUACGAGCAGCACGAAGGUACAACUCCAAAGUGAAGCCACGAAGUUAUCAGAAAGGAGAUCUAGUUUGGCGCNNNNNNNNNNNNNNNNNNNNNNNNNNNNNNNNNNNNNNNNNNNNNNNNNNNNNNNNNNNNNNNNNNNNNNNNNNNNNNNNNNNNNNNNNNNNNNNNNNNNNNNNNNNNNNNNNNNNNNNNNNNNNNNNNNNNNNNNNUGCCACGCAUCUCAAAUUCUAUUACAGUUGAUGAAUAAACUUAGUGCACUCUUUCCUCGCUCGGUAGUUUUAUCCCUAAGGAGGGUUUUCUACCGAGAAGGUUUUAACGAGGCACUUUAAAUCACCAAUCUUGGUCAGAAAUUCAAUUAAUUCACCGUUCAUUCGGUCGGAAUACAUAACGAAAGUUAUCCGAAUUAUAACUUAAACGUUAUUUACCAACCUUGGUCAGAAAUUCAAUUAAUUCACCGUUCAUUCGGUCGGAAUACAUAACGAAAGUUAUCCGAAUUAUAACUUAAACGUUAUUCACCAACCUUGGUCAGAAAUUCAAUUAAUUCACCGUUCAUUCGGUCGGAAUACAUAACGAAAGUUAUCCGAAUUAUAACUUAAACGUUAUUCACCAACCNNNNNNNNNNNNNNNNNNNNNNNNNNNNNNNNNNNNNNNNNNNNNNNNNNNNNNNNNNNNNNNNNNNNNNNNNNNNNNNNNNNNNNNNNNNNNNNNNNNNCAAUUAAUUCACCGUUCAUUCGGUCGGAAUACAUAACGAAAGUUAUCCGAAUUAUAACUUAAACGUUAUUCACCAACCGUGGUCAGAAAUCGAAAUUAAUUCACCGUUCAUUCGGUCGGAAUACAUAACGAAAGUUAUCCGAAUUAUAACUUAAACGUUAUUCACCAAUCUUGGUCAGAAAUUCAAUUAAUUCACCGUUCAUUCGGUCGGAAUACAUAACGAAAGUUAUCCGAAUUAUAACUUAAACGUUAUUCACCAACCGUGGUCAGAAAUCGAAAUUAUUUAUGCCUCGUUCGGCAUCAGAAUUAUUCAGAAUUAUUUAUGCCUCGUCCGGCAUCAGAAUUAUCUUAUUACUUCAAUGUAAUCAGAAUUAUUUAUGCCUCGUCCGGCAUGAGAAUUAUCAUAUUACUUUAAGGUAAUCCGAAUUAUUUAUGCCUCGUCCGGCAUCCGAAUUAUCUAUUAAAUCAUUAACCGUUCGUUCGGCCAGAAUAUAUAACGAAUUAUAACUUCAACGUUAUUCACCAACCUUGGUCAGAAAUCGAAAUUAUUUAUUAAUUAACCGUUCAUUCGGUCGAGAUUAUAUAACUACGGCUAUCCGAAUCAUACACUUCUUCAAACCCGGAUCUAUGCUGACAACAAUCUCUGCAACAUAAACACGAAAAUAAGAAACAGAUACGCUAUUAGCCGAACGACCGCAAGAAAAGGUGCUCACCUUUUAGUUCCGCCUACUGCUUAGACGACCCAUAAAGAGCUAUCAGUUCCCGCGUAGGGAGCCUACACGAUAGUUGAUUCACGACCAUCAAAAUUUCUUGGUCGAUGGGAGACAAAGAUUCCCAAAGCCGAUGGUCAAGAGAGGUGGGAUUCUCCGUCCAAUAGAAUGGAAAUUUUGUGCUUCCAGCGGCAUUAUAGAAUAGAUUUUGUGCACCGGACGUCCGCAGCAUACUCAUGGUAAAAUCAUCACAAAACCCUGCGUCUUAUACGACUCUUCGUCCUUCUAUGACCUCUAGCCGGACGAAAGAGUGGUUUAUGUCGAAUAAAUCUAAUUUAAUCCAGAACGUGGUUACACGUGUAGAAAAGAGCAGUUAUAACAACCAUUGACGAAGUAAAAACACGUUCUCUAGACCACUCCCCUGGUUUUCAGGAAACCACCAGGCACGACCCAAAGACCACUAAGCAUGUCUCUAACCAUCAACUGAUUGGCCCACAUGGCCAAGGCCCAGGUCAACCUACUAAAGGGACUUCUGAAAAGGGGGAAAAGGUACGUUUUCCAUACUAUCAGAGAAUUCUCACUUGAGCACCAUUGCUGACUUGAGCGUCGGAGUGCAAUCGCAGGUACCCCCGCCGGCCGACCGAAGCACGCGAAGAGAAAGAAGACUUAAAGAAUAGGACAACCCAGAGGGAAGAAGACACCUUGUAUCGACGUGGAUCAACAUUACUCAGUCCCCAAUAUCCAUACAGGUACAAUAGAAGACAAAGGUUAAUAUGAAAAUAAAUAGAAAUUAGUCAAUAAUAUCAAUUUUUUAUAUUAAAAUACAUAAUAAAUUGACUAUUUCAUACAAUCAUUAACUUUUUCAGUUAAUUGAUGUAUUAGCCGACAUCUCCAUUUCUAUCGUAAAUACUUACAUGCUACUAUUGUGAUAGCAUGUGUUAGUAUCUCGGUUCGAGUAGUCAAUUAUUUUAUAACAUUAUCAUAUAAUUGUUUCACUAGUAAUGUACAUAUAACAGUUCAAUUCAAUUCUUCCUACCAUCUGCAUCUUACAUAAUAUUAAAUUUUCGAAAAACUAUGCCUUUCAUUCUGAAAAUAAAAAUGUAGAAUUAAAGAAAAAUACAUUCUGAAAAAAUAGAUCUAUAAGAGAUUAUUGUAUUUUGGAAAAAAAAAUCUAAAAACAAAAAUCAAAAUUCCAUUCCAGAGAAAAUAAUCCACAAUACAAAAAAAAAAAUAUAUUCCAGAAAAAAAAUCUAUAUUCUGUAAAAAAGGUGUAUUUUAUAUAUACCUCCUUUUUAUCUAAGGAUAUUCUCGUCUUUUUUCACAGUGAAAUUAAGUCCAAUAAUAUGGUGCAGGAAGUAAUUGCCUCCAUCCUAUCCUAAGGUAGCCCGGCCCAACCCAAACAACCAGCAAAAUAGCAUUAUUUUUUGGACUGUUUCUUCCUGCACCUCCAUAUCUUCUUCUAGCACCUCCAUACACAACAUGAAAAUACAUUUUUAUCUUUCUUGUGCCACCCCCAUAGAAUAACUUCCGGAUUAUAUAAUCCAGAAACGCAUUUGAAAAAAGACUUCUGGAUUACAUAAUUCGGAAGUUAAAAAAGACUUCCGGAUUACAUAAUUCGGAAGUUAAAAAAGACUUCCGAAUUAUGUAAUCCGUAAAGUAAUUAUGCAUCUGAAAAAAGACUUCUGGAUUAUAUAAUCCGGAAGCUAAUUACAAAUUUGAAAAAUAACUUCCGAAUUAUGUAAUCCGAAAUAUUAUAGAGGGGUAAUUUUGGAAAUAUGAAAAUUUAUGGAGGUGAGAGAAGAAGGUAUGGAGGUGCAGGAAGAAGCAGCCUAUUUUUUUGUCUGCAAUAAACAAUUACAAACAAAGUCAAAUAAAGAUGUUGAAUACAAACCAAAAACUUUUUCUGCAAGCAUCAGAGAUGUUGCACGAUUCUUGUUACCCAAGUAAUUUCAUAAUCAUUUUGAGUCAUUUUUCUUCUUAAUUCACAAUUCACAUUUUUCUUCUUAAUUCACAAUUCACAUUUUUCUUCUAAACUCAUAUUUUAUUCUACAAACCAAGUUACAUGCUAUCCCUUCUGCAAAUCAUCUUCCUCAAUUCCAUCAUAAUCACCUAUUCUAUAUUGUGUUUUACAUGUGUUAAGUUAUAUCUAUAAUACCUCAAUAAAUAAAUAAAUAUACACAAAUUGCGUGUACAAAUUUAAUCACACGUAUUAUUAGCUCUUAUAAUAAUUAUUUAAAAAACAUAAAAUAAUUUUUUAACAGAUGGAUGUUGCAUAAACAUUUAUACUUGAUACAUCUUUAUUAUUACUUGAAGAAAUUGACAAUAUAUUUUUAUUAAAUUUUUCACUCUAUUAAAAAUGAAAACGAUUUCAAAUAUUGAUAUAGUAGAAUUUAGGUAAGACGUAUUAUCAAUGAUUUUUUACACUACUUUAUAAAUAUUUGUUGGGAUUGUUAAUGACUAUUCACCCAUUACAUGUUAGUAACUUUUACUUUGUUAACGUGUUAAAAACUAUGUACCACAAACAUAACAACUAUGUACACAGACAUGGAUAUAAAAAUCAUAUAAUAUCUAAAAUAUAAAAUACGGGACAUGAAUCUAUAUAUUAUAUAAUUAUGCAUUAUAUAAAUUGACCAUAAGAAUUUAUGUGCACGAGUCUAUUUUAGAUUAUUUUUUGGAGCAAAUUUUUUUUUCAUGACUAGUUUAAAAGGAUUUGUUUUUUAUUUUUAUAAUCAUAAUAAAAAUUUAUACAAAAAAUUUGAGUUUCUAAAAAAUUAAUGUAUUUUUUUAUUUAUAAAAUUGUGUUAGAACCGUACUAGAAUUGUCAGAAAUUCAACAAAUACUUUUUGAAUUGAACACUUCAGAGAUAUGUGUCCUACAAGUAUCAUACGAUACGAGUGUUAAUGUCCGAUACAAGUAUCCGACACCACGUCAUUUGAAAAGAGAAGUGUCUGAGCUUGAUAGAUUAAAAAUUACUUCAAUUUUUAAUUCAAAUAACCAUUUAAAGAAUUGCUAAUUUUCAAUUAAAUUCAACAACAUACAUAGCUUGGGAGCCAUAUAAAUAUGCAAUGGGGCUGUGGAAGAGAGUGAAAGAGAGUAAAACUGAAAGAUGAGUUUUCUCGCGGGAAGGUUAGCUGGGAAAGAAGCAGCGUAUUUUUUCCAGGAAUCCAAACAAGCCGUAGGAAAAUUAGCCCAAAAAAUCCCUAUUUCUAAGACCAACAGCAACAACAACAACAACCUAAACUUCCACGAAGAGCAUGAUCAUGCGGAUGUGCUUCCAGAGGUUCUAAGACACCAUCUUCCUUCUAAAGUGUUCAGAAAUGAAGAAGCUACCUCUUCUUCCUUCUCUGCCUCCAAAUGGGUUCUUCCUUCCGAUCCAAAAAUCCAUUCUUCCGUAUCCCCUGACGCUCUCAAUCCUUUACGUGCUUACCUUUCCCUGCCCCAAGUCACUUUCGGCCCCAAAAGGUUCCUUCUUCACUCUCUGUUUCAAUUUCCCAAUGACUUGUACCUCAUCAAUCAAAUACCAUAUGCAUAAUGUUUUCCCAUUUGAAUUAUAUCCUUUAGUUUUAAUUUGAGCUUGAUUUUUUUGUAUUAUCAGUAUAAAAAAUUCUAUACUUUCUAAGUAUUUAAGAAUCAUCACAAGAAUGACUUUUAAGAUAAUUAUUGUAAAAAUUAACAAAAUUAUUGCAGUUUGGGAUUGAAUAACAAUGGAAAAUUGUUUUGAACUGAUAAUAUACCCUAUUUAAACUUUUCAAUUUUAGAAUCUGGGUUCUAAUAGGCAAAGAAGCUGGUUGUGAUUCUUCUUCUUCUCUUUUUUAUGUUUAAAAUUGGUGGUUUUGUUCAGUUGUUUAUACACGAUGGUUUGGUUGCACAGGUGGCAACUGCCUGAAGGUGAAAACGCAGUUUCGGCCUCAACAGCUAAUGAAUUGCGUCAAGAUAGGUACGCCACUCAUGUUAACCCGGAGAAAUUGAAAGCUGCUGGUGAAGGGCUUGCACAUGGUACAUUUCAUUAGCUUCAUGAUGUGCUGUAUAUAUUCUUGAUCUUUCAUCGCUUUGUUUUGCCCUGUAUUGUAAAUUGUAAGUGUUUUAAGCAAUUCUCAAUAUUUGUAGAUAGAUGGUUCUCUGAUGCAACAUCAGGGAAAUAAAUUGUUUUUCUCACCGAUGAAUAUGUACAUUUUGGACUUGGUAUCUACUUGACAAGCUUAAUGUCUCAAUGGAAUUUAUAGUGGAAUAUGUAGCUGCAAAUGCUUGAAGGAAAAAUCAGCGUAUAGAGAAGGUCACCGUAACUUAUGGUCAUCCUAUGAUUACUUUGUAGAAUGAGAUACUCCGAGUUUAACUUUGAUUAAAUAGGUGGAAGUUGAAAUAAAAAUAUAUUAAGCAUCAAUUGUUUUCUACUAAGCAACUUAGUCCAUCCUGUUUAAGUUGAUGCAGUAGUACAAAAGAGGAAGGUGUCGGAGGAGUUUAGGUAAUUUUAUUGGGUCAAGAGAGUGUAUUAAUAAUUUGAGGGAGGAAAGUUGUGGUACUCAGGGCAUAUCCCAUGAUAGUUGCUUAUAAGUCAUAAGGGUUUCUUAAAAAUAUAAUAUUAUUUUAAUAUAGGUCCACCACAUGCAUGAAUUGCUUAAAAUUGAAGAGAGCUGUUUAUAAUUUAUAGGCAAUUCAUAUGUUUAGGACUUGAUACUAAAAUAAUGUUUUUAUUUAUGAGUAACUCCCAUAUGCUAGUUUUGUCAUCAACUAAACGAGCUAGAGUUAAAUGUACACAGUGUCCCUGUAAUUGUAGAGAAACUAUUAGUUGUAUGUGAUUUUAAAUUAGCAAUGUUGGGAAAUUUAAUUGAACCAUCCUCAACUAUAGAGCUUUAGACUUUUUAAGCUGUGUUUUUUCACUUGUUGGGGGUGUUUUAUAUUUUGAAUAUAGAUAUUGUGAAUGAGGGAGAAGGAAUUGAGUCAUGCAAUAUAUGUUGUUCUACUGGAGAAAGAACUGGUGGAUACUGUUUGGGCAAGUUACCUUUCUGGAAUAAAAAAAGGUUUAGGGUUGUGUGUGUAGUAAUAGAGUUAAUGAAAAAUCAAAGUAGGCAUCACUUUUUCUGCUUGAUUUUCCAGUAAGUACAGUUCAGGUGGUUAUUUACUUCAUUAGACAUUGACUCAUGACUUCAUUCAGAUUUUGUGGUGCUUAUAUCAAUAAUGCUGUUAAGGAAAAAAGGUUUCGGGAAAAUUCUUUGGGGAUGAUGCUUAUGUUUUCUAAUGCAAUUUUUUAGUUGGAAAAGCUUUUGCUGUUGCCACUGCAUUUGUAUUUGGUGGUGCUGCAUUGGUGUUUGGUAUGGUGGCCUCCAAGUUAGAGCUGCAUAAUGUAAGUGAUUUUUGUUGAAAAUAUAUGCCUAGCUAUCUGUAAUUUGAAUUUGAAUGAGUUCAUUUUUAGGAGUUUUUUUGUUAUGUUUCAAAUUUUAGGAUAUUGGUCAGAUAAGGAUAUGAUCUAUUAUUUUGAUUAAAAAUAUAUUUUCCAUACAAAAUACCAACACAAUAUGUUGAUCCUAGAGUUUAAUAUGUAAUUUUUCUCUCUCUCUCUCUUGGUUAUGUGUAUUUUUUUUAAACUAGUUAAGUAAUCCACUAGAAUGUCUACCUUGAUCCAUUUUCAUUCAUCAUUCUUCAUAAAUUAUUCAUCUUGUUGAAUGACAUUAAUGACCAUAAAAUUCAUGUAAGCCUUUGUAUUGUAUCUCAAUACCUGUUUUUUUUUUUCUGUUUAUUCAGUUGUAUUAAUAGAUCUCUAUAUUGCCAAAUAAAUUGUCCAUUUUAGUUUGUUGACUUUUUAUCGGAAAUUUUUGUUGUUACAUUACAGAUCAAUGACAUAAAAACUAAGGGAAAAGACUACGUUGAGCCACAACUUGAGAAUAUCAAAGAGCAAUUUGCUCCCUUCAAAAUAUGGGCAAGUUUAAAAUUGUAUUUCUUCAAUCUUCUGAACAUUUCAACUCACAAGCCUAACUCAAAACUUGGAUUUGCAGGCUGAGAAUCUGUCAAGAAAGUGGCGUAUGGAAAGGGAAGAUGUUAAACAGAAGACUAUCGUAAAGGAGCUAUCUAAAAUUUGGGGUACAAAAACAACAGAUUGAGAUUUACAAUUUGUAUUUGUUUUCCCUUUACUUUAGCUGGUUUGGAAAUUUGUGGCAUGGCAUGGGCAUCCAAGGUGGAUAUAUUGGAUGGAGUGUUGUUGUAUCUGUAAAUGUUUAGAAUAAAAGUAAUAAAAAGUAGUGUGUAUCAAUAAUUAAGAUAGUAGUAAAUGGAAGAAUGUGAUUUUGGUUAAUUCAAAAAAAUUUGCCCCUGCUAUUUCAGCAGACCAGACAUACUGUUAAGGUUCUGAAAACCCUAAUUUGUUGCAAUGAAGAUGACAUUUGGCAAUUUGAGAUCAAUGUAUGUCCAUGCAAAUUACACAGGUUAUACUAUAACAUAAGAAUGAGAUAUGGUAGAAAAUGUAGCAUUAUUUGGCAUGCUUAGGUUGCUUGAGUUUUGUGGCAUGGUUAAGAGUAACGCAUACAACAUUGUUUGAGGCUAUAAUCUAUGAUGUUUUUGGAUAAGCAGUAGCCAAGGGAGAAUCACGUUUACAGCAGGGAAUCAUGCUUGAAAAGUGUCAAUACAUGUUUGGUAGAACCAAUUUGCAUUCAUAAUUAUGGUUUUGGCAACAUGGUGGAAACAACUCGCUUAAAUUGUUCUUUUAUUUGUUUCUUACUUUUAUAUUUAAAUAUUUACAAAUGAAAGAAUAGUUUAUAUUAAUUUAGAAGCUGAAAGUAUUUAUAUAAAAGACAAUAUUAGUUACAUUCCAUUUAUGUAUUAUCCUCUAAAAUGAUUAGAUAAAAAUGGAGAAAUUAUUGUUUAUUGGAGAAGAUACAAGGGUGAGAUACAUCGAGAUUAAAGAAAGUCUUGAAUUGACUAAACAUUGUAAUGAUAAACUCACAUAGGAAUUUGAUGAAACUUGCAUAAACAUCUCAUUCUAAGCCAAAUUCUUCCUCUACCUCUAUACAUUCCAUACAUUCCACGUGCACCUCCAUAUUAGUGAUAAAAUGUCAGUUUUAACCUUUUUUUUAAAUUUUAAAUAACCCUAAAUGAUCCAUAAGCUCACAUUUUUAACCUCAGUUGCAUCCGUUUAUUUUUCUUUAGAUGUAGCAUUCGUUGUAUUCAACGUUCUCCAAUGUGAAGAUACUUUUUUUUUAGAUUUCUACUUCACUUUUGCACCUCAGGUUUUUUUUUUCUGAAUUUUGUCCCUUCCAAAAAAAUUGAAAAAAAAAUAAGCAAACGAAAAUACCAACGUUCACCACCAGCCACAAAACUUACCACAACCAUACCAAAGUUCAUCACCAGUCACCACCACUUGAAAAUGAAAAAGUCACCACAUACUCAAAAAGUAUAGUUAUGAUUAAAAAAAAUGAGGGGGAAAUAUGGAGGUACAUGGAGAAUUUGGCCUCAUUCUAUUACAAGAAUACAAGGGACAAAACGUAUUGGACCAAGACCAACUGAUAAGAUAGAAAUAUAGAUAUAACGUUGUUUACAAGCAUAACAUAUACUGGUGAUUUGAUUUGGUGCUUUCUUUGCAUGCUUCGUUUUGGAACACCCUAUCAACAAUUUAAAUUAAAUUAUACAUCUCAGACAUACAACUAUGCCAAAGGAAGUGGUAAAAAAAGAGUGAAGAUCAAGAAUGAAUGAAGAGUGAAUCUUGAGAAGAACCACAAGGGAAAAACCAAUUAUGCCACCACAUCAUCCCUAUUUUGUAGGUUUGUCUGAAUCAAACUUAAAGGUAGUUACUAUAACUUAUAAUCAAGACCAGCUCCAUAUUUCCAAGCCUCGAGAUGCCGCUUCAACUGGAAACUCAUCUUGGAUGGCAAUGUAUGUACCAGUGGCCUUGCAAUUCAUUCAAUAUGAGCAUAGAAUACAAGGUGUGUUAAUUGGAUCUAUAUGCUUGUUGAAUAAAUAAGGAAGCUAAAAAGUGGUUUAAGAGAACCUUGUUAAGACUAUUACCUCAGAAUAGGAUCAGCAAAGGUCGAUAAAAAGGUGUAGUAUCCAAGCCCCAGAAAAUGUCUGGACCAAUCUAGAAGUACAGGAACACCAACCUGGGACAAGAUUAAAUUCUUCACCCCCAUGUUAAAGAGGUCUCCUGACUAAUUAUUUAUGCUACAUAUUUU
This 334558-nucleotide long non-coding RNA is filed under the name Phaseolus vulgaris (common bean). RNAcentral's name for it is "long non-coding RNA (PVUL_LNC001841)". The stretch from base 58204 to 58309 matches the Rfam family "Plant small nucleolar RNA R71". Lineage: Eukaryota; Viridiplantae; Streptophyta; Magnoliopsida; Fabales; Fabaceae. The record is from RNAcentral.